RNAcentral lists this long non-coding RNA (262156 nucleotides) under Populus trichocarpa (black cottonwood). RNAcentral's name for it is "long non-coding RNA (PTRI_LNC000851)". The stretch from base 238849 to 238939 matches the Rfam family "MIR478 microRNA precursor family". The record is from RNAcentral. Lineage: Eukaryota; Viridiplantae; Streptophyta; Magnoliopsida; Malpighiales; Salicaceae.
CAAUCUGGUUUGCAAACAUCAACUGUUAUGCAGCCUUCAAUGAUGCAAACCGUCUCUGGUCUUCAACAGAACCAACCAUCUUCUGUUCAACAGUCAACACAACCAAUGCUCCAGCAACAUCCACAAUCAGUCCUCAGGCAGCAGCAACAACCUCAACAAUCUGCUGGUAUUCAUCAGCAGCAAACACCAAUGAUGCAGCAGCCACUAUUGCCUCCACAACAGCAGCUAAUGGGGCAACAAUCAAAUACCACUAACAUGUCGCAAAAUCAGUUAACUGGACAGCAAAACAUUGUUGGGGACUUGCAGCAGCAGCUAGGGCAGCAGAAUAACCUUCAAAAUCUGCAGCAGCAGCAGUUAAUGGCUCAACAAAAUAACCUCUCAAGCAUGCAUCAGCAACAGUUGGGCCCUCAAAGUAAUGUCACUGGUUUACAGCAACAGCAGUUGCUUGGAGCUCAGCCUGGUAACUCAAGCAUGCAAUCUAAUCAGCACUCUCUACACAUGCUGCAACAGCCCAAGGUUACGCUGCAGCAGCAAGCACAACAAAGUGGAAGUGCUUUGUUGCCGAAUCAAGGGCAGCAGUCACACUCACAGCUGCCACAGCAGCAAUUGACGGCACAGAUUCAAUCACAGCCUGGACAGCUGCAACAGCAAUCAAAUCCAUUACAACAUGAUCUGCAGCAAAGGCUUCAAGCAUCAGGCUCCUUGCUUCAACAGUCAAAUGUGAUUGAUCAGCAAAAGCAGUUGUAUCAACCUCAAAGAGCCCUUCCAGAAACGUCCUCAAGUGAGUUUUUCUCAUCAUUGCAGCUUUCUAACCUUGCUCCAACUUUAAUUUUGCAGCUUUGUGCUUUCAUGUUAGAUUAUAACAUAUUUAUUUAAAUUUCUUGAAAAUACAAUAAUGGUUCAAGUCAGCAAUGCUCUUUCUGGUAGCUUUAUGAGCUACGGCUGCCACUUAUGGCAUCAGAAAUGCCACUGCUAUUGGAACCAUUGUAAUCACACAUACAUUUGUUAUGACAUCAUGCCAUCCAGAGCAUUGCACCAACUGUUCACCUCUCAUAAUGGUUCAAGUCAGCAAUGCUCUUUUGGUAGCUUUAUGUGCUACUGAUGCCAUUGCUAUUGAAACCAUUGCAAUCAUACUCAUUUGUUACCACAUCAUGCCCUCCAGCUCAUCGCACCAACUGUUCACCUCUCAUUUUGAAUUUAACGGACGUGAGUUUUAAAAAUAUAUGUAUAACUGGACAAUGCAUUUGACGCUAGGGUAACUAAUCAUCAGCCAAUUGAUUUUUAUGGGAAGAAAGAAACUAGCAAGUGGAUUAACUCUGAGGCACUUAAGGUUUGGUGUGCUGAUAAAUCAUCACCUUGCUGGAAAAAUCUCAUGAUCACCUCCUCGAUGCUAAUUCUGUAAGGCAUGUGAAGUGUUUCUCUGUCUGUUUGAAUGAUUACAUAACGUUAAGAUGGAGUUCCGAGUACUCCCAAGUCCAGAAAGGACUUGUAUUCCUAUGUAGGAAAAUACUAAUGGUCCUAUCUAGGAUAGAGAAAACCUAAUAAAGCUCCUUAUUCUUUAGGAACAAUCAAAUACUAAAUAGAAAUAAAACCAAGACCUACAGCAUUGCAUUCCAUAAUUUUCAGCAAGUGUGAAAAUUACAGAAAGACCCUUGUGUGCGGAAAUCAUUAAAAAAAUACAUGAAUUCUAAUCUUUUUUUUGCCUGCAUCAAAAUUUUUGUAGCAUCCCUAGAUUCUACAGCAGAGAGUGGACAUGCAAAUGGUGCUGAUUGGCAAGAGGAGAUCUACCAAAAGGUAAUUUCUGUGGUUUACUGUUCAUUAGAUGAAGUUCAUGCAUGUCAUAGUCUUGCAAGAUUUCAAUGGAAAAGGUCUCCUGGAAUUUUGUACAAGGGAGUUUUAUUCAGCUAUGGUUGCGAUUAGUUAGGAAGCAUUGUAAGUUCCAUGAUUGCAGCAACUAACAAACGAUAAAUUACUGAUAAGAUGAUUAAAGGUAAAAUAUUCAGAUUUCUAGGUCAAGAGGGUUUUUUUCUUGGUACUGACACAACAAUUUUUUCUAUUGCAAAUCUCUCCCUUUCGAUUUUUUCCCAGUAUUUCCAUACAUUUAUUGUGUGGUGAGUUAUUAUUUUAUUAUUUCCAACAAGUCCAAUUGACAAUACUUCUUACUGUAAUAGACAGACUUGAAAACAAGAGUGAACUGUUUCUGAAUAGUCAUCGUUAUAUUUGGUUAAGUGAACAGUUAUUUUCAGGAUUACAAGCAAAUCUGUUCUGAAACAUGUGACCAUGGAAGAAAGGAAAAUAAGUGGACCUAAUCCAUUGAAUCAUGACCAUGUCCAGUAUUGUUGAAUUUUUUAGAAAAUGAGGUUGAAAUUCUGAAUCGUUUAAUGGCUGUAGUUGCAAUUCAUAACUGCAUAUUUGAUGAAGUCAAUUUUUUUGUGCCUGGGAGGGUACUAAAACAGGAAUAGGAGUGGUUGUUGAUAAUUAGGAUUUAAGGGUUAUAAAUCCAAAGUUAUAAAGCUAAGAAGUGUUUACCAAAGUCGUGACAUCCAUUGACUUGAGUUAGAACAAUAGAAAACAAUGGUGAUUGUAGUUUGCCGUGAGACAAAGUAACUGAACUUGACCAACCCCUGAAUCUUGUCUGAAGUGGUAACUACACAAUCCUUUGCAUCUUUGCAUGCAAUCAAUAACGAUAUUCUCUUUUGAGUUUUCAGCAUUGAUUCCACUCUGCUAUUUUUAUCUCAAACAAUAUAUGCUGUCCUCUGCCAUUUUAUUUAUUUAUUUAUUAUCAAUUCUCUCAAGUUCGCUUAUGUUUCUUUCUGACUCUGGCACGUGAAGAAAUCAAGCAUAUGAUUGAUAAUGUCUUGCUGUUUAUAUGUACUUCCUAGAUCAAAGUUAUGAAGGAAACGUAUUUGCCUGAAAUAAAUGAAAUGUACCAGAGAAUUGCUACCAAGUUACAGCAGGUAAAUUGUCUCUGUAAUUUUUUCCGAUUUAUUUGCCCACGCAUGAUUCAUAAACCCCCACAGUUGAGCUUUUGUAUUAAUUUGUUUUCCCCAUCAGCAUUGCUUGUCACUGUAUCAUCUGCACUAAUUACCUCCCCCAACCCAACCACCCCACAACCAUGCAUUGACACAGAAGAAUUGGAAUAGAAACAUUUUUUUCACUAAUGUUUUACUAGUUUUGCUAGAAAGGGUCAAUGCAAUUUUUAAUUCUCGUGUAUGUUAACUUUGCUUUCCAGCAUGACCCUCUUCCACAACAACCAAAGUCAGAACAGCUUGAAAAGCUGAAGGUAUUGAAGGUCAUGUUGGAGCGCUUGAUAACAUUCUUACAGGUCUCUAAAAACAACAUCACGCCUAAUUUCAAGGAGAAAUUGGGUUUCUAUGAGAAGCAGAUUGUAGGUUUUCUAAACCCAAGCAGAUACAGGAAGCCUAUUCCUAAUCUACAGCAAGGACAACCUCCCCAACCUCGUAUUCAACCUAUGCAGCAACCCCAAUCUCAAGUUCCUCAAUUGCAGUCCCAUGAAAAUCAACUGAUUCCCCAGUUGCAAUCAAUGAAUACGCAAGGUUCUGUACCACAGAUGCAGCAGAACAAUAUGUCAAGCUUGCUGCAUAAUUCCCUUUCAACUUUAUCUGGGGAUUCGACGUCACAAUCAAACAUGAUGAAUCCAAUACAACCAGGCUCCAAUUUAGAUUCUGGACAAGGAAAUGCACUGAGCUCAUUGCAGCAGACACCUGUAGGAUCUGUACAAAAGAAUCUCGUGAGCAUUUCCCAACCAACCAAAGUUAACACAUUGUCAACACAAAGUGGGGCGAGUAUGCUGCAGCCAAAUAUUCCCCUUCAGUCGAAUUCCAAUAUGAUUCAACACCAGCAUCUAAAACAGCAGCAGCAGCAGCAUGAACAACAGAUGCUACAAACACAACAGCUUAAACGAUUGCAGCAACACCAGAAUUUAAUGCAGAAUCAACAGAUGCAGCAGCAGCAAUUACACCAGCAAGCUCCGUCUCCUAUGCCAGGAGAUUCUGACAAACCAGUUUCUGGUAUUUCCUCACUCUUAAAUACUGGAAAUAUUGUACACCAACCAUCUGUUGCACAAGCACCGGCUCCAUCCCUUGCAAUUGGCACUCCUGGGAUAUCUGCAUCACCUUUGCUUGCAGAGUUUACCAGUCCUGAUGGUGCUCAUGGCGGUGCUUUGACAACUGUUUCUGGCAAGUCAAAUGUUACAGAGCAAUCACUUGAGUGCUUGAUUAAAGCGGUUAGUGAUGCUCUCCUUUUGGUUUUACUCCACCCCACCCUUAUUUUGGAGGUUUCUGAAAAAGAAAGAAACUUCUUUGUGAAUGAGAUGGUGAUGCUGUAAUUUUUUUUCCCAGGUGAAAUCUCUGUCUCCCAAAGCACUUAGUGCAUCUGUCGGUGACAUUGGCUCCGUUGUCAGUAUGAUUGACAGAAUUGCUGGUUCUGCAGCUGGUAAUGGAUCUAGAGCUGCAGCUGGUGAGGAUUUGGUAGCAAUGACAGGAUGUCAUCUUCUUUCGUUUUUGUCUUUUUUAUUUUUCACGUGUUUCUCACAACAUGGGAACUCGAGGGAAUAAAAAGUGCUGGGAAGUAAUUUUUGUUGGAACGUCUUGUGUAACAUCUUCUUUCGAUGAUGACCUCUUGGAUGUUUUGGUGAUAUCUCUACAUCCAAAAUCAUAUAGACCGCUACUGCUGGCACUUGCAGUAGCCAAUGAGCACUGAUAUAUAUUGCAGAGUGAGAUAAGGUUAACUCGUUGCAUUUUCAUAAAUAAAAGGGAUUUCUCUUCUUUUCUUUGUCAAUUACAGUGCAUGUGUAAAAGUUUUCUUACUCAGAGUAAAUGCUAUUGUAAUGUUUUCACAGAGACUCCCCUGUUUUGCAACUAAUUCACUUCUGAAUAUAUCUGGGAAACAGAAAGGCAAUCAACAAAGAGUAAGGCAUCUUCUGAAGAAACAAAGAAAUUUAAUACCCUAAACUAAGCAGCAGGUAGAAGGCAAAAACUGAGCACAAAUUUUCAGGAAGGGACAAAAAAAAUAAAAAAGAAAGCAGAGAAAAAUACAGACUCAAAUUCAACAACACCCAUUUUCUUUCCAUUGGAACACUUUAAAUAGUUUAUUAAAUAAAGCAUAUAAAAAAAUCAACUUAAUGAUCAAUUCUCUAUAAUUUCGGCAUUACUAAAAACAUCCAAACUAAUAAACUAUUAGUUAUUAUAGUCAUUUUAAUAAACAUUUUAGUUAUGAAUUCACCAAACAUUUUGAACAAUUCAUAUUGAUGAAUUAACAUGUCAAUUUUAGAUUUUUUGACUUACUAGUUCCUUCAUGAAUUACUUCUAAAGCAUGCUAUAUAUCUCUAAGCAUUUUUAUAGAAUAUAAUUCUAUCAAAUUCACUUUUACCCAAUGUAUAAUAUAAAAUAUUCAUGGCUUUAACAUCCAUAAAAAAUAAUUUUUUAUCAUUUUAUGUAUAUUCACUUCUAGUUUUAGAAAUCUCAAUACCAUUUUCAAUUUUGAUAGGUUUAGGAGAUCUAUUUUGUACGGAUAGCCACAAAUUAAAAUCAAUAGAUUGACAAUAAACUAUCAUACAACAAUUUAUUACUUGCUCUUUGGUGAUAGGAAUGUGAUUGUAAUAUUAUUUUUCAAGCUUACUCAAUCUCUUAUUCUUGAUAGCAUAACCAAUAAUAAAUGGCGAGCCAAAAUUUAUAUGUUACUCUCUGUAAGAAUUUUGACUGCAUAAAUGUAAAAGAAAAUAGUUUUAAAAAGACUAAAAGUUUUCUUCAUUAUAAAAACCAUGUCAGAAUUGUCUCUUUUUAUAGGCAAUUCUGACACUUAAUUUUAAAAUAACUUUUAAGACAAAAGGUUACAAUUUUCUAGUUUAAAACUACACAAUUAUAUUUCAAGUAGAGUUUUAACAAACACAACUUUUCAUUCACACCUUAACAAUCCCUCCACAUGAUAAAAAUUGUUUGAUCAUAAUAAAAUACAAAGUAGACAUGAAAAUAAAGAGUAGGAGCGAAAAGUCAUUGCAUCGAGCAAGAUAACUUUUGGCCUUGAACCUUUCAUAGUUAAAACUAUUGGAUUCACUCGGCUAAUCAGCAAACAUGAUAUUUUGAGUUGUUUAGCCUUUUGUGAGAAACCAGAUAAUAUAGAUUACACAUUUCAUUUUCUUACAAUUUUGGUUCUCACGGUUGUGUUCAUUUUGGCCUCGAAUACGUCUUGAUUUCAAAGAGCUUUAAAGAAUUUGCAUUUUCAAUCCUGAUAGAAGUGGCCUUAUUUCACACUCACAUAUGUGAUUCUUAUUAAGAGUAUCAUGUAAUACCUCACUUGAAUUUCUCAAGCUAUAAAAGUCAUUAAAAGCUUAGCUUAUCCUAUUUUCAUUGCAGAUAGCACUUUAUAUCAUAUGAAUGGGUAAGAGGGCUAUUAUUAAAUGACAUGUGAUUUGGUUGCUUCUUUGAAUCUAGAUCCUGGGAUCUCCAGUAAACUAGGUUGGGUCGCUAUCAUGACAAUUCAUUGAACUGUGUCUUAAUCUCAUUCCCCUCGAUGAUUAUUGACUUGCUCUAUUGUUAAGCAUUUUAUUAGUAAAUUAAUGAUAUUAUCAUUUAACUUUACAUGGUUAAUAAAGAUAAUCUCAUUUUAGAUCAACUAUCUUACAAUAUUAACAAUUGUGUCAAUACUUUAUGUGUGUGUGUGUGUGUAAGCAUGGUUAUAUUUCAUAUCAGCAUCAUAAUAAUAGCAAAUGUGAAGUAUGUAUUCAAGCAAAGAUGACAAAGAAGCCUUUUCCUAAAGUAGAAAGGAAUUCUCAAUUACUUGAGUUGAUCCAUUCUGAUAUAUGUGAAAUAAAUGGUAUGUUAACAAGGGGUGGGAAAAGAUAUUUCAUAACUUUCAUUGAUGAUUAUUCUCGUUUUACCUGUGUUUCCUUAUUAAAAACUAAAGAUGAAGCCUUUGGAAAAUUCAAAGAAUUCAAGAAAAUGGUAGAAAAUCAAAAGGAAAGGCAAAUUAAAGUUCUUAGAAGUGAUAGAGGUGGAUAAUAUUUUUCUAAGGAGUUUUCUACAUUUUGUGAGGAAAACAAAAUAAUCCAUCAAAUGACAGCACCUUAUACACAACAUAAUGGACUUGCUGAAAGGAAAAAUAGGACCUUAAUGAAUAUGGUCAAUGCCAUGCUUUUGAAUGAUAAAUUACCAAAUAAUUUAUGGGGUGCAGUCUUACUUACUACAUGUCACAUUCAUAAUAGAGUACUAUUUAAAAAAUCAAAUGUUUCUCCCUAUGAAGCAUGGAACGGUAGAAAAUCAAAUCUGAAUGAUUUUAAUGUGUGGGGGUGUGUAGCUUUUUGUAAAAGUUCUGAUCCUCAAAGAACAAAAUUAGGACCCAGAGGUCUUAAGAGUGUUUUUGUUAGUUAUGCACAAAAUUCAAAGGCUUAUAGACUUUUGGAUUUAGAAACUAAUGUGAUUAUUGAAUCUAUACAUGUUGAAUUUAUCAAAAAUAAAUUCAUAAGUGAUUCAAAUGUGUAAGAACCAAAUCUAAAAGUAAUGACUCCUAGCUCAACAUUAAGUGAAAAAUAUAAAAACCUAGAAGUAAUAGGUUCAACUGAACCUAGAAGAAGUCAAAGAGUUAGAAAGGAAAAACACAUAUAUACAGAUUUUAUUUCUACUUAUUCAAUUGUAUUUUUAGUGGAAGGUGAUAGAAAUACAAUAUUAAAAAAGACACCUAUGAUCUUAAAUAUGGAAGAUGAUCCAAAGACAUUUGGUCAAGCUAUGUCUUCUAGGGAUGUUGCUUUUUGGAAAGAAGCGGUAAAUGAUGAAAUGGAUUCAAUAUUGUCUAACAAUACUUGGGUCCUAGUAGAUUUACCUCCAGGUUCUAAGCUAAUAGGAUGUAAGUGGGUGUUUAGAAGAAAAUACAAUACCGAUGGUUCUAUACAAACCUUCAAGGCAAGAUUGGUUGCCAAAGGUUUUACUCAAAAGGAGGGUGUUGAUUAUUUUGACACUUAUUCUCUGGUGGCAAGAAUUACAUCAAUUAGAGUUUUAUUUGCAUUAGCAUCAAUUUAUAAAUUGUAUGUUCAUCAAAUGGAUGUAAAGACGGCUUUCCUAAAUGGAGAUUUAAAGGAGGAAGUGUAUAUGGAGCAACCUGAGGGUUUUAUACUUCCUGGAAAUGAAGAAAAAGUCUGUAAAUUGAUAAAGUCUUUAUAUGGUUUAAAACAAGCUCCGAAACAAUGGCAUGAAAAGUUUGACAAAGCAAUUUUGUUGAAUGGUUUUCAUCACAAUGGUGCUGAUAAGUGUAUGUAUUCCAAAUUUACAAAAUAUUUUGGUGUGAUUAUUUAUCUCUAUGUAGAUGACAUGUUAAUAUUUAGCACCAAUAUGAUUGGAAUUGUUGGAACCAAAAAGUAUCUCACUUAUAUCUUUAAAAUGAAAGAUCUUGGUGAAGUAGAUACAAUUUUAGGUAUCAAAGUUAAGAAACAUGGUAGUGACUAUGCACUUAAUCAGUCAGAUUAUAUUCAGAAAAUGCUCGAUAAGUUUAAGCAUCUCAAUAUAAAGAAGGCUAAUACCCCAUUUGACUAUAGUAUGAAGUUAAAUGAUUAUUAUGAUAAAGCUGUAUCACAACUAGAAUAUGCUAGUGCCAUUAGAAGUCUUAUGUAUGAUAUUCAUUGUACAAGACCAUAUAUAGCUUUUGCUAUAUGCAAGUUAUCAAGAUAUAUAAGCAAGCCGAAUACAGAUCAUUAGAAGGCUAUUGCAAGAGUCUUUGGUUACCUAAAAAGAACAAUCAAUUGAGGUCUAUUUUAUUCUGAUUUUCCAGCUGUGAUGGAAGGAUAUAGUGAUGCAAGUUGGAUGACUAGUUCAAAUGAUAAUAAGUCCACAUCAUGAUGGAUUUUCUCACUUGGAGGAGGUGCAAUAUCUUGGGCAUCUAAGAAACAAACAUGCAUCUCUCAUUCUACCAUGGAAUCAUAAUUUAUUGUUAUGGCUGCUGCAAGUAAAGAAGUAGAAUGACUAAGAAAUAUGUUGUUUGAUAUUAAGUUGUGGCCACAACCUAUGUCAGCUAUUUCUUUAUACUGCGAUAGUGAAGCAACUAUGUCUCGAGCUUAUAGUAACAUUUACAAUGGUAAGUCAAGACAUAUAAGCAUUUGACAUGGAUAUAUUCGAGAGUUGAUUACAAAUGGUGUAAUCACCAUUGUCUAUGUGAAAUCUAUGAAUAAUUUAGCGGAUCCGCUCAUAAAAGGACUAUCUAAAGACAUGGUACGAAAAAUAACUAAUGGAAUGGGGUUGAAACCUGUUUUUAAAGAUACCAGUAAUAGGAACCCAACUUCGGAUCAACAAGAAGCUUAUCUCUUAGUUUAAUGGGUAAUAAUAAGUUACUGUUUUGUAUAUGUUAGACACUGAUAAUUAAUUUGAGUCCCUAUUCUGAUAGUAUUCAGUGUAUUCUAUUACAUAAAGGAGGAUGAGCAUAGGCUCUUCAUGGAAUUUGAAGUUCGUGUCUAAUGUAAUAGAGACAUGUAUAAUUCCACCUAUAUGAAUAUAAAAGUGAUGCCGCUUUUGACAAGAGUUAGGGUUUUUUCUUGUAAAUAUUCAUAAAAAAAAUUAAAAUUAAGAUUUUAGCACAUGACCAUAAUAGUGCUAAACAGUUGUAAACCUCUUUAAGAGUUUGGAUAGUAUUAUGUGUGUAGUAUCUUUUAUUCUACAACAAAAGUUUUGGUUUAAUCUGCGGACACCAAUAACUUUAGUAGGAUUCAAGUUCUAACACUAAUUGAAGUUUUAAAAUGCAAAAUACCUUCUUGUAAGCAUAAUUCUAUAAAGUGAAAAGACCUUCAUUACAAACUAGUGGGGGAUUGUUGGUGUAGUUUGUAAAUGAAUAAAGAAAAGAUGUUUAUCUCACAUUGGAAAGAAACACUCCCUCCUAAUGUUUCUAUGUGUGGGUUUCUAUUGUGUAGUAAAUUAAGCCAUGGUGGACAAACUCUCCUAUUUGGCUUUCUAAUGUUAUUAUAUGGAUAUUUAUAAUAUCAAAAAAUAGCAUUUGGAACUUGAAACUUGGAUCUUAAUAUGAACAGUCAUAUUGUUUCAUCAAUAGUCAUAUUGUUUGAUGAACAGUCAUAUUGUUUCAUCAAUAGUCAUAUUGUUUGAUGAACAAUCAUACUGUUUCAUCGUUAUGUUUUAAGUCUAUAAAAGCAUGUUACUAUACAGAAAAGAGGCACAACAAAAAACAUACAUUCUUUUCUUGGUCUUAUCUUCUCAUUCUUUUAGAGGUUUAGAGGGCUUAGUUGUAUCCUGGAGGUAUUGUCUCUAUGUGGGACAAAUAAACACCUUAAAAAUAGUGUUUUCACGCCUCUAAGCCAACUCCAUAUUUGUUUCCAUCCUAAACAUUCAUAUCAAGAAACAUUGCGCCACGCCUGCUAAACGUCCACGAAAGAGUCGCCGACCGUUAUUCCCGCAUUAAAGUCCAUGCAUGGUCGCCUCAUUAUCUGGAGACGACCGCAUGGCAUUCUCUGGCUAUAAAAACCAGAGAAAGGCCAUGACAAAGAGGAGGGGGGGACAAAACAAAAGACAGGAGAAAAGAGGCAGGAGAGAGAGAGAGAGAGACCGAGAGAGAGGGGGCCGAAAACACAAACCAGAGAAAAAAAACCGGAGGAGUAACCCAGGGAAGAACACAGAAAAAACCAGGGGAACACUGGAGAACAAAUGAGACAGAAAUAGAGAGAAAUUGCUAGCCAACGCAUGAGCACCAACUAGCCUCGUCUCCGGUUGCACCACCCCCUGAAUAGACGGACGCGAAGGAGAACAGGGGAGUAAACGAAGAGAGGACAUAACACCGGGAAACCGAAAACUGAUAGAAAACCAGAAGAAAAGGAAGAACCACAGAGAGACGAACAACACAGGAGCUGAGAACGAACGAAAAAAAGAGAGAGAGAAGACAGAGAGAAAAAGCAGAGGCGUAAGGUGAAACAGAGAAGAACGACCAGAAAUAAACCAAAAGAAAACAGAAGUGAAGGGGAAGUUUUGGCCAGCCACCACACCUUCUUCGUCAUCCAGACCAGGUAAGUUCUCUCUUCUUCGUAAUUAUAAUUACAUAGGUAUUGUACAUAUGCAAAUUUAAUUCACUACUAUAAUUCACCGGUUUGUGCAUGCACGCGUGAAUCAGUUCACACAUGCCUGUUGUCCAGCUGGGUCACUGGCUUGGGUCAGUGACCAGGCUGGGCUGCUGGGUUUAGCCCAGCCUGACCGAGCUGAGCUGGAUCUAGCCCCCAAAAAAAAUUUAAAAAGGAAAAUAUAAAAAAAAACUAGGCAUGGGCCUCGGGCCUAGGUGGCCUAAUCCCCUUUAUUUAAGUCCCUUUUAUUUUGAUAUUCAACCAAAAUGACCAACUUUUCCCUCAUAUUGUUUUUAGGGUAUUUCACUGUAUAUUUGAUCUGUAGAUUUUUACUGCGAAAUUCGGUGUACGAUACUUUUUUUUUAAAAAAAUAUGCAUGCAUAUAUUUAAAUUCAUUUUAUUGGUUUAUUCACCAACGCUAGAGUCAGGAAUACAAUUUAUUUUGUUUUUGCUACGUAAUAUUUAUCAAUGCCAGAGUUGGAAGUAUCUGUAGUCGAAUAUUCACUGACGCUAGAGUCAGGAAUAUUACAAGCAAACCAUCAUAGCAUAAAUCAACAAACUCUUAAUAAUUUAAGACAAAACCAACAAUGCAGCUUAUCUCAGGUAGGGUGUGCUAGGGGUGUUAAUAUCUUCCCUACCCAUAACCAGUCUUGUACCAUAAAAUCUCUAUUGACUAGUUAGGGUUUCUAAUGACCAUAAUACUAGGUGGCGUCUCCUUAAACCAAACCUUUUUCCCAUAAAAGAACAAGAUGCCAGAAAUCUGUUCUUUUCAAGAAUUUUUAAGGUCAUCGCGAUGUCGGGUGCGACAAUACCCAAAACAAUUGCCUUGCUAAUGGGGAUAAAGUUGUCUUUCUUAAGGGAUCUAAAAGUUAUUUGUAUAUUGAUUGGGGAUAAUUUAGUAGGUUCACUCCUUUUUUCAUAUUAAAACUACAUCAUUGCCCUUGCAAUAAAAAAACAAGUGGCCUUUUGUUUUGGGUCUAUUUUGUCUUUUCUAUUUUAUUUGCACAAUAAAAUGACAUCAAUACCCUCGAGAGUUCAAAAAUAUUGACACUUGACGAGAGGUAUUUUUUAGUCUUUUUCAUGUUUUGUGUACUGUAAAAUGACAAAGUUAACCUUAGAAUAAAAUAAAUCUAAAGCUAGUGUGGGAUAACAUUUUCAUCUUUGCAAUAUAGCUUUUUGUAAUAUUUAGAUGCUUUUAGGGGCUAUUUAGUAAUUUAAAGUAUUGAAAUAUUAAUAAAUCAAUAAAAAAGCUGACAUAUGCGUAGCACGUGUCAGCGCGUGAUAAUCCACCACGUCAUUCAGGAGACUAAUAAACUAACCUAAACUCGUUCUUGCCCAACAGCGAGCCACAAACAAUACUCUUUUGAAUAUUAGAAGCAUGAACCACAUUGUUCAUAAUCGACUCUUUCAUAAAUGUCAUCCUUAACAUCACCUUUUUCUGGCCUAGGAUUUUGCACACUAAGAGCCUAUUUGACGUUGCAGUUGAAUCGUUGUUUUUCCAUUUUGAAAAAAAUUAUUCUUGCUUCAAUUGUUUUUGCGUUCUUGGAUUGUUAUGAUGUGUUAAUGUUAAAAAUGAAUUAAAAAAUAUAUUUUGAUACAUUUCCAAGUAAAAAACACUUUACAACGCAACCGCUACCACACUUUUAAACAAUCACUAAGAAGUUAUCCAGGAAUAAUUGUUCUCCAUUUGCAGUUGUUGCAUACUCAAAAAAAUAUUAUGUCAAAACAUACAUGACAGGUGGCUCCAAUAUCAAUCCACCACUUUUUAAGAUUGUGCACCAGGUUUGCUUCUGACAUAACUACAACAAGCUUUGCAGCUUUCUCAUCAACAUUCUCAAUGAUUUUGUUUUGUGCAUUUUUUCCUUACAGAUAUGCCUUUGCUUUUUACAAACAAAACAAGUUUCUUUGAACUUCUUUUUGCCGACACUAUUACCAUUAGAACUCUUGAGAGAACUUGCUUCAUAUUUAAGUUCACCAGGUUAAGAAUGUUUAGGAAUCGGGUUUGCCAUCGAGACCGCAAAGAUUACCAGGUUAAAUUAUUUUGGUUUUUUCCCCGCAUGAUAGAAUGUUUAGGAAUCGGGUUUGCCAUCGAGACCGCAAAGAUUACCAGGUUAAGAAGUACAUUGAAAUUAUUAACAAUAGAUUUAUCCAUUUAUUAUCUCAAUAACAAGAUUAACUUUAUAAUUAUAUAUCACACUUAUAUAAUCUGAAAUAAUAUUAAUUAAAAUGAAUCCCAAAAAUUUAACACACUAAUUCUGCAAAAAACAAAUUUAAUAAACAAUUUAACUUUGCAACUAUGUAUUUAUUUAUUUGUUUUUCUAUGAGACUCAAUUUUUUUUUUAAUAAUCAUCAAGAGUAUAUUGAAAAGGCCAUAAAGCCAAUAGACAGUGAAAUUUUUAACAGAAACUCAAUGUAAUUUUCAACAAAAACUAUAACAAUACAAAUAAUUACAAAUAUUUUUCUUUCAACAUCAACAUAAGAAAACAAUAUGCACUCUUCUAAAGUUAUGAUAAAAAAAAUCUGAUUGAUACUUAUGUUGUUUUAUGAUUAAAGUAACAAUAGCAUCUAAAGAGAAUGAAUUAGGUGUUGCACUAAUUAUGUCAAAAUAAUGCAAGUAAACACACUAAACACAUAUAACACAAAAACCAACAAUAUAAUUCAAGUGCUUAAAGUAAAUAUAUAAGAAAAAAGAGAUUGCAAACUCGAUUUUUAACGUGAUUCGGUAAGCUUACAUCCACAUCUCAAGUACUAAUCAUACUUAAGUAUUGUACUUUUUUACUAAUCCAAGUGAAAGAUACAUUGCCCUUGAUGAAUUCACACCAAGAAAUUACACCACUUGAUGAAUUUUUCUCUUUAAGAUUUUUCUCCUAGAAUUCCGGUUAAAUAGAAUUGCACUUAAUAUAUAUUAUUUCACCAUAAUUAUUAUCCAGAUAUGCAACUUUUUUUCUUUCCGAUCAUCUGUUUUCUUUUUUUCAUAUCAAUACAACAACAAAGGAAAAUACCAUGCAAUAUAAAAUGUAUUUCCCUGUAGAAUCAAUGCAACAAGUUUACAGACAACAGACGACAAGGAAUUUAACAUAGUCAUGGAAUUUAACUGAAGAUAUAUACACUUUACUUUCUCUAUUAAAAUUAAACUAUUUUUUUUAAUCUAUGUCAAUAUAUAAUCAAUUUGGUCUUGAAGAUAUAUAAAUAUACACAGAACAAAUAUGUUAGAAAAUAAAUUGUUUAAGAUUGUUAGAGCACCUUAAAUAGUUCAUAAAAUUAUUCUUCCCUUUUACUAUAAUGAUGAAGUACAAGGGUUGUUGAUGAUGACCUCUUGGAUGGCUACAUGAAGCUUGUUCCGUUUUAAAUUUCAAGGUUAAUCUAUUGCUAUGAGCAUACGUGUCUCAAUUUAAAACUCGAGUUGCAACUGAACUUAAAUGAAUGGUGUUGGAUUUGGGCCUUCUAUUUGUUUUAACUUCUACAGGGUUGAAAUGAUAGUGAUCUUAAAGUAGAAAAGCAGCAGACAAAAAUCAAUUAACCACAAUGGUGCAUGGUUUCCUAGUUUCUCAGCAUAAAGUUGAAUGUUUUGUUGACCUUUCUACAUCAAAAAUCAUAUAGACAGCUACUGCUGGCACUUGCAGUGGCCAAUGCAUACUGUAGAGUAUAUAUUGCAGUGUGAGAUAAGGUUAACUCGUUGCAUUUUCAUAUAUUGAAAGGAUUUCUCUUCUUUUCUUUGUCAAUUACAGCACAUGCAUAGAAGUGUUCUUCCUCAGAGUAAAUGCUAUAGUAAUGUUUUCACGGACUCCCCUGGUUUGCAACUGAUUCACUUAUAUAUCUUGGAACAUAGCCAUAAAUGAAAGGUUCUUCUAGUUCAAGAAAAUUAACCAUGAAGCUCGUAACUAGAAUUUUUAGACAGAAGGGUGGCCAAGCGAACUCCUAUACUCCGUACGUCUGGAAUAAUACAGGGAAAGGGUGUUUAUGUAUUUUGAUGUCUUAUAUUACUUGACCAACUCUUGCUUAUCUCAUUAUUUGUUUUAAUUUUUUGCUAAUAAUUCCACACAUUUCUGAUAUGGUGUGGUUUUUGAGUUCAGGGUUCUUGCUCAUUGCUGCUAACUUCUCUAUACUUGCCUGGUCAUUAAAAAUGAAACGUAAUGAUUUGCAUAUGCUGAAUGGAGACAUUAAAGAGGCAUCUUCUGUUUUCUGGUCAGGAGGGAUUACAAGAACUCAAGAAAUUUUCCAUAUGUUUUGAGGAAAAGAUUUAUACUACCACUACCAAUCAGGUAUUUGCCUAAUGUGAGGUUUAAUAAUUACGAUAUUAUCUAGACAUUAAUAUACACACGCAUUUAUGCUUGUACAAAUGUGUGUGUAGUGUGCCUACACUUCCUCACCGUUCAUUCUGUAUGCAAGGCUGAUUGGGAGUUCACAUUAUUUUGUUAAUUCUCUUGACAAGUGUUUUAUUUAGAGUGACCAAGUUCAAGUACAAGGGAAGAGUGCAAAAAGCAAAUAGCGAAUCAAUACAUAAAUAAUUAAAUAAAAAGAGAGGAAACAAAAGUAUAUCAUAGAGAAGAUGAAAUGAUAGAGCAUAUAUCCAUUUUCCUCCUCUUGUAACAUGGAUUGCUCUGAGAUCUGAUGUUUUGUUAUUAAUAUCUGAUUUCAGUCUGAUUAUAUAUCUACGAAAAAUAUCUCUGGAGAUGCUUUCGAUGGAGAUCAGGUCUCAAAAUGCCAUGCCCACUGUCCCCAUGGAUCCAGCAGGUAAUAAUGCACCCGAGCAUUGAAUUUCUAAACAUCUUACCUUUUGUUUUUCUUCUCACAUUGUUAUCAAACUCUUUUACAUUUUAUUGCUGUAUAUUGCUAUGUAUAUCGCCUUGCUAGAAAAAUCUCAUGAUCACCUCCACGAUGCUAAUUCUAUAAUGCAUGUGAAGUGUUUCAUCCUUAACUUGUUAAGAACAAGGACUAUGAUGCAUUGCUAUUUUAUAUUUUAUGAUUGAGAUGGUAGAUUUUAAAGAUUUUCCUGUUUAGGAGAUAAAAGUAAGAUGUCACUUUUUUGCUUUUCUUCCGAGAGAGUAUUUGAUCCUUUUUUCGUAUAAAAUAAUGCUGGCAUGCAUUGAAUUUCCAAACAGCUUAGCUUUUGUUUUGUUUGUCGCAUUGUUAUCAAACUCUUUUACAUUUUAUUGCGGUAUAUUGCUAUGUGUAGGGCAUGCUUUAAUCAAAAAGUUGAGUAAUUGAUGAAUGCUAGGCAUGAAAAUGACAUAUUAUUUUUGUUUUCUGUCUCCUCCUUUUCUUUCCCCCACCUCAAAAAUUGUCAUGUUAUUUUUGUUUUCAGCCGCCUCUUCUUCCCCAAACCUUUAAAAUUGUUUAUAUUUGCUUUGGAAGCAUGACAAACUUCAUUGCCUCUCAGCUUAAGGAGAUUGCAGCAGGUCUCGAAGCUUCUGGGCAUUAGUUUAUCUGGGUAGUUAGAAGAAACAAAAAGAGUCAAGAAGACAAGGAAGAUUGUUUACCUAAAGGAUUUGAGGAAAGAAUGGAAGGCAAAGGGCUAUUAUCAGAGGAUGGACACUCCAAGUUUUGAUUCUUGGUCAUGAAGCAAUAGGUGCAUUUGUGACUCAUUGAGGAUGGAACUCAACUCUUGAAGGCAUAAGGCAAAUAUUUGCUGAGCAAUUCUAUAAUGAGAAGUUGGUGACUGAUGUUUUAAAAAAUGGAGUUAAGGAAUGGCUUAGAGUGCAGAGAUCAUGUUAAAAGUGAAGCUGUAGAGAAGGCAAUCACUCAAAUUAUGAUGGGUGAAGAAGCAGAGGAAAUGAGAGAGAAGAAAGCUGAACAAGGGAACGCAGUAGAUGAAGAAUAUGAGUUUACUGCAUUUACUGUCAAGAAUACAAACGUGAGCACUAAAAACUAAUUUGUACAGGAUACUCUUUAUAUAUAGAGUAGUAAUUAACUUCAUCACUUAUUUCUUUCUAUGAAUACAAUAUUCCUUAUUUAUAUAUAUUGAUUUGUUUCUUAUAUGAGGUAGCUGUAGUUUCCUUCUAUGAAAGAUCUGCCAUGGCUGUAGUUUCCUUCUUUGAGAAGUAGCCGUUGGUUGAGGUAGCUGUUGAUUCCUGUGAUUUCCAUGUAUGGUUAAUUACCAUUCUGAAUAGUAGCCGUUGGAGGUGUUAAUUCAGAAUGGUUGCUGACGAGAGUGAGGAUCCUGUGGUGGUGCUGCUGCUGUCUCCUGCUGCUGCUGCAGAGGUGUGUUGUUGCUGUUAAUACCCUCCCUCAAACGUUGCCGAGGUUGGAGGCAAAGUUUGCGCUGAAAACGAAGAAGAGUAGCUUUGGACACCGGCUUAGUAAACAGAUCAGCAAUCUGAUGUGUAGUGGGAAUAUGAUGUGUAAUAAGUUUCCCAAGAGCUACGCGUUCGCGUAUAAAAUGAUAAUCAAGUUCAAUAUGCUUGCUGCGAGCAUGGAAAAUAGGAUUGACCGUCAUAUGGAGCGCACUGAGAUUAUCACAAUAGAGCACUGGUGGAGAUAGCAAGGGAAUGUGUAAAUCAUGAAGGAUGUAGGUCAACCAGGUAAGUUCUGCAGCCGUGUUGGCCAUAGCACGAUAUUCAGCUUCAGUGCUAGAGCGUGAAAUAGUAUGUUGUUUCUUGGCACACCAGGAGAUGAGAUUACAGCCAAGGAAGACACAGUAGCCAGUGGUAGAACGUCGUGUAGUAAGACAGCCAGCCCAAUCAGCAUCUGAAAAAGCAGAGAAAUUAAGAUUAGUAUUAGAAGUGAAGUGCAGACCAUUAUUAAUAGUACCUUGACAUAUCGUAAGAUACGGCGGACCAUUUUUAAGUUGACAGUUGUAGGAGCAUGCAUGAAUUGAGAGACAUAAUUAACACUAAAAGAGAGAUCUGGUCGAGUAAGGGUGAGAUACUGGAGGGAGCCAACAAGCCCCCGGAAGAAACUGACAUCCGCUAAAGGAGGAGCAUUGGAGGAGGCUUUAGUUCGUGCUUCAAGUGGUGUAGUCAUGGGUUUACAGUCAACCAUUUCAGCACGUUCUAGAAUUGUAAAGGCAUAAUGUGAUUGUGAUAAAUGAAGUCCAUUUGGCGUGGGCGAAAUUUCGAUGCCAAGAAAAUGAUGAGUAGGGCCUAAGUCCUUCAUGGCAAAUUCUUGACUGAGUAGAGUAAUGAAAUCUGCAACAAGUGUAUCUAUAGUUCCUGUAAGAAGUAUAUCAUCAACAUAAAGUAGGAGAAUAAGAGAACCAUGAUCAGAAUGAAAAGUAAAUAGAGAAGGAUCUGCCAAGCUGCAUAGGAAACCGUAUUUGAGGAGAAAGGAACUAAAACGAUCAAACCAAGCACGAGGUGCUUGUUUAAGGCCAUAGAGGGCACGUUGGAGCUUGCAGACAUGCUGUGGACGUUGAGGAUCUGAGAGUCCUGGUGGCUGUUCCAUGUAGAGAUUUUCAGAAAUCAAACCAUGUAGAAACACAUUUUUCACAUCAAGCUGCCGUAGGGGCCAAUGAUGAACAAGAGCUAUAGUGAUAAUUAGCCGAAUGGUGCCAGGCUUUACAACGGGAGAGAAUGUUUCAGUGUAGUCUAGGCCAUCAAUCUGGUGGUAUCCUUUGGCAACAACACGGGCUUUGAGACGCUCCAAGCUGCCAUCAGAUUUGAGUUUGGUUUUAAACACCCAUUUGGAACCUAUGAUAUGCAUAUCGGUGGUACGAGGUACCAAUUUCCAUGUCUGAUUUUGGUGUAAGGAUGUAAGUUCAUCCUCCAUUGCUGCUUUCCAUCCUGGAUGAGCUAGUGCAGCUCACACAGAUCGCGGUUCAUGCGGUAUUCCAGCAGAGAUGACAGAUGUUAAUGCAUACUUGGGAUUUGGUUUUAUGAUGCCAUGCUGGGACCGAGUGGUCAUGGUGCGAAGAGCUGAAGUAGAGGAAUUGGGAACAAACUCAUCUGCGGAGGCAUCACUACAAGGAGGUUGUGCAGCUUGGUGUAGCGCACGUUGUGAACGAGUAACCAUAGAGUGAGGAGCUGAAUUUGGGUGGUCUUGCUGCUGCAGAGUAGUUAAGUUCUCAGAGAGUGGUUGCUGGGAAAUAUCAGGGCAGAGAUUGUGGGCAAUCUCCUGCUGAGUGGGAGCUGCCACCUGCUGAAUAUCAUUCUCCGAACUAUGGUGUUGUAGUGAGGAAGAGGGUUCUAUAGAUGGAUCAGUGGGAGAACCAGAAUUAGAGAGAUCUGAUACGUGCAUGAAGAUACAUGCAAACCGCAACAAACCAGAAGGUGGCAGUAGCGCACGUGGUACGUGGAAGACACUUGGACGUGGAUCAUGCUUGGUCGCCAGAUUGUUAGUGGGGUUUGUUAUGGAAUUAGUCAUUCUCCAGUUAUUUUUAGUAUUAACAGUUAAUAAGGAUUCCUCGGAGGAUCCCUUGUUUGUUUCCCAUUUUCUAGAUAGUUUCCCAAAUUCUAGCAUUGUUUGUUAUUCAAUUCAUGUAUAAAAGGGCCUGGUGGCAUCCAAUAAAGGUAUCGAAAAUUAUCCAAUACUGUCUCCUCUCUUACUUCUCUGCUUCUCUUCUCACUCCCUAAAUUCAACCUAUCAGUGGUAUCAGAGCCAGGUUACACAGUUGUCAUGGAUACUCGCGGAAAAAGUAAUGCUGAAUUCCGGACUGAGGUCAAUGACGCCUUAGCUAGGCAUGAGUCUAGCUUUGAUCAGGUGAAUGCUGCCCUUCAAGCAGUAUUAACCGAACUACAAGCCAUCCGCACCCAAAAACACCCAAACACUAACCCUCCCGAAAUCAAUCCCUUUGCAUCAGAAUCAUCAUCCCAGUUACAUAGUUCUCGCAACCCAAACACCACUGGUCAAACACACUCCCACCUCAAACUCUCAUUCCCUCGUUUUGAUGGCAGUGAGCCCACAGGUUGGGUGUACAAAGCCGAACAGUACUUCGAAUUUCAGGACAUUGACUCGGCCCAGCAGGUCCAAUUGGCCUCCUUCCAUCUAGAUGGAAUUGCUCUCCAAUGGCACCGAUGGCUGACCAAGUUUCGGGGACCCCUUCUGUGGAACGAGUUCGUGCAAGCCCUUUUGCAACGAUUCGGACCCACAGACUACGAAGACCCAUCGGAAUCGCUCACUCGUCUCAGACAAACUACCUCUGUAGCAGCUUACCAAGAGGCUUUUGAGAGGCUCUCCCAUCAAGUUGAUGGACUACCGGAAGGUUUUUUAAUAGGAUGUUUUGUUGCAGGGCUGCGAGAUGAAAUUCGUAUUGAUGUCAAGAUUAAACAUCCCCACACACUGGCAGAAGCAAUUGGAGUUGCCCGACUGAUUGAGGAGCGCAAUCUACUGCAAAGGAAGACCCAUCUUCCAAUUCGGUCUUCUUCCAUGAAUUUACCCUCCAGGGCACCAGCAAAUUCAGUAGCUGGAGUGUUGGGACCACCCCCAUCACAAAGACCAAACCUAUCACCAACAUCAUUCCGGAGGAUCACCACUCAAGAAGCUCGGGAACGAAGGGAAAAAGGGGCUGUGUUUCUAUUGCGAUGAGAAAUUCAAGCCAGGCCAUCGCUGUGAACAACCACAAUUGUUUAUGAUCGAAGACAGCUCCAACACCAGCCUUGAUGAAGAAAUAACAGAUACUGAGGACAUCAUCAAUUCAGAGGACAUGCCCGAAAUCUCAUUCCAUGCUAUCGCAGGUGCUGAACACCCUCAAACCUUACGGGUGUUGGGUCAAUUGGGCAACAAAAAGGUGACCGUGCUCAUUGACGGAGGCAGCACGCAUAACUUCAUUGAUCAGGUGGUGGUAACCAAAUUUGGGAUACCCAUUAAUCGCAGCCAGCGAUUUCAGGUAAUGGUGGCUAAUAGAGAGAAAAUCACUUGUACUGGGCAAUGUCAGAGCCUCACAUUAAUCAUUCAGGGCAUAGCCAUCACUGCCAAUUACUGUGUUCUACCGGUCAUGGCUUGUCAAGUGGUACUGGGUGUGCAGUGGCUUGAGACACUGGGUCCGAUUGAAAUGGAUUUCAAAAAGCUCACUAUGAGCUACAAAACGCAUGGAGAGAAACACACCUUUUACGGGUUGAAGCACACGGGUCAUGCUGCCUUCACAGAGAAGGAGUUUCAUGGGUUACAAGGGAAUGGAUUCUUCCUUCAAAUCAUUCCCUCACAUCCCAUCAUUGACAGUAGCAGCCAUCCACCGGAGCUUAAGGCCCUUCUAUCCGAAUUCUCGCAGGUGUUUGAGGAGCCCACGGGUCUGGCUCCCCAGAGAGCCAAAGACCACCACAUACCUCUACAACCCAAUUCUGGCCCAGUAAGUGUGAGACCCUACCGCUACCCGUAUUACCAGAAAACCGAGAUAGAAAAAAUGGUGCAAGACUUGUUGAAGUCUGAAUUGAUACGCCCCAGUAAUAGCCCAUUCUCCUCUCCUGUUUUGCUAGUCAAAAAGGCGGAUGGGGCUUGGCGUUUUUGUGUGGAUUAUCGCGCUUUGAAUGAAAUCACCAUCAAAGACAAAUAUCCAAUUCCCGUAAUUGAUGAGCUCCUAGAUGAGCUGCAUGGGUCUCGUUACUAUUCCAAAUUGGACCUACGAUCCGGCUAUCACCAAAUCCGGGUACGAGACGACGACAUACCUAAAACAGCAUUCAGAACUCAUGAAGGCCAUUACGAGUUCGUUGUCAUGCCAUUUGGUCUAACCAAUGCUCCUGCAACCUUCCAAAGUCUUAUGAAUGAUCUUUUUCGUCCCCACCUCAGGAAGUUUAUUUUGGUUUUUUUUGACGAUAUUCUGGUUUAUUCCAAAUCGUGGGAAGACCAUUUAACCCAUUUGCACACUGUUUUGAAGAUUCUAGCAGAUAAUACACUCUUUGCAAAGGAGUCCAAGUGCAGAUUCGGGGUUACAUAGGUUGACUACCUAGGCCAUGCUAUUUCAAACCAAGGAGUAUCGGUGGAUCCUACCAAAAUUCAAGCAGUGGUUGAGUGGCCUACCCCUACGACAGCCAAGGGGGUCCGCGGAUUCUUGGGCCUGGCCGGCUAUUACAGAAAGUUCAUCCGCCAUUUUGGAGGAAUAGCCGCACCACUUACCCGAUUGCUGACCAAGGAUGGGUUUCAGUGGAGUGCAGAAGCUGAUUUGGCUUUUCAACGUCUGAAGGAAGCCUUAACCCAGUCCCCGGUCUUACGCAUGCCAGAUUUCUCUCAACGAUUUGUGGUCGAGUGUGAUGCCAGUGGGAUCGGAAUUGGUGCAAUACUUUCCCAACAGAAUCAACCCGUGGCAUACUUUAGUGAAGCACUAAAAGGGUCUUCUUUGACACUAUCCACUUAUGAGAAAGAAAUGUUGGCCAUCGUCAAGGCAAUUCGUAAGUGGCGACCAUAUCUGCUUGGUAAACCAUUCACAGUUCGCACGGACCAGAGGAGUCUCAAAUAUCUCCUGGAGCAGAGGAUUACUACCCCAGCACAGACACGUUGGCUUCCUAAAAUUCUCGGCUAUGACUAUGUAAUCGAGUACAAGAAAGGGAGCGAGAACCAAGGGGCAGACUCACUGUCCAGAGUAGUGGAAUUUCAGUUUUUGUCCAUCUCGUUCCCAAAGGCAGAGUGGUGGCCAACUCUGCAACAGGAGGUGCAACAGGAUCCAUUUUAUGCCAACUUCAAAUCAACGGACCCCUUCAUGGUUCAAAGAGACGGAGUGUGGUUCAAGAAGGGUAAGGUGUUUUUAAGCCCGAAUUCUACUCUUAUCCCUCUACUUUUGGCAGACUGUCAUGCCACGCCGAUUGGUGGACACUUUGGGUUCCAUAAAACACUCGCACGCAUUAAGCAAGACUUUACCUGGCCCAGAGUUCACGUCACAGUGAAGGAAUUCUUGCAGCAAUGUACCACAUGUCAACGCUUCAAAAAAGAUUGCAUGAAGCCAGCUGGGCUGCUGCAACCCCUACCUGUGCCUUCCAAAGUUUGGACUGAUAUCUUCAUGGACUUCAUCAAAGGAUUGCCUUCCUCCCAAGGGUAUACUUGUGUAAUGGUGGUAGUGGAUCGCCUGUCCAAAUAUGCCCAUCUCAUUUCGUUGAAGCAUCCCUACACAGCAAUCACGGUGGCCAAAGCCUUCAUCUCCUGCGUCGUCCGCCUGCAUGGUAUUCCAGCCUCUAUUGUGAGCGAUCGUGACAAGGUGUUUAUUAGCUCCUUCUGGCGCACCCUCUUUCAGUCCCAAGGCACUCAGCUGUGCAUGAGCUCAGCUUACCAUCCUCAGUCGGAUGGUCAGACUGAAGUUGUCAACCGCAUCCUCGAACAGUAUUUGCGGUGCUUUGCAGGUGACCAGCCACGUAAAUGGUUCGACUGGAUUCCAUGGGCAGAGUUCAGCUACAAUACCUCGCUCCACUCUGCCACUAAGAUGACGCCAUUUGAGGUGGUUUAUGGUGUUCCCCCUCCUAGUUUACUCACCUAUGUUCCCGGUACCUCAAAUGUUCAAGCCGUGGAUGAGCAUCUGCGCGAUAGAGACUGUCUCCUUCGUGAGCUGAGGAGGAAUCUGUUGAUUGCCCAGAACAGGAUGAAGAGCCAAGCUGAUCAACAUCGCAGGGAUGUCUCCUUUGACGUUGGAGAUUAUGUGUAUUUAAAGCUCCAACCUUACCGUCAAUCCUCAGUGGCAUUUCGUAGCUCAAUGAAGUUAGCCCCACGGUUCUUUGGGCCUUACCAGGUCCUAGCUAAAGUCGGAACAGUUUCCUACAAAUUAGCACUGCCACAGGAUUCCCAAAUCCAUAACGUGUUUCAUGUUAGCUUGCUACGGAAAUACUUUGGGCCCCUCCCUCCUACAUCAACAGUGGUGAGCCUUCCUCCUAUUUCAGAAUCAGCCAAUAUUCUUCCACAACCUGAGGCUGUCCUGGACCGACGAGUAGUUAACAAUGGGAAAUAUCAUCCAAAACAUGAAAUUUUGGUCAAAUGGGAUGGUGCACCAGUGGAAGAUGCUACUUGGGAGAAUGAAAGGCGUUUUAUCAAGACCUAUCCCACCUUCAUCCUUGCGGACAAGGAUUCUUAAGGGGGAAGGAUUGAUACGUGCAUGAAGAUACAUGCAAACCGCAACAAACCAGAAGGUGGCAGUAGCGCACGUGGUACGUGGAAGACACUUGGACGUGGAUCAUGCUUGGUCGCCAGAUUGUUAGUGGGGUUUGUUAUGGAAUUAGUCAUUCUCCAGUUAUUUUUAGUAUUAACAGUUAAUAAGGAUUCCUCGGAGGAUCCCUUGUUUGUUUCCCAUUUUCUAGAUAGUUUCCCAAAUUCUAGCAUUGUUUGUUAUUCAAUUCAUGUAUAAAAGGGCCUGGUGGCAUCCAAUAAAGGUAUCGAAAAUUAUCCAAUACUGUCUCCUCUCUUACUUCUCUGCUUCUCUUCUCACUCCCUAAAUUCAACCUAUCAAGAUCAUGAAGGGAUUGUACAGCCGCAGAGUUAGUGAUAUCAGGUGAAGAAGUGUGCACUGUCUCCUGCUGGAAUGUCUCCGGCUGAGUAAUUGAAGUGUCAGACUGCUGCUGAAGCUGUUGGCGGGCUGGAGUACUGUCACCAUGGAGUUGCAGAGCAACAUCAGCGGGAGAAAUAUCUGUAAAGCACACUGUCUCCUGCUGGAAUGUCUCCGGCUGAGUAAUUGAAGUGUCAUACUGCUGCUGAAGCUGUUGGCGGGCUGGAGUACUGUCACCAUGGAGUUGCAGAGCAACAUCAGCUGGAGAAAUAUCUGUAAAGCACGCUGGUGUAUCUGAGGUCAUAGUAGGAAGCAGGGGUAUGGGCAGUGAGCUGCUGCAUGGUGGCGUUGCUGGUGUUUCAGAGAUAUCUGUAGGAGAGCGUGAAGCAAGGAUAGUUAGCCAAGAAUCAAAUAUGCUAAGGACAUGAUUAGAAUGAUCAAUAUUUGUGGUGAUAUUAUUUUGUUUAUACGGAAGGAUAGAUUCACUAAAAACCACAUGUCGUGAGACAAAAAAAUUUUUGCUUGUUGGAUGAAAGCAUUUAUAUCCCUUAUGUUGAUCACUAUAUCCUACAAAAAUACAUGGAACACUUUUUGGAUCAAAUUUAUUUCGUCUUGUAUCCCAAGUGUAAGGGAAACAUCGGGAGCCAAAAAUACGAAGAGAUGAAUAAAUAGGGUGGUUACCAUGUAAGCGGAAGUAUGGAGUGUCAUAGUUAAGAGCAGAAGAGGGCAGUCUAUUAAUGAGAUAAACAGCAGUUGUGAAGGCUUCAACCCAUAAAAAUAAAGGAGUACCACUAUGGAAUAACAUUGUCAUACCUAGUUCUCUUAUAAUUCUGUGUCGCCUUUCAACCAUACCUGUUUGUUCAGGAGUGUAAGGACAAGAUACCUGGUGAACAAUUCCUGUGGAGCGAAAAUGACUUGAUAAUUUUGAGUUAAUAAAUUCUCCUCCUCCAUCUGAGUGAAAGACUUUGAUCUGUUUAUUGAAUUGCCUACUAACAUACUUUUCAAAUGCUAUAAACACUGUUAGAAAAUCAAAUUUGUUAUGAAGAGGAAUUAUCCAUGUAUAUUUAGAGAAAUCAUCUACUAGGCAAGCAUAAUAUUUGAAUUUUCCAAUAGAUAAAACAGGGGCAGGUCCCCAUAAAUCACAAUGUAUUUUUUCAAAAACAUCAGUACUUGAAUGUUCAGAAUGCGAAAAAGGUAAGUUGCUAAGUUUUCCUAAUUGACAACUAUCACAAAGGUGCUCAGUCUUCAUAGCUCCUGUGACGUCAAUCAAUCCUGUAUUUUUUAAUAGCUGCACUGCAGAAGCUUGAGGAUGUCCUAGGCGUUGAUGCCAAACUGCUGCUGAUCCAGUUUUAAAACGAUAAGAAAAAUGUAAUUCUGGCGAGUUGUGCAAGACAUAAAGAUCACCCUUACGUCUACCUGUGAUCAGAGGUUGUCCUGUUUUCCGUUCCUUAACACAAAAAUCAACGUCAGAAAACUCACAGUUCACAGGAAAUUGUUUGGUAAGCUGACUUACUGAAAGUAAAUUUUUAGUUAAUUCAGGAACAAGAAGAACAUCAUUAAUAUGUAAUUUAGUAUUGUUUUGUUUAAUAAAUGAAUCUCCAAUACCAAUAAUCGGUAGAGACGAUCCAUUUCCAAUAACCACAGAAUCAGUUCCAAAAUACUUACGAACAUCAGUUAACAUACCUGGCUUACUUGUCAUGUGAUUCGAUGCACCAGUGUCUGAUGUCCAUUCCGUGUCAACCACGGUGCUUCCCAAAUAGCGGUUGCUCUUUUGCAAUAUUAGAAGCAUGAACCACAAACAAUACUCUUUUGAAUAUUAGAAGCAUGAACCACAUUGUUCAUAAUCGACUCUUUCAUAAAUGUCAUCCUUAACAUCACCUUUUUCUAGCCUAGGAUUUUGCACACUAAGAGCCUAUUUGACGUUGCAGUUGAAUCGUUGUUUUUCCAUUUUGAAAAAAAUUAUUCUUGCUUCAAUUGUUUUUGCGUUCUUGGAUUGUUAUGAUGUGUUAAUGUUAAAAAUGAAUUAAAAAAUAUAUUUUGAUAUAUUUCCAAGUGAAAAACACUUUACAACGCAACCGCUACCACACUUUUAAACAAUCACUAAGAAGUUAUCCAGGAAUAAUUGUUCUCCAUUUGCAGUUGUUGCAUACUCAAAAAAAUAUUAUGUCAAAACAUACAUGACAGGUGGCUCCAAUAUCAAUCCACCACUUUUUAAGAUUGUGCACCAGGUUUGCUUCUGACAUAACUACAACAAGCUUUGCAGCUUUCUCAUCAACAUUCUCAAUGAUUUUGUUUUGUGCAUUUUUUCCUUACAGAUAUGCCUUUGCUUUUUACAAACAAAACAAGUUUCUUUGAACUUCUUUUUGCCGACACUAUUACCAUUAGAACUCUUGAGAGAACUUGCUUCAUAUUUAAGUUCACCAGGUUAAGAAUGUUUAGGAAUCGGGUUUGCCAUCGAGACCGCAAAGAUUACCAGGUUAAAUUAUUUUGGUUUUUUCCCCGCAUGAUAGAAUGUUUAGGAAUCGGGUUUGCCAUCGAGACCGCAAAGAUUACCAGGUUAAGAAGUACAUUGAAAUUAUUAACAAUAGAUUUAUCCAUUUAUUAUCUCAAUAACAAGAUUAACUUUAUAAUUAUAUAUCACACUUAUAUAAUCUGAAAUAAUAUUAAUUAAAAUGAAUCCCAAAAAUUUAACACACUAAUUCUGCAAAAAACAAAUUUAAUAAACAAUUUAACUUUGCAACUAUGUAUUUAUUUAUUUGUUUUUCUAUGAGACUCAAUUUUUUUUUUAAUAAUCAUCAAGAGUAUAUUGAAAAGGCCAUAAAGCCAAUAGACAGUGAAAUUUUUAACAGAAACUCAAUGUAAUUUUCAACAAAAACUAUAACAAUACAAAUAAUUACAAAUAUUUUUCUUUCAACAUCAACAUAAGAAAACAAUAUGCACUCUUCUAAAGUUAUGAUAAAAAAAAUCUGAUUGAUACUUAUGUUGUUUUAUGAUUAAAGUAACAAUAGCAUCUAAAGAGAAUGAAUUAGGUGUUGCACUAAUUAUGUCAAAAUAAUGCAAGUAAACACACUAAACACAUAUAACACAAAAACCAACAAUAUAAUUCAAGUGCUUAAAGUAAAUAUAUAAGAAAAAAGAGAUUGCAAACUCGAUUUUUAACGUGAUUCGGUAAGCUUACAUCCACAUCUCAAGUACUAAUCAUACUUAAGUAUUGUACUUUUUUACUAAUCCAAGUGAAAGAUACAUUGCCCUUGAUGAAUUCACACCAAGAAAUUACACCACUUGAUGAAUUUUUCUCUUUAAGAUUUUUCUCCUAGAAUUCCGGUUAAAUAGAAUUGCACUUAAUAUAUAUUAUUUCACCAUAAUUAUUAUCCAGAUAUGCAACUUUUUUUCUUUCCGAUCAUCUGUUUUCUUUUUUUCAUAUCAAUACAACAACAAAGGAAAAUACCAUGCAAUAUAAAAUGUAUUUCCCUGUAGAAUCAAUGCAACAAGUUUACAGACAACAGACGACAAGGAAUUUAACAUAGUCAUGGAAUUUAACUGAAGAUAUAUACACUUUACUUUCUCUAUUAAAAUUAAACUAUUUUUUUUAAUCUAUGUCAAUAUAUAAUCAAUUUGGUCUUGAAGAUAUAUAAAUAUACACAGAACAAAUAUGUUAGAAAAUAAAUUGUUUAAGAUUGUUAGAGCACCUUAAAUAGUUCAUAAAAUUAUUCUUCCCUUUUACUAUAAUGAUGAAGUACAAGGGUUGUUGAUGAUGACCUCUUGGAUGGCUACAUGAAGCUUGUUCCGUUUUAAAUUUCAAGGUUAAUCUAUUGCUAUGAGCAUACGUGUCUCAAUUUAAAACUCGAGUUGCAACUGAACUUAAAUGAAUGGUGUUGGAUUUGGGCCUUCUAUUUGUUUUAACUUCUACAGGGUUGAAAUGAUAGUGAUCUUAAAGUAGAAAAGCAGCAGACAAAAAUCAAUUAACCAUAAUGGUGCAUGGUUUCCUAGUUUCUCAGCAUAAAGUUGAAUGUUUUGUUGACCUUUCUACAUCAAAAAUCAUAUAGACAGCUACUGCUGGCACUUGCAGUGGCCAAUGCAUACUGUAGAGUAUAUAUUGCAGUGUGAGAUAAGGUUAACUCGUUGCAUUUUCAUAUAUUGAAAGGAUUUCUCUUCUUUUCUUUGUCAAUUACAGCACAUGCAUAUAAGUGUUCUUCCUCAGAGUAAAUGCUAUAGUAAUGUUUUCACGGACUCCCCUGGUUUGCAACUGAUUCACUUAUAUAUCUUGGAACAUAGCCAUAAAUGAAAGGUUCUUCUAGUUCAAGAAAAUUAACCAUGAAGCUCGUAACUAGAAUUUUUAGACAGAAGGGUGGCCAAGCGAACUCCUAUACUCCGUACGUCUGGAAUAAUACAGGGAAAGGGUGUUUAUGUAUUUUGAUGUCUUAUAUUACUUGACCAACUCUUGCUUAUCUCAUUAUUUGUUUUAAUUUUUUGCUAAUAAUUCCACACAUUUCUGAUAUGGUGUGGUUUUUGAGUUCAGGGUUCUUGCUCAUUGCUGCUAACUUCUCUAUACUUGCCUGGUCAUUAAAAAUGAAACGUAAUGAUUUGCAUAUGCUGAAUGGAGACAUUAAAGAGGCAUCUUCUGUUUUCUGGUCAGGAGGGAUUACAAGAACUCAAGAAAUUUUCCAUAUGUUUUGAGGAAAAGAUUUAUACUACCACUACCAAUCAGGUAUUUGCCUAAUGUGAGGUUUAAUAAUUACGAUAUUAUCUAGACAUUAAUAUACACACGCAUUUAUGCUUGUACAAAUGUGUGUGUAGUGUAGUGUGCCUACACUUCCUCACCGUUCAUUCUGUAUGCAAGGCUGAUUGGGAGUUCACAUUAUUUUGUUAAUUCUCUUGACAAGUGUUUUAUUUAGAGUGACCAAGUUCAAGUACAAGGGAAGAGUGCAAAAAGCAAAUAGCGAAUCAAUACAUAAAUAAUUAAAUAAAAAGAGAGGAAACAAAAGUAUAUCAUAGAGAAGAUGAAAUGAUAGAGCAUAUAUCCAUUUUCCUCCUCUUGUAACAUGGAUUGCUCUGAGAUCUGAUGUUUUGUUAUUAAUAUCUGAUUUCAGUCUGAUUAUAUAUCUACGAAAAAUAUCUCUGGAGAUGCUUUCGAUGGAGAUCAGGUCUCAAAAUGCCAUGCCCACUGUCCCCAUGGAUCCAGCAGGUAAUAAUGCACCCGAGCAUUGAAUUUCUAAACAUCUUACCUUUUGUUUUUCUUCUCACAUUGUUAUCAAACUCUUUUACAUUUUAUUGCUGUAUAUUGCUAUGUAUAUCGCCUUGCUAGAAAAAUCUCAUGAUCACCUCCACGAUGCUAAUUCUAUAAUGCAUGUGAAGUGUUUCAUCCUUAACUUGUUAAGAACAAGGACUAUGAUGCAUUGCUAUUUUAUAUUUUAUGAUUGAGAUGGUAGAUUUUAAAGAUUUUCCUGUUUAGGAGAUAAAAGUAAGAUGUCACUUUUUUGCUUUUCUUCCGAGAGAGUAUUUGAUCCUUUUUUCGUAUAAAAUAAUGCUGGCAUGCAUUGAAUUUCCAAACAGCUUAGCUUUUGUUUUGUUUGUCGCAUUGUUAUCAAACUCUUUUACAUUUUAUUGCGGUAUAUUGCUAUGUGUAGGGCAUGCUUUAAUCAAAAAGUUGAGUAAUUGAUGAAUGCUAGGCAUGAAAAUGACAUAUUAUUUUUGUUUUCUGUCUCCUCCUUUUCUUUCCCCCACCUCAAAAAUUGUCAUGUUAUUUUUGUUUUCAGCCGCCUCUUCUUCCCCAAACCUUUAAAAUUGUUUAUAUUUGCUUUGGAAGCAUGACAAACUUCAUUGCCUCUCAGCUUAAGGAGAUUGCAGCAGGUCUCGAAGCUUCUGGGCAUUAGUUUAUCUGGGUAGUUAGAAGAAACAAAAAGAGUCAAGAAGACAAGGAAGAUUGUUUACCUAAAGGAUUUGAGGAAAGAAUGGAAGGCAAAGGGCUAUUAUCAGAGGAUGGACACUCCAAGUUUUGAUUCUUGGUCAUGAAGCAAUAGGUGCAUUUGUGACUCAUUGAGGAUGGAACUCAACUCUUGAAGGCAUAAGGCAAAUAUUUGCUGAGCAAUUCUAUAAUGAGAAGUUGGUGACUGAUGUUUUAAAAAAUGGAGUUAAGGAAUGGCUUAGAGUGCAGAGAUCAUGUUAAAAGUGAAGCUGUAGAGAAGGCAAUCACUCAAAUUAUGAUGGGUGAAGAAGCAGAGGAAAUGAGAGAGAAGAAAGCUGAACAAGGGAACGCAGUAGAUGAAGAAUAUGAGUUUACUGCAUUUACUGUCAAGAAUACAAACGUGAGCACUAAAAACUAAUUUGUACAGGAUACUCUUUAUAUAUAGAGUAGUAAUUAACUUCAUCACUUAUUUCUUUCUAUGAAUACAAUAUUCCUUAUUUAUAUAUAUUGAUUUGUUUCUUAUAUGAGGUAGCUGUAGUUUCCUUCUAUGAAAGAUCUGCCAUGGCUGUAGUUUCCUUCUUUGAGAAGUAGCCGUUGGUUGAGGUAGCUGUUGAUUCCUGUGAUUUCCAUGUAUGGUUAAUUACCAUUCUGAAUAGUAGCCGUUGGAGGUGUUAAUUCAGAAUGGUUGCUGACGAGAGUGAGGAUCCUGUGGUGGUGCUGCUGCUGUCUCCUGCUGCUGCUGCAGAGGUGUGUUGUUGCUGUUAAUAAUGAGGACUAGAGCAAAGAAGCUUUCAGUGCUUUGAUUUAAUAACUGCCAAGAAUGGAAGGCUGUUGAAGAUGGUGGAUCUUCUUGCUCCAAUUUCAAUGCUUUGAUUGAAUAACUGAGGUGGGGUAGCCCUUGAAACAGAGGCAUAGAACAUUUUGUUACUACUUAGUAGUGGUUUUGGCAAUUUAUUUUCAGAUAAGUCUUGAGAGUUGAAAGAGUAAUCACAGACGAGUCAAUGACCAAUCCAAAUCAGUUCCCUUCCUAAUGGUUCAGGAAUGACAAGUCCAGCUUAUUUAUUGAGCCCAAAUAACUUUUCAAAUAAAAAGGUUGAACUUAGAGACAGUACACUACAAAUUAAGCACCUAAUAGCUAGACAUACAAGACAAACAAUCAUCACAAACUAGGAACAAUCGUCUUCCCAGUAACAAAUUCACCUUCUCAAGUUGGAGAACUUGCGAAAACUAGCCACUACAAAAUAGUAGCAAGUAUCUAUGCAGUCUUCGAUGAAGUACGACCACCUGCGUCGCCAAUAUGGAUCGAUGUAAAGAACUACUACAAUUAUCAUCACCACAACUGUGUAACAUACACCGAAAUUGAUGUAGAAAAACUCCAUGUCUAUGAAACCAUCAUCUCCUUGUUCAUCAUAAGGCACUGGCUGUGAUGGCACUGGUUGUGAUGGCACUGGCUGUGAUGGCACUGCUUCCUCACUACAAUUGUUUCGCAAUGGAGGUCCACACAAAAAAGGAUUUCCUUCGUAACAACUUUCAUCAAAGGUCCCAAACUGAUAUUUUCUCUCGGGUGUGUUACCUGACAAGUUAUUAUGCGCCACACUAAAAACUUCCAGUGUGGUAAUAUCAGUAAGUUGUGGAGGGAUGACACCAUUCAAGUUGUUGUAAGAAAGAUCCAAACUCUCAAUCUGCUUUAGGUUUGAGAAUGUUGCAGGGAUAGAUCCAGUGAGAUUGUUGUGUGAUAAGUUUAAUGACAGUAUCUUACUUAAGUCUCCAAAUUCUGGUGGGAUUGCUCCUACGAAGUUGUUAUUGGAGAGAUCAAUACCAGACAUGUAGCUGAGAGUCUUCCCCUUGUAACGAUAAUACAUAUUUUUAGUUGUAAAUUCUAUCACUUCUUCUGUAAAGUUAAGCAGAAAACCCUUUCUCAAGUUGUACAUACUCUCCACUAGUGGUGGACCCAUUGUUUCAUAAUAAGCUUUUUCUAUGGACCUUGAUAGAACAUCAGCUCCGAGAUCUGCGAGCGUUUUCUGGGAACUUUCCUUGAAAGUAAGAUUGCCCAAACAGGAGGGUAGUGGACCAGAGAGUUGGUUUUGUGAAACAUCCAAAAUGCUUAAUUGUUCUAACAAGCAUAAUUGAACAGGGAGCUCACCAUCAAAGUGAUUAGCCCUCAGAAGAAGAACACUCAAUGAUGAAAGAUUGCCAAUCCAAUUUGGAAAGGAGCCGGUGAAGUUGUUAUCUCGAAGAUCCAUCGUAACCAGGGAAGAGUUGUUAUAAAAUCCAUAUGUUAAUGGACCGCUCAAUCUAUUUUCAGAUAGAUGCACAUGGGUUAUUUGUGGUGGACUGAAACAAGAUGGUAUAUAUCCAGACAAGUUGUUCUCAGAAAGGUCCAAAUAUUCAAGCUGGUUAAGCUUACAAAAGUCUCUUAGGAUCGGACCCUUAAAAUAGUUUUUGGACAAAUCAAUUGCGAUAAGGCCUGUAGAAUUGACUAACCACCUUGGAAGCAUGCCUGAAAAUUGAUUGUCACUCAAAUCCAAUGUUGACCACAUUUUCCACCCAUAUAAUAGAAAAUCUGAUAUCUGACCCCAAAAGUUGUUACCGUGUAGGUAGAGAUAUUCUAAGGUAGAAGAAUUGAAUACUGAGGUUGGUAAUUGCCCACCCAAAUUAUUGUUUGACAGCUUGAGAAACCAUAUUGUUGUUAGUUGUUCUAGUUUUACUAUAGACAAUUGAUUGUUGGAUAAAUCUAAAAUUUUCAAAGAGCUAAUAUUUCCUAAACAAGAAGGAAUACAACCUGUGAAUCCAUUAUUGGCCAUCCUUAAGCUCCACAUAUUUGGAAAGAUCAAACAAAUAUCUUUAGGAAUUUGACCGUUCAUGUUGUUGUUGGAAAUAUCUAAUUCGGUCAUAUUCAGAUAUGGGUGAUCUUGCAACUGUAAAGUACCGACAAAGGAGUUGUUGCUUAGAUAUAGUUGCUCCAAUCGUGUAUUGUUCUUAAGCAACCAUGAUGGAAACAUUGCGGUGAUGUUGUUGUGGGAGAGAUCAAGGACUCUUAUGUCGUAUUGGUAAUAAAGGAAGUCGGGAAUUUUUACAUUUAGUGCUUCUGUUGUUUUUGACAAUCGGAAAAAUACUAGUUGGAACUUUGGAAUCAAAUUAUCAAAGGCAGCAGGUUCUGUUACUAGCUUGUUGUUCUCACUGGAGAAGAACUUGAGGCUUGAGUGGUUCAUAAAAGGCUUCAUUGAAAUGGGAACUUCAAAGAGGUUAUUUGAUAGUGAGAGGAAUUCAAGGGAUGUGAGGUUGGUAAGAGGACCGGAGGCAAUAUUUCCAGUAAACUGGUUUUCAGAAACAUCUAAUAGUUGUAGAGAUGACAAGUUCCCCAAACAAUCUGGGAGUGAACCUCCUAAAUUAUUUCCAGAGAGAUCUAACUGCCUCAGAUUCUUUAAUUCACACCAACCUGUACAAUUUAUCUUGAAACAGUCAAAACAGUGUUGAAAGAAUCUUUUAUUGAUGAUAGUUGUUAAUUUACCUUGAGCGGGUAGGGUGCCAUGGAGGUCACAUUCAGCAACAGACAAAACUUUAAGAUCAGGCAAUGCUCCAAUGUUCUGGAGAAAGUUUAUUGGGAGAGAAGUACGAUCUAGAUACAAUUCUUCAAGGGUGCUAGAAUUGAAGAAAGUCCCUGUGAAAAAGAAAGAAGAAGAGAUAUGAUGAAAAUUGUGGUCGUACAGAAUAGCCAUUCCAUUUAAUAUUAUUAAUUAAGAUUUUAAGAAACUAAACUAUGAUUAACCUUGACUUAAAUUAGUAUCCUUGAGAGAAAGGGUCUUCCUUAAACCUAUGAUGUGUAGAAUUGAAAGCAGGCAAUCAAGUAAGUAGUGAAAUUAAGUGUUAUCUUGAUCGAGUUUUUAAACCUAUGAUAAAGAACUGAUAUUGAAUAGUGAGAUGAUUUUUGGAUAGAAACAACAAAUUGCCUGAAAAAUCCAGAGAUAUUGCCUGAUAAAUUUAAAUUUAAAGACUUUACCAUUGACGGUCGUCGAUCCUAGCAACAUAUUGCCUGAUAAAUUUAAAGACUUGAGAUAAGAAAGCCCACGCAGAUGUGAUAAAAUGCUGUCGUUGAAUAUAUUAUAGCUCAGGUCCAGGUUAUCGAGUUUCUCCAAAUGUGAUGAUAUGAUCUCAAAACCUGCAAGAGAGUUGUUUCUAUAAGCAAGUCAUAAUUACAUAAUAACUUUAAUCAAACAUGAUGAAAUACUAUCGUUGAUUAUUAAAUGAAUAUAAAGUCCUCAAUUUUCAUAGAAGGAGAUAUGAGAAGGAGAAAAGAAAAUGUUUCGAAGCUAAAUAAUUAAAAGGUUACCAUAGAAGCUACCUGAUCCUGUCAAUCCAUUGCCUGAUAGAUCCAAAGACUUGAGAGUGGAAAGCCCAGUCAUGCAUGACAAAAUGCUUUUAUCAUUAUUAAAUCGGUUAUCACUUAGGUCAAGAUUCCUCAGAUUUGAUGAUAGGACUUCGAAGCCUGGAAGAGAAUCAUCAAAGCAAGAUAAUUGACAUUAAACACCAAUCAACCUUGAUUUAUUUUAUGAUUAUAAGUGCAGAAACAUUGAACUAACCUUCAUUCUCCAAGCAACCAACCAAUCCAUUAAAUCGCAAUUCGAGACUUUGCAAUUCUUUAAAAGGCAGAAACAAAGAUGCGUUGAGAACCCAAUCGCCAAAGCUCUGAUCCCUUGCUCCACUAAGAGAGAGUUCGAUCACUCGCCUUGUAGUGUUAUCACACUCGAUCCCAUCCCACUCACAACAAUUACUACUGUCCACCCAAUGUCUCAAGGAAAAGCCAUCUGGGUCGAUCAAAGAUUGGAUCUCCAAGAGACCAAUUCUCUCUUCCUCCAAACAUCCAUAACAACGACCAUACCAUUCGCCAACCAAAGUCAAUAAUAUUGCUAGCAACAUCCAAGCCCCCAUUCUUUUCAUCAUCAUCUUAGAUAAUUCUAUGUGACAUCAAGAACGUAGAAUAUUGUUGUUUGUUAUGUGCCUUUGGGCAACCAUAGAGGUCCUAUUUAUACUACACUGUGGCCAUUUCCGUGACUUUGAGAUGUUUUCUUUAUUUAAUUUCCAUGACUUUAUCUGCAUAUCUUGUGCAGGUUCGGUGUUUUGAGAUUUGAAUAUUAUUUUAUUUCUUUUUGGAAUAUUCUUGGAUUUGAAUAUUAUUUUAUUUUAUUGUUUAGCACUUAGUCUAUUUGCAUUUAAUUAUAUUUUGGUUACUAAUUAUUCAAUUUAUAAAAAAAUAAAAUAAAAAAAUUGUUGCAGUACUUCAACAUAACAUAUAUUUGUUUUUAUGGUGGGAAAGGUAUUCUUGACUUGUUUUUAUUACAUUUCAAUAUUAAAUAUAUUUUUUUCAAUCGAGUCAAAGAUAUACAAUUUAUAUUAGAAUGAGAAGACUAAUCAAUUUCUCUAGUUUUCUCCCUAAUUAUAAAAUACAUCUAAGAUAAAAGGAAUUUAUUUCUUGAAAUUAAUGCAUUAAAAAAUAUAAAAAUAUUUUUUAAAAAUUAAAAUAGUAGUAAAAGAAAAUUUAGUUUUUGAUUGAAGUGUAAACUAGUGGUCAAUGAACAAAAAGAAACUUUAUUGAUUAUCUAAUGAGUUACUUCUCCAAAAAGAAUAUAUAUAUUAUUGAAUAUCUAAAGGAAACGAUUCAUGAAACUCCGCCUAAUAUAUAUAUAUAUAACAGAGAAAUUGUCGAUAAUAGCAAUCAUUUUCUUAUCUCUUGUAUCAUUCAUAUCUUCCACAAAUCUUAAGUAAUUGAUGAGAAAGAUCGUGAACGCGGAUGCUUGACUUGUUGUGUGGCAUUUUGAUUUUUAAACACAACCAUGCAGUGAUUUCCUGGUGAUUUCCUUAUGCAUACUGGUGGUCCUUCAGAAUCUUGGAGGACCACCACAAGCCAAUCUAAAAAAAUGCUAAAAGUAAUCUUGAGGGUUGUAACUUAACUGGUCAGGUCCUGAGUUUGUUCCCCGAAGAUCACCAGUUCGAGUCCCACAAACCUCAGAGCCACUUGAGGCUUACAUGAUCAUUAACUUCAGGGCUCGUGGGAUUAGUCGAGAUGCACGCAAGCUGACCCGAACACCCACGUUAAUAAAAAAAAAUGCUAAAAGUCAAAACACACAAGCCAUAUAAAAAUCACACGACAGCCAAUUGCCUUAUCUUGUGAAAAAAAGAUCAAAAAAAAAAAAAACAUUCUCUUAGGUAUGCAAUGACUGCCUAUCUUCUCAUGGGGAGCAAAAAUCAGUAGCCUCCCAUGGAAUCCUAAUAAACCUUUCUCUGUGCUCUUCUAAGAUAUUAAAAAUGUCAAACAUACAUCAAUAAUCAAGAUUUGGGUCCUAGAUCAGACAAGUUAGCUUAUGUUGACUGGUGUUAAUCUAAAAUUGUAUCAUUUUAAGAAGAAAAAAAACUGUGUAGUUAAAAAAAAAAAACUAGUUUUUGACUGAGUUGAUUAGGUUCUUGGUUGAUUUAUCUGGUCGAUGAGGCUUGAUUGGGUCAACUCUCACUUGGUUUUUUCUAAACCUGAAUCCGGUCAGAUUCCAGAUUAAAAUGGUAGGCUUGAAUUAAAUUUAAUAACGCUGAUUAAAACCACAUUGUAGAAAAAAAAAUUGAAUUGCAUAAAAGUAAUUAACCGAAAACUUAUAUUCCUUCUUAUUGUCAAAGAACCAUCUCAACCCUUAAGCUAUUAGGUGAGGUCCCAAGAUAUGAUUUAUAUUAUUCUUUAACACACUCCCUCAAGUGAAAGCCCUUUGGGCUUGAAACUUGCAAAUGUCUACAUUACCUUGUGCUUGAUUUUUAUCAAAUUAAUGGGGGGUGAGAUUCGAACUCGUGACCGCUUGGUCAUCAAAGCUCUGAUAUUAUAUCAAAUAAUCACCUCAACCCAAAUUAAAACUUAAACUAUUAGAUGAGAUCCCAAGUUAUGAUUUAUAUUAUUCUCUAAGAACCCAUAUCAGUUUUUUUUAAGGAAAAGUAUGAAUCAAAGGUUAACGCUAGGCAGCUCACUUUGCAUGACAAUGACGGAUAUAGAAGACUUGCUACUUUCUUUAUGGAAAUAACGUGUGGAAAAUCAUGCCUUAAUGUUGAUGGUGAUGGCAAAAACAACCAGUAUCGUUGAUAAAAUGAACCACAAAUGAUAUUAUUUCUAAAAUACUUUUUUUCAUUGUCAUGACAACAAGUCUUCUUCUUUUUCUUUCUAAAGAGUCUAUUUUUUGUAACACAACCAACAAGUAAAAUGGAUAGGAAUUUGCAGUGUGAGAUGGGUCUGUGAGACUUUUGCCAUCUGCAUUUUUUCCAUGAUAUAGGCCAGUGAGAUAGUCCAUGAAACCAUUGCCCUGUAAGCAUUUAUGAGUUCGUGAGACCAUUUCCAUCUGCACAUUGGUCCCUGAAACCGUUGCCAUCAUGCAUUUUUUCCACGAGAUGGGUUCGUGGAACAUACUUUGGUUUAAUUGGGAAUGCUGUUAUUGAUUGAAAACUUUCUAAUUAAAAUAAAUUUGAUUAUUUGAUUGGAAGAAAUCCUUAAAUGUUAUUAACACAAGAAAUCAAUUUAUUUUCUUAAGAAAAAAAUAUUGUAACCAUAUAAGUAAUUUAUUUAUUUAUUUUAAUGAAAUAUAAAAUAGUUUUAAAUAAUCUUGUGGUAUAUUUCUUGUCUUUAAGAGCUAUGAACUUAUAUCUCAAAACUUGAAAACUAAUAUAAAGAUAUUAAGUGAUCAUUGAGUGUGUGUGUAUGUAUAUAAUCCUUUUCAAAACAAAAAGGAUUUUGAUGGAGAUCAGGACAUUGCAACAAAUUAUCCACGAGAUGGGUCGGUGAUACCAUUGUCAUCAUGUAAUUUUUCCCACGAGAUGGGGUCGUACGCUUGGGGCUCUAAAAGCUAUGGUUUUUAAUUUCAUCAGGUAUAUUUUAUUUCAAUUCUAAAAAUGAAAUAAAUUAGAAGAUAUUUCAUCUUGUUUAGAAUAUUAUCUCCUUACAUGCAUGAAUUUCACCUAAAUUUUGACCAGAAUAUAUCGGUUCUAUUCCGGCCAUUCUAUUAUGUCCAAAUAAUGUUUUGUUUUGCUUUUAUAUAUAUAAAAAAUAUAAUUUAUUUUUAUGAUAUCAAUUAUACCUUUCAAUUUGACUAUUAGAUUAGACUGAAAUUUUAUAAUCUCUUAAUAUGUAUUUAUAUCACAAGUUAAAAUUUUAGAGCAAUCAGAGUUUAGAAAGACUUGUGAAAUUACUGUUGAUAUUUUCAUAAUUUUAUUUAAAUUCAUAAUUUUUUUUUGAAAUGUUAUUUUUUGUGUUUUUUUAGAUUGAUUUUUUUUAAUUUUAUAAUUUAAUAAUAAAUUUAUUAAAAAUUAAAAUUCAUAAUUUAUUUUUAUUUAUUUUAUUUAAAAUUAUUAUAUUCUCAUUACUCAUAUCACGAAAAAAACCUUUGCUUUAAUUGGGAAUGCUGUUACAAGUAAUUGGACUCCGUGGGAUGGGAGACCGUUGCCAUCAUGCAUUUUUUUUCCACAGCAUGGGUCCGUAAAGUCCUCUAUAAAAGCUUAAACCUCCUUACUAUCCUCUAUAUCAAUUGAUCAGCAUUUAUAAGAUGGGGCUGUUCCUUCUGAUGCUGAUGGUUUUAGUAAUGAUGGUUUCUUGCAAGGAUGGCUGCCUCUUGGAGUAUAUUGACUUGAGAAUUAAUUGUUUUGAUAACAGUAUUUUAUUAUUUGUGGAGUUAUUUCUAUUUUUUAAAUUAUUAUAUUUAGAUUAUAAUAGAGUGAAAGAGUUAAUAGGUUUAAGAGAUUAGGAAAAAGCUAAUAUUAAUUAUAGUUAGGGACCAAACUGGAAUUUUUGCAUAUUUUUAAGGGUCAAAUUGUAAUUUUAUUAAAUUGAUGAAGGACCAAAAUGAAAAUAUCAUAUUUAUAACUAUACUGGAAUUUUGCCCAUAUUUCUUCUUUAAUUUUGCCUAGAAUCUCGGAUUAUGCUCUAGGGACCAAUCUGUAAUUUUUUUCAAAGUUUGGGGAUUAAACUGAAAUUUUCACAAAUUGAGGUACCAAGCUGAAAUUUUUUCAUCUUCAACCUCAUACCCAGAUUUUUCACAAAUCACCUAUUGAUAUAUCAAGAUUUUUAACUAGAUGAGGGUUUAGGUCAUAGAUUGGCCUAAUACUCAGAUCAAGAUUUGGAUCAAGUUAGCUUAUUGACUAGUGUUAAUAAAAAAUUGUAUUAUUUUAAGAUUUAAUUUAAUCAAAUAGAUUCAACUCCCAUGCCAUUCCACAAUUAAUUUAUUUUAUUAUGAUUUAGUGUUAUGUUAACCAGGCAACAUUUAAUUACCAUGAUAUAAAAUACAAAAAUAGUGGGAACAUAAAAAACAUGCUUUUAUAUAUUUUUUAUUUUAAAAGUACAAAUUUUACUCUAAGACUAUUGUAAAAAGAUAUUUAUUUUAAAUUUAUUUAUAUUUUUAUAAUUCAAAAAUUAAAAAUAAAACAGAAUUAAUCCAUACUCAUCUAAAAACAAUUAACUCUAACAUCAUUAUUUUAUAACAAAACUAGCAAAGAUAAUUUAUUAAUCACUAAGUUUUCUGGUUAUAAAUACAUUAGUAAUUGUCUUCGUCUCUUUUGUAUUUCUAACUAUUAACGAAUUGAAUAUAUAUAAUAAAUACCGAGUGAAAGAAUAAAUUUAGUUGUAUAAUGUACUAAAUAUUAAAUAGGUGACUUUAGAAUCACCAAGCAGUGAAUCACACGGGAAGAUUGAAAGAAUAAUUAAAGUGAUUUUAGUAACCGACAAGUUGACCCCAAGUCAAAAGUCUUUUGUGGAAAAACAUGAAUAAAAGGUUGAGGGUAAGGUCAUUGCUAUCAAGCGUUUUUUUCUACGAGAUGGGUCCGUUACACCAUUUCCGCUCAAGCUUGAGAAGUGAUGAUAUAUGCUUUAUUUUCAACUUGUAUAAAAAAUAAAUUUUAAUGUAGUGUGUUAGUGUUAAAUAAUUAUCUUAAUCUAAUAGUUUAAGCUGUUAGAUAAGGUCUCAAGAUAUGAUUUAUAUUAUUCUCUAACACACCUCUCAAGUAAAAACCCUUUGGACUUGAAACUUGUUCAGGUUCACAUUACCUUGUGUUUAAUUUUUAUCAAAUAAAUGAAGAUGGUGAGAUUCAAACUCGUAACUGUUUGGUCAUCAAGGCUCUGGUACCAUGUUAAAGAAUCAUCCCAACCCAAUAGCUUAAGCUGUUAGGUAAGGUCCCAAGAUAUAAUUUAUAUUAUUCUCUAAUACACCUCCUACUUUGUGUUUAAUUUUUAUCAAAUAAAUAGGGAUAGUGAGAUUCGAACUCGUGACCGCUUGGUCAUCAAGGCUCUGAUACCAUGUCUAAAAACUAUCUCAACCUAAUAGCUUAAACUGUUAGGUGAGGUCUUAGGAUAUGAUUUAUAUUAUUCUCUAACAAUAUUUUCUUCACUUUCUAUAUAGUUUUACCUUACACUAAUAUUGUCAGAAAAUGAUAUAUAGUUCUUGUGUUAUCCUUCAAGAUUUCAAUUGAAAAGGAGGGUCGUAAAAAAUUUAAUUUUUAUAAACAUACCCUUAACUUAAUUUGGAUGUGGAUAAUUGUUUGCAAUAUAUUUACAUCCAAUAUAAACAAUUCAUCAAUGAUCAAGUCGGCAUUGGUUAGCUAAAAUAUUGAAAAUACUUACUCUUUUUUUUUUUUUGGCCAUGCAGUUCCUAUAUAUAUAUAUAUAUAUAUAUAUAUAUAUAUAUAUAUAUAUAUUAGUUGAAAUUUCAUGAUGUCCAUUAAUCCUUUUAAAUUAAAGUCAAGUUAUUAAUUAUAUCCUAUAAAUUUCUAGAAAAACUAAUUCUCUCAAAUUUCGUCGUCUUUUUUACUAACUAUAGAAGGCGAUUGCUACAAACUAAAAUUUCAAGAUGAAAUUGAGAAAUCUGAAGGAGCAAACUGAGAAUCUACCAAAAUCUGACCAAGUCGUUUCACUAGUGGUUUCAAUUAAAAAGCUGAGAGGCAGGCAAUUUCCCAGAAACCCUCUUGGACCCCAUAAAUGAAAUAAUGACACAUGCCGGGGAACAUAGAAAAAUGAGCCUAUAAUCGAAUGAUCAAUACCGGCGAAAGAAAUCAAAUGGAGUAUAAGGUGAAGAGUAAGCCAUCGACAGCACUUUGGAGGCUAUAAUCGAAUCAGCUGCUUCUAUAUAUGCAAUGGGUCGCAUCCCAACUUGCAGACCUGAUAUGAAAUUGUUAUGAUGUUCGUUCUGUAACUAUCAAAACUCACUUAAUUCUGUAGUUUCCAUCUCUUUUUUACUUAACAUGUGAUGUUUGAGAGUGAAGGUAACUAUUGCUUUUUAAAAUAAAAUAUAAUUUAUGUGGUAUCUGAAUACAUAGGAACAAUAUCUGUGUGCCUCAUGCAUGCUUUUCAAAAUCAAGUUUGGGGUUUUUUACACCCAAAAAUCUAUUUUUCAAUUAUGUUUUCACCAAAACAAAAGCAACUAAAAAUCACUUAAUUAAAAGAUCAAAGUGAAUCUAUUUACUUUCUCAUACAAAAAUCAGUCCAAAAAUAAAAAAUAACUUAAAACCUAAAUUUUCUGAUAUCAUAUCUACUUUUUCAUGUAAUUUUAAGGUGAACACUCGAAUAAAACUACUUUUAUCUAAUGGACUAUUGACACAAAGAUUGACUAUUUUGAGGGCCAAAAUUGAUUUUAACCGAGAUUUUAUCUUUUUACCACUAGAAUUUAGCUACUCUCUUUUCUCUUUGAAACUAAAAAAAUAAAAAUAAAAAAAUGACCUUUUGAGUCAAAAUUGAAUCUUACAAAAUUAUAGGGAUUGAAGAUCUAUCAAUUGGAAGUAAGAAAAUCCAAGCUAACUUUUCGCAUUAAUUUUGAAAAAGCCACCUAGUGCCUUUGUUUUUUUCACUUUGAUCCCUUAACUCUCAAUCAUGCCCUUCAUCAAUAAAUUGAAAGAAAUUUAUUGGCGAAAUAAAUUUAUUUCGAAGCCCUUCAUCCUUUGCAAAAUUUACAAGAACAUACCUGAAAGUCCUUGUUGAGAAUCUUGGAGAUAGAGCAAAAUAGAGUGGCAAACAUUGAUACAAUGAACUGAACUUGCAGGACAAGGUCAAAAGUCAUGGCCUUGCCAGCCUUCAAGAAAGUAAACUCCAAUGCAGGCAUUAGAAACCCAUGAAGAGCUGCACCACCAAUAUUCAUGAAGAAACCCAAAAUAUAUUUUCCUUUAGACUCCCACUUGGUCUAUCUCCGUUCAUGUGAAAUACAAGAAUAAUAGACCCAAGGGUCAUCAAAAUCACCGCGUUUAUUCAGUAAUGUGUGAAGCCACUGAGCUAAAGAAUAAAUAAUCCAAGAAAAUUCCACCAAUUACCAUUAAUGUAAGGAAUUCCUGCUUCUUUUUUAGAAGAUCUUCUGGUUGUAUUUGGUUAAUAUCUCAUGCAGAAGAGACACAAAUAUAUAAAAGACAAACAAGUUUAAUUAAAGAGAUAGAAACAUAAAAUAAAUAUGUUUAUAAGAUAAUUUUAGAGUAAAUUUCUAUAUAUAUUUUCAAAUAAAAAACACAAAGAGACAUGUUCAGUACUUGUAUCAUAAGUUUUAUUAUCAUCAAACGUUUGCCUUUCACUACUUUUGCAUGUCUAUAAAGGAAUUUGAUUUCAUUCAAAACACAAUCUAAUAAUUUUGUAGAGAUAAAGAAGACAAGCACGUCGCAAACUGAUCAAUGGCCAUUGAAGUAGACAAAACAGUACUGACUAGCACCACCAGCUUUUACUUGCAUUUGGCUUGAAAGACGAGUGGACUACAUCAAGCAAAUAACAAAAAAAAGCAUGUAAAGAACUAUGAUUAAUUUAAUAAAAAGUAUCUUGCAGUAUUAGAAGGUUUCAGUGAUAUGCCUAUUAAAACAUAUUUGUCAAGUGAUUCUUUAUCCUACAUUGGUUAUAUAUUUAUUCGACGUGGUGGUACUAUUUGUCGUGAAUCCACAAAUACUAUUCAUCAUCAUAGUGUUCAUCUACAUGCAGAUCACUAUGGAUUGAAGCAGUAAUAUUUUUAAAAAAAUUUCAAUUUGGUUCUUAAAAUUUUAUUUCACAUGAUUUUAGCUCUUUUAAACCCAAAUUAUCACUCAAUUGCAUAUUUUUUUGGGAGAGAUGGUUGAAUUAAAAAACAUAGGACUGAAGUGAAAAAACAGGUGAAAUAGAUGGUGACCUUGAAAUUUCUCUUAAAAGUUCAUUUUUAUCCCCCAUAUUUUUUUUAGCUCUUAGGUGACCGGUCCCUUUAAUUUUUAAAAAUUUAAUUUUAAUAUUAAACUUUAUUUUUUUUAUUUUUCAGACUUUUUUAUGGGAGGAGAGAGAAAGUUGUCGUUGGUGAUGAUUUCAGCCAUUGAAAUAAUCAAUUUUUGUCUCAAAUAAUUCCAUCUAAAGAGAAGAGUUUGAAUUAAGUGUUUUGUUUUACCUUGAAAAUACCUAAAAAAUAGAUCCGAGCUCAAGAAGAUUUUUGAAUUCAGGUUGAUAUCAGAUUUUAAGGUGUUUUUUUUGUGUUUUUUUUAGUCCAUUAAUUGUUUAACAAGAUUUCUAAGGUAUUUUUUAGGAGUUUUAAAUAACAAAUAGAUUAAAAAUAAGUUUUUAGAUAAAAAAAUAUAAACAUCAGUUUUCCCGCUACAACAAUGGAUGGAAUCUAGAAAUCUAGAUGACACAUUAUCUUUUUUAAAAAAAAAAAACAGUGUCUGACCCCUUAGCUUAGAAAAUAAAAGCCCUUUGAUUAGCAGGCUUGUCAAUGUCUAAUCUCAUUCUUUCUUUCUUUUUUAAUUAGUACCUUUUUUAUAUAAUUUUUUAUUUUAUGUUUUACUAAUACAUCAUCUAUUGUUUUGGCUUAUUUAGAAUUUUUUAAAAUGAAAAUAGUUUAUUUAAUUAUAUUGAUUGUAUUUAAUUUUUAAAAAGGUUGAUAUGAUUUAUCUGUAAUUUUUUAUAUAAAUAUUUAUAUAUGGAUUAAAUUUACCUUUAAAAAAUUAAUUAAUUAUUUAUUAUAAUAUUUUUAAUAUGUACAGCCUUGUAUAAUAUUUUUUUCUCUCUUAUUUUAUUUAAUAAAUCUUAUAUUCUGGACAUAUCAGUAUGGUUGGUUAGGUUUGGUUUUGGGGUGAAAAAAGAAAAAUCCAACCACAUCAAAUUAAAUGUUAUGGUUUGUUUUAAUUCAAUUCAUUUUUUUAUUAAGAAACCCAAUUUCAUUCUUGGGUUUUUUAGUUGAUUUUUGUAGAUAGACUCUGAUGUAAUAGGCAUGGUUGUUUUUGAGGUUUUUUUAGUUUUUUAUUUUAAAAAAGCAAUUGUUUGGUUUCAUUCAGUUUAAUUUUUUUUAAUCUCUUAAAUCUAAAGCCAAUUUAAGAUCUUUUAAAACUUUCUAAUCGGUUUUUUUUUUAAUUUUAUAUUGGUUUUUUUUUUCAAUUAAUUUUAUGAUAAGAAUCUCGUUAUAAGAAGUAAAAGGAAAAAAAAAAAAAAACAAUUACAUGUCGCAGCCAUGUUUUCACAUGGCCUCCGUAAAGUUCGAACAUUAACAUGGUCUCUAGACAAUAAGAACCUGUUUGUAAGUUUAGCAGAAUUAUUUUUUAAAAUAUUUUCUAGUUUAAAAUAUAUUAUAAUAAUAUCUAGUUAAUUAUUUUUAACAUCAAUAUAUUAAAACGGUCUAAAAAUACUAAAUAAUUAAUUAAGUUUUUUUAUAAAAAAAAACCGGUUCAACUACGGGGCUAAGGAUGUGUUUGGAAGUAUGGUAGUAGUAAUUUUUCAAAGUGAUUGUACUUGAAAAUGUAUCAAAAUAAUAUUUUUUAUUUUUUAAAAAUUAUUUUGACAUCAGCCCAUUAAAACAAUACUCACAAAAUUGAGCAUCAACCUAAAAAUAAACACUUAUUUGAGACAAUUAUCCCUCGAAAGCAAACAAAAAGUAAUAAUGCAGUUCAUUUCCUAACCAAUUCAAUGUUAAAUGAUAAAAUCAAAAUAUUAAAAAUAAUUAAAAGACAAAAAAAACAUAUUAUAAUGGUGGGUAAACUCGUCAAACUUGUGAAUCGGGUAAGUCGAGCUAAUAUGACAAACCUGUAAAUUGGAUCAUUGACUCCAUUGGAAUUAUAAUUUGUUUUUUAAAGCUAUUUUCUUAGUUAACUAUAUGAUAAUAAAAAUAGAUAAUUACAAAAUCAAACACCAACUUAAUACCAAAAUGUUUUUAGAUCAUGAUAACCUCAUAAAAUGUGAAACAAAACCAAUUAUGAAACUAAAUUCACAAUUAAUCCAGUAUCCAAGGAUGAAAAAAAAAACUGAUUUAAAAAAGUUAAUCUUGUCAACUAGCCAAAUAUAUCCAUGGAAUUUAUAAAGUUUAAUAACAUAAUUUUUUCUAAAAAUUAUUUUUUUAACUAUAUAAGGAAAAAAUAGACUAUAAAAAAGUCAAGUUUAAUUAUAAAAAAAAAACCCCACCAAACUUGUAAACUAGGGCAACUUAGAUUACCUAGCAAACUCACAAACCAUGUUAACCUUAUAGAAAUGUAAAAUAAAAGAAACAAAUUAUAAAGUUAAAUUCUCAACCAUCUCAAUAUUAAAAGAUAAAAUUGAUAAAAAAAAAAUUUGAGAAAAAAAUCAUAACAAAAAUUAAAAAAACAAAAACAAAAAUGAAAGAAAGCAAAACAUUAUGGAUUACUAUUGUCAUUCACAAUACAAUGUGUGUGGGUGAACAAUGAUUUUCUCACACCCUUUAAUUUUUGUUAUUUUAUAAAGUUUAAUAACAUGACUUUUCUCUAAAAGUUUUUUAAUUAUAUGAGAAAAAAAUAGACUAUUAAAAAAGUCAAGUUCGAUUUUAAAAAAAAAUACAACCCACCAAACUCGUAAACCAGGGAACCCUAGGGUACUUUGGCAAACUCAUAAACUACACUAAUCCCAUAUAAAGGAAAAAAAAACAAACAAAUUACGAAACUCAUUUCUCAACCAUCUCAAUUUUAAAAAAUAAUAUUGACAAAAAUAGAUUUUAAAAAAAAUCAUAAUAAAAUUUCAAAAAAAAAGAAAAAAAAAAGCAAGACACGGUGGAUUAUUAUUGUAAUACAUAGUGUAAUGUGUGCUGGGUAAACAAUGGUUUCCCCUACAUCCUUUAAUUUUUAUUACUUCAUAAAAUUUAAUAAUAUGGUUUUUCUCUAAAAUUAUACUAUAAAAAAGCCAAGUUCAAUUAAAAAAAAACCUCACCAAAUCCAUAAACUGGGGUACCCUGAGUUACCUCGACAAAAUCGCAAACCACAUAGAAAGAAAAAAUAAAAAGAAAAAAAAUUAAAUUUAAAUUCUCAACUAUCUCAAUAUUAAAAAUGAAAUCAAUAAAAAUAAUUUUUUUUAAAAAUCAUAUAUAAGAAAAACAAUGAAAAGGAAAACAUCAUGUGUUCAAGGGAAAAAAAAAACAAAUAAUAUGAGGAAAUAUUAUAGCAAUCUAUAAUGUUUUAUGAGAAUAAUUGCAGUGCUAUCCCCAUAUAUUUUAAUUUUUCUUAUGAUAAUAAUAAUUAUAGUCUCUCAUGUCUCACAACUUUAUUUGUUUUUCUUGAAUAAGUGCUAAUGUUCUUUGAGGGGUCCAAGCACCAUAUAUUGAAAGAAAGAACUAGUUCAAAUUGAAGCACUAUUAGUUUUAGAAGCACCAUGAAGAUUCAGGCGUGUAAAGAUAUCAAAGGCUCCUGCCACAUGUCAAAAGAUUAGAGAAUGAAAUUGUUAGAAUACUGUUAGUAACUGUUAGUAUUGUUUGUCAGUUAAGAGAAUUAGUUAGCAUUGUUUCAGUGAAAUAAAAAGAGAAUAGAUAACGUGCAUAACCUUUCUACUAUAGCAUAUAUAAACAUGUCAGAUAAGAGAACUGUAAUCAAUUAAUAAAAGAAUCAGUGCUAAAGUUCUUCUUCUUCUUCUUCUCUGUUUAACAGAAUCACUCUCUGCUUUUCUUCAUCUUUAUUCUCUGUUUUUCUUCAUCUCUAUUCCUUUUCUGUGUAAAUCUUACUGUCCUCACAAGGCCCACAUCUUGCUUAUAAUACCCAAGAUCCUAGCACCUUGUAUUUAUAAACGCUAGACACAGCUGCUGUUUCAAUGAAUAAUUCUCCACGCUAUUAUUGAUAAAUAUUGUGUGCUAUAUAUACAGCAGUGUGGAAAUUCAGUUUAGGAAAAAUAUAAAUGGUAAUGCUAAAACUAUGCUAUUACAAUAUACAGCUGCAGAAUUCAAGUUUGGAAUCGGCUCCAAAUAUAGCGUUAAUGGCAGAAUCUUUGCCAUGAUUUUCGGCUACACCUUCUCUGUUUUGAUUUGAGCAGAUUCUCUGCUAGUUUCCCUGAUAGUAUUUAAAUGAAAGAAAAAGAGAAGGGCAAAAGACUGCCAUGAGGCAACCUCAAGUAUCAUACACCUCUGUUUUUGUCCUUUUCAUUUUUCACGUGUUUCUCACAAGAAGCGAACAUAAAGUGCUGGAAGGAAUUUUUUGUUGCAGCGUGAGAUAAGUUUAACUCAUUGCAUUUUCAUAAAUUAAAGGGCUUUGUCUUCUUUUCUUUGUCAAUUACAGUGCAUGUAUAAAAGUUUUAUUGCUCAGAGUAAAUGCUAUUGUAAUGUUUUCGCAGAGACUCCCCUGCUUUGCAACCAAUUCACUUAUAUAUCUUGGAGCAUAGUCAUAGCCAUAAAUGGAAGGUUCUUCCGGUUCAAGAAAAUUAACCACGAAGCUCGUAACUAGAAUUUAGAGUGACCAAGGUCUUUUUCAAGAACAAGGGAAGUGUGCAAAAUGCAAAUAACGAAUCAAUACAUAAAUAAUUAAGUAAAAAGAGAGGACACAGAAGUAUAUCCUCAGACGAUGAAAAUACAGAAAGCCUAGCAUAUUAGAAAGAGCAUUUAUCCAUUUUCCCCCUUCUCUUGUAACAUGGACUGCUAAGAAAUCUAAUGUUUUGUUAUUGAUACGUGAGUUCAGUCUGAUUAUCUGUUGUGCAUACUGGACCGAAAGCAAACACAAAUAAAACACAAACAAGCAGAUUUACGUGGUUCCCCAAAACCGGGUACGUCCACGGAGGCAGCAGAUUGUAUAUUAUUGGAGGAAUGAUACAAACACUCAACUCAACCCAGUACAAUCCCACAAAACCCAGUGUUUCACUCUUACACUCGGUGUUUCUCUCAAAUCUGCACUCUUUCACUCUCACAGUUGCACUAUUUUCUUCUGCACACUUGCACUCACACUGCACUCUCUCGUUCCUCUCUUCUAUCUUCUAUCUUUCACACACAUUUACAGGAGAAAGGAAAGCAUAAAUAUAAUGGAUGAAAAGGAGAGGGUGGUUGAAAAGGAGAGAGUGGUUGAUGGUUGUUGAGAAAAAAUAUUGACAAUUAGCAAAUGUUGACAAUUUGCUACAAAUCUCCACCUUGGCAAGAUUUUUCCAUUCAAUCCUCGUGAACAAUCAAUGCUACCUCCAAUGCGUCAUAUGACGCUGCACCCUGAAGGUGCUCAACACCGAGAGAUGUUGACCAAGUCCAAACAAUGUUGGAACUUGAUCCCUGAGACACAUUUUGUGAGCAUGUCAGCUGGAUUAUAUGCGGUACCAAUCUUCUGUAGCAGAAUAUCCCCUUCAUCCACAAUUUCUCGAACAAAAUGAAAUCGAACAUCGAUGUGCUUGGUGCGGGAAUGAUGAACCUGAUUCUUUGCAAGACAAAUAGCACUUUGACUAUCACAAUGGACAUCCACGUGCUCUUGAACAAUUCCCAAAUCUUCAAUCAACCCAUGUAACCAAAUAGCUUCCUUGAAAGCUUCCGUUACUGCCAUGUACUCUGCCUCAGUUGUUGACAAAGCUACUGUUGAUUGUAACGUUGACCUCCAACUUACAGGCCCUUUAGCAAGUGUAAACACGUAGCCUGUUGUGGAACGACGUUUGUCUAAGUCACCAGCAUAGUCCGAGUCCACAUAACCAACUAAAUUUUGCCCAAGUCUAUCAUCCCUCUCAAACUUCAAACCAAUAUCAGUUGUGCCAUGAAUGUACCGUAGAAUCCACUUAACUGCCUGCCAGUGACCCUUUCCCGGAUCAUGCAUAUACCUGCUCACCAUACUGACAGCAUGUGAAAUAUCUGGUCUCGUACAAACCAUUGCAUACAUUAAUGCACCAACUGUAUUUGCAUAAGGAAUUUGAGCCAUAUGCUUGCGCUCUUCCUCUGUGCGUGGAGACAUUGAAGCACUUAGCUUAAAAUGAGGAGCUAAAGGUGUGCUUACAGGCUUGGUCUUACCAUCUACCCCAAAUCUCUGUAGAAUUUUCUUCAAGUAUUGGGUCUGUGUCAAACAGACUGUGCCUUUUCUUCUGUCUCUCUGAAUCUCCAUGCCAAGAAUCUUCUUAGCUUCUCCAAGGUCCUUCAUUUCAAACUCAGUGCUCAGUUGAGCUUUCAGUCUAUCAAUCUCCACCUUGCUCUUCGAUGCGAUCAACAUAUCAUCCACAUAUAAGAGCAAAUAGAUGAAAGAACCAUCAAGAAGUUUGCGAAAAUAUACACAGUGAUCAAACUGACUCCGUGUGUAUCCAUGUUCUGCCAUGAACUUAUCAAAUCGCUUAUACCACUGGCGAGGAGAUUGUUUCAAUCCGUAUAAUGACUUCUUCAGUUUACAAGCCCAAUUCUCUUUCCCAGUGACUUUGAAACCAUCUGGCUGAGACAUGUAAAUUUCCUCUUCCAAAUCUCCAUGUAGGAAGGCAGUUUUCACAUCAAGUUGGGCUAACUCCAAAUCAAACUGUGCAACCAAGGCUAACAGAAUACGGAUUGAUGAAUGCUUAACAACUGGAGAGAAUACCUCAUUAUAAUCUAUCCCCUCCUUCUGAGCAUAGCCUUUUGCUACCAAUCUCGCUUUGAAUCGGAUGUUGUCUUUUCCAGGAUUACCUUCCUUCUUGGCAUAUACCCACUUGCAACCAAUUGUCUUCUUUCCUUUAGGGAGUUGUACCAAAUCCCAAGUCUGAUUCUUAUGGAGAGAUUUCAUCUCUUCAUCCAUUGCCUCUUUCCAUUUUGCACUUUCUACACUCUGUACUGCUUCUUUGUAGGUGUAGGGGAUUCCAUCAUCAAUCACCGGAAGUGCAUAAGCCACCAUGUUACAAUACCGAGCAGGUUUCUUGAUAACCCUUUUUGGUUUACUCGUUGCAAUGGAUUCUUGUUGUGUGGUUGCUGGAGUUGUUGCAUCCUCUUCAUCUGAACUUUCAUCUGAAUCUCCUUCAGUAGAGAUUGUCUGAACAGUCUUUAUAGGGAUGACUGAAGUCUCCAACUCCACCUGUUGUGCAUCACCAGACUGUUUUUCCUUCUCCUGUGAUUUCUCUUGCUGUAACAUGCCAGACUCAUCAAAAGUGACAUCUCUACUCAAGAUCACUUUCUUUGAUUCAGAACACCAGAGUCUGUAGCCUUUUACUCCUCCACUAAAGCCCAAAAAUAUAGCUUUCUUGGCUCUAGGAUCUAGCUUGGACUCAGUAACAUGAUAAUAUGCUGAGCAACCAAAUAUACGCAUAGAGUCAUAAUCAUUUGCAGGAGAGCCUGACCAUACCUCUAAGGGGGUUCUUCCAUUUAAUGCUGCUGAAGGUAACCGGUUAACAAUAUGACGAGCAUAACUUAAUGCCUCGCCCCAGAACACUUUGCUUAGUCCCGAAUGUGAUAGCAUACAUCGGACUUUCUCCACCAAUGUGCGGUUCAUGCGUUCUGCUACUCCAUUCUGUUGUGGUGUUUUGCGAACAGUAAAAUGUCGCUUGAUCCCUUCAUUCUGACAAACUUCAAAGAAAGGAUCUGAAGUGUACUCACCACCAUUAUCUGACCGAAGAGUCUUAACCCUCCUUCCAGUUUGAGUCUCCACCAUUUUCUUCCAUUUCAGAAAGAUAUCAAGGACCUCAUCCUUGUGUUUCAUCAUGUACACCCAUACUCGUCUUGAGAAAUCAUCAAUAAAAGUAACAAACCAACGAUUACCUCCAAGAGAUUCAUUCUUUGAAGGUCCCCAUACAUCUGUGUGAACAUAAUCUAGGAUCCCUUUUGUGUUGUGUACUGCAGUGCCAAACUUGACCCUUGUCUGUUUUCCAAGAACACAAUGCUCACAGAACCCAUGCUUCCCAGUCUUGGCGCCUUUUAAUAGACCUUGCUUGACUAAUCCUUGCAAAGCCUUUUCACCAGCAUGCCCUAAGCGCAUGUGCCAAAGUCUGGAAUUAUCUGCUUCAUCAUCUUCUAUACUUUUGGAAACAGCUGCUGUACCAGUAACUGUAGAUCCAUCCAGGAAAUAUAAGUUUCUUAUCCUCGUGCCUCUUAAGACAACUAAUGCACCACGAAUUGCUUUCAGGACUCCACCAUGCAUGAUAAUCUUAUAACCACUGGAUUCUAGGACUCCAAGUGAGAAGAGAUUUUUCUUCAAGUCAGGUACAUACCGUACAUCUGUUAGUGUCUUGACUACCCCAUUAUGCAUCUUCAGAUGGAUAGUCCCAAUCCCUUUGAUCUCACAAACAUCAUCAUUACCCAUCAACACAACUCCUCCAUCGAACUCCUCGAGUCUCGAGAAUAAGUGCUUGUUAGGGCACAUGUGAUAGGAACAUGCAGAAUCAAGAAUCCAUUCACCAGAAUGGUUUUCUGGUGAUGAGACCAUGAAUGCAGAGUCUCGUUCAUCCUCAUCCCGUGCAACGUUCACAGUUGGUUCAUCUUUUUCCUUGUUGCCCUUGAUUGGACAAUCUUUCUUCCAGUGCCCUUUUUUGUGACAAAAGGCACACUCAUCUUUUGCAAGAUAUCGUCUGUUUGAUGAUUCUCCUCUGGAUUUUGAGCGAGAUCUCCCUCGCCCUCGAAAUCUUCUGGGGUUUGUUCUGCCUCUAACUGUCAAUGCUUCUGACGUUGACUCCUUGUGAACAAUCUGGUCCUUCUUUCGGUACUCAUUAUUCACCAAAGCAUUGGACACAUCAAUGAAUUUAAUCUUUUCUUUACCAUACAGUAAAGUGGUGACGAGAUGUUCAUAUGUGUCAGGCAGUGAAUUCAAUAAUAGCAGAGCUUUAUCUUCAUCAUCAAUUUCCACAUCUAAAUUCUUCAAAUCAGCUAUCAUUUUAUUGAAAUCAUUUAGAUGCUCAUUCAUAGAAGUACCUUUCUUGUGCUGAAAACGGAAGAUCCUUUUCUUCAGGUAGAGACGAUUCUCUAUACUCUUCUUCAUAAACUUGUCCUCCAGUGCUUGCCAUAAUUCCUUUGCAGAGUUUUGUUCUGAAAAGGCGUACUUCUGAUCCUUUACAAGACAAAGUCGGAUGGAACUGCAGGCCAACCGAUUUAUCCUUUCCCAGCUUUUAUCAUCCAAAUCCUCCGGUUGAUCUUCUAAAGUGAAAUCCAAAUUCAUUUGGACAAGCAUAUCCAUGACUUCACAUUUCCACAUGCCAAAAUUACCUUUCCCAUCAAACUUCUCCACCUCAAAUUUGGUAUUCGAUACCGGGAUGUAUUGUGGAGGUAUACUAGCAUUCCCCGCUGAUUUUUCUUCUGGAAUAUCAGCCAUUAGGACGUCUUUGGAUUACAAAUGGACUCCUGAAAUUGUUAAAACACGCACUUUUAUGCUCAAAAGAGCCAAAACAGUAACUUCGGUGUGCUGUUUCACAAAACGGACAUCACGGUUGCGUCCGGAAUGGUUGAAAAUGCUAGGAACCAACUUGACUCGGCCAAAAAACAGGUCAAAAAUCACUGAGUUGGCCAAAAAACCAAUCUGACCGAGUUGACUCAGGGAAGGAAUAUUCUGUCUCUGAUAAAGAAUAUUCUGUCACGGGAAUAUUCUGUUACUGGUAACGGAAUAUUCUUAUUCUGUCAAGAGAAUAUUCUGUCACUGUUAGAUGACAUGUCUGAUGACGUGGCUGAUGACAGGGCGAUGUGGACCCUCUGUUGAUGACGUGGAUGAUGACUCAGCGCCUACGUGUCGGAUGACGUGGCUGUCUUCUCAGGCGAGAAUUCCGGCAAUGACUGGUUUUUCCGGCAGAUUUCCGGCGAAACUUCGGCGAGCUCUACAGGGCUCGUUUCAACUCCGAUUUCGAUGAUCUUUAUAUCGCCGGACUCGUAUGGACGAGAGGAAUCUCCUCAGCUGGUCAAAAGCAAGAUCUGAGAACUUUGAAAAUUCUGCAACUUUGAACAGAGAGCUGAAAAACGUGUUUUUUCAGUGUUCUAGCUUCCCUAAUGCUCUGAUACCAAUUUGUUGUGCAUACUGGACCGAAAGCAAACACAAAUAAAACACAAACAAGCAGAUUUACGUGGUUCCCCAAAACCGGGUACGUCCACGGAGGCAGCAGAUUGUAUAUUAUUGGAGGAAUGAUACAAACACUCAACUCAACCCAGUACAAUCCCACAAAACCCAGUGUUUCACUCUUACACUCGGUGUUUCUCUCAAAUCUGCACUCUUUCACUCUCACAGUUGCACUAUUUUCUUCUGCACACUUGCACUCACACUGCACUCUCUCGUUCCUCUCUUCUAUCUUCUAUCUUUCACACACAUUUACAGGAGAAAGGAAAGCAUAAAUAUAAUGGAUGAAAAGGAGAGGGUGGUUGAAAAGGAGAGAGUGGUUGAUGGUUGUUGAGAAAAAAUAUUGACAAUUAGCAAAUGUUGACAAUUUGCUACAUUAUCUGCGUAAAAUAUCUCUGGAGAUGCUUUCGAUGGAGAUUAGGUCUCAAAACGCUAUGCCCACUGCCCCCAUGGAUCCAGAGCGUGAAAAUGAAGCCGAGCAUUGAAUUUCUAAACAUCAUUUCCUUUUGUUUUAUAUUUCGCAUUGUUACCAAACUCUUUUACAUUUUAUUGCUGCAUAUAUUGCUAUGUAUAUACCAUGCUUUAAUCAAAACCUAUAAUGCAGGAAUAUCUGCAGAUGGCCAUUCCCAAAGGGAAAACUAAUCUUCCCUAGAAUAUUACAAAGUGCCAUUUCUACAGUGAGAAUAGCGUUUCGUUUUGGUUGUUUUGUUGAUGAUAACUAGAUCUUAAAACUAAUCCCUGUACUUUUACAUGAUGCUAUAAACUGGUCCCUUUUAUUAGUAAAAUGUUGAGCCAGUCAAUUGAUUAUUUAAAAAUCUUGAGGGAUUAAUUUGUUUGUUUCACAAAAAAAGACACUGAUUAAAUAAAAAAAUUAUCAUCAUAUGCAUGAGUGUUUACUUGUCCAACAACAGUUUGCAAGGGGCAGAUCCUUGGAUGGAUAUUAGAGGUGAGCAAAAAAACCAAUAAACAGAUUAAACAAAGAAAACAAAAAACAAAUAACCGAAAAAACCGAACCGAAAAAAAACUGAAUUAACUGAUUAAAAAAUCACAAAAAAAUUCCGGUUCGGUUUGGUUUCGGUUUCUAAAGUCUGAAACAGAUUGAACCAAACCGGUUAAACCAUGCCAGCACUUAAAAAAAAAAAGUAUAAAUAUGAUGUUUUUUCUAACACUAAACCUAAAGUAACAUUCAGUCGCGACCCCCGCCCCCCCUUCCCUUUGCUCUCUACAUCUCUUCUCUUUGAUUUUUCUUCAUGCUCCACAAUUGUUACUUGUUAAGCUCCUGCUCCAUGCUCCUAAAGGUCCUAAACCAACGCCCCCCCCCCCCCUUCUCUGCCUCUCAUCAUCUUCUCACAACCCCUCCUUUUUUCUCCCUUUUUCUCUCUGCCUCUCAUCUCUCCCCGUAGCCCCCCCUCCUUUUCUCUCUAUCUCUCAUCUCUGCAUCUUAUCUUCUCCACUUCAAGUUUGUGGGCACUGGGCAGAUAAAAAAAAGAGAUGGCUUUUUGAUGAUUAAGAUUCUAACUCCACUUCAAGUCCAUCCCUGCAUCUUGUGGGUUUUUGCUUUUUUUUUAUUAUGCUAUAAUUUGCUUGUAGUUUGUGGGCAAAUAUGUUUUUCAAAUAUGUCUUGGUCAUGUAAAUUGGAAUAAGUUUCUGAAUAACAAAAAUGAGAUUUGCUUUUCGGUUUUAUCGGUUGUCAUAACCCAAUUUUUUACCCUUUUAUUUUAAUUUUAUGAUAAAAAGAAAAAAUGAUGAAAAAAUAUAUAUAUAUAAUAAUGAUGAAAAAAAUAAAAAUGAAAUAAAUGAAGAAUGAAUUAAAAUUUGGGUUAAUGGCAACAUGAUUGGACGCUUAAAGAUUUAAUUUUUGACUUGUCUAAUUAAUCAAAUCAAUUGUUUAAUUGGAGAAUUGAUAAGUUUUGGGACUUAAUUAAGCUUGAAAUUAAUUUAAUUAAUCCAAUCAAGGGUUUAAUUGGAGAAUUGAUAAGUUUUGAGACUUAAUUAAGCUUGAAAUUAAUUUAAUUCAUCCAAUCAAGGGUUUAAUUGGAGAAUUGAUAAGUUUUAAACUUAAUUGGACUUUGGAUUUAAUUAAAUUAAUGAAAUCAGGGACUUAAUUGAAGAAAUAGCAAAGUUUGGGGUUAAUUGGGAGUCCCAAUUGUGAAAUUAAAAUCCAAGGAUUACAUUGAAAAAGGCGCGCAAAUGCAGGGGGCCAAUUACAGUUUAAACCAGGGGUUUAAUUACAAGACUUUCAAAACUGCAUGGAUCAAAACGAAAAAUGGCCGAACGACGUCGUUUUGAAGAUGUUGUUCAUCUUCUUCUCCUUUAUGCCAGUGACCGUUUCCGCAGUAAUGGAGGGAGGAACAUUGCAGCAGUAAUCGUCGUCCGUUGGCUUCAGUUAUGAGCGCCUUAAUGGUGGCCGACUGUUAGCCUACCGCCCGUUAUCAACCCGCCAAGGCCUAUAUAAACCGAGCAGCACCGAAGAGGAGCGAGGUUAGAGGGAGAGAGAGAGAGAGAAAAGAAACCGAAAAGAAGAGAAACACAACCAAAGCACACAAUUUUUAGGUUCAUCUCCAGAACUCCCAUACCAGAACUAGGCUUCCCUCACCAGUUCUGACUUAAGAAAAACGAGAGAGAAAACCGGCCGAAAGAGAGAGAGACGGUGUUCUGAAAAACAGAGCAAAAGAAACGAAGAAAAAUAAACCAAAACAGAGACGCAGGAAAGGAAUACAACAUGAAAACCAGAAGGAGUAAGAAGAAAUUCGAAGGCAGAAGCGUCGUCCUCAGCAAUCACGAACAAAUUCCCUGCAAACGAACCAGGUAAGUCUUCUGCUCUGUUUCCCUCGCUUUGCCUUAUUUCAUUUUCGACGUCCGUGUUUAAUUCAAUAACAGGGCCAUGUACGCGUGAUUUAGAUCACGCGUGCCUAGUGUGGCCCAGCCAGGUCACUGGCUUGGGCCAGUGACCGGGCUGGGCUGGCUGGGUCUAGCCCAGCCCAUGUGGGCUGAGCUGGGCACAGCCCCAAAAACAUAAAAAAUAGAAAAAUAGAAAAAUAGAAAAAAAAUAAUAAUAAUAAAAAAAUAAAAAAGUAAAAAAGGUAGAAAAAAUAAAAAAUGUGUAUGCAUAAAUAAAAAUAAUAUGAAUUUAUUGGUGUAUUCAUUGACGCCAGAGUCAGGAAUAAAAAUACCGGUUUAAAUUUAUAUUAUUUUUAUUCAUUGUAUUUUAUUUUAUUUAGCUAGAAAAUAAAAAAAUAUGUGCAUGUGUAAAAAAUAAUUUUUUUUAUGUGAAUAUUCACUUGCGCCAGAGUCAGGAAUAUUAUAAGAAAAUUAUCAUAGCAUAAACUAAUAAAUAUUUAGCAAUUUAAGACAAAACUAGCAAUGCAGUCUGCCUCAGGCAGAACGUUUAAGGGGUGAUAAUAUCUUCCCUUUUACGUAAUCAAUCCCGAGCCAUAGAAUCUCUGAUGACCAGUUAGGGUUCCUAGUGACCGUAAUACUAGGUGGCGACUCCUUAUACAAGACCUUUUCCCCUAAAAGAACAAGAUGCCAGAAAUCUGUUCUUUUUUCACAAUCUAGAAUUAUUUGUGGGCCGCCGUGAUGUCGGGUGCGACAUCGGUUUUUGAACAACAAAAGUCGAACCGAACCGAACCGAAACCAAUAAAUUUGAACCGGUUUCGGUUCGGUUUUGAUUUUAAAUUUUAAAAUUAAUAAUGUCGGUUUGGUUAAUUUUUUCAUGUAAAAAUUGAACCGAACCGAACCGAAAAUGAUCACCCCUAGGGAAUAUGUCUUCUCUUGAAUUCUUGAACCUAUCAGGGGACAAUUUCUCUGGUCUUUUACUGCCUAGAUUCAGCAAUUCCUCAAAAUUGAGAUAUGUUUAUUUGUCUAGAAAUAAAUUGCAAGGACCAAGCGCAAUAAAAUUUUAUGAUUCCUUUGAGAUAUUAGCCUUAGAUCUUUCCCAUAAUGAUUUAACUAGUAGGAUUCCAGAAUGGAUUGACAGGUUAUCUAACUUGAGAUUUCUACUUUUGAUUUAUAACAAUCUUGAAGGUAAAAUCCCAAUUCAAUUAUGCAAGUUCGACCAAUUAACCUUGAUUGAUCUAUCUCACAAUUAUCUUUCUGGUAACAUCCUCUCUUGUAUGAUAUUUACUCAUCCUUUCCCUAUUCAAUACAAUUCUCGUGAUUUUGUGUCCUUAUCACAACAACCUUUCGAGUUUACAAUGAAGAAUGUAUCUCUUUUUAAUAGAGGCAACAUUAUCUGGAAUUUCACUGGAAUUGAUGUCUUAUGCAACAAUUUCACAGGAGAGAUUCCCCGUGAAAUUGGAAGCCUCAGCAUGAUCAAGGUAUUGAAUCAUUCCCACAACAUUCUAACUGGACCAAUUCUAUCAAUAUUUUCAAACUUAAAGGAAAUAAAGAGCUUGGAUCUUUCCUACAACAAAUUGGAUGGAAAAUCCCAUCUUGACUAUAGAAUUUUUCAGUGUGGCACACAAUAAUCUGUCUAGCAAGACUCUUGCAAGAGUUGCACAAUUUGCCAUGUUGAAGAGAAUUGCUACAAGGGCAACCCUUUUCUUUGUGGAGAACCGCUACCCAAAAUAUGUGGUGCAGCUAUGCCACCAUCACCAAUGCCAACUUCAACGAACAAUGAGGAUCAUGGUGGCUUCAAUAAUCUGUUUGAAGAGAGCUGCUACAAGGACAACCCUUUUGCAUGUGAGCUUUAAGGUUGCAUAGAUCAUGGUGUUGUUGGUGAUAGGUGCAAUUCUGUACAUAAAUUCAUAUUGGUGACAAGCUUGAUUUCACUUUAUUGAGGUGAGCAUCAAUAAUUACUAUUAUUUUCUUGUGGAGAAUCUUUCCAUUUUAUCUAAGUUUGGAUUUUCAUAGCCUUUUAUCUUGAUGGUACUAAGCCUUGGUGCAUUGUUUUGGAUUUUAGUUUCAAGAUUUAAAUAAGUUUAUAUUGAUUUUCAUAUGAGUUUUGUUUUUGUUUUUAGCUUCUAUGUGAUAUAUAAUAAUCAAGUUUUUUUUUUUUUUUAAAGGUUAUCUAAGUUUUUUUAGCUGUUUUUUUUAUGCUUUUUAGGAUUUUUUUUUUUGCUUUUUUCUUUAUUUUUUUUAAUUAAUUUUUUUCGUUUAGUUUAGUUUGUUAAUGUUAAAUUUCUUUCUAUUUAGUUAUUAGACUUUCAUGACACAUAUCUCGAGUUUCACGGGUUAACCUGGUUUCACGGGUGAACCCAGUUAAUUCCGGGUUGACCCGUCAAUUUUUUAUUAUUAUUAUUUUCAUAAAUAUUUUUUUUUAAUUUAGUUUGUUAAUGUUAAUUUUUUUUUAUUUAGUUAUCAGACUUUCAUGACACAAAUACUGGGUUUAACAGAUUAACAUGGUUUGACGAGUUAACCCGAAUUUUUUUUCUUUUUAAUUAAUUUUUUUUGUUUAGUUCAGUUUGUUAAUAUUCACUUUUUUUUAUUUAGUUACCAGACAUUCAUGACACAGAUCCCGGGUUUAACGGGUUAACUUGGUUUGACGAGUUAACAUGAAUUUUAUUUUAUUUUUUGCUUUUUUUUUCUUUUUAAUUAUUUUUUUUCGUUUUGUUUUGUUUAGUUUGUUAAUGUUAAAUUUCUUUCUAUUUAGUUUUUUUUCUUCUUAGAGGUUUUUUUUCUUUUAUUUGUUAUUUUUAAUUAAUUUUAUUUAAUUAAUUUAGUUUAUUAAUAUUAAAUUUUUUUCUAAGUAGUUCUCGACUGAUGCCUUUAGUUUUUUUUUUAUGCCUUUGACUGUGAACUGCACAGUGCAGUCCACUGUGAAAAGGCUGAUGCUUUUUUUUAAUUAAUUUUUUUUGUUUAAUUUAAAUUGUUAAUGUUAAAUUUUUUUCUAUUUAGUUAUCAAACUUUCAUUACACGGAUUCUGGGUUUGACAGGUUAACCUGGUUUGACGAGUUAGCCUAGUUAAUUCUGGGUUAACCCAUUAAUUUGUUUUUUUCUUUUUAACUAUCAAGCUUUCACGAUGCAAAUUCAAUGUAUGACGGGUUAACCUGGUUUGAAGGGUUAACCCAAUUAAUUCAUUUUUUUUUUCAUUAGUUUUUUUUUCCUGUUAGUUUUUUUUUAACUAAUUUAUUAAAUUAUCACACUUUUAUGACACAACCUUGCAGCCAGACCCAUGUCCAAUGUUAUUGGGUCUGGUAUUGCAAUCCAGACAUUUUUAUGCUAAGGGUUAACCCAAGUUUAAUGUUAUUAUUAAUAUUAUAAACAUUACUCUUAGAUCAGGCGUUGCAACCAAACCUGAGACUCUUGGGUAUAACUUUGUAAAAAAACCUAAUACUUUUAGAUCUUAACUAUUUUUAAAAUGCAAAAAAUAAUUGACCUGCGGCAUCGCGCGGGGCAUGUAACUAGUAGAUUACUAAAGGGGAUCGAUUUUGAUUAUGAUUUGGUGUGGGAAAUUCUCUGCGUGCCUACAUAGAGUGUGGCUUCUUGAAACUCCAAAAAAUAUAUAUAGGUGUUUGCCUAAACCAGUAUUGGGCAGAUAAAGAUAAGCCAGGAUUGCCGAGGAAGAGGCUGUUCAGGUAGUCCGAACAGGGAUCUAUAAUCAUUAGUUAUAUAAUCAACCCUAAUCAGAAUUUCCCAAGAAAGAAUUAACUAAAGACUUCAGUUAAUGCUGAUGAACACGAGUAAAGGAUUUGCUAAAGACAAAACCAUGUAUUUAAGAACCAUUGCUAAGCUACAGGUUCUGGAGCCACAAACCACUCACAUUUACUGGGGUUGAUCCCAAAUUGAGACAAAUCUAUUUGUCCGGUUCGGAGAACCUUCAAACAAAAAGAAGAGUUAAACCUUGUAAAAUUGACUAUAUAUCAUCAAAAGGACAAGAAACACACAGGAAACCUCAUAAUUACCUCAGAAUGCACCGACGUAAAACACACAGGAAAUCCCAACACAUCAUAAGACAACAAAAGAAAACAUAUAUUUAGCAGAAUAAAAAGGUUGUACAAUUCUUUCACAGCUUACAGUACGUAUAGAAUAAGCAUUAAUAAUUACCUUCAUCUGGAUCACCCGAACUACCUGCAACAUGUAUCAUCACAUCACGCGGGCCACCCUAAGUACAACAAACAAGGAUAUGGUCACUUGCACUAUCUAAGCAGAACACACCUCCAGCACCAAUAUUACUCAGGAUUCUUUGCAAGUCUUCCAAUUUCACUGGUUCUGAUGAAGAGUUUACAUCACUCAUUACUUCUGCACCAAGGUCUGGGACAACUGAGUUUCCAGUCCUGAGAGCGAUGAGCAAAAAUCUCAUCGGAAUAAAAGAAAAUGGCCACGUAAUAUAUACCUGGCCAUUUGUUUUUGGUAACAAAAGUGCUCCUUAACCUUUUUGAAGUUAUUUUAGAAUGAAUUACAAGCAUUAAACAUUUAUAUAUAUGGACAAACACCGAGUUUAUGCAAGUCUGUGCAAGGGCAAUAUGGGGUGAAGGAUUUGACAUGGGCUAAGGUGGGUGAGAUGUUUUUGUCAAGAAAUGAUUUUGGAAAAUUUCUUGAUAUUUCAUGAAUAAAUAAGAUAUGAGUCUUUAUCAAGGAAAGAACAUAGGCUCUCCAAGAUGAUUGACCAGAAGGAGAGAAGGGAGGCUCAUUCUGCUCCACUGACUCUUAGUCUCAAAGAACAAAAAAUUACAUAGCUCUAUAUCCUUACUCUUACUUGCUAUAUCAACUCUUAGAGUUGAAGUAUCAUCUUUGACUAUGCUUCUUUGUUAUAAUAAAUAUACCUUGAUGAGAUAUUAUCUUCAAGCAUGUCUUCAAAAACUUGGAAAGGAGUAGAAGCAUCAGGCUCUUCUUCAUCAACUACACCAAAUUGUUUGCAUUUAAGAGAUCGGGGGAGGGGGGCAGAAGAUUAGACUUUGCAUUUAAAUAUAAGCCAAGAUGAUUAGGAACAAAAUAAUGACGAGUAGCAUGGCUAACAAAGGACUCAAAACACAAAAUUGUUUACCAAAUGGACGAUUAAUAUAAUAGUUGAAAGAGCUACAUAAUUGUGAAUCAUCUUUAGCUUUUGGCUCCUGCAAACAUGUUACACAAUUUUCCAAAAUCAUGCAGCUAACAGCUGAGUCAAUGUUACACAUAAGAGAGUGAAAAACGCAGAAAGUGAACCUGACCUGCACCCAAAUGAAAAACUUUCGAUCAUCUGUAUUGAAUUUCAAGAUGUAAACUCUUCCCAAAGCUUGAUUAACCUGAAUAACCCAAGGAAUUAUGAAUCUAUGAUAUUACAAUCAAUUAUUAGAGUCAAAUAUCUUCCAUCUAAGAAAAAACUAGGAGAGAAAAGUGUACCUUCUCAAAAACAGCAUCUUCAGAAAAAAAUAAUAUGAUCCUGUCAAUCAACGCGUCAAGAAAAAGCUACCAAAGUUCUCACCUCAAAAGAAUAUUAACAAAACAAACAACAGAAAAAAAAAUAAAAACCAAAGUUGGAAGGGAGAAACAAAAUCCCCAGGCUCAAAAACAUAAUAAUAACUAGGAUACAUCUUCCACAGCAUUCAAAUUCCUAUCAAGCCACUGGAAAUGAAGCAAACCCUCAUCACCCUGGAACAAUUCAAAAAUUUCGACUUCAAACAGGAAACAAGAUGCUAGAAACACUCUAUCUAGUACUUAAGAUAAACCAAAACAAUAGAAUUAACUAAAAAUCUUUACACAGACACGAACUCUAUAUAACACAAAAAAAAAAAACCAAAAGACACCAGUUUACCCUUCCAAUGCGAACAAGUCCUUUUCGAGAAUCAGGAACAAACUUUUUUCCAACGAAAACCAUUUUACCAGCACGAAACUCCAACAUAAUUUCCUACCAACAAAACAACCACAACACCAUAACAUAACCCCACCAAGAAAAACAUACUUGUACAUCCAACAAAGCAAUUACAGGCUCUAAUUAAAAAGAAACAGAGAUUUUAAGCAAAACCCACAAUUUUAAAAGUGAUUUUAUUUACCUGCAUUGCUGAAAUAUCUACAGUUGAUGAAGAACCCAUUUUUCGCAUACUUCCUCUAAAGCUUCCUUUUUUUCAACACUGCAAAAAACAAAAAACAAAAAAAAGAAGGACAAAUCAAAUACCCAAAUCAGAAACAAUAACAGAAAAAAAAUAAAAGAAAAUCCAAAGCUGGAAGUUGUAAUCAGGAGGAGAACCAGACAAUUUCAGAUAGAAUGACAUUUUAUCAAGAAUUGAACUGGGCAUUCAGUUAAUUAAAUAGGUUGUAAUCAGGUGAGAGUAGUGUCAACAACAUGUUUAGUUUUCCUCUCGGAAGUGCCAUUCUGCACAAGUCAGUGUUUUAAAAAUAUUUUUAAAAAAAUUUUAAUUUGUUUUUUUAGUGGUUUUAAUUUAUUUUCAUGUAUUAAUAUUAAAAAUAAUUUUAAAAAAUAAAAAAUAUAUUAUUUCAAUUUAUUUUAAAAUAAAAAAAACUUAAAAAAUACUGUUAACACAGUAUUAAACAAACUCUAAUCCUAUAACCAGAUGAACAACGUUAAGAUAUUUGUUUUUUGUUUUUCUUUUUUUUGAUAAUGAGACUGUCGUAAACAAUCUUGCCUAAUGAUUGUUAAGAAAUGAAAGAGGCAAUGCAUGGCUAAACCAAUGGAAGCUAAAAAGCUAAUGUUAUCCCUAGUAAGCAAUUGUUGCCGCAAUGACAUAUGCCUCGUUAGAGAUAUAUUUGAAUUUACAUAUUAUUAUUAUCAUAUAUUUUGUAUUGUCGUUUAAAAAAUAAAUAUUUUCCUUAUAUAGAGUAGAAUGUUUUUAAUUUUAUCAUUUAAAAUUUAUAUAUUUUUUAAAAAAUUAAUACAAUAUACAGUUAAUUAAACAUCUAUAAAUUAAUAUCAUUGAGAACAUGAAAUUUAUUAAUUAAUUAAGAUGUUAUUUAGUAAAUAAAUUUAUACACUUAUACAUUAAUCAAUAAAAAAUUUUCUUUUUCAAAAACAUUGAACUCAAUACAUGCAUCGUGUAUAAUAUUAUCUAAUCAUCAAAUUAUGAAUUAUCAUAAUUCUAUAUAUUUAUUUAAAUAAAACAAGUUCAAGAAUUAAUGUAAUCAAUCUUAUUAAUUAAUAAAAUUCAUGUAUGUAUUAACAUACAAGCAAAAAAUCUAUAAAAAGAAUAUACAAGUGAGCCAAACAACAAUAUAUAUUAAAAACGAACAAGAGGUCGAAUUAAUAUCCAUUAACUAAUAGUAAAAUUAAGAAGAUGAUACCAAAGAGACACAAAAUCACAAAAAAGCAUUUAACAUUUCAGAGAAAGAAGCCUGCAACACCCAUUAAGGAAAAGAGAGAAGGGAAAGAAAUGUGGAUUAAUUCAUACAGAGGCUCACCUUGUUCCAGACCAGCGCGAGACUGUAGACGAACCAAGAGCAAAAAAUGCAGGAGAGAUAAUCAUGAGAGAAACAAAUUCAUAUAUCCACGAAUAUGUACAAUAUUUGAAACCUAUAAUGCAAGAAUAGCUGCAGAUGUACAUUAAUAUUUUUAAUUUAAAGAAUCAAUUAAUUAUUUAAAAAACUUGAGGGAUUAAUUUGUUUGUUUCACAAAAAAUAGACACUGGUUAUAUAAAAUUUUACUUAAAUUUUUAUCAUCAUAUUUUAAAAGAAACCAGUUUAUGUUUUGCGCAACACGAAAAAUCAUAUAUGCUUAAGUAACUAUUUGGCAUCUUAAACUCAAUUUAGUAAAUUAAUUUUAAUUUUUUUCUAUCCGGCUCUUUUCCUAUAUCAAAUUUAAAAUUAACCAACAUAAAAAUUAUCCUCAAAUGAUACAGUCAAUAUGAUAGGUUUACAAAAAUAUAUUAAAUUGAUUCUAAUUUCAUGGCUUAACUCUUCAAACCCACUACUCGAAUAAUAGACUCCAUCUAGUUGUAAUUAUUAUUUUGUUUUUUAAUUAUUUUUUAUUGAAUAAUAUGAUAACAAUAUCAAUUCAAAAUCAACUAAAUAUUAAAGGAUAAAAUAAAAAAAAUAAAAAAAAUUCAAUAGAAAAAAAAAGGAGAAGAAUGGUAGAGUUUAAAAACAAAUAAACAAUAUGACGUCAUUGUUAGAGCACCUGAAAUUACUGUUCCUUUUUACUAUAAUGAUGAAGUUUCCACAUAAUAUAAAACAUGCUUAUAAAUUAAUAACCGAAAUAAAAAUUAAAUUGAGACGACAAUCAAUUCUUUAACUUUAAAACGAUUUAUUAACAAUAGAAUUGAGAAGGCCCGCCACAGAUCAAGAGGACAGCUUCAAUGAAGCCAUCCCAGCCAAUGCAGGUGAUUACCCGUCGGUUGAAGUCUCAUCGCGCGCCUAGCACCAGCCAAACCGCCUCAAUCUGAACAUGCACCAGACAAAGUUCAUGAAAAGACGCCAGGGAGCCUCAGCAGCUGAGAAGAAAGUGCGGGAACACCCACCGCACGAGAAGAAACGUGAAAAGCAGAGAGGGAGCGCGGUAAAGAUUGUCAAGCCACGGGAUUCACACACAGUGCACCGAGUUUUAAUGAGCACUCUUAGUUUUUUUUUAUAUAUAUAUAUAUAAAAUUCUUUUAGUUUUAGUUUUAGUUUUAGUUUGUUAGUUAUGAACAGUGAAGCAGCACCAGAAUACAGUUCUUUUAGUUUGUUAGCGAAUCUGGAAAAGAAUAAAGUCAUCUGUCAAGCUCUGUUCACUUUGGUCCGACAUUCCUCACCUCUCCCCACCUGAGCUCUCUCUCUUUCCCUCCUCCGCUUUCAGAAACCGCCGCCGCCACCACCUCAACCAAUAAGGCUUCAAAUCUCACCCAGAUGCUUCCUUUUCUAUUAUGUUUUUGUUUUUUAAAAUUUACGUCUGCUUUUUCAUUUAUUUAAUUGAAAUUACUAUCCAGAGAGAGAAAUUCGAUUUUAAUAAGUAAAUUAAAAAGAUAUAUAAUCGAACCCGAUGAAAUCGCUGCUCGUGAACGCAACUCGAAGAAAGGCGCAAUCAGCCGACUAUACUAUGGGUGGAGCAUUUAAUAUGGUCAGGGUUAUUGUGUUGUCUAUUCAAAGAAAGAUGUGCCUGUAAAUUUGUUAAGUUGAUUCUUAUCAGUCUACUCUUUAGAGUUGAUGAUAACAUGAAAUACUCGUUGUUAAUGCUCGUUGUUUUCUUCUUCUUUUUUCCUAGAUUAAAACAUCCUAGACAAUCUCUUUGGGAUGGUUUAGUAUUUCUGGCCUCUUCAUCUUCUAUUUGUGCUAUGGUUUUUAGUCUGCUGAUAUUGUUGAUAUUCAUUGGGGAUUGAAAGGCCUCGUUUUAUGACUUUGUUUUGUCUUCUUCUUAUUUCUUUAUUCUUUUGGGGAUGCGGCAUUUUCCUCUUUCAGAGAAAUAAAUAUAUACAUAAAUAACAAGAACAGGACGGGAAGGAGAGGGGGUUUUGACAAUAAGUAUUUGCUUAGAAGGGAAUGCUUCUUUGGUUUAGAAGCACCAUGAAGAUUCAGGCCCAAAUCUUUGCUUAGAAUGCCCGAAAUAAAUAUAUCACACACUUCUUUUUUUGUUUUUUGUUUUUCAUCUUUUCAUGUGUUUCUCACAAGACGUCACUUUCUUGCUUUUCUUUCGAGAGAGUAUUUGAUCCUUUUUUUGUAUAAAAUAAUGCUGCCAUUCAUUGAAUUUCCAAACAUCUUACCUUUUGUUUUGUUUGUCGCAUUGUUAUCAAACUCUUUUCCAUUUUAUUGCGGCAUAUUGCUACGUGUAUGGCAUGCUUUAAUCAAAAAGUUGAGUAAUUGAUGAAUGUUAGGCAAGAAAAUUACAGAUUAUUUUUGUUUUCUGCCUCCUCCUUCUCUUUCCCCCACCCCGAAAAUUGUCAUAUUUUUUUUUCAGCCGCCUCUUCUUCCCCCAACCCUAAAAAUUGUUUAUAUUUGCUUUGGAAGCAUGGCAAACUUCACUGCCUCUCAGCUUAAGGAGAUUGCAGCAGGUCUCGAAGCUUCUGGGCAUCAAUUUAUCCGGGUAUUUAGAAGAAGAAAAAAAAGAGUCAAGAAGACAAGGAAGAUUGUUUACCUCAAGGAUUUGAGGAAAGAAUGGAAGGCAAAGGGCUAUUAUCAGAGGAUGGACACUCCAAGUUUUGAUUCUUGAUCAUGAAGCAAUAAGUGCAUUUGUGACUCAUUGAGGAUGGAACUCAACUCUUGAAGGCAUAAGGCCAAUAUGUGCUGAGCAAUUCUAUAAUGAAAAGUUGGUGACUGAUGUUUUAAAAAAUGGAGUUAAGGAAUGGCCUAGAGUGCAUGGAGAUCAUGUUAAAAGUGAAGCUGUAGAGAAGUCAAAUUAUGAUGGGUGAAGAAGCAGAGGAAAUGAGGAGUAGAGCAAAGAAGCUAGGAGAAACGGCCAGGAAGGCUGUUGAAGAAGGUGGAUCUUCUUGCUCUGAUUUCAAUGCUUUGAUCGAAUAACUGAGGUGGGGUCGCCAUUGAAACAAAGGCAGAAGUAAGUGUUGUCACUCGUGCAUAGAAUAUUUUGUUUCUACUUAGUAGUGGUUUUGGCAAUAUAGACAAGUCUUGAGAGUUGAAAGAGUAAUCACAGCCGAGUCAAUGACCAGUCCAAAUCAGUUCCCUUCCUACUAGUUCAGGAAUGACAAGUCCAGCUUAUAUAUUUAGCCCAAAUAACUAAUCAAAUAGAAAGGCUGAGCUUAGAGGCAGUACACUACAAAAUAAGUACCCAAUGUCUUAGAGACAAACAAUCAUCACAAACUAGGAAAGACCGUCUCCCCAGUAACAAAUUCACCUUCUGAAGUUGGAGAACUUGCGAAAACUAGCCACCACAAAAUAGUAGCAAGUAUCUAAAUUAUUUCCAGAGAGAUCUAACUGCUUCAAUUCACACCAACUUGUAUAAUUUAUCUCUAAACAGUCAAAAUAGUGUUAAAAGAAUCUUUUAUUGAUGAUGUGAUUAUAUUUGUUAAUUUACCUUGAGCGGGUAAAGUGACAUAGAGGUCACAUUCACCAAUAGACAAAACUUGAAGAGCAGGCAAUGCUCCAAUGUUAUGGAAAAAGUUUAUUAGGAGAGAAGUACGAUCUAGAUACAAUUCUUCAAGGGUGCUAGAAUUGAAGAAAGUCCCUGUAAAAAAGAAACAAAAAGAAAAAAGAUAUGAUGAAAAUGGUGGUGGUACAUAAUAGGCAUUCCAUUCAAUAUUAUUAAUUAAGAUUUUAAGAAACUAAACUAUGAUUAACCUUGAUUUAAAUUAGUAUCCUUGAGAGAAAGGGUCUUCAGGGAUGGCAAUGACUGCAGGAAGUCCGGCUUCCUUAAACCUAUGAUGUGUACAAUUGAAAACAGGCAAUCAAGAAAGUAGUGAAAUUAAGUGCUAUCUUGAUUGAGUUUUUAAACCUAUGAUAAAGAACUGAUGUUGAAUAGUGAGAUGAAUUUUGGAUAGAAACAACAAAUUGCCUGAAAAAUCCAGAGAUUUCACAACUUUACCAUAGACAGUCGUCGAUCCUAGCAACAUAUCGCCUGAUAAAUUUAAAGACUUGAGAUAAGAAAAUCCACGCAGAUGUGAUAAAAUGUUGUCGUUGAAUAUAUUAUAGCUCAGGUCUAGAUUCUCGAGUUUCCUCAAAUGAUAUAUGAUCUCAAAACCUGCAAGAGAAACUAAAGAUAAUUAGAAUUGAUGAGAUGCUGUUGUUCAAUUGAUAUAUGAUUCUCAAAUUAUACAUACAUAUACACACACACACACACACACACACACAUAUAUAUAUAUAUAUAUAUAUAUAUAUAUAUAUAUAUAUAUAUAUAUAUAUAUAUAUAUAUAAUUGAUAUUUAUAAAAGCAUUAACUGUAGAGGAAUAUUUGGUACUUUGUUUCCCAAUAAAAAAUAGAUUUUUCUGCAAAGUAGCACCAAAAAAAAAACUGUUCAAAACUUAUAUAAGAAAUUAUACAGUUAGCGAGUCACAGAUGAUGAAUCUUAAAAAAAAUUGGCAAUAAUAACAGUACUCUAUUGCUAUUAAUUAACUUAAAUAUUCAAAACUUAAAAAUAGUUUUUAAAUUUAUCCAUGCCAAUUUAUCUUAAGAGAGUCGCAAUCUGUGACUAGUUAAAUUAUAUUGUUUCUGUAAAUAAAUUUUGAAUUGUGUUAUUUUUUGUUCUAGGUGCUAUUUUGCAAAAAAAAAAAAAACCUCCAAAUAAAAUAAUAAGAUUAACGUUUAAGUUGUCUAUUGUUCUUGGAUUUGUAGGUAUAACAACAGAAGAUAGCAAUCAAAAGCGAUGGUGACAUGGUAGAGCUUUGAGUUAUUGCUGUGUUCUAAUGAUGAAGAUGUAGGAAAACGAUCUCCCUUCUGCUGUCUGGAGCUGGGCUUCCUCUCCCUGUAAGAACAAUCAACAUCUUAUCUGCGUUGUUGUUAGUGGCCACUUCAUCGACCCAUUAGUGGGUGGAUUUUAAGCUUAAAAAGGAUUUUUUUUAUAAAAAAAAAAAGGGAAGAGAGAGGGGGGGCGCAUCAUCACGUGAAAGCAAGGAGCUUGCCACCCAUUAUAGAGUGUGGGGCACUCUUGCAUCUAAGAAUAAAUGAUCCUGAGGUUGUUCUGGUGAUGGGUAUUGGCCAUUACAUAAAGCUUCGACAAGCCCUUUUAGCUGCCUGUUAUUAGAAUUUGUAUAAUGAGCAUUCAAACUUAAACUUCUUUAAAUGGGAUGAAAACGAGUGAAAAUCAAGAAGUUGGAGGUGUUCAUCUCUAAUGCAUAGCUAAAGAUCCUUUGUAAGAAAAUACAGCUAAAGACAGUGUGUGUGUGUGUACCAGAGAAAUUGUCGAUAAUAGCCAUCAUUUUCUUUGUCUCUUGUGUCAUAUCUUCCAAAAAUCUUAAAGUAAUUGAUGAAAAAGUGGAUACACCUCUUUGUCUUCUUUAUAGCACUGCUGGCCACUGUGAGUUAAAGCAUUAAAAGGUCGUGAACGCGGAUGCUUGACGAGCGAGUGUUUACUUGUUAAUUUUUUUAGAAGGAAUCUGGAAAAGAAUAAAGUCAUCUAUUUCACUUUGGGACAACAUUCCUCACCUCUCCCCGCCCUCCCUCCCUCCCUCUUCCGCCUCUCGGAAACCGCCGCAUCCAAUAAGGCUUCAGAUUUCUGCCAGGUGCUUCCUUUUCUAUCAUGCUUUUGUUUUUAAAAUUUAUGGGUGUUUUCAUUUAUUUUAUUGUAAUUAUUAUUCAGAGACAGAAAUCCAUUUUAAUAAGUAAAUUAAAAAAAACAAAUAAGCGAUCCGAUGAAAUCUCUGCUAGUGAACGCAAUUCGAUUUUAAUAUGUAAAUUAAAAAAGUAUAUAAUCGGAUCCGAUGAAAUCGCUGCUCGUGAACGCAAUUCAAAGAAACGCACAAUCAGCCGAUUCUAAUAUUUUCUUUUUCAACCCCACCCUAAUUUACAUGAUAUUAUCCGAUUUUUCUCACAGUUAUUGUUGUAAUAAUCAAGCCCUGAAUUCUUGAACCCAAAUUUAUUUUAUUUUAUUUUUUAGUUUUAUUUUUAAGUGGAGAAUAGAAAUCAAUUCAAAUCUUUUAGGCUCGAUCGAUAAUUUGUUAAUUAGUUUAUGCAGCAGCUGGAGUGGAAGAGAUAUUACUGCCGGAAUGGCCGAAAAAUGAGCUGUUUGGUUGAUUCUUCUUUUUUGGAAUUUACUGAAUUCUUCAAAAUUAUUGUGUUUUUAACAACAAUACGAUAUCCUUGGGUUUCAUGCUCGCUCACACAUGGAAAAAAGAAAGAAAGAACAGAACUUUAAAUUUUAUAAUUUGGUCAAGUUAAUGCUCGUCGUUUUCUUCAUUUUCCUAGCUUAAAACAUCCUAGACAAUCUCUUUGGGAUGGGUUAUUGUUUGUGGCCUCUUCAUGUUCUAUUUGCUGGGGUAUUUAGAGUACUGCUGAUUGAAAAGCCUUGUUUUAUUGCACGUUAGAAAAGUUAAUACAUACAUAAAUAACAAGAACAGGGGCCGGGGGGGGGGGUGUUGGGGUUUGACGGUAUGUAUUUGCUUGCGAGUAAAAAUUGGUAAGCACUUGAAAAAGGUCCUGUGCUGAAUCUAAAUUGGUAAGAUGUUAUAUACUGAUAUCUAGAAAGAUAACUUAAUCUAUCUAUUGAAGUAAAGCAUUUAAAUACGUAUACAAUGUUUUUGGAAUAUUAAAUAUCUAUUUGAUCAGAAUCUGUGAACCUCUAAAACCACAAUGAAUACAAAUGCAAGUUUGUCAUUGUAAACAUUGCAUCGAUGAUGUAUCACAAGUGUUGCUAGAAAACAUCAAGUUAAAAUUGAAGCACCAUGAGUUUCUCUAUGGCUUGGUUUACCAACACUCACCAUCUGUUGGUGCGGCAAGUUAUGAACUAGCUGGCUAGUUUUUUGCUUCCUUGGUUUUAGAAGCACCAUGAAGAUUCAGGUCCAAAUCUUGCUUAUAAUACCCGAAUACCCAAGAUCCUAGCACCUUGCCUUGAAUGGUCGUGUAUAUUUGUUAUGGCUGUUCAGAUUUUAUGCAUCCAUAUUUGGGAGAAUUCUUUAAUAAAGUACAUGCUAUUAGAUGGAAGUUCUCUUUAAAUCUAUUCAAGUCUGAAUAAACUGAUAUUCCAAUUUUCAUGACUUUGAUGUGCUCUUACUCUUCUGCUGUUCCUGACUUUCUUUUUAAGGUCUAUUCUAACGUGCAAUAUUAUUUAUUUAUUUAUUUAUUGUCAUGAUAGAAGUGAUUUUUUUUGGUUGGCCAAAACCCCUUGGAUGCCAAUAAUUGGAGGUCCACUGCCCCAGGCGGAGAACAUGUCAUUGACACGGGUGAUUGGAGAAUUCAAUUGCAGCCUGACUCACGGAAAAGAAUAGUCGACAAAAUGUAAGUACGUGUUUCCUAAUAUGUGCAAGUGCUGCAAAAUAGUAAAUUUUUUAUUUAUAUGAAAGAAAAGUAGAAGGGCAAAAGGUUAAUUAAAAUUAGCUGGACUGCCAUGAGGCAACCUCAAGUAUCACACACCUCUUUUUUUUGUUUUUCAUCUUUUCGCUUGUUUCUCACAAGAAGCAAACUUGAGGGAACGUAAAGUGCUGGGAAGUGAUUUUUGUUGGAACUUCUUGUGUAACAUCUUCUUUUGACGAUGACCUCUUGGAUGGCUGCAUGAAGCUUGUUCCGCUUUAAAUUUCAAGGUUAAUCUAUUGCUAUGAGCAUUGGUGUUUCAAUUUCAACCUUGAGUUGCAACUGAACUUAAAUGAAUAGUGUUGGAUUUGGGCCUUCUAUUUGCUUUAACUUCUACAGGAUUGAAAUGAUAGUGAUCUUAAAGUAGAAAAGCAGCAGACAAAAAUCAAUUAGCCACAAUAGUGUAUGGUUUCCUAGUUUCUCAGUAUAAAGUUGAAUGUUUUGGUGAUAUCUCCACAUCCAAAAUCAUAUAGACAGCUACUGUUGGCACUUGCAGUAGCCAAUGAGCACUGUAGAGUAUAUAUAUUGCAGCGUGAGAUAAGGUUAACUCAUUGCAUUUUCAUAAAUUAAAGGGAUUUCUCUUCUUUUCUUUGUCAAUUACAGUGCAUGUAUAAAAGUUUUCUACAGUGCACUGUAGAGUAAAUGCUAUUGUAAUGUUUUCACAGAGUUCCCCUGGUUUGCAACUAAUGCACUUAUAUAUCUUGGAGCAUAGCCAUAGCCAUAAAUGAAAGGUUCUUCUGGUUCAAGAAAAUUAACCAUGAAGCUCGUAACUAGAAUUUUAGACAGAAGGUUGGCCAAGUAAACUCUUACCUCUGGAAUAAUACGGGGAAACGAAGUAAAAAUAGAUGUCUGUAUUUUGAUGCCAUUUAUUACUUUACUAACACUCGGCUAUAUCAUUAUUUGUUUUUACUUUUUGCUAAUGAUUUUGUUGUAUACAUUUCUGAUAUUAGUGUGGUGUAUGAGUUCACAGUUUUUUCUCACUACUGCUAACUUCUCUAUACCUGCCUUGUCAUUAAAAAUUAAAUGCAAUGUUUUACAUGUGCAGAAUGGAGACAUUAAAGAGGCAUCUUCCGUUUUCUGGUCAGGAGGGAUUACAAGAACUCAAGAAAAUUGCCGUACGGUUUGAGGAAAAGAUUUAUACUGCCGCCACCAAUCAGGUAUUCGGCUAAUGCUAGGUUCAAUAAUUUUGAUAUUCUCUGGACAUGAAUAUACACAUGCAUAAGUUUGUGGAUUUAUGCAUGUACACGUGUGUGUAGUGUGUCCACACUUCCUCACUGGUCAUUCUGUAGAAGUUCUUAUCUUUCCGUUAAUUCUCUUGACAAGUGUUUUAUUUAGAGUGACCAAGGUCCUUUUCAAGUACAAGGGAAGUGUGCAAAAAGCAAAUAACGAAUCAAUACAUAAAUAAUUAAAUAAAAAGAGGAGACACAGAAGUAUAUCCUCACAGAAGAUGCAAAUACAGAAAGCCUAGCAUAUUAGAAAGAGCAUAUAUCUCUUUUCCCCCUUCUCUUGUAACAUGGACUGCUCAGAGAUCUAAUGUUUUGUUAUUGAUAUCUGAUUUCAGUCUGAUUAUCUGCGUAAAAUAUCUCUGAAGAUGCUUACAAUGGAGACCAAGUCUCAAAAUACCAUACCCACUGGCAAUGGUAACAAACCCCUGGAUCCAGGAGGUAAUAAUGCAGCCAAGCAUUGAAUUUCUAAACAUCCUUACCUUUUGUUUUAUAUUUUGCAUUAUUAUCAAACUCUUUUACAUUUUAUUGCUGCAUCCUUACUCUUUUACCAUUAGGGAAAUAAUUUCUAAAAAUUACAGAUUAUUUUUGCCCCCCCCCCCCCCCCCCCCCCCCCGCCAGCCCCAAAAUUGUCAAAUGGCACUUUUAUGCUUUGAGUCAAAACCACCUUAAUUAUUUCCCUCAUAACUUUAUGUGUGAACUGUCAUUGUUUCAUUUGUUUUUCUUGUUCAAUGCCUUCUUUUUUUCCUUUGACAUGGUUAUCCUUUUUGCCUUUUAUCUUGAACAGCAUCUCAUAGUAUGCCGCCUCAAGUUCACAACCAAGGGCAGUCGCUCCCUAUCUCAUUGUCCAGUAAUCAGCCUCAAGCACGUCAGCAGUUAUCACAAAACAUGCAGAAUAGUAUGUCAUCUAAUGGAGUUCAAAGUUCUGCUGGUUUACAAUCAGCAAUGCCUUCUGUCUCCAGUUUAACCCAGACUAUCGCAAACACUGUUGGACAGAAUGCUAACAUGCAGAGUAUCUCUGGUGUUUCACAGAACCCAGUUGGGAAUUUAAUGGGACAAGGGAUUCCCUCCAAUAUGUUUGUCAAUUCUCAGAGACAAAUGCCAGGCAGGCAACAGGUUGUUCCUCCACAGCAACAGCAGCAGUCCCAAAAUCCUCAGCAGUAUCUUUAUCAGCAGCAGAUACAACAACAGCUUUUAAAGCAGAAGCUUCAACAGGGAAAUCAUCCACACUCACUUGUGCAAUCUCACAUCCACCACCAGCAGCAGCAGCAAAACUUGUUACAGCCAAAUCAGUUGCAAUCUGGUUUGCAAACAUCAACUGUUAUGCAGCCUUCAAUGAUGCAAACCGUCUCUGGCCUUCAACAGAACCAACCAUCUUCUGUUCAACAGUCAACACAACCAAUGCACCAGCAACAUCCACAAUCAGUCCUUAGGCAGCAGCAGCAACAACCUCAACAGUCUGCUGGUAUUCAUCAGCAGCAAACACCAAUGAUGCAGCAGCCACUAUUGCCUCCACAACAGCAGCUAAUGGGGCAACAAUCAAAUACCACUAACAUGUCGCAAAAUCAGUUAAUUGGACAGCAAAACAUUGUUGGGGACUUGCAGCAGCAGCAGCAGAGAUUGCUAGGGCAGCAGAAUAACCUUCAAAAUCUGCAGCAGCAGCAGCAGCAGUUAAUGGCUCAACAAAAUAACCUCUCAAGUAUGCAUCAGCAACAGUUGGGCCCUCAAAGUAAUGUCACUGGUUUACAGCAACAGCAGUUGCUUGGAGCUCAGCCUGGUAACUCAAGCAUGCAAUCUAAUCAGCACUCUCUACACAUGCUGCAACAGCCCAAGGUUACGCUGCAGCAGCAAGCACAACAAAGUGGAAGUGCUUUGUUGCCGAAUCAAGGGCAGCAGUCACACUCACAGCUGCCACAGCAGCAAUUGAUGGCACAGAUUCAAUCACAGCCUGGACAGCUGCAACAGCAAUCAAAUCCAUUACAACGUGAUCUGCAGCAAAGGCUUCAAGCAUCAGGCUCCUUGCUUCAACAGCCGAAUGUGAUUGAUCAGCAAAAGCAGUUAUAUCAACCUCAAAGAGCCCUUCCAGAAACGUCCUCAAGUAAGUUUUUGUCAUCCUUGCAGCUUUCUAGCCUUGCUCCAACUUUAAUUUUGCAGCUUUGUGCUUUCAUGUUAGAUUAUAACAUAUUUAUUUAAAUUUCUUGAAAAUACAAUAAUGGUUCAAGUCAGUAAUGCUCUUUUUGGUAGCUUUAUGAGCUACGGCUGCCACUUAUGGCAUCAGAAAUGCCACUGCUAUUGGAGCCAUUGUAAUCACACAUACAUUUGUUACGACAUCAUGCCAUCCAGUGCAUUGCACCAACUAUUCACCUCUCAUAAUGGUUCAAGUCAGCAAUGCUCUUUUGGUAGCUUUAUGUUCUACUGAUGCCACUGCUAUUGAAACCAUUGCAAUCACACUCGUUUGUUACCACAUCAUGCCCUCCAGCUCAUCGCACCAAUUGUUCACCUCUCAUUUUGAAUUUAACAGACAUGAAUUUUAAAAAUAUAUGUAUAACUGGACAAUGCAUUUGACACUAGGGUAACUAAUCAUCAGCCAAUUGAUUUUUAUGGGAAGAAAGAAAUUAGCAAGUGGACUAACUCUGAGGCACUUAAGGUUUGGUGUGCUGAUAAAUCAUUGAGCCUUUUUUUUUAAUAUAUAAUGAUCACUUGUUGGGGGGGGGGGGGGGGGGGAAGCAUUUUAAAGGGUCUCUCUGUCUAUUUGAAUGAUUACAUAACGUUGAGAUGGAGUUCCUAGUACUCCAAGUCCAAAAAGGACUUGUAUUCCUAUGUAAGAAAAUACCAAUGGUCCUAUCUGGGAUAGGGAAAACCUAUUAAAGCUCCUUAUUCUUUAGGAACAAUAAAAUACUAAAUAGAAAUAAAACCAAGACCUACAAUAUUCCAUAAUUUUCAGCAAGUGUGAAAAUUACAGAAAUACCCUUGUGUGCAGAAAACAUUCAUAAAAUACAUGAAUUCUAAUCUUUUGUUGGCUGUAUCAAAAUUUUUGUAGCAUCCCUAGAUUCUACAGCAGAGAUUGGACAUGCAAAUGGUGCUGAUUGGCAAGAGGAGAUCUACCAAAAGGUAAUUUCUGUAGUUUACUGUUCAUUAGAUGAAGUUCAUGUAUGUCAUUGUCUUGCAAGAUUUCAAUGGAAAAGGUCUCCUGGAAUUUGGUACAAGGGAGUUUUAUUCAGCUAUGGUUGUGAUUAGUUAGGAAGCAUUGUAAGUUCCAUGAUUGCAGCAACUAAGAAACGAUAAAUUACUGAUAAGAUGAUUAAAGGUAAAUAAUCAGAUUUCUAGGUCAAGAGGGUUAUUUUCUUGGUACUGACACGACAAUUUUUUCUAUUGCAAAUCUCUCCCUUUCAAUUUUUUCCCUGUAUUUCCAUACAUUUAUUGUGUGGUGAAUUAUUAUUUUAUUAUUUCCAAUAAGUCCAAUUGACAAUACUUCUUACUGUAAUAGACAGACUUGAAAACAAGAGUGAACUGUUUCUGAAUAGUCAUCGUUAUAUUUGGUUAAGUGAACAGUUAUUUUCAGGAUUACAAUCAAAUUUGUUCUGAAACAUGUGACAAUGGAAGAAAGGAAAAUAAGUGGACCUAAUCCAUUGAAUCAUGACCAUGUCCAGUAUUGUUGAAUUUUAUAGAAAACGAGGUUGAAAUUCUGAAUCGUUUAAUGGCUGUAGUUGCAAUUCAUAACUGCAUAUUUGAUGAGGUCAAUUUUUUUGUGCCUGGGAGGGUACUAAAACGGGAAUAGGAGUGGUUGUUGAUAAUUAGGAUAUAAGGGUUAUAAAUCUAAAGUUAUAAGGCUAAGAAGUGUUUACCAAAGUCGUGACAUCCAUUGACUUGAGUUAGAACAAUAGAAAACAAUGGUGAGUAGUUUGCCGUGAGACAAAGUAACUGAACUUGACCAACCCCUGAAUCUUGUCUGAAGGGGUAACUACACAAUCCUUUGCAUGCAAUCAAUAACGAUAUUCUCUUUUGAGUUUUCGGCAUUGAUUCCACUUUGCUAUUUUUAUCUCAAACAAUAUAUGCUGUCCUCUGCCAUUUUAUUUAUUUAUUUAUUUAUCAAUUCUCUCAAGUUUGCUUAUGUUUCUUUCUGACUCUGGCACGUGAAGAAAUCAAGCAUAUGAUUGAUAAUGUCUUGCUGGUUAUAUGUACUUCCUAGAUCAAAGUUAUGAAGGAAACGUAUUUGCCUGAAAUAAAUGAAAUGUACCAGAGAAUUGCUACCAAGUUACAGCAGGUAAAUUGUCUUUGUAAUUUUUUCCGAUUUAUUUGCCCACACAUAUUCAUAAACCCCCACAGUUGAGCUUUUGUAUUAAUUUGUUUUCCCCAUCAGCAUUGCUUGUCACUGUAUCAUCUGCACUAAUUACCUCCCCCACCCCCAACCACCCCACAACCAUGCAUUGACACAGAAGAAUUGGAAUAGAAACAUUUUUUUCACUUAUGUUUUACUAGUUUUGCUAGAAAGGAUCAAUGCAAUUUUUAAUUCUCGUGUAUGUUAACUUUGCUUUCCAGCAUGACCCUCUUCCGCAACAACCGAAGUCAGAACAGCUUGAAAAGCUGAAGGUAUUCAAGGUCAUGUUGGAGCGCUUGAUAACAUUCUUACAGGUCUCUAAAAACAACAUCACACCUAAUUUCAAGGAGAAAUUGGGUUUCUAUGAGAAGCAGAUUGUAGGUUUUCUAAACCCAAGCAGAUACAGGAAGCCUAUUCCUAAUCUACAGCAAGGACAACCUCCCCAACCUCGUAUUCAACCUAUGCAGCAACCCCAAUCUCAAGUUCCUCAAUUGCAGUCCCAUGAAAAUCAACUGAUUCCCCAGUUGCAAUCAAUGAAUACGCAAGGUUCUGUACCACAGAUGCAGCAGAACAAUAUGUCAAGCUUGCUGCAUAAUUCCCUUUCAACUUUAUCUGGGGAUUCGACGUCACAAUCAAACAUGAUGAAUCCAAUACAACCAGGCUCCAAUUUAGAUUCUGGACAAGGAAAUGCACUGAGCUCAUUGCAGCAGACACCUGUAGGAUCUGUACAACAGAAUCUCGUGAGCAUUUCCCAACCAACCAAAGUUAACACAUUGUCAACACAAAGUGGGGGGAGUAUGCUGCAGCCAAAUAUUCCCCUUCAGUCGAAUUCCAAUAUGAUUCAACACCAGCAUCUAAAACAGCAGCAGCAGCAGCAGCAUGAACAACAGAUGCUACAAACACAACAGCUUAAACGAUUCCAGCAACACCAGAAUUUAAUGCAGAAUCAACAGAUGCAGCAGCAGCAAUUACACCAGCAAGCUCCGUCUCCUAUGCCAGGAGAUUCUGACAAACCAGUUUCUGGUAUUUCCUCACUCUUAGAUACUGGAAAUAUUGUACACCAACCAUCUGUUGCACAAGCACUGGCUCCAUCCCUUGCAAUUGGCACUCCUGGGAUAUCUGCAUCACCUUUGCUUGCAGAGUUUACCAGUCCUGAUGGUGCUCAUGGCGGUGCUUUGACAACUGUUUCUGGCAAGUCAAAUGUUACAGAGCAAUCACUUGAGUGCUUGAUUAAAGCGGUUAGUGAUGCUCUCCUUUUGGUUUUACUCCACCCCACCCUUAUUUUGGAGGUUUCUGAAAAAGAAAGAAACUUCUUUGUGAAUGAGAUGGUGAUGCUGCAAUUUUUUUUCCCAGGUGAAAUCUCUGUCUCCCAAAGCACUUAGUGCAUCUGUCGGUGACAUUGGCUCCGUUGUCAGUAUGAUUGACAGAAUUGCUGGUUCUGCAGCUGGUAAUGGAUCUAGAGCUGCAGCUGGUGAGGAUUUGGUAGCAAUGACAGGAUGUCAUCUUCUUUCGUUUUUGUCUUUUUUAUUUUUCACGUGUUUCUCACAAGAUGGGAACUCGAGGGAAUAAAAAGUGCUGGGAAGUAAUUUUUGUUGGAACGUCUUGUGUAACAUCUUCUUUCGAUGAUGACCUUUUGGAUGGCUGCAUGAAGCUUGUUCCGCUUUAAAUUUCAAGGUUAAUCUAUUUCAAUUUGAAACUUGAGUUGCAACUGAACUUAAAUGAAAAGUGUUGGAUUUGGGCCUCUAUUUGUUUUAACUUGUACAGGGUUGAAGUGAUAGUGAUCUUAAAAGUACAAAAGCAGCAGACAAAAAUCAAUUAGCCACAAUAUAUAGUGUAUGGUUUCCUACUUUCUCAGUAUAAAGUUGAAUGUUUUGGUGAUAUAAUCUCUACAUCCAAAAUCAUAUAGACAGCUACUGCUGGCACUUGCAGUAGCCAAUGUUAACCAAAAUCAUAUAAUCUUAAAGUUGAAUGUUGUAUUUUCAUAAAUUAAAGGGAUUUCUCUUCUUUUCUUUGUCAAUUACAGUGCAUCAUAAUAAGUUUUCUUACUCAGUAAAUGCUAUUGUAAUUUUUUCACAGAGACUCCCCUGUUUUGCAACUAAUUCACUUCUGAAUAAAUCUGGGAAACAGAAAGGCAAUCAACAAAGAGUAAGGCAUCUUCUGAAGAAACAAAGAAAUUUAAUACCAUAAACUAAGCAGCACGUAGAAGGCAAAAACUGAGCACAAAUUUUCAGGAAGGGACAAACGAAAAAAACCAAAAAGAAAGCAAAGAAAAAUACAGACUCAAAUUCACAACACCCAUUUUCUUUCCAUUGGAACACUUUAAAUAGUUUAUUAAAUUUAUAAUGAUCUGAUUUCUACGCAUAUAAAAAAAUCAACUAAAUGAUCAAUUCUCUAUAAUUUCGGCAUUACUAAAAACAUCCAAACUAAUAAACAAUUAGUUAUUUUACUCAUUUUAAUAAACAUUUUAGUUAUGAAUUCACCAAACAUUUUGAACAAUUCAUAUUGAUGAAUUAACAUUUAAAUUUUAGAUUUUUUGAUUUAUUAUUUCCUUCGUGAGUUACUUCUAAAGUAUGCUAUAUAUCUUUAAGCAUUUUUAUAGAAUAUAAUUCUAUCAAAUUCACUUUUACCCAAUGCAUAAUAUAAAGUAUUCAUGGCUUUAACAUCCAUAAAAAAUAACUUUUUAUCAUUGUCCGUAUAUUCCCUUUUAGUUUUAGAAAUCUCAAUACCAUUUUUAAUUUGAUAGGUCUAGGAGAUCUAUUUUGUAUGGAUAGCCACAAAUUAAAAUCAAUAAAUUGAUAAUAAAUUAUCAUUAAACAAUUUAUUACUUGCUCUUUGGUAAUAAGAAUGUGAUUGUAAUAUUAUUUUGUAUGGAUAGUUUUAUCUAUCUAUUAUCUCAAUAACAAGAUUAACUUUGCAAUUAUAUAUCACACUUAUAUAAUCUCAAAUAAUAUUAAUUAAAAUGAAUCACAAAAAUUUAACACAGUAAUUCUGCAAAAAAAAUAAAAACAAUUUAAUAAACAAUUUAACUUUGCAAUUAUGUUUUUAUUUGUUUGUUUUUCUAUGAGACACAAUGGAAUUUUCAAUAGAAACUACAACAAUACAAAUAAUUACAAAUAUUUUUCUUUCAACAUCAACAUAAAAAAACAUUAUGCACUUUUCGAUACUUACGUAAUUCUAGGAUUAAAGAAACAAUAACAUCUAAGGGGGGUGAAUUGGGUGUUGCACUAAUUAUAUCAAAUAAUGGUGUUGCACUAAUUAUAUCAAAUAAUGCAAUAAUUAACAAUAUAAUUAAAGUGUUUAAAGUAAAUAGAUAAGGAAAUAGAUAUUACAAACUCGGUUUUUAAUGUGAUUCGGUAAGCCUACAUCUACACCUCAAGUACUAACCGUACUUGAGUAUUGUACUCUUUUACCAAUCCAAGUGAAAUAUACAAAUGCCCUUGAUAAAUCCACACCGAGAAAUUAUACCACUUGAAGUUUUUUCUCUUGGUGACAAUACAUCACUAAUGCUAGGAGUUUAUCCAAACUCACAAAUGUUUACAAUUAUAAUUUGUUUGCAACAAGAUUCACUCUCUCAUAAAGUAAAUUGUACAAUUGAAAACUAUAAUCUUUAUAACUCACUCGAUAGCACUCAAGAUGAUUGAAAGUGUGUAAAUAUAAUGAGUGUGAGACAUUAUACUCAUGUGUUAGAAUAUAAAGAUUUAAUUUAGCACAACUUAAAAGCAUGUUAUGAUUGAUGAUUUCUAAUUGAUUUUUUUUUAAAAUAACUUCUAUGUUAUAUAUGUUUGGAAUCUCUCUUUUAUUUGUUAUAUAUAUAUAUAUAAACUAAUUGUUUAUAGUUGUUGAGAUGUCUCUAACAGCUAAAGUAAUCUAUAUGCAACUUAAACAAAAGAAUUCCAAUUAAAUGGAAUUGCACUUAACAUGUAUUAUUUCAAAUGCAACAAUUGCAUAGAUAACAGACAACAAGGAAUUUAACAGAAGAUAUAUACACUUUACUUUUCCUACUAAAAUUAAACUAUUGGAAUUUAACAUAGUCAUAAUCAAUUUGUUCUUGUGAGAUUAUCUAUUACAUGUAUAACAAAUAUAUUAGAAAAUAAAUUGUUUUAAGAUUGUUAGAACACCUUAAAUAGUUCAUAAAAUUAUUGUUCCAUUUUACUAUAAUAAUCAAGUUUCCACAUAAUAUAAAUCAUGCAUAUAAAUUAAUAAUCAAAAUAAAAAUUAAAUUAAGAUAACAAUCAAUUUUUUAACUUUAAAAUAAUUUAUCAUCUAUUUUCUAAUACUAAUAGUAUGAUUGUAAUAUUAUUUUUUAAUUUAUUUAAUAAUUUAAUUUUGAUAGCACAACCAAAAAUAAAUAAUGAACCAAAAUUUAUAUGAUAUUUUUUAUAAAAAAUUUGAUAAAAAAAAUAUAAAAACAAAAAUAAUGUCUCAAUUAGAAUAAUUUUUUCAUUAAUGAGAAGGCCCACCACAGACCAAGAGGACAGCUUCAAUGAAGCCAAUGCAGGUGAUUACCCGUCGGCUAACAUCUCCUCGCGCGCCUAGCACCAGCUAAACCGCCUCAAUCUGAACAUGCACCAGACAAAGUCUAUGAAAAGACGCCAGGGAGCCUCAGCAGCCGAGAAGAAAGCACGGGAACACCCACCGCGCGAGAAGAAACGCGAAAAACAGGAGACGGAGCGCGGUAAAGACUGAAGCCACAGGAUUCACAUACAGUGAAGCACUCUUAGUUUUAUAUAUAUAUAAUUCUUUUAGUUUGUUAGUUAUGAACAGUGAAGCAGCACAAGAAUACAAUUCUCCUGUUUGUUUGCUGGAAAAUAGUUUUUUUUAGAAAGUGAAUUAUUUUCCGAUGUUUGGUAGUGUAAUGGAAAAUAAGUUAGAAAACAUUUUUCAGUGUUUGGUUAUGUCAUGGAAAAUGAGUUGGAAAAUAACUUAUUAAUAUUUUAUUUUUUUCAAUUUUAUUAAAAUAAUAAAGAAUAAAUCUUACAAAUUAAAAAGUUGAAUGAAAAUAAAAUUGAAAAAAAAUAUAAUUUCAUAAAUUAUCUUAAAUAAAAUAAAUAAUAAUCAAAAUAAUAAAAAUCAAAUCUAAAAAAUAAAAAAUUUGAUCGCUUCAUUAAUUUCUCGUUAGGAAAAUGUUGAGCUUCUCAGCAAUAUUUCCUUACCUUGUGCCGCUAACUUGACGGUAAAAUGUGAUUAAAGGAUCAAUUAAUUAUUUAAAUCAACUUGAGGGAUUAAUCUGUUUGUUUAACAAAAAUACAGACACUAGUUAAAUAGAAUUUAACUCAAAUUUUAAUCAUCAUAUGCGUGCGUGUGCGUGUGCGCACGCGUGCGAGCGAGGGUUUACUCGUUAAUUUUUUUAGAAGGAAUCUGGAAAAGAAUAAAGUCAUCUAUUUCACUUUGGUCCAACAUCCCUCAAAGGCGCAGCUGUGCAUCUAGUUAGGAAGAACAUUUUAUAACUCACCUCAAGGUCGAGCAUGGUCAGGGUUAUUGUGUUGUCUAUUCCGAGGAAGAUGUGGCGUUCAAUCCAUGUGAAUCGCACGACUUGUCCAUAUCUUUCUUAUUGAUUACAAAUAGCAUUGAGAAUUAAAGAAUAUUAUCUUAAUAAGUUCCAAUUUAUUCUACAAAACUAUAUAUAAAGAUGUGACAAAAAGAUGUAUACAAAUUAGUUAUUUAUUGUUUGUAAGUAUUAUUGUAUUGCAAAGACAAAAAUAAGAUGCAACUUAUGGCGUGGUCGUCCAACCUGGUUCUGGUUUUGAUCCUGUUCAAAAUCUAUUUUGUUGAAUUGUUGAUCUACUUGUGAGUUAUUGGGUUAACUAGAUCAAUUUUUUAAACAAAACAAUGCCAUUUUAAAAAAAAAAUUGGUUCUGACAUAGAAAUAUAAUAUUAGAAACUUAAACCUUAUUGAUUAGCAAAAACUCAAUGGGAAAUUUAGUUUUGAAAUAGAUUGUUGUAAAAUCAAAUAUGAAUUGAUAACCAGAAAGUUUGCUUAAAAUUGCAAUAACCUUAUAGAAGAAAGCAAACAUAAAUAGAAUUAUUAAAUUCAAUGGAGUUCAUAUAACCAGGAUCACGAGUUUAGCGAGUUAAGCCAUGAAACCCUAAUCGAUCAAAUAUGUCGCCGUUUCAAUUAAAAAAAAUACAUCUUAAAAAGAAUUAAGCUAAACCACGUUUCUACCUAUUAUCUGGGUUGUCUUUAGACUUGUCAAGUCGACUGAGCCAUAUUAGGACAACUUCCAUAUAAUUAAAUUUGAAACUCGAGCUAGAUAAGAAAUCAGGUCAGGAAAUUUUAAUAUUGAUUUGUUGAAUCGGAUUUAAUAACAAUGCCAAAGAUCUGAAUAUUUAUUUUUUACUCAAUUUUUUUUAGGUCCUGUUUGUUUGAUGGAAACAGUUUUUUUUUAGAAAGUGAAUUCCUGUAAAGUGAAUUAUUUUCUGAUGUUUGGUAGUGUGAUGGAAAAUAAAUUAGAAAAUAUUUUCCAGUGUUUGGUUAUGUUAUGAAAAAUGAGUUGAAAAAUAGCUUAUUAAUAUUUUAUUUUUUUUCAAGUUUAUUAAAAAAACGAGGAAUAAAUCUUACAAAUUAAAAAGUUGAAUGAGAAUGAAAUUGAAAAAAAUAAUCUAAUUUUAUAAAUUAUUUCAAAUAAAAUAAAUAAUAAUCAAAAUAAUAGAGAUCAAAUCUAACAAAUAAAAAAAUUGAAAGAUGAUGAAAUUAAAAUAAUAAUAAUUACAAUUUCAUAAAUUAUUUCAAAUAAAAUAAAUAACAAUUAAAAGAAUAAGGACCAAAUUUGAUAGAUAAAAAAUUUCAAUUAAAAAAAUGAUAAGACAAAAGCAAAUAACAAUCAUAAAAAUAAGGACCACAGUUAAUAUAAAAAUCAAAUUAAAUCAAAUUUUAAGGAAGGAAAUUAAAAAAAAAGAUUCAAACAAAAUAUAUAUCAAUUAAAAGUUUGAAGACUAAAUUUGAUAUAAUCAGCAAAUAAUAUGAUAUUUCUAAAUUUUUCACAACUUCUGGAAAAUGUUUUCCGUCCAAAAUAAAAGGAAAAUACUUUCCUGAAAAUCGAGUUAAAUUUUUCUUUGACUGUAAAGUGUUUUCCAUUGACCAACUUUUUUAAUGACAAACAAACACAUGAAUGUUUGGAAAGUGGUUUCUAGAAAAUUAUUUUCCAGGCAAACAAACACCCCCUUAAUUCAAUCACUAAAGAGUUAUCCAAGAAUAAUUAUUCUCCACUAGCAGUUGUUGCAUACUAAAUUUUUUUUGUCAAAACAUACAUGAUAGGUGGCUUCAAUAUCAAUCCACCAUUUUUUAGGAUUUUCCAUGAAGUUUACUUCUAAUAUAACUACAACAAGCUUAGUAGCUUUCUCAUCAACAUUCUCAAUCAUAUGCUAAGAAAUCAUGGUUUUGUUGAGCUUUGUUAUCAUCAUAGGCUUGAUGAUGGAAGGAUUAUUGCUUCAUCAUGCUUUAUAUUUAAGUUCACGCCACUCAAAUUAUUUUGGUUUUUUCCCCACAUGAAGAAUGUUUAGGAAUCGGGUUUGCCAUCUAAACCACAAAGAUUACUAGGUUAACAAGUACAUCGAAAUCAUUAACAAUAGUUUUAUCCAUCUAUUAUCUCAAUAAUAAAAUUAACUUUGCAAUUAUAUAUCACGCUUAUAUAAUCUCAAAUAAUAUUAAUUAAAAUGAAUCACAAAAAUUUAACACACUAAUUGUGCAAAAAAACAAUUUAAUAAACAAUUUAACUUUGCAAUUGUGUAUUUAUUUAUUUGUUUUUCUAUAAGACACAAUGUAAUUUUCAAUAGAAACUAUAACAAUACAAAUAAUUAUAAAUAUUUGUCUUUUGACAUCAACAUAAGAAAACAUUAUGCACUUUUUUAAAGUUACGAUAAAAACAAAUCUGAUUGAUACUUAUGAUAUUCUAGGAUUAAAGCAAUAAUAACAUCUAAUAGAGAUAAAUUAGGUGUCAAACUAAUUAUGUCAAAUAAUACAAAUAAACAUGCUAAACACAUAUAAUAUAAUAAUCAACAAUAUAAUUAAAAUGCUUAAAAUAAAUAGAUAAGAAAAGAGAGAUUACAAACUCGGUUUUUAACAUGGUUCAGUAAGUCUACAACCACAUCUCAAGUACUAAUCGUAAUUGAGUAUUGUAUUCUUUUACUAACCAAUAAUAUAUUAUUUCACCAGUAAUUAUUAUCCAAUAUGCAACUUUUUUUUCCAAUCUUCUGUUUUUUUUUUCCAUAUCAAUCCAACAAUAAAGAAAAUAACAUGUAACAUAAAAUUUCUUUCCCCGUAGAAUCAAUGCAACAAGUAUACAGAUACCACACAACAAACAAUUUAACAAGUCAUGUAAUUUAACAGAAGAUAUAUUUACUUUGCUUUUCCUACUAAAUUUAAACAACUUUUUUGUAAUCUAUGUCAACAUAUAAAACAUAUAUAUAAAUCAAUAAAAAAAAUAAAAAAUAGGUAGAGGUAAUGAUUAAUUUUUUAGCUUUAAAAUUUUUUAUCAUCGCCUCUUUAUGCUAGUAAUGUAAUUGCAAUAUUAUUUUAAAUUAAUUUAAUAUUUUAUUUUUGAUAACAUAACCAAAAAUAAACAGCGAACCAGAAUUUAUAUAGAGUUUCCUAUAAAAAUUUUGAUAAAAAAAAAUAUAAUAGAAAUAAGUUUAUAAAAACAAAAACAAUGUCUCAGUUAGAAUAAUUUUUUCAUUAAUGAGAAGGCCUGCCACAGACCAAGAGGAGAGCUUCAAUGAAGCCAUCCCAGCCGAUGCAGGUGAUUACUCAUCGGCUGACAUCUCCUCGCAUGCCUAGCACCAGCCAAACCGCCUCAAUCUGACAUGCACCAGACAAAGUCGAUGAAAAGACGCCAGGGAGCCUCAGCAGGCGAGAAGAAAGCGCGGGAACACCCACCGCGCGAGAAGAAACACGAAAAACAGAGACGGAGCGCGGUAAAGAUUGUGAAGCCACAGGAUUCACACAUAGUGCACCGUGUUUUAAUGAGUUAUAUGUAUAUAUAUAUAUAUAAUUAUUUUAGUUUAGUUUUAGUUUGUUAGUUAUGAACAGUGAAGCAGCACCAGAAUACAAUUCUUUUAGUUUGUUAGCGAAUUUGGAAAGAAUAAAGUCAUCUGUCAAGCUCUGUUCACUUUGGUCCGACAUUCUUCACCUCUCCCCACCUGAGCUCUCUCUCUUUCCCUCCUCCGCUCUAGGAAGCCGCCACCACCUCAACCAAUAAGGCUUCAAAUCUCCACCAGGUGCUUCCUUUUCUAUCAUGUUUUUUAUUUUUAAAAUUUACAUCUGUGUUUUCAUUUAUUUAACUGAAAUUCUUAUCCAGAGAGAUAAAUUCGAUUUUAAUAAGUAAAUUAAAAAGAUAUAUAAUCGGAUCGAUGAAAUCGUUGUUCGUGAACGCAACUCGAAGAAAGGCGUAAUCAGCCGAUUCUACUGUGGGUGGAGCAUUUAGUAUGGUCAGGGUUAUUGUGUUGUUUAUUCAAAGAAAGACAUGCCUGUAAAUUUGUUAAGUUGAUUCUUAUCAGUCUGCUCUUUAGAGUUAAUGAUAACAUGAAAUAUUCAUUGUUAAUGCUCGUUGUUUUCUUCGUCUUUUUCCUAGACUAAAACAUCCUAGACAGUCUCUUUGGGAUGGGUUAGUGUUUCUGGCCUCUUCAUCUUCAAUUUGUGCUGUGGUGAAAGGCCUCGUUUUAUGACUUUGUUUUGUAUUCUUCUUAUUUCUUUAUUCUUUUGGGGAUGUGGUGUUUUCCUCUUUCUAUUACACUAUUUACUCCCUACAAUAUUUAUUUUUUCAGAGAAGUAAAUAUAUGCAUAAAUAACAAAAACAGGAGGGGAAGGGGAAUGGGGUUUGAUAGUAAGUAUUUGCUUAGAAGGGAAUGCUUCUUCGGUUUAGAAGCACCAUGAAGAUUCUUUGCUUUGAAUGGCCGAAUACCCAGGAUCCUAGCACCUAGGCCUGAAUGUUUGUGUAUAUUUGUUAUGCAUCCAUAUUUGGCUGAAUUCUUUAAUAAAGUACAUGAUAUUAGACGGAAGUUCUUUUUAAAUCUAUUCAAGUCUGAAUAAACUGAUAUUCCAUUUUUCAUGUUCUUGAUGUGCUUUUGCUCUUCUUGUCGUUCCUGACUUUCUUUUAAGGGUCUAUUCUAACAUGCAAUAUGAUUUUUUUUUUCUUUUUGGUUGGCCAACUGUCCUAGGCGGAGAACCUAUCAUAGACACGGGUGAUUGGAGAAUUCAAUUGCAGCCUGACUCAUGGAAAAGAAUAAGCGACAAAAUGUAUGUGCAAGUGCUGCAAAAUAGUAAAUUUUUUUAUUUAUAUGAAAGAAAAGGAGAAUGGCAAAGGGUUAAUUAAAAUCAACAAGAUAGCCAUGAGGCAACCUCAAGUAUCACACACCUUUUUUUUUUUUCAUCUUUUAAUGUGUUUCUCACGAGAAGAAAACUUGAGGGAACAUAAAGUGAUGGGAAGUAAUUUUUGUUGGAAUUUCUUGUGUAAUCUCUUCUUUUGAUGAUGACCUCUUGGAUGGCUGCAUGAAGCUUGUUCCGCUUUUAAUUUCAAUUUAAAACUCGAGUUGCAAUUGAACUUAAAUGAAUGGUGUUGGAUUUAGGCCUUCUAUUUGUUUUAACUUCUACAGGGUUGAAAUGAUAGUGAUCUUAAAGUUGAAAAGCAACAGACAAAAAUCAAUUAGCCACAGUGGUGCAUGGUUUCGUAGUUUCUCAGCAUAAAGUUGAAUGUUUUGUUGACCUCUCUACAUCCAAAAUCAUAUAGACAGCUACUUCUGGCACUUGCAUUGGUCAAUGAAUACUGUAAAGUAUAUAUUGCAGUGUGAGAUAAGGUUAACUCGUUGCAUUUUCAUAUAUUGAAAAGAUUUGUCUUCUUUUCUUUGUCAAUUACAGCAAAUGUGUAGAAGUUACUCAGAGUAAAUGCUAUUGUAAUGUUUUCACAUACUCCCCUGCUUUGCAACUAAGUCACUAAUAUAUGAAGCUCGUAGCUAGAAUUUUUAGAUAGAAGGGUGGCCAAGUAAACUCCUAUAAUAUGUACCUCUGGAAUAAUACAGGGAAAAGAUGUCUAUGUAUUUUGAUGUCUUAUAAUACUUGACCAACUCUUGCUUAUCUUGUUGUUACCCAUUUUUUAGUUCACAUAAAAAUGAGAAAAUACAAAAAACAAAUAUCAAAAGAAAUCCAAAAAAUAAUAGGAGCGAGAAAAGGAUUGCUGGAAUGCCGAAAAAAAAAUGCCAAAAUUGGUUGAGGAGAUUCAAAAAUGCAAAAGGUUGAAAUUUGACAGUGAGAGUCCUGUUGAUGAGGAAAAUUCAAUUUGAGAAAGAAAAGUCCAAAAUCAGAUGUUUAUGGACUCAAUUAAAUUUUAUCCAAGGUUUAAUUGAAUUUAUAGAGGGUUUGAUUGCAAGAAAAUUGAUUUUGUAAGUCAAUUUAGGCUUUUAUCGGAAGAAAUUAAAGUUCUGGGGUCCAAUUAUAAUUUUAAAGAGUUGAUUUGGUCAAAUCAGGGGCUUAAUUGCAUAAUUAUUGAAGUUUGAUGGCCAAUUAGGGACUUAAUUGAAAUAAUUUGAGACCAAGGAUCAAACCAGAAAAGGCGCUAACAUUAAGGGAUCCAAUUACAAUUUUGUCAGGGGGGUUUGAUUAUAAAACAGCGAAAACUUCAAGGGCCAAAUUAGAAGAACCCAAGCGGCGCCGUUUCCACCAUUAAUGGUCUUCAAACAGCUGUGAAUCGGUGACGAUAAUGGAAGGAGACGUUAGCAGCAAUUAUGGAAAAUAUUCUCAAUUCAAUGGGGCUGGUAUCGCGGCUGACAUCCCUCGUCACCGUGAUGGGCGCCGGCUUACCAAUAUUGCUGGCGUCCUCUGGCUAUAAAAGCCAGAGGAAGAGCUGCACCAAAAAUAAAAGGAGGUGAGAGAGAGGAGAGGCUACAGUGAAGAAAAAAAAAGGGGAGUGAGACAGUUUAUGAGAACGUAAGAAAAGUGAGAGGGUGGAGAAAUAGCGAGCAAGCAUAAGGGAGAGAAGAGGAAGGAGAGAAAGAAGCAAACCGAACGGGAACAGAGGACACGGUGAAGCAGAGAACCCAGCACCACCAUCGUCUUCGUCUUCUCAAAAUCAGGUAUGUUCGAUGCCCUUCUCCGUUUCCUUGCAAAAUGAGAUGAUGCAUGUUAGUAUGUAAAAUACAGAAAGAAAAUAUAAGGAAACCGACACCAGAAAUCGCCAGUUACAAUGCUCUGUUUUGUUUUCCUUUUUCAUUCUCGCACUGCAACAAAGAUGGUUAACAGAGCGAAGGUAAUUUAAUUACCUUCGCCCUGUUCAUACAAGCCUAAAUAUAUUAUGGUGCCAUUAGAUAAAAAUAUGCCUUGCAGUCUAGAUGGUCAGCUUACCUGGCUCUCAUCCGAGAGACCCGGUUUCAAGUCCCAACAAGGGAAUUCCUUUUUGAAGGUGGUCACUGGCAUGGGCCAGUGACCAUGCUGGGCUAGCUGAAUCCAGCCCAGCUACGCAGGUUGGCUGGGGUCCAGCCCAGCCAUAUGGGCCGGGUUGGGCCCAGCAAUAAAAAAUAAAAGAAUAAAAAUAAAUAAAAAUUCAAAAAAAUUAUUUAAAUAUCUGUGAUUUUCCGUCAAUUUUUACUGCAUUUUAAUUAAUACGGUUUGUAUUUUUAUACUGUAAAGAUACAAAUCCGGUAUUAAAAUACCAUAUUUUGGUCCAAACAUUAAAAAAGAAGUUUUGUUUUCAUACAUACGGCUAAGUCUCUCAAAAAUAAAAAAUCAUAUUGUAUUUUCAUACAACAAAGAAAAUUUCAAAAAAUAUGUAUUAGCAUGCAUUUUGGCUUUAAUAACCAGUUUAUUAAAGUCACGAGAACUAGGCCAAUAUUUCAAAAAUUCUAAAAAAUUUAUUUUGUUUUCUUUUAAUAUCGGGGGCCGGGUUAUGAUCUUAUACGUAAGACGUGUUCCAGAUAUUAAAUUUUCUUUGUUGGCAUUAGACCGGUUAGGUUUUACCCGAUAAGAUAAGGAUCUCUUUACCGAAGAGAACUUUUCUUAAACCAUAAACGGACCAACAAAUAGAAAGCACAACAUGACCUUAGAUUUUAUCAGACAAUAAAACAAUGCAGCUUACCUUAGGUAGGGCGUAUUUGGGGUGCUAAUACCUUCCCUUUACGCAACCAAUCCUCGUACCCGAUCUCUGAGACCAGUUAGGGUUCCUAGUGACCAAAAUACUAGGUGACGACUUUCAUUCUAUUUUUUCACUGAUAAAAGACAAGAAUACCUUGUCUCCACACAUUUGCCACAUUUUUAGAUAAGAUAAGAUAGAAUUCGAGGGUGGAUGUUUUCGCCGCGACGCCGCACACGUGCGACAUAUCUCAUUAUUUGUUUUUACUUUUUGCUAAUGAUUCCACACAUUUCUGAAAUUGGUGUGGUUUAUGAGUUCAGGGUUCUUGCUUGCUGCUGCUAACUUCUCUAUACUUGCCUGGUCAUUAAAAAUGAAACGUAAUGAUUUGCAUGUGCAGAAUGGAGACAUUAAAGAGGGAUCUUCUGUUUUCUAGUCAGAAGGGAUUACAAGAACUCAAGAAAUAUGCCAUACGUUUUGAGGAAAAGAUUUAUAUUACCGCCACGAAUCAGGGUUCAAUAAUUAUGAUAUUCUCUUGACAUGAAUAUACACAUGCAUUUAUGCAUGUACAAAUGUGUGUGUAGUGUGCCUCCACUUCCUCACCGUGCAUUCUGUAUGCAAGGCUGAUUGGGAGUUCGCAUGUUUUUGUUAAUUCUCUUGACAAGUGUUUUAUCUAGAGUGACCAAGUUCAAGUACAAGGGAAGUGUGCAAAAAGAAAAUAGCAAAUCAAUACAUAAAUAAUUAAAUAAAAAGAGAGGAAACAGAAGUAUAUCCUCACAAACGAUGAAAUGAUAGAGCAUAUAUCCAUUUUCCUCCUCUUGUAACAUGGAUUGCUCUGAGAUCUAAUGUUUUGUUAUUAAUAUAUGAUUUCAGUAUGAUUAUCUGCGUAAAAUAUCUCUGGAGAUGCUUUCAAUGGAGAUCAGGUCUCAAAAUACCAUGCCCACUGCCCCCAUGGAUCCAGCAGGUUAUAAUGCAGCCGAGCAUUGAAUUUGUAAACAUCUUACCUUUUGUUUUGUUUGUCGCAUUGUAAUCAAACUCUUUUACAUUUUAUUGCGGCAUAUUGCUAUGUGUUUAGCAUGCUUUAAUCAAAAAGUUGAGUAAUUGAUGAAUGUUAGGCAAGAAUAUUACAGAUUGUUUUUGUUUUCUGCCUCCUCCUUUUCUUUCCUCCACCUUGAAAAUUGUCAUAUUAUUUUUGUUUUCAGUCGCCUCUUCUUCCCCCAUCCCUGAAAAUUGUCAGAGGACAUUUUUAUGCUUUGAAUCAAAUCCAUCCUAAUUUUUUCGCUCAUAACUUUAUGUGUGAACUGCAUAUGUUUCAUUUGUCUUCCUUGUUCAGUGCCUUCUUUUUUUCUGUGACAUGGUUUUCCCUUUUGCCUUUUAUCUUGAACAGCAUCCCAUAGUAUGCGCCCUGAAGUUCAGAAUCAAGGGCUGUUUCUCCCUAUCCUAUUGUCCACUGAUCAGUCUCAAGCAUGUCAGCAGUUGGUAUCACAGAACAUGCAGAAUUGCAUGGCAUCUAAUGGAGUUCAAAGUUAUGCUGGUUUACAAGCGGCACUGCCUCCUGUCUCUGGUGUAACCCUGACUAACCCCAACACUGUUGUCCAGAAUCCUAACAUGCAGAGUAUCCCUGGUGUUUCACAGAACUCAGUGGGGAAUUCAAUGGGACAAGGGAUUCCCUACACUAUGUUUGCCAAUUCUCAGAGACAAAUGCCAGGUAAUGCUCUUUUUGGUAGCUUUAUGUGCCACUGCUUCCCUUUAUGGCAUUAGAAAUGCCACUGCUAUUGGAACUAUUGCAAUCACACAUGCAUUUGUAACCACACGAUGCCCUACAGUGCGGUGCACCAACUGUUCACCUCUCAUAAUGGUUCAAGUCAGCAAUGCUCUUUUAGGUAGCUUUAUGUGCCACUGCUGCCACUUGUGGCAUUAGUAAUGCCAUUGCUAUUGAAACCAUUGCAAUCACACACGUAUUUGUUACCACAUCAUACCCUCCAGUGCAUUGCACCAGCUAUUCGCCCUCUCAUUCUGCAUUUAUAUGAUCACAUAACAUUUAUAUGAAGUUCUUAAUACAAAAAGGACUUGUAUUCCUAUAUAGGAAAAUACUAAUAGUCCUAUCUAGAAUAGAAAAAACCUAAUGAAGCUCGCUAUACUUUGGGAAUAAUUAAAUACUAAAUGGAAAAUAAAACUGAGACUCGUAAUAUUUCAUAAUUUUCAGCAAGCGUUAAAAUUAUAGAAAUACCCUUGUAUAUGGAAAACACACAAAAAUACAUGAAUUCUAAUAUUUUGUUGUCCGCAUUGAAAUUUUUGUAGCAUCCCUAUAUUCUACAGCACAGACUGGACAUGCAAAAGGCGCUGAUUGGCAAGAGGAGAUCUAUCAGAAGGUAAUUUCUGUGAUUUACUGUUCAUUAGAUGGAGUUCAUGUUUGCCAUAGUCUUGCAAGAUUUCAAUGGAAAAAGGUCUCAAGAAAAUAAGUGGGACUUAUUCCAUUGAAUCAUGACCACAUCCAGUAUUGUUGAAUUUUACAGAAAAUGAGGUUGAAAUUCUGAAUGUCUCAAGUCAUAGCUGCAUGUUUAAUAAGGAGAUUUUUUUUUUGUGCUUAGGAGAGUUUUAAAACGGGAAUAAGAAUGGUUGUUGAUAAGGACAAUUUUUUUUGUGCUGAGGAGACCAAUAUUUGCUGAGCAAUUCUAUAAUGAAAAGUUGGCGACUGAUGUUUUAAAAAUUGGAGUUAAGGAAUGGCUUAGAGUGCAUGGAGAUCAUGUUAAAAGUGAAGCUGUAGAGAAGGCAAUCACUCAAAUUAUGAUGGGUGAAGAAGCAGAGGAAAUGAGUAGCAGAGCAAAGAAACGGCCAGGAAGGCUGUUGAAGAAGGUGGAUCUUCUUGCUCCGAUUUCAAUGCUUUGAUUGAAUAACUGAGGUGGGGUCGCCCUUGAAACAAAGACAUAGAACAUUUUGUUUAUACUUUAGUAGUGGUUGUGGCAAUUUAUUUUCGGACAAGUCUUGAGAGUUGAAAGAGUAAUCACACCCGAGUCAAUGACCAAUCCAAAUCAGUUUCCUUCCUAAUGAUUCAGGAAUGAGAAGUCCAGCUUAUAUAUUUAACCCAAAUAACUAAUCAAAUAGAAAGGCUGAGCUUAGAGAUAGUACACUACAUAUUGCCAAUAACUAGAUAAACAAUCAUCACAAACUAGGAACGACCGUCUCCCCAAUAACAAAUUCACCUUCUGAAGUUAGAGAACUUGCGAAAACUAGCCACCACAAAAUAGUAGCAAGUAUCUAUGCAGUCUUCGAUGAAGUACAACCACCUGCGUCGCCAAUAUGGAUUGAUGUAGAGAACUGCUGCAAUCGUCAUCACCACAACUGUGUAACAUACACCGAAACUGAUGUAGAAAAACUCCAUAUCUAUGAAACCAUCAUCUCCUUGUUCAUCAUUAGGCACUGGCUGUGACACCACUGCCUUCUCACUACAAUUGUUUGGCAAUGGAGGUCCACACAAGAAAGGAUUUCCUUCGUAACAGCUUUCAUCGAAGGUCCCAAACUGAUAUAUUCUCUCGGGUGUCUUGCCUGACAAGUUAUUGUGCGCCACACUAAAAACUUCCAGUGUGGUAACUUCAGUAAAUUGUGGAGGGAUGGCACCAUUCAAGUUGUUGUAAGAAAGAUCCAAACUCUCAAUAUGCAUUAGGUUUGAGAAUGUUGCAGGGAUAGAUCCAGUGAGAUUGUUGUGUGAUAAGUUUACUGACAGUAUCUUACUUAAGUUUCCAAAUUCUGGUGGGAUUGCUCCGAUGAAGUUGUUAUUGGAGAGAUCAAUACCAAACAUGUAGUUGAGAACUUUCCCCUUGUACCCAUAAUACAUAUUUUUAGUUGUAAAUUCUGUCACUUCUUCUGUAAAGUUAAACAAAAAAAAAUUUCUCAAGUUGUCCACACUAUCCACUAGUGGUGGGCCCAUUAUUUCAUAAUAAGCUUUUUCUAUGGACUCUGAUAUAAAACCAUAUGCGACUUCCAAUAUCGCUUUCUUGUCACUUUUCUUGAAAGUAAGAUUGCCUAAACAGGAGGGUAGUGGACCAGAGAGCUGGUUGUGUGAAACAUCCAAAAUGCUUAAUUGUUCUAACAAGCAUAACUGAAUAGGGAGCUCACCAUCAAAGUGAUUAGCCCUCAGAAGAAGAACACUCAAUGAUGAAAGAUUGCCAAUCCAAUUUGGAAUGGAGCCGGUGAAGCUGUUUUCUCGAAGAUCCAUCGUAACCAGGUAAGAGCUGUUAAAAAAUGCAUAUGUUAAUGGACCGCUCAGUCUAUUUUUCGAUAGAUGCACAUGGGUUAUUUGUGGUGGACUAAAACAAGAUGGUAUAUAUCCAGACAAGUUGUUCUCAGAAAGGUCCAAAUAUUCAAGCUGGUCAAACUUACAAAAAUCUCUUGGGAUCGGACCCUUAAAAUGGUUUCCGGACAAAUCAAUUACUCCAAGGAUCGAAAAAUUAACGAAGCUCCUUGGAAGCAUGCCCGAAAAUUGAUUGUUACUCAAAUCUAAUACAUUCCAUACAUUCCACCUAUAUAAUGGAAAAUCUGAUAUCUGACCCCAAAAGUUGUUACCAUUUAGGUAAAGAAAAUUCAGGCGAGAAGAAUUGAACACCGAGGUCGGUAUUUUCCCACCCAAAUUGUUGUUUGACAGCUUGAGAACCCAUAUUGUUGUUAGUUGUUCUAGUUUUACUGUAGACAAUUGAUUGUUGGAUAAAUCUAAAAAUGAAAGAGAGCUAAUAUUUCCUAAACAGGAAGGAAUACAACCUGUGAAUCCAUUCUUAGCCAUCCUUAAGGUGUGUAGAUUUGGAAAGAUCAAACAAAUAUCUUUUGGAAUUUGACCGUUCAUGUUGUUGUUGGAUAUAUCUAAAUUGGUCAUAUUCGGAUGGAGGUGAUCUUGCAACUGCAAAGCACCAAUAAAGGAGUUGUCGCUCAGAUAUAGUUGUUCCAAUCGUGUAUUGUUCUUAAGCAACCACGAUGGAAACAUUCCAGUGAUGUUGUUGUGGGAGAGAUCAAGGGCUCUUAAGUCUAAUUGGUAAUAGAGGAAGUCGGGAAUUACAUUGAGUGCUUCCGAUGUUGGACUACUUGACAAGCGGAAAAAGACUAGUUGGAACUUUGGAAUCAAAUUAUCAAAGGCAGCAGGUUCUGUUACUAGCUUGUUGUUCUCACUGGAGAAGAACUUGAGGCUUGAGUGGUUCAUAAAAGGCUUUAUUGAAAUGGGAACUUCAAAGAGGUUAUUUGAUAGUGAGAGGAAUUCAAGGGAUAUGAGGUUGGUAAGAGGACCGAAAGCAAUAUUUCCAGUAAACUGGUUUUCAGAAACAUCUAAUAGUUGUAAAGAUGACAUGUUCCCCAAACAAUCUGGGAGUGAACCUCCUAAAUUAUUUCUAGAGAGAUGUAACUGCUUCAGAUUCUUCAAUUCACACCAACCUGUACAAUUUAUCUUGAAAUAGUCAAAAUAGUGUUGGAAGAAUCUUUUGUUGAUGAUGUAAUUAUAGGCGGAUGGAGAGUUGUUAAUUUACCUUGAGCAGGUAGGGUGCCAUGGAGGUCACAUUCACCAACAGACAAAACUUUAAGAGCAGGCAAUGCUCCAAUGUUCUGGAGAAAGUUUAUUGGGAGAGAAGUAUUAUCUAGAUGCAAUUCUUCAAGGGUGCUCGAAUUGAACAAAGUCCCUAUGAAAAAGAAAGAAGAAGAGAUAUGAUGAAAAUAGUGGUGGUACAGAAUAUAUAGCCAUUCCAUUCAAUAUUAUUAAUUAAGAUUUUAAGAAACUAAACUAUUAACCUUGACUUAAAUUAGUAUCCUUGAGAGAAAGGGUCUUCAGGGAUGGCAAUGAACACAAUGACUGUAGGAAGUCCAGCUUCCUUGAACCUAUGAUGUGUAGAAUUGAAAACAGGCAAUCAAGUAAGUAGUGAAAUUAAGUGUUAUCUUGAUCGAGUUCUUAAAGCUAUGAUAAAGAACUGGUACUUUUGUAGUGAGAUGAUUUUUUGAUAGAAACAACAAAUUGCCCAAAUAAUAGAAGAUGCCAAGAGAUAUUCACAACUUUACCAUUGACAGCCGUCGAUCCUAGCAACAUAUUGCCUGAUAAAUUUAAAGACUUGAGGGAUGAAAGUCCACUCGGAUGUGAUAAAAUGCUGUCGUUGAAUAUAUUAUAGCUCAGGUCCAGGUUCUCGAGUUUCCCCAAAUGUGAUGAUAUGAUCUCAAAACCUGCAAGGAGUUGUUUCUAAGAGUAAGUCAUAAUUAUGAGCUCACGAUAUGCAUAAUAUAUAGAAACUAAAGAUAAUUAGAAUUGAUGAGAUGUUGUUCAAUUGAUAUAUGAUUCUCAAAUUAUACAUAAAAAGAAUGAUAUAUGAACGCAUAUUUAAUUAUAUAAUAGAUUAAGAAAUAAUUUAUGGAUAAGAUCAAAGCUCCAUAGAUAUUAAUCUUCAUAGAUGAAAUUAAAGCGCAAUCAAACAUGAUGAAAUGCUAUCGUUGAUUUUUAAAUAUAUAUAAAGUCCUCAAUUUUCUUGAUAAACAGAAUGCAACUUACUAUUGAUAGAUCCUGUCAGCUGAUUGUUUGACAGAUCCAAAGACUUGAGAGAUGAAAACCCAGUUAGAGAUGGAAAAAUGCUAUCGUUGUAUUGAUUCCGUCUUAGAUGAAGGUUCUCAAGCUUUUUCAACCUUGAUGACAAGACUUUGAGACCUGCAUGAUGUUCCUCAAAAGCAUAGAAAUGAUACAUGAACGCAUAUUUAAUUAUAAAAUAGGUUGUGCACGCUUCUAAGAUUAAGAUACAAUUUUUAAAUAUCAUUCUAAUUUUGAUCAUUGGAAAAAAAAAAACAAUUUACGGUUAUAAAGUCGCUAAAGAUGGAAGCUAAGUUAUGAUAGACUUACAAAACAAAAUAAAGAAACUUAUAAUUAAGAUCUCAUCGGUAAUUAAAACAAGAAUAAUAAUCGAUCCAUGUAAGUUCAAAUAUUGCCUAAUUUUGAAAAACUAAUUAAUUAGUUAUGAUAGUUUCAAAAACUAACUGCCUCUGUAAGAUGCUAAAUGCCUCUCUCGUUGGCUGUCUAGUGAUUUGUAUUGGAUAGUUUUUUUUUGAAUUGAUGUUAAGAUCCAAGUUUUAAUAAUUACAAUUUUCUUAAUUAUAUAUAAUAUUAUAGGAGAGAGCUUCUUAUUAUGUUAUUCAAAACCCAUUCAAACUCAAAUUCAUAAAAAAAAAUACUUAGAGUUGUGUUCGACUAAGGAUCUCAAGACAGAAAAAACAUAUAUAAAAAUAUAUUUAUUUAAAAAGAUAAAUAUAAAAUAUAUAUUUAUAGGAGAGUUUUGAAGUGAACUUCUGAUUGCUAAUUUAAUCUAAAUAUUACAACACUUUUGGCAUAAAAGGGCCAAAAUAAGAAUAAAAUAUAUGCCUCUUUACGUAGAUAUAAAGUUCUCAUUUUUGUUGAUAAAGAAACAAUAUAAUUAAGAGAAUGUCAUGUGAAGCAUUUAGGUAGAAACUGUGUAUUAUACCUGAUCCUGUCAACUCAUUGUACGACAGAUCCAAAGACUUGAGGGAUGAAAAUCCAGUAAGAGAUGGAAAAAUGCUAUCGUUGCAAUGAUUCCAACUUAGAAGAAGGUUCUCCAGCUUUUUCAACCUUGAGGACAAGACUUUGAGACCUAAAUAGCAGCUACCUCCUGAUCAUUUAAAUGCGUAGAAAAAAAUGAUAUGAGAAGGAGAAAAGAAAAGGUUUCGAAGCUAAAUAAUUAAAAGGUUACCAUAGAAGCUACCUCCUGAUCCAGCUGUCAACCCAUUCUCUGAUAGAUCCAAAGACUUGAGAGUGGAAAGGUUACCAUUGAAACAUGACAAAAUGCUUUUAUCAUUAUUAAAUCCGUUAUAACUUAGGUCAAGUUUCCUCAGUUUUGAUGAUAGGACUUCGAAGCCUGGAAAGAGCAAGAUAAUUGACAUUAAACACCAACCAACCUUCAUUUAUUUUAUGAUUAUAUUUAAGUGCACAAACAUUGAACUAACCUUCAUUCUCCAAGCAACCAACCAAUCCAUUACCUUCCAAUUCAAGACUUUGCAAUUCUUUAAAAGGCUGAAACAAAGAUGCGUUGAGAACCCAAUCGCCCAAGCUCUCGUCCCUUGAUCCUCUAAGAGAGAGUUGGAUCACUCGCCUUGUAGUGUUAUCACACUCGAUCCUAUGCCACUCACAACAAUUACUACCGUCCACCCAAUCUCUCAAGGAAACGCCAUCUGGGUCGAUCGAAGAUUGGAUCUCCAAGAGACCAAUCCUCUCUUCCUCCAAACACCCAUAACAACGACCAUACCAUUCGCCAACCAAAGUCAAUAAUGCUAGCAACAUCCAACUCCCCAUUCUUUUCAUCAUCAUCUACGUAGAAUAUUGUUGUUUGUUAUGUGUCUUUGGGCAACCAUAGAGGUCCUAUUUAUACUACAAUUUUGGCCAUUUCCAUGAUUUUAUCUGCAUAUCUUAUGCAGGUUCUAUGUUUUGAGAUUUGAAUAUUAUUUUAUUUCCUUUUGGAAUAUUCUUGGAUUCGAAUAUUAUUUUAUUUUACUGUUUAGCACUUAGUCUAUUUGCAUUUAAUUAUAUUUUGGUUACUAAUUAUCCAAUUUUAAAAAAAUAAAAAAUAAAAAUUGUUGCAACAUUUCAAUUUUUUUAUCGACAUUCAUGUGUGAUUUCACGUAAGAUCUUUUUAAAUUUAUAAUUGUACUUUUCUCGUUAUAAUUUAGAAUUAUUUAGGAGCCUACUUGCAUGGUGUCAUCACUAUUAUAUAUAAUUAAAUACAUAAAUUAUCAAUAAUAAUAAAUUCGGAAUAAUUAUAAAUCUUAUCCCUGUGGAUUGUGUGGCUACAGUAUGAUAUACAAAAACUUCAAAUAUAUAUAAAUAAAAGAAUGCUAAAAGUGACAUUCUCUUGGGUGACCACCACAAGCCCAUCUAAAACACACAAGCCAUAUAAAAAUCACACGACAGCCAAUUACCUUAUCUUGUGAGAAAAAAGAUUAAAAAAAAAAAAAGCAUUUUCUUGGGUGUGCAAUGACUGCCAAUCUUUCUCGUUAUGACAUUCAAUGCUCUGUAAGAAGUUGCAUGAUGCUCUUCUCAUGGGGAGCAAAAAUCAGUAGCCUCCCAUGGAAUCCUCAUAAACCUUUCUCUAUGCUCUUCUAAGAUAUUAAAAAUGUCAAACAUACAUAAAUAAUAAGAAAAACAAUAAAAAAAGAAAGCUAUACAAAUAGAGCUUCCAACAAAAAGACUAGGAAGUUGUUUACUGAAAAUUGAGAUUCAUAAUUUGUUUUGAUUUGUUUUGAUUUGUUUUGAGUUAUUAUGGUCUCAUGACCCGGGUCACAGAUUUAAAGGUUAAUCUAGAUUGACCCGGGUCGAUUAAUCCAAUAUGUUGUUGUUUCGAUAUACUUUUUUUAAAAAAAUAUGUCAUCUUGAUUUUUUUCAAGUGAAACUAUAUUUUUACCAGUCGUCCAGACAAUCUUUGAGCCCAUCGAAUCGAUCGGGUUAUAUCAAUUUAACUCUUAUUUUUUUAUUUAUAUUUGAAAUUUAAAUUGCAUAAUUUUUUACUUAUUUUUUUAUAUAGGUGGUUAUGAGUUACAAAAAUUAAGCAAUUUCGAGUAUAUUGACAUGAGAAUUAAUGGUUUCGAUAACAAUAUUCUAUCAUUUGUAGAGGGAUUUUCAUCUUUUAAAUCACUAUAUUUAGAUUAUAAUAGACUGGAAGGGUUAAUAGAUUUAAAAUGUUAGUUUUUUUAUAUACUUAUUUUUUCUCUAUUAAAUUUAAUUUCAAAAGAACACAAUUUUCGAUAACAGUAUUCUAUCAUGCAAUUUUUGUUUUGUUUCAAAAGAACACAAUCGCCCAAGCGGAAAUCCCUUGCAUAGAAAAGAGAGAGUUGGAUCACUCGCCUUGUACGUAGUGUUAUCACACUCGAUCCUAGGCCACUCACAACAAUUACUACUGUCCACCCAAUCUCUCAAGAAAAAGCCAUCUGGGUCGAUCAAAGCUUUGAUCUCCAAGAGACCAAUCCUCUCUUCCUCCAAACACCCAUAACAACGACCAUGCCAUUCGCCAACCAAAGUCAAUAAUGCUAGCAACAUCCAACCCCCCAUUCUUUUCAUCAUCAUCUACGUAAAAUAUUGUUGUUUGUUAUGUGCUUUUGGGCAACCAUAGAGGUCCUAUUUAGACUACAAUUUUGGCCAUUUCCAUGAUUUUAUCUGCAUAUCUUAUGCAGGUUCUAUGUUUUGAGAUUUGAAUAUUAUUUUAUUUCUUUUUGGAAUAUUCUUGGAUUUGAAUAUUAUUAUUAUUUUAUUGUUUAGCACUUAGUCUAUUUGUAUUUAAUUAUAUUUUGGUUACUAAUUAUCCAAUUUAUAAAAAAAAAUAAAAAAUAAAAUAAUUGUUGCAGUACUUCAGCAUUGUUAUCGACAUUCGUGUGUGAUUCCGUAUAAGAUCUUUUUAAUUUAAUUGUACUUCUCUCGUCAUAAUUUAGAAUCAUUUAGAACCCUAUUUGUGUUAUGACUAUCAUAUAUAUAAUUAAAUACAUAAAUUAUCAAUAAUAGUAAACUCAGAAUAAUUAUAAAUCUUAUCCCAGUGGAUUGUGUGGCUACAGUAUUUUAUACUUCAAAAUAUAUAUAUAUAUAUAAAAGUUAGAGCUGCUUUUGUUUUUAUGUUCGGAAAGGUAUUCUUGACUUGUUUUUAUUACAUUUCAAUAUUAUUAUUUUUUUUCAAUCGAGUCAAAGAUAUACCAUUUAUAUUAGAAUGAGAAGACUAAUCAAUUUCUCUAGUUUUCUCCCUAUUUAUAAAAUACAUCUGGUUUUUGAAGUCCAGAUUUUAGGAUAAAAGGAAUUUAUUUCUUGAAAUUAAUGCAUUAAACAAUAUAAAGAUAUUUUUUAAAAAUUAAAAUAGUAGUAAAAGUAAAUUUAGUUUUUGAUUGAAGUGUAAACUAGUGGUAAAUGAACAAAAAAAAAAAACUUUCUUGAUUAUCUAAUGGAAACUCCGCCUAAUAUAUAUAUAAUAGCAAUCAUUUUCUUAUCUCUUGUAUCAUUCAUAUCUUCCACAAAUCUUAAGUAAUUGAUGAGAAAGUGGAUAUUGCCAAGAAAGGUCGUGAACGCGGAUGCUUGACUUGCUGCGUGGCAUUUUGAUUUUUAAACACAACACUACUUUCUUUGUGGAAAUAACGCUACUUUGCAUGAAGAUGAUGGAUAUAGAAGACUUGCUACUUGUUUUAUGGAAAUAACGUAUGGAAAAUUAUGCUUUAAUUUUAAUGAUGAUAGCAAAAUCAAACAGUAUUGUUGAUAAAAUGAGCCAUAAAUAAUAUUAUUUCUAUUGUCAUGACAAUAAGUUUUUUUUUUUUUUUUUCUAAAGAGUCUAUUUUUCCUCUAGGAGAGGCCGCGAGACGUCCUCUUCCAACCAUCAUGCAUUUUUUCUACGAGAUGGGUUCAUGGAAAUACUUUGGUUUAAUUGGGAAUGCUGUUAUUGAUUGAAAUAUUUUUAAUUAAAAUAAAUUUGAUUAUUUGAUUGGAAAAAAAAUAUUGUAACCAAGUAAUUUAUUUAUUUAUUUUAAUGAAAUAUAAAAUAGUUUUAAAUCUUGUGGUAUAUUUCUUGUCUUUAAGAGCUAUGAACUUAUAUCUCAAAACUUGAAAACUAAUAUAAAGAUAUUAAGUGAUCAUUGAGUGUGUGUGUGUGUAUAAUCCUUUUCAAAACAAAAAGGAUUUUGAUGGAGAUUAGGACAUUGCAACAAAUUAUCCACCACUAGAUGGGUCAAUGAUACCAUUGUCAUCAUGCAAUUUUUCCCACGAGAUGGGGCCGUACGCUUGGGGCUCUAAAAGCUAUGGUUUUAAUUUCAUUAUGUCACAUCUAGAAUGGCAGGUAUAUUUUAUUUCAAUUUAAACAAUGGAAUAAAUUAGAAGAUAUUUCAUCUCGCUUAAAAUCUUAUCUUCUUAUAUGAUUUCACCUAAAUUCUGGCUGGAAUGUUUAAGUUAUAUUCUAGCUAUUCUGUUAUGGCCAAAUGAUAUUUUGUUUUACUUUUAUAAAAAAUUAAAAUAUAGUUUAGUUUUUGUAUUUAUUUUCUGGUUAUAUUUAAUUUGUCAUCAAUAUUCAUAACGUAAAUUGCUAUGCAUUUCGAAUCUUGAAAGGAUUGAAAGAUGGAAAACAGAAAAGAAAGAGAGACCCCCAGUUCAAAAGAAAAAGAAAAAAAAACAAUAGUAAAAGAAAGAGAAGAGAACAAAAGUGAAGCAGUUUUUACUAACUAUAUAAAUUUUAUAAUUAUUAAUAUUAAAUUCAAAAUAUGUACAUAAUGCAAAUAUGUAAACAUAUCAUGUGGUUUAAAGAAAUGAUUUUUAUAAAGAUAUAUGUCUUAACAAUAUUAAUCAACUCUUAAUAUUUUUCAUUUUAUAAAUAUUAAAAGUAAAUAUUAAAACCUAUUAUAUUAAUUUGUGAAGGUAUUUACUCGGAUGCGAAUUAUAUUUCUAAUUUUUUAUUAAAAAAAAAUUCUACAUACUACAACUAGCCUAAGAAAGUCAUUUUCAUCUAAAAAAAAGUAGAAAAAAUUGAAUUGCAUAAAAGCAUCACUAUAAAUGUUAUACUCCGAAAAUAUCUUCUUUCCUUGAUAAAAUUCCCUAAACUACUGUAUGUCUCUAACAGUGAAAAUAUCACUAUAAUUUACAGUCACCUUAUUUAAUCGAAAGAAAACUUUAAAGAUGCACCUCCAUCUAGUGUAUUUAAAAAGAUUUAACAAAUUACUUUACACGUGCUAUGCUACAAGUUACAUAUUUUUUCAAUGUAAACAAAAAUUAUAUAGGUAUUUUUAACAUUUUUCUAUUAAAAAAAACUAAAACAUAUAAAAAUUAACCAAUUUAUAAUUAAUUAAUUAAUUGAGAAUUUGAGCUCCUUAGAAAAGUUGUUUAUGGACUUUUGUUUUCCGGAGAAAGCUCCUUUAAAACCCUUGAGCACCACCUUCUUUAAAACUUCUAUCUUUGCCAUAACUGAGGGGCUCUGUAUUUUUUUUAAGGUGAAUUAACAAGUUACAACUCAACUCUGUAUUUUUUUUUUUAGUUUAAUGUGGGUGUCUGGGUCAACUUACGCGUACCUCGACUAAUUCCACGGGCCCUGAAAUUAAUGACCAUAUAAACCUACAGUGGCCAUCAUAUGAACAAUCACAGGACUAGGGCUCGAACUUGAGACAAAAAAAAAAAGCAAAUUUUUUAAUCUUAAAUUCUUACCACUGGAUCACUAUCUAAAUUGUUACCUUGUAUCUAAUCUAGAUGUGUCUGUGACUGUGCUUGAUGUUCUCAUAACCAUUAAGAUGGUUCGAACCCAAAUAAAUAGAAACAAAUUUAUUUUCUGUUAUUCUCCGAAUUCCUAGAUAGAAUUUGCUUGGAAAUGAUGAGCUACCACUCCCUUUUGACUUUGCUGGCCUCCCAAAUAAAUAAAGAAUUCCGCUUGAUAGAAUUUUCUUGGAAAUGAUGAGAAUAUUUUAUAAUUUUCUGGUUGACGCCAGCUGUCAACAACUGUCUUACAUUCCCUUGGCAUCGUGUUCCAUGCCCUUGCAAAAUAUUAAAGGCUCCAAUGCCUCUCUCGCAAUAAGAUUAUUUUUUUUAUUUGUCCCCGAAUACAUGUGUCAUUUAUCGAAAUAAUUAAUUUAAUCACACACAUAAAAAAAAAAAAAAAUUUAAAUAGGCGGCUUUAGAAUCAGCAAGCAGUGAAUCACACGGGAAGAUUGAAAGAAUAAUUAAAGUGAUUUUACUAACAUUGUAAAAAAAAUUGAAUUGCAUAAGAGUAAUUAACCGACAGGUUGACCCAAAGUCAAAGUCUUCUGUGGAAAAACAUGAAUAGAAGAUUGAUGGGCGUUGCGUGAUAGCAAAAGAUUUGAGAUCUGCACAGCAGGUUUUGAAUUCGAGUCAGGGCGUGCAUCUCUUGUAAAAGCUUGGGAUAGCCGGGAUUUUACUGUCUCAUCUGGGCCCAUAAAGUGCGCUUUCCAAGGAAAUGAGGUUCCCUCGAAUCCAUAAAAAAAAAAAAAGUAAUACCAUUGCUAUCAAGCGUUUUUUCUACGAGAUGGUCCGUUCCCCCAUUUCCCCUCAAGCUUGAGAAGGGAUGAUAUAUAUAUGCUUUAAUUUCAACUUGUAUAAAAAAUAAAUCUUAAUGUAGUGUGUUAGAAUGCAACCACCGAUUCAUUAUUUUUAAUGGCUGGUCAUUUAAACUUGGGUGUUUUUUCGGUAUUAAUAUAUAUAUUCCUCAAUUAUCAUAAAAAAAUUAAGAAAAAACUAAUAAUAAGAUUAAAAAUAAAUGUUUUAUUUAUCGAAAUAAUUAUUAAAAGUAAGGUAUACUCAAGGUAUAUGUGGGACGAUAAAAAAAUAACAAAAAAAUCAAUUUACAAAAAAAAUCAUAGAUUUAGUUUUCCUAAAUUUUAAAUGUAGUGCAACAUUAGCCUUUCAAGAAAUAGAUAAUCUUCCUCUUUGAAGGAAUUAAUUAGUGGGUUGGAAAAAUGUCGUCUUUUGCUCUAAUAUUUUCUUCGCUUUCUCUAUAGUUUUACCAUACACUAAUAUUGUCAGAAAAUGAUACAUACUUCUUGUGUUAUCCUUCAAGAAUUCAAUUGAAAAGGAGGGUUGUAAAAAAUUUAAUUUUUAUAAACAUACCCUUAACUUAAUUUGGAUGUGGAUAAUUGUUUGCAAUAUAUUUACAUCCAAUAUAAACAAUUCAUCAAUGAUCAAGUAGGCAGUGGUUAGCUAAAAUAUUGAAAAUACUUACUCUCUUUGUUUUUUAGUCAUGCAGUUCCACUAUUGUAUGUUAUUUUUGUUUAGCUAAAAAUAUCAAAAAAUAUUAAUUUGGAGUAAAAAAAAAAAAAAAAUUUAAUUUUUUUAAAAAUAUUUUUGAAACAUAAAAACAAACAGUGCUAAAAGACAUAGAAACAGUUACCCAAAUCAAUUUAUUUUUUUAAAAAAUAAAAAUAGAAUACUAUACAAAUGGAGCUUCCAACAAAAAGAUAUGGGAAGUUCGAGGGAAAAAAUGAUUAGUUAAUUCAAAACACCAGGAGUAAGUAAUAAUUACAAAACACGAUACCGAAACCAAAUUGAAAAGUGAGCAAAAUACAAAACUGGUUACAUGUAUCGAAAGGAACUGGAACCAAUUUCUCCACCACUGGAUGUCCCUUUUGUUCAGUCUAUGUUUGGUGCAAUCACCUAAAGCUAGAAACAAAAACAGCGCCUUAGUCUAUGUUUGGUGCAUUUUUUCCACGAGAUGGGUUCGUGGAAAAACUUUGGUUUAAUUGGGAAUGCUGUUAUUGGUUAGAAACUUUUUAAUUAAAAUAAAUUUGAUUAUUUGAUUGGAAAAAUCCUUAAAUGUUAUUAACACAUGAAAUCAAUUUAUUCUCUUAAGAAAAAAAUAGUUUUACAUCUUGUGGUAUAUAUGUCAAGCAUUUUUUUUCCCUCAAGAUGGGUUCGACAGACAAUCACCAUCAUGCAUUUAUGAGUCCAUGAGACCAUUGUCAUCUGCACAUUGGUCCCCUAUAGCGUUGCUUUUCCUCAAGACCAUUUCCAUCAUGCAUUUAUGAGUUAGUGAGACCAUUUCCAACUGCACAUUGGUCCCUGAAACCGUUGCCAUCAUGCAUUUUUCCUCGAUGAGAGGUCGUGAGACGUCCACUUCCAACCAUCAUGCAUUUUUUUCACGAGAUGAGGCCGUACGUUUGGGGCUCUAAAAGCUAUAUAUAUUAGAAAUAUUAUUUGAAAAUAAAUUAUUUUUUAUUUUUAAAAAUAAAAUUCUUCUAUACAAAAGAUUUUUAUAAGUAUAAUUUAAUUUAUUCAGUUUUUUAAAUAAAGUUAAUCUAUCGCAAGAGUACACGAAAUAAGUAUUUUUCCGUCAUGCAUUUUUUUUCCUCAAGACCAUUUCCAUCAUGCAUUUAUGAGUCUGGGAGACCAUUUCCAUCAUGCAUUUAUGAGUUGCUGAGACCAUUUCCAUCUGCACAUUAGUCUCUGAGACCGUUGCCAUCAUGCAUUUUUCCUCGAGGAGAGGCCGUGAGACUUCCUCUUCCAACCAUCAUGCAUUUUUUCCACGAGAUGGGUUCGUGGAAAAACUUUGGUUUAAUUAGGAAUGCUGUUAUUGAUUGGAAACUUUUUAAUUAAAAUAAAUUUGAUUAUUUGAUUGGAAAAAUCCUUAAAUGUUAUUAACACAUGAAAUCAACUUAUUCUCUUAAGAAAAAAACAGUUUUAAAUCUUGUUGCCGUCAUGCAUUUUUUUUUCCUCAAGAUGGGUUCGACAGACAAUCACCAUCAUGCAUUUAUAAGUCCAUGAGACCAUUGUCAUCUGCACUUUGGUCCCCUAUAGCGUUGCUUUUCCUCAAGACCAUUUCCAUCAUGCAUUUAUGAGUCCAGGAGACCAUUUCCAACUGCACAUUGGUCCCUGAGACCGUUGCCAUCAUGCAUUUUUUCCACGAGAUGGGUUCGUGGAAAUAAUUUGGUUUAAUUGGGAAUGCUUUACUGUAUUUGUUUUCUGGUUAUAUUUAAUUUUUCAUCAAUAUUCCUAAGCACGUAUUUUGAAUCAUGAAAAGCACGUGGAAAAGAGAGGGAUGGUGAAAAUGACAUGUAAAGGGACUGUUUGGCAGUGCGCAUAGAAAAGGGAAAGUGUCAUUGCCAUUUUGAGUGGUGUGUUUGCAUUUGAUUUGUUAAUUUCGAGUUUUGUCAAAGAGUGAUUACUAGUCAUCAAGCAUUUUAUUAAUUUAAUUUAUCCUGUCAAGUGAAGGGCCAAACCUGUCAUUCAUUGCCAGUCACAGUCACAAGUCUUGGUCUUACCAUUUUACUAUCUAUUAAUUAAUUAAUUGUUUGAUUAAUCAACGAAACUGUGCGUUUCUCUUGUGAUUUCUCGAAGACGGCCAUGAAUAUAUAUAUAUAUAUAUACAACUUUUCAAAACAAAAAGGAUUUUGAUGGAGAGGACAUUGAAACAAAUUAUCCUCGUGAUACCAUUGUCAUCAUUCAAUUUUUUCCACGAGAUCAGGCCGUAUGCUUGGGGCUCUAAAAGAUAUUAUUUCUAAUUUUAUUAUAUCACAUCUAGAAUAACAAGUAUAUUUUAUUUCAAUUUAAAAAAUAGAAUAAAUUAAAAGAUAUUUCAUUUUUAAAAUUUUAUUUUGUUUUAUGAAUUUCACCUAAAUUCUGACUAGAAUAUUUUGAUUAUAUUCCAGCCAUUUUAUUAUGAUAAAAUAAUAUUUUGUUUUGCUUUUAUAAAAAAAAUAUAAUCUAAUUUUACAGUAUCAAUCAUAUCUUUCAAUUCGACUGCUGGAUUGGACUAAAAUUUUACGAGGAAUCUCCUAACAUAUAUUUAUAUCGCAAAUUAAAAUUUUAAGGCAAUCAGAGUUUAGAAAAAUUUUGCGAAAUUACCGAUGAUAUUUUCAUAAUUUUAUUUAAAUUCAUAAUUUUGUUAGGAAAUAUUAUUUUUUGUUUCUUUUUUAGAUUGAAUUAUUUCUAAAGUACUUCUUGUCAUUGUCAUGACAAUAAAUCUUCUUCUUUUUCUUUUUAAAAAGUCUAUUUUUUGUAACACAACCAACAUGUAAGAUGGAUGGGAAUUUGCAGUGUGAGAUGGGUUUGUGAGACUUUGGCCAUCUCCAAUUUUUUCCACGCCAUUGAGAUGGUCUAUAAGACCAUUGCCCCGUAAGCAUUUAUGAGUUCGUGAGACCAUUUCCAUUUGCACAUUGGUCCCUGAGACCGUUGCCAUCAUGCAUUUUUUACACGAGAUGGGUUCGUGGAAAUACUUUGGUUCAAUUGGGAAUGUUGUUAUUGAUUGGAAACUUUUUAAUUAAAAUAAAUUUGAUUAUUUGAUUGGAAGAAAUCCUUAAAUGUUAUUAACAAUAGAAAUCAAUUUAUUUUCUUAAGAAAAAAAUAUUGUAACCAUAUAAGUAAUUUAUUUAUUUAUUUUAAUGAAAAAUAAAAUAGUUUUAAAUCUUGUGGUAUAUUUCUUGUCUUUAAGAGCUAUGAACUUAUAUCUCAAAACUUGAAAACUAAUAUAAAGAUAUUAAGUGAUCAUUAAGCGUGUGUGUGUGUAUAAUGCUUUUCAAAACAAGAAGGAUUUUGAUGGAGAGGACAUUGCAACAAAUUAUCCACCACGAGAUGGGGCUGUACGCUUGGGGCUCUAAAAAACUAUGGUUUUUAAUUUUAUUAUGUCACAUCUAGAAUGGCAGGUAUAUUUUAUUUCAAUUUAAACAAUGAAAUAAAUUAGAAGAUAUUUCAUCUCGUUUAGAAUGUUAUCUCAUUUCAUGAAUUUCACCUAAAUUCUGGCCGGAAUAUUUUGGUUCUAUUCCAGCCAUUCUAUUAUGAUCAAAUAAUGUUUUGUUUUGCUUUUAUAAAAAAAAAAUAUAUAGUUUAGUUUUAUGGUAUUAAUUAUAUCUCUCAAUGCAAUUAUUGGAUUAGACUAAAAUUUUACAAGGAAUCUCUUAACAUAUAUUUAUAUCGCAAGUUAAAAUUUUAGAACAAUUAGAGUUUAAAAAGACUUUGUGAGAUUGCCGAUGACAUUUUUAUAAUUUUAUUUAAAUUCAUAAUUUUGUUUCAUAAGGUCAUUUUUUGUGUCUUUUUUUAGAUUGAUUUUUUUUUUUCAAUUUCAUAAUUCAACAAUAGAUUUAUUAAAAAUUAAGAUUCAUAAUUUGUUUUUAUUUGGGAUUAUUAUGGUCUCAUAAUCUGGGUUACGGAUUUAAAAGAUUAACCUAGAUUAACCUGGUUCGAUCUAAUAUGUUGUUGUUUCAAUAUUUUUAACAAAUAUAAUUUUAAUUGAUAUUUAAAAAUAAACUAACUUGAAAUUAUAUAAUUUAAAUUUCAAAUAUAAGUAAAAAUAAAGAGUUAAAUCAAUAUGACCCAAUUGAUUUGAUGAGUCCAAAAUAUAUAUAAAACAAUCCAAACGACACGUCAAAAUACUCAAAAAUCAAAAUAUAUUGUUACAAUUAAAAAAAUAAAACACCAAUUAAAAUGGAAUUGACGACCUUGCUUGAUAUAAGCCUAAACUCCUCGCUGCCAUUUGCAAGAGAUAGUUACUUAUACCAGUAGCAAUUUAAUAAUGAUUGGUCAAAUUUUAUAUUAAGAUGGGGCUAUUAAUUCAAAUGUUGAUGGCGUUAGUAGCAAUGAUUUUCUUGGAAGCAUGGUUGCCUCUUGGCUGCUUGAAAAUAUAUGGUUUUUUUAAUGUCGCAUGUGUGCUGCGUCAUGAAAAAAAAAUUCACUCUCAAAUCCUAAAUAUUGGUAUCCUGGAAAAAUUGGGAAAAAUAAGGAGACAAGAAAUUCUUGUCUUUUAUUAGUGGAAAAAUAAAAUGGGAGUCGCCACUUAGUAUUUUAAUCACUAGGAACCCUGAUUGGUCUCAGAGAUUGGGUACGGAGACUGGUUGCGUAAAGGGAAGGUAUUAGCACCCCAAAUACGCCCUACCUAAGGUAAGUUGCAUUGUUUUAUUGUUUGAUAAAAUCUAAGGUCUUGUCGUGUUUUCUAGUUAUUGGUCCGUCUAUGAUUUAAGAAAAGUCUUCAUCGAUAAAGAGAUCCUUAUCUUUUCGGGUAAAACCUAACCGUUCUAACGUAAACAAAAGAAUUUAAUAUCCGGAAUACAUCUUACGUAUAAGGUCGUAACCCCAGAUACUAAAAGAAAAUUUUUUUUUUGGAAUUUUUUAAAUAUUGGCCUAGUUCUUGUGACUUUAAUAAACUGGUUUUUAAAACCAAAAUGCAUGUUAAUACAUAUUUUUGUUGUAUGAAAAUAUGAUAUGAUUUUUUUCUUUGAGAUACUUGGCCGUAUGCAUGAAAAUAAUUUUUUUUUUAAUUUUUCAAUGUUUUGACGAAAACUAGGUAUUUUAAUACCAGAUUUGUAUCUUUACAGUAUAAAAAUACAAACCAAUACUAAGAAAAAUUUAGUAGAAAAAUAUAUGGGAAAAUUAUAGAUUUUUUGAAAUGAUUAUUUUUGAAGAAUUGUUUUUUACUGGGCCGGACCCGACCCAACCAUUUUGGGCGGGCCGGCACUGUCCGGGCUGGAAAACUAAAACAAACAAUGGAGAGACUCUCCACUGUUCACAUGCAACGUGAACAGUGGAGCGGCCUGGAGAAGACAAAGAAGAAGAGGAGGAAGAGGAAGAAGCAGACCUGCGGCCUAGCGGUGCUGCUAGUGGCGGUGGACGGUGUUGCGGUUGCGGAGUGUUAGAAAUAAUGUUCAGGACUGCUGAGCUGGAAUUUUAUUCUUUCUUAAUUUUUGAUUUAGUCAAUUCUGUUCCUAUUCUCUUGUUCUUGUUGCUACUUCGCAGCUCUGUUAUUUCCAUUAUCAAUUGAUCAUGGCUUGAAUGUAGUACCAUGAUCGUAGGAGUUUGUUAUGUAUCAGCUCUAUAAAUUGAGCUGCAGUUAUGAAUAAAGUAUUCAAGCUUUUCAUUCAUCAAUCUCUUCUUAAACACAAGCAUUAUCCUUUGUUAUUUUUGUUGUUCAGAAUCACUGCAACAACGACAAUUGGUAUCAGAGCAUCUUGAUUUAAAGGGAUCUGUGUUGUAACCCAUGGAGACAGAAGUAAGAUUCUCAUCAAUUGCUCCACCAGUGUUCAAUGGUGACAAUUACCAGUUUUGGGCAGUACGGAUGGAGACAUACUUAGAGGCUCUGGAUUUGUGGGAGGCAGUGAAAGAAGAUUAUGAAAUCCCUGCACUUCCAAAUAAUCCCACCAUGGCGCAGGUCAAAUCACAGAAGGAGAAGAAGACAAAAAAAUCAAAGGCAAAGGCGUGCUUGUUUGCUGCAGUAGCAUCCACCAUUUUCACUCGAAUCAUGUCUCUGAAAACAGCAAAGGAGAUAUGGGAGUUUAUCAAGACUGAGUAUGAAGGGGAUGAAAGAAUUCAAGGUAUGCAAGUGUUGAACUUGAUGCGUGAUUUCGAGUUGCAGAAGAUGAAGAAAACUGAAUCCAUCAAAGAGUACUCUGACAGGCUGCUUAAUAUUGCAAGCCGAAUCAGUUUACUUGGCUCGUCCCUGCCUGAGUCAAGAAUUGUUCAAAAAAUUCUUGUAACAAUUCCUGAAAUCUUUGAGGCUACAAUUACAUCCUUGGAAAAUACCAAGGAUAUGUCAAAAAUUACUUUGACAGAAAUGCUAAAUGCAUUACAAGCUCAGGAGCAAAGGAGGAUCAUGAGACAAGAAGAUGAGAUUGAAGGAGCUCUAUUCGUCAAGCAUAGAGAAAAAGGAAAGAAUUACAAGAAGAAUGGAAGCAGUCAAGCAUCAUCAGGUGAUUCCAGGAAUUUCAACAGGAGCAACACUGGAAACAAAAAAGGACCUUUUCCUCCAUGCCAGCAUUGUAAAAGGAGAUCACAUCCACAUUUUAAGUGUUGGAGAAGACCAGAAGCUAAGUGCAACAAAUGCAAUCAAAUGGGCCACGAGGCUGUCAUCUGCAAAAACAAAAUUCAACAGCAUGGUGAAGAAGCUCAAAUUGCUGAUCAAGAAGAAGAAGAUCAAUUGUUUGUGGCCACUUGCAUUUCCAGAAAUGACUCAAGUGAAAGCUGGCUCAUUGAUAGUGGUUGCACCAACCACAUGACACAUGACAGAAACAUAUUCAAGGAGCUGAAACAAACAACUUCAAAGGUUCGAAUUGGAAAUGGAGAAUACCUUGCUGUUGAAGGAAAGGGAACCGUGGCAAUCUUGACUUGCUCAGGUACUAAGUUCAUCUCUGAUGUAUUGUAUGUCCCUGGUAUAAAUCAAAAUUUAUUCAGUGUUGGUCAGCUUAUUGAGAAGGGUUAUAAAGUAGUGUUUGAAAACAAUUGCUGCUUGAUCAAAGAUGUGAAUGGUCAUGAUAUUUUCAAAAUAAUCAUGAAAGGGAAGAGUUUUGCUUUAAAUCCAUUAGAGGAGGAGCAUAUUGCUUUCCCAAUUAAAGAAAAUAUCACAGAUAUUUGGCACAAGAGGCUCGGGCACUAUCAUCAUAGAGGGCUGAUGCUUAUGAAAUCCAAGAUGAUGGCUAAGGAUUUCCCAGCACUUGAUGAUCACAUAUCCAGCUGCAGAACUUGUCACACUGGCAAGCUAAACAGGAAGCCCUUUCCAGAAGCCACAUGGAGAGCAACAAGGAAGCUGCAAUUGAUUCAUACUGACAUUGCAGGACCAUAAAGGACACCCUCUCUAAAUGGGAGUCUGUAUUAUGCUGUCUUCAUUGACGAUUACAGCCGAAUGUGCUGGAUUUUCUUCUUGAAGCACAAGUCAGAGGUAGCACAGGUGUUCUGGAAUUUCAAGGCCAAAGUUGAAAAUGAAAGUGGCUGCAAAAUUCAAGCCCUCAGAUCAGACAAUGGCAAGGAAUACACUUCCAAUGCCUUCAACAUUUUUUGUGAGGAGGCAGGCAUUCAUCAUCAGCUAACAACUCCGUAUACUCCUCAACAAAACGGAGUUAGUGAGAGGCGAAACAAGUUCAUAUUGGAAAUGACAAGAUGCUUGCUACAUGAGAAGAAUUUACCAAAGAAAUUCUGGGCAGAGGCUGCAAACACUGCUGUGUUCUUGCAAAACCGACUGCAUACAAGAGCCUUGAAGGAUCAAACACCCUUUGAGGCAUGGUAUGGUUACAAACCAUCUCUGAAUUUUCUUAAGGUAUUUGGAUGUUUGUGCUUCACCCUUGUUCCACAGGUCAAGAGGGAUAAACUUGACAAGAAAGCACUUCCAGGCAUUUUUGUUGGCUACAGCUUAGUUUCAAAGGCUUAUAAGAUUUUCCAACCACAAACUGGAAAAAUCAUUAUAAGCAGAGAUGUCCAAUUCCUGGAAGAUGAAGAAUGGGACUGGAACGAUGCAAUCAAAGAAGAUUCAACCUCUCCAAAAGGCAAUUAUCUUGUUUCAGACACAGAUGAUCAAAGCAUGGAAGAUUGGGACAUCAACAUGACAGAUGACACUCCUGUUACAGGCACACGGUCACUCCUUGAUGUGUAUCAAAGGCGCAACAUUGCUGUGUGUGAACCAGCAGACUUUGAAGAAGCCAAGCUAGAUCAAAAUUGGCUUGCUGCGAUGAAGGAGAAGCUUCUCAUGAUCAAGAGAAACAACACGUGGGAGUUGGUUGACAGACCUCAAAACAGAAAUGUAAUCGGUGUAAAAUGGGUGUAUCGAACAAAACUCAACGCUGAUGGCUCAAUCAAUAAGCUCAAAGCCAGGCUAGUGGUGAAGGGUUAUGCACAAAUCUUUGGCGUGGACUACUCAGACACGUUUGCACCGGUAGCAAGACUUGACACUAUCAGGCUGCUACUUGCCAUUGCAGCACAACUGAAUUGGAAGGUGUAUCAAAUGGACGUCAAGUCAGCAUUUUUAAAUGGUGUUUUGCAGGAGGAGAUCUAUACUGAGCAACCAGAAGGCUUUGCAAAUGAAGGAGAGGAGGACAAAGUCUGUCUUCUUAAGAAGGCACUAUAUGGAUUGAAGCAAGCUCCAAGAGCUUGGUACAGCCGAAUCGAUGAACAUUUGCAGCACUUGGGAUUCACUAAAAGCCUCUCUGAAUCGACUCUUUACAUCAAGCAAAAUGGUGAUAACAUCCUUAUCAUCUCACUUUACGUUGAUGAUUUGCUUGUAACAGGAAAUAACAACAAUAAUGUGGAGAUAUUCAAGCAAGAGAUGAUGAGUGUAUUUGAGAUGACAAAUUUGGGUUUGAUGUCCUUUUUUCUUGGAAUGGAAGUUAAGCAAGUUGAACAUGAAGUGUUCAUAUGUCAGAAGAAGUAUGCCAAAGAAAUCCUCAAAAAGUUCAAACUUGAAGAUUGCAAAGCAGUAAGCACUCCUAUGAAUCAAAAGGAGAAGCUAUGUAAAGAAGAUGGAGCCGAGAAGGUUGAUCAAGCACAAUUCAGAAAAAUUGUUGGAUGCUUGAUGUAUCUCACUGCAACUAGGCCUGAUAUUUUGAAUGCUGUGAGUAUCUUGUCUAGAUUCAUGCAUUGUGCUAGUGAAUUGCAUUUCAAGGCUGCUAAAAGAGUGAUAAGAUAUGUCAAAGGAACCUGCAAUUUUGGCAUAAGAUACACAAGAAGUAGAGAGUUCAAACUGGUCGGGUACUCUGACAGUGAUUGGGGAGGCUCAAUUGAUGACUUGAAGAGCACAUCAGGCUACUGUUUCUCUUUAGGUUCUGGUGUGUUUUCAUGGAAUUCAAAAAAGCAAGAAACCGUAGCCCAAUCCACUGCUGAAGCUGAGUUUGUGGCUGCAACAGCUGCUGUCAAUCAAGCUUUGUGGCUGAGGAAAAUUUUAUCUGAUCUUAACCUGGAGCAAAAGGAAAGCACAGAAAUUCUAGUUGACAAUCAAGCUGCCAUUUCCAUCUCUAAUAAUCCUGUGUUUCACGGGAAAACCAAGCACUUCAACAUCAAAUUAUUCUUUUUGAGAGAGGUGCAGAAAGAUGGGAGUAUCAUUCUUAUUUACUGCAAAACUGAAGAACAAGCAGCUGAUAUUUUCACCAAACCACUGCCAGUCAACAAAUUCGAAUUUCUGAGAACAAAGUUGGGAGUUUGCAGCUCCUAAACAAGGAGGAGUGUUAGAAAUAAUGUUCAGGACUGCUGAGCUGGAAUUUUAUUCUUUCUUAAUUUUUGAUUUAGUCAAUUUUGUUCCUAUUCUCUUGUUCUUGCUGCUACUUCGCAGCUCUGUUAUUUCCAUUAUCAAUUGAUCAUGGCUUGAAUGUAGGACCAUGAUCGUAGGAGUUUGUUAUGUAUCAGCUCUAUAAAUUGAGCUACAGUUAUGAAUAAAGUAUUCAAGCUUUUCAUUCAUCAAUCUCUUCUUAAACACAAGCAUUAUCCUUUGUUAUUUUUGUUGUUCAGAAUCACUGCAACAACGACACGGACCGUGGCGCUGACUGGCGGGUGGUUCUUCUUUCUUUCUCUGCGUUUCCCUUCUGCUUUUUUUCUAUUCUGCUCUGUUCUUCCUCUUGUUCCCUGUUUUAUUCUUUCUCUCCCUCUCUGGUCCUCUCAAACGUCCCUUGGAGCUGCUGCCUGAAGAUGAAGACGAAGUUGAGGGUGAUCAGUGCUCUGAUCGGGCGACGUUUCUUUCUUUCUUCUGCUACUGUUUUCGUUUCUGAUUCUCCUCGUUCAAUUCUUAUUUGCACUCUUCUUCUUCUUCGUCUCUGGUUUUUGAAAUGACGAAGACGAUGGCAACGCUGGUUCUAAUCUCAACGAUUUCCUCUUCUUACAUUCUUUCCUUUUGCUCGUUUCUGUCUCCCUCUCGUGCUGCUCCCCACUUUCUCUCUUGUCCUGCUCGCUCUCCCUCCCUGUCUCCUCUUCUUUUUUUUUUGUUGUCCGUCUCUCCUCUAGCUUUUUAUAGCCAGAGGAUGCAUGCUUUUCGGGAUUUAUUGCAGGAAGGUUGUAACGGCCGGCGUGCAUCAUGGUGGAGAGGGAUAUCAGCCGUGAGACGUGCUCCCCUGAUUGAAGCAGCUCCACCACUAACGUCUUCACUUCCUUUUACUGUAGAAACCGUUGUUGAUGAAGAAGGUAAUGAACAGUUGUCAAGGAAAUGGUACCGUUUUAAAAUUCAAAAUGAAUAUUUCCGAUUUGGUCAUUGGAUUUUUUGCAAUUUUGUAAUCAAGCCCCCGAAUAAAUUGUAAUUGGAUCUCUGGAUUUUAGCCCCAUUUACAAGACAAUCUUUGGUUCUGGAUUCAUGCGAUUUGACUCUCAAUUGAUCAAUAAACUUCUAAUUUCUUUAAUUUAGCCCCUGACUUGGUCAAUUGCAGCCCUUAUAUUUACACGCCUUUUCCGGUUUGAUCCUUGGUUUCGGAUUUUUUCAAUCAAGUCCCUAAUUGCCCAUAAAACUUUAAUAAUUAUGCAAUUAAGCCCCUGAUUUGACCAAAUCAACUCUUCAAAAUUAUAAUUGGACCUUAGAACUUUAAUUUCUUCGAAUAAAAGCCUAAAUAGACAUAAAACUCAAUUUUUCUUUCAAUCAAACCCUCCAUAAAUUCAAUUAAACCUUUAAUAAAAUUUAAUUGAGUCCAUAAACAUCUGAUUUUAGAUAUAUUUUUUUAAAAUUGAAUUUUCUUUGUCAACAGGGCUCUCAUUAGUCAACGAUAUACUGUCAAAUUUCAAUCUUUAUAUUUUUUAACCUCCUCAACCAAUUUUUGGCCAUUUUGAGCAGUCCGACAGCUUUCACUGUGACAUAUAUAUUUUUUUAUUUAUAUUAUUUAAUUAAUUUAUUAUUAUUUAUUUAUUUAAUUUUUUUCAACUCUUACUUUUUGUAUUUUCUUCUUUUUUGUGUGGGGUCCCAAAAAUGGAUAACAACACUUAAGUUCAAAUCUAUUAAUAAAAAUAUAGUUUUAUUGACUUUUUUAUAUACUUUUAUUAGAGAAAUCAAUGUAAACAAAUUUAUGGACAAACAUUAGUUUAUCAAGUACUUAAAUAGAAAAAUAAAAUCAAUUAGAGUACUUGAAUAAAAAAAAUAUAAAUUAUAAGCAUUUUAUAUAUCUUUAUUGUUCAUAAAUUAAAAAUAAAAUAAAAUCAAUCCAGACUAAUCUAAAAAGAGUUAACUAUGACAUCAUCAUUUUGAUAGUAAAACUAAUGAAGAUAUUUUAUUGAUUAAAUUCCGUGAAUAUAAGUAUUCAAAUUGAAAAAAAAAAACAUUGAUACAAGAUUUUAAAUAAAAAAAUUAUAAAAUACAUAUAAUUUGUACUUCUCAUUGUCUCUUUUGCAUUGCUAACACUUAACAAAUUGAAUAUAUAAUUCUCAUGUCAAUAACGUCAGAAUAAAUUUAGCUACAUGACAUAAUAAUACCUGUUUAUUUUUGUAUUUUAAAAAUAUUUUAAAAACAUUAAAUUGUUUUAAAUAGAUAACUUUUGAAUCAUCAAGUAGUGAAACACAGGAAAAGCGAAGAAAGUGAAGAAUAAUCAAAGUGGUGCGUGUCCACAUCAAUUUUUGUCCAUGUUUUUGGUAUUAAUCUCUUCAUCUAUUUACAGCUGGAGAAAAGAACAUCACCUACUACUUUUCUUGUCUCUUCUUACUUGGAAGAUCAGGUAUGUGAAUCUUUGAGUGCCACUUAUUUUAGUACAUAGACUUAGUUAUUUGACCACAACUUCACCACAAGUUAAAUUGUUUUAAUUAAAAAAAUUUAUAUAAAGAUUUCUUCAAUAAAUUUUUUAUUUAAAAAAUUUCUAAGUGAAAAUUAAAAAACUUAUACACAAAUAUAGUUAAAUAAAUCAAGAAUUAUGUGUGUUAAUAAGUGAAAAAAACCAUAAAUGAUGACUCAAAAUAAAAACUGAAAAAAUCAACUGAUAAAUGUAGAUCAAAAUAUUUAAUUUCACAAGACGUGAUAUUAAUGCAGUUGUGUUUUCUAAAAUUUUUAAUUAAAAUAAUUUUUUAAUUUGAUCAAACGAUAAUAAAAAUAGACACACAUAUUAUAAAUUGAUUGAAUAAAAUAAAAAAUAAUAAUAAUAUGCUAGGCUUUAUAUAUUGGAAAUAUUAUUUAAAAAUAAUUUUUUUUAUUUUAAAAAAUAAAAUUUAUCUAUUAAAAAAAUUUAUAUAUUAAAUUCAAAAUAAAUAAACUUUAAAAUAAUUUGCAAGGCUGCACAUAACCCCUUUAAAAGGAAAGUGAUAUAACAAACGUGGAACAAUUUUUAUUAACUAAAUAAACUUAAUAACUAUUAAUAUUAAAUUCGAAAUAUAUAUUAAAACCUAUUAUAUUAAUUUUUGAAUUUAUCAAUUCAGAUGUGAAUUAUAUUUCUAAAAUGUUAUAAGAAAUUUCUAUAUACGACAACUAGCUUAAGAAAGUGAUGUUCAUCAAAACCAUAGAGUACAGAAAAAGAAUUGAAUUGCAUAAAAUUAAGUAAUUAACGGAAACUUAUAUUCCUUCUUAAAACGUUGACCCCAAGUCAAGUUUAUUUAUUAUUAUUUUUUUUGAAAAAAACAUGAAUAAAAGUUAAUGCUAGGCACAUGGGAUAUAGAAGACUUGCAACUUUCUUUAUAGAAAUUACGUGUGUAAAAUUUAGGCCUUGAAAAAAAAUUAAAAAUAAAAUACUAUUAAUCGUGUUGAUAAAAAUUAAUAUAGAGACUUUAUUGAUAAAAAUUCAUAAGAGCAAGUAUUCAAAUUACAAAAAAUAAAAAUAUUUCUUCAAAUUUUCAAUAAAAUUUAUUUCUUGAAAUUAAUGCAUUAAACAAAAUUAAAAUAGUAGUAAAAGUAAAUUUAGUUUUUGAUUGAAGUGUAAACUAGUGGUAAAUGAACAAAAAGAAACUUUAUUGAUUUCUCCAAAAACAAUAUAUAUAUUAUUGAAUAUCUAAUGGAAAGGAUUAUGAAACUCCGCCUAAUAUAUAUAUAUAUAUAACAGAGAAAUUGUCGAUAAUAGCUAUGAUCUAAGUAACUGGACCACGACGAAGACAUAUACAAGAAACAAAAAAAAGAUACUUCACUAACAAUUGGGGUUCUUCAUAAGCUUCAAUAGAAUUGAUAGAGGGUCGAAACAAAAAAGAGAUGAAGAGAGAGGAGGGAAUGGAAAGAAGGGAAAAGAGAACUCUUGCGAUCUGUUGAAUAAGACUCAGUAUAUAUAUAUAUAUAUAAAAUAAAAAAAACUCAAGUUAGCGCAUCAAAUCUUCGACUUGGAUUAUGAGAUCGGGAUAAGAAAACUUAAUAUUUAAAAAUAAAAUUAAAGAAAAAAACUAUAAAAACAUAUAUGGUUUAACAAUAUUAAUCAAUUAUUAAAAUCUUUCAUUUUAUAUAUAUUAAAAAUAAAUAUUAAUAACUAUUAUAUCAAUUUGUGAAUGUUUCAAUUAGGAUGCGAAUAAAUGUUUUAUAUAUGACAUUUUUCUUAAGAAACCAAAGUUAUUAAGCAUGUUUAGAUUUAAUUACCAAAUGAGAGUGAGGGUUGAGGUUAUAGAUUGACCUAAUUAAUACUCAGAUCAAGAUUUAGGUCCUAGAUCGGACAAAUUAGCUUAUUGACUAGUGUUAAUAAAAAAUUGUAUCAUUUUAUGAUUUUUGUUAUAGAAAAAAUCAAAAUGGUGUUGUUAAAAAAAGUAAAACUAGGUUUUAACUGAGUUGACUAGGUUGUGGGUUGAUUUAUCUGGUCAACUAGGCUCAAUUGAGUCAACUCUCACUUGGUUUUUUCUAAACCUAAAUAGGGUUAGGUUCCAGAUUAAAAUGUAAGGCUUGAAUUAAAUUUAAUAACAUUGAUUAAAACCACAAUGUAGGAAAAAAAAUUGAAUUCAUAAAAGUAAUUAACCGAAAACUUGAAUUCCUUCUUAUAAAGUUGAACCCAUGUCGGUUUUUUUAAAGGAAAAGUAUGAAUCAAAGGUUAACGCUAGGCUGCUCACUUUGCAUCACAAUGACAGAUAUGGAAGGCUUGCUACUUUCUUUAUGGAAAUAACGUGUGGAAAAUCAUGCAUUAAUUUUGAUGUUGAUGGCAAAAUCAAACAAUAUCGUUGAUAAAAUGAAUGACAAAUGAUAUUAUUUUUAAAAUACUUCUUGUCAUUGUCAUGACAACAAGUCUUCUUUUUUUUCUUUCUAAAGUACUUGUCAGUCUAUUUUUAUGUAACCCAAUCAACAAGUAAGAUGGAUAGAAAUUUGCAGUGUAAAAUGGGUCUGUGAGACUAUGUAUCGCCAUCUGCAUUUUUCCACGAUCUAGGCCAGUGGGAUGGUACAUGAGACCAUUGCUAUCAAGCGUUUUUUCUACGAGAUGGGUCCAUGAGACCAUUGCCCUGUAAGCUUGGGAAUGGAUAAUUAAUAUGCUUUAAUGUCUAUUUAGUUUGCAAAAAAAAUAAUUAAAUGCUUAUGAAUAAAAAAUAAAUCUCAAGUGUUAAAAUGCAACCACCGAUUAAUUAAUGGACAAUGGACCUUAGAUUAAUACAUGACGCAACUUUCAAUGGAAUUAUAUUUGUGGAGGUAUUUACUCGGAUGCGAAUUAUAUUUCUAUUUUUUUAUUUAAAAAAAUUCUAUACUACAACGAGCUUAAGAAAGUCAUGUUCAGGGGCGGAGCUAUAAUUAUUUGUUAGGAAGAUCAAAAUUAAUAUAAUAAGAUAUAAAAUUUAUUUUAAUUUAUUAUACAUGAGUUCUAAAACAAAACCUGUAUAAUUUAGUUUUAUUCAAAUAACUUACUACAAACAUAUAAUAACCUUUGUGAAGUAUAUUGGGACUGCUCAACCAUAACUUUAACAUUACACAUUGGAGUUGGUUCACUAGGCUGUGAGUUAUCAAUAUUUUUUAUUUUUCUUUUUCAAAAAAAAAUCAAUUCUUCUUAUUUUGUUCAUGGUUCAACCUAAAAUCAAAACAUAUAUCGUAAGAAAAAAUUGAUAAUUUAGUGACUCUGCUAAAAAUAAAACAUAAAACAAAUCCAAGCAUAAUCAAAACAAAACCAAUAAAAUAUAUCUAAUUAAUUAGAAAAAAAAUCAUUAUAAUAAGAAUUCAAAAAAAAAUGGUAAAACUAGCAGAUCUGAGAAAAAAAAAGAGCAAAAAUGAUAGAAAUAUAAAAAAAAUCUCAUCAAAUUAUUAACAAACAUCUCAAAACAAAACAAAUAUAGAUUUUAAAUUUAAGUUACUUUGUUUUGUUUGAUGAAAGAUAAAUUAAUUGGUGGCUCUGCUUCAAUCUUUUUGUAGAAACAUUUUGCUCACAAUUUGUAUUUUUAUUUCUUUGUUUGAUCGGCUGCAGGAUUUAUAUUAGGGUAAAUUAAUGGUUUUGUUUUUUAUUUCACAAAGUAAUGCCUUAAUAUUGUUUUCUUCCAUCUAGGUCAAGAGUAAAUUAAAAGGAAAUCAAAAGUAAAGUCAAUAAUAACCCAAAGUAAUGCCUUAAUUAUUUGAUGUCACAAAGUAAUGCUUUAAUAACCCAAUAAUAAAAAAACAAAAUGUCUUGAGGGGGGCUCGGGCCCCUGCUUGCCCCCUACUUCCACCCUUGGUCAUGUUCAUCGAAAAAAAAAAUUAUAUUUACUCGGAUGUGUUUUUUCUACGAGAUGGGUCCAUGAGAACAUUUCCAUCUGCAUAUUGGUUCUUGAGACCGUUACCAUCAGGGGCGGAGACAGAGGGGCUGGCAGGGGCCCCGGCCCCGGCAAGGAAAAAGUUUUUCCAGCCCCUCCCUUAACAAUAUUUAUAUUUUUAGUUUAAAUAAUAAAACAAUUAAUAUUUUGAUCCCCUUUAAUUUUAUUUUCUGGUUCUGCCCCUGGUUGCCAUCAUGCAUUUUUCCUCGAGGAGAGGCCAUGAGACGUCCUCUUCCAACCAUCAUGCAUUUUUUCCACGAGAUGGGUUCGUGGAGAAACUUUGGUUUAAUUGGGAAUGCUGUUAUUGAUUGGAAACUUUUUAAUUAAAAUAAAUUUGAUUAUUUGAUUGGAAAAAAUCCUUAAAUGUUAUUAACACAAGAAAUGAAUUUAUUUUCUUAAGAAAAAAAUAUUGUAACCAUAUAAGUAAUUUAUUUAUUUAUUUUAAUGAAAUAUAAAAUAGUUUUAAAUCUUGUGGUAUAUUUCUUGUCUUUAAGAGCUAUGAACUUAUAUCGCAAACCUUGAAAACUAAUAUAAAGAUAUUAAGUGAUCAUUAAGUGUGUGUGUAUGUAUAUAAUCUUUUUCAAAACAAAAAGGAUUUUGAUGGAGAUCAGGACAUUGCAACAAAUUAUCCACCACGAGAUGGGUCACUGAUACCAUUGUCAUCAUGCAAUUUUUUCCCACGAGAUGGGGCCGUACGCUUGGGGCUCUAAAACGCUAUGGUUUUUAAUUUCAUUAUGUCACAUCUAGAAUGGCAGGUAUAUUUUAUUUCAAUUUAAACAAUGGAAUAAAUUAGAAGAUAUUUCAUCUCGUUUGGAAUCUUAUCUCAUUUCAUGAAUUUCACCUAAAUUCUGGCCGGAAUAUUUUGGUUCUAUUCCAGCCAUUCUAUUAUGAUCAAAUAAUGUUUUGUUUUGCUUUUAUAAAAAAAAAAAUAUAGUCUAGUUUUACGGUAUCAAUUAUAUCUCUCAAUUCAACUGUUGAAUUAUACUAAAAUUUUACAAGGAAUCUCCUAACAUAUAUUUAUAUCGCAAGUUAAAAUUUUAGAACAAUUAGAGUUUAGAAAGACUUUGUGAGAUUGCCGAUGACAUUUUCAUAAUUUUAUUUAAAUUCAUAAUUUGGUUUCGUAAGGUCAUUUUUUGUGUCUUCUUUUAGAUUGUUUUGUUUUUCCAAUUUCAUAAUUCAACAAUAAGUUUAUUAAAAAUUGAGAUUCAUAAUUUGUUUUUAUUUUGGAUUAUUAUGGUCUCAUAAUCUGGGUCACGGAUUUAAAAGAUUAACUUAGAUUAACCCGAGUCUAUCCAAUAUGUCGUUGUCUCAAUAUUUUUAACAAACAUAAUUUUAAUUGACAUUUAAAAAUAAACUAACUUAAAAUUAUACAAUUUAAAUUUCAAAUAUAAGUAAAAAUAAAGAGUUAAAUCGAUAUGACCCAUUUGAUUUGAUGAGUCCAAAGUAUAUAUAGAACAAUCCAAAAUGACACAUCAAAAUACUCAAAAACAAAAAUAUAUUGUUACAAUUAAAAAAAUAAAACACCAAUUAAAAUGGAAUUAACAUCCUUGCUUCAUAGAAGCCUAAACUCCUCGCUACCAUUUGCAAGAGAUAGUUAUACCAAUAGCAAUUUAGUAAUGUUGGUCAGAAUUUAAUAUCCUUCUCGAUAAGAAGAUCCUUAUCUUAUCGGAUAAAACCUAAUUGUUCUAACGUCAACAAAAGAAUUUAAUAUUCGGAAUACAUCUUACGUAUAAGGUCGUAACCCAAAUACUAAAAGAAAAAAAAUAAUAUUUUUGGAAUUUUUGAAAUAUUGGUCUAGUUCUCGUGACUUUAAUAAACUGGUUAUUAAAACCAAAAUGCAUGUUAAUACAUAUUUUUGAAUUUUUGUUGUAUGAAAAUAUGAUAUGAUUUUUUUUCUUUGAGAUACUUGGCCAUAUGCAUGAAAAUAAAAACAUGUUUUUUUUUUAAUUUUUCAAUGUUUCGACGAAAACUGGGUAUUUUAAUUCCAGAUUUGUAUCUUUACAGUAUAAAAAUACAAAUCAAUACUAAGAAAAAAUCAAUAGAAAAAUACGCGGUAAAAUCACAGAUUUUUUAAAAUGAUUUUUUUUUGACCGGGUAGGCGUUGUUCGGGUCAGAAAACUAAAACAAACAGUGGAGAGACUCUCUGCUGUUCACAUGCAACGUGAACAGUGGAGCGGCCUGGAGAAGACUAAGAAGAGGAGGAGGAAGAGGAAGAAGCAGACCUGCAGCCUAGCGGUGCUGCCAGUGGCGGUGGACGGUGUUGCGGUUGCGGACCGUGGUGCUGACUGGUUGGUGGUUCUUCUUUCUUUCUCUGCGUUUCCCUUCUGCUUUUUUUCUGUUCUACUCUAUUCUUCCUCUUGUUCCCUGUUUUAUUCUCUCUCCCUCUCUGGUCCUCUCAAACGUCCCCUGGAGCUGCUGCCUGAAGAUGAAGAUGAAGUUGAGGGUGAUCAGUGCUCUGAUCGAGCAACGUUUCUUUCUUUCCUUCUGCUACUGUUUUCGUUUCUGAUUCUCCUUUUUGUUCAAUUCUUAUUUGCACUCUUCUUCUUCUUCGUCGUCUCUGGUUUUUGAAAUGACGAAGACGAUGGCAACGCUGGUUCUGGUCUCAACGAUUUCCUCUCCUUACAUUCUUUCCUUCUGCUCAUUUCCGUCUCCCUCUCGUGCUACUCCCCACUUUCUCUCUUGUCCUGCUGGCUCUCCCUCCUUGUCUCCUCCUUUUUUUUUUUCCUGUCCGUCUCUCCUCUGGCUUUAUAUAGCGAGAGGAUGCAUGCUUUUCGGGAUUUAUUGCAGGAAGGUUGUAACAGCCGGAGUGUAUCAUGGUGGAGAAGGAUAUCAGCCGUGAGACAUGCUCCCCUGAUUGAAGCAGCUCCACCGCUAACAUCUUCACUACCUUUUACUGUAGAAACCGUUGUUGAUGAAGAAGGUAAUGAACAGUUGUCAAGGAAAUGGUACCGUUUUAAAAUUCAAAAUGAAUAUUUCCGAUUUGGUCAUUGGAUUUUUUGCAAUUUUGUAAUCAAGCCCCCGAAUAAAUUGUAAAUGGAUCUCUGGAUUUUAGCCCCAUUUACAAGACAAUUUUUUGUUCUGGAUUCAUGCAAUUUGACCCUCAAUUGAUCAAUAAACUUCUAAUUUCUUCAAUUUAACCCCUGAGUUGGUCAAUUGCAGCCUCUCUAUUUACGUGUCUUUUCCGAUUUGGUCCUUGGUUUCGUAUUUUUUCAAUCAAGUCCCUAAUUGCCCAUAAAACUUUAAUAAUUAUGCAAUUAAGCUCCUGAUUUGACCAAAUCAACUCUUCAAAAUUAUAAUUGUACCCUAGAACUUUAAUUUCUUCCAAUAAAAGCCUAAAUCGACAUAAAACUUAAUUUUUCUUUCAAUCAAACCCUCCAUAAAUUCAAUUAAACCCUCAAUAAAAUUUAAUUUAGUCCAUAAACAUCUGAUUUUGGAUAUAUUUUUUUUAAAAAUGAAUUUUCUUUGUCAACAGGGCUCUCAUUAGUCAACGAUAUACUAUCAAAUUUCAAUCUUUGUAUUUUUUAACCUCCUCAACCAAUUUUUAGCUAUUUUGGGCGGUCCAACAGCUUUCUCACUACGACAUAUAUUUUUAUUUAUUUAUUUAUUAUUAUUAUUUAUUUACUUUUUUUCGACUCUUACUUUUUGUAUUUUCUUCUUUUUUGUGUGAGGUCCUAAAAAUGGGUAACAAUACUUAAGUUCAAAUCUAUUAAUAAAAUAUAGUUUUAUUGAAUUUUUUUAUAUACUUUUAUUAGAGAAAUCAAUGUAAACAAAUUUACGGAAAAACAUUAGUUUAUCAAGUACUUAAAUAGAAAAAUAAAAUCAAUUAGAGUACUUGAAUAAAAAAAAUAUAAAUUAUAAGCAUUUUAUAUAUCUUUAUCGUUCAUACAUUAAGAUAUUUUAUUGAUUAAAUUUUGUGAAUAUAAGUAUUCAAAUUGAAAAAAAAAACAUUGAUGCAAGCUUUUAAAUAAAAAAAAUUAUAAAAUACAUAUAAUUUGCACUUCUCAUUGUCUCUUUCGCAUUGCUAACACUUAACAAAUUGAAUAUAUAAUUCUCGUGUGAAUAACGUCAGAAUAAAUUUAGUUAUAUGACAUUAUAAUACCUUUUUAUUUUUAUAUUUUAAAAAUAUUUUAAAAAAAUUAAAUUGUUUUAAAUAGAUAACUUUUGAAUCAUCAAGUAGUGAAACACAAGAAAAGCGAAGAAAGUGAAGAAUAAUCAAAGUGGUGCGGGUCCACAUCAAUUUUUGUCCAUGUUUUUGGUAUUAAUCUCUUCAUCUAUUUACAGCCGGAGAAAAGAACAUCACCUACUACUUUUCUUGUCUCUUCUUGCUUGGAAGAUAAGGCAUGUGAACCUUUGAGUGCCACUCAUUUUAGUACAUAGACUUGGUUAUUUGACCACAGCUUCACCACAAGUUAAAUUGUUUUAAUUAAAAAAAAUUAUAUAUAGAUUUCUUCAAUAAAUUUUUUAUUUAAAAUUUUUUUAAGUGAAAAUUGAAAAACUUAUACACAAAUAUUGUUAAAUAAAUCAAGAAUUUUGUGUAUUAAUAAGUGAAAAAAACCAUAAAUGAUGACUUAAAAUAAAAACUGGAAAAAUCAAUAAACAAAUGUAGAUCAAAAUAUUUAAUUUCACAAAACGUGAUAUUACAGUUGUGUUUUCUAAAUUUUCUAAUUAAAAUAAUUUUUUAAUUCGAUCAAACGAUAAUAAAAAUAGACACACAUAUUAUAAAUUGAUUGAAUAAAAUAAAAAAUAAUAAUAAUAUGUCAGGCUUCAUAUAUUGGAAAUAUUUUUUGAAAAUAUUUUUUUUAUUUUUAAAAAUAUAGUUUAUCUAUUAAAAAAAUUAUAUAUUAAAUUCAAAAUAAAUAAACUUUAAAAUAAUUUGCAAGGCUGCACAUAAGCCCUUUAAAAGGAAAGUGAUAUAACAAAAGUGGAACAAUUUUUAUUAACUAAAUAAACUCUAUAACUAUUAAUAUUAAAUUCAAAAUAUAUAUUAAAAAUAAAUAUUAAAACCUAUUAUAUUAAUUUGUGAAUUUAUCAAUUGAGAUGUGAAUUAUAUUUCUAAAAUGUUAUAAGAAAUUUCUAUAUACUACAACUAGCUUAAGAAAAUCAAGUUCAUCGAAACCGUAGAGUACAGAAAAAAAAUGAAUUGCAUGAUUAACCAAAACUUAUAUUUCUUCUUAAAACGUUGACCCCAAGUCAAGUUUUUUUUUUUUUUUGAAAAAAACAUGAAUACAAGGUUAAUGCUAGGCACAUGACGAUGAUGGAUAUACAAGACCUGCUCCUUUCUUUAUGGAAAUUACGUGUGGAAAAUUUAGGCCUUGAAAAAAAUUAAAAAAAAAAUACUAUUAAUCAUGUUAUUUGCAUUAUGGCAAAUAUAGAGACUUGAUUGAUAAAAAUUUAUAAGAGCAAGUAUUCAAAUUUUAAAAUAAAUAAAUAAAUCAAUUCAAGUUUUUAAUUAGAAAAAACAAGAUACAAAUACUCUGUGUAAGUGCCACUAACUCUUUGUAUUUUCUAACUAUUAAAGAAUUGAAUAUAUAAUACACGGGUGAUAAACAUCAAAAUAAAUCCAAUUGUAUAAUUUACUAAGAUUUUAAAAACUAACACUACAUAGAAAAAAAAAUCUUAAAAUAAAUAACAGAAAACUUGUAUUCCUUCGAGGGGUGUUUGAGAGUGUGGUAGCGGUUGCUUUUCAAAGUUUUUUCCCUUAAAAAUGCAUCAAAAUAAAUUUUUUUGAUUUUUUAAAAAUUAUUUUUAACAUCAUUAUAUCAAAAUGAUCUAAAAAUAUUAAAAAUAUAUUAAUUUAAAGCAAAAAAUAUAAAAAAAAUUAAAAAAUUUUAAUAAUACUUUUAAAAUACUAAAACAAACAAGAUAUUAAAAAAUAUACUACAAGUCAAAGUCUUUUUGAAAAAAAACAUUAAUAAAAGGUUAAUGGCAGGUAGCUUAUUUUCUGCCCUAAUAAAGCUCAAGGUCUGUUCAGAAAACUAAGUACGUAGGCAUACACCCAAUCCAAGCACCAUCAAAUCAUUUUUUAUACAUAGGGAUAGGAACGCUAGCUUCACAUGAUAGAUAAAAAAAAUUAAAAGAUAAUAAAAUUAAAAAAAUAAUUAUAAUCUUAUAUAUUAUUUUAAAUAAAAUAAAUAUUGAUUAAAAAAACCAAAUAUAAUAAAUUAAAAUAUUUAAUUUAAAAAAGAUAAGAGAAAAGUAAAUGAGAAUUAAAGUUGAUAUAAAAAUUAAAUUAUAAAAUAUAAAAUUCAAAAAAAAAAUAAAACCAAUUUUUUUUUUCUAAAAGAUAAUAUUCAGAUUAAAAGCAUUAUAAAAAGAAUAGCUCCUUGUUUCUUCCUUGUUUCAAUUUCAAGAUAUUAAGAUUAAAACCCAAUCGUAUAGCUGGUUGGGUUGAGAAGAAAGGUUUGCUUUUGUAUUACAAAUUAUUUAGAUUAGUUUUUUUUUAAAAUUAAUCAAAUUAGUAUCAUUUUGGUUCUCCAUCGAAGAAAAUAGAAAACAUAUUUAGUAAUAAGGUGUUGUUUAAUUCCUUAUAUUAUUAAUAUAAUCAUGGCAUCAUCACUGUAACAAUAAGUCCUCUUACUUGUAUUUUCACCGUCCCAACCUCUUUACAUGGCGUCACCGUAGCAAUUAUAUAUCUCUUGAUCAAUCAUAAUUAAAUUACUGUAAUAAUAUCUUUUUUUAUUCUUUUAUAUGAAGUCUUAAUUUAUUUUUUUAUAUAGGUAGUUAUGAAUUACAGAAAUUGAACAAUUUAGAGAUCUUUGACUUAGAAUCUAAUUGUUUCGAUAACAGUAUUAUAUUAUAGAGGGAUUUUUAUCCCUUAAAUUAUUAUAUUUAGAUUAAAAAAUAAAAACUAAUUAGGAGUCAAUUAAAUAAAUAAAUAAAAACCCUCAAAAGAUAAAAGAAGAAAACAUAAAAAGUACACUACCCAACCAAUAAUUGACCUGAAUCACAUGUUGUCCACUGCCAGAACUUAUUAGCAAUCUGCUUACAACAGCAAAUUGAUCAAUAAGAAAGACUUAAAUUCCAAAUUUAAAAACCAACUCAAUUGAGAUCCUUAUUAUUCAUUCAAUUAGUUGCUUCUUGCUAACUCUUUUAUUUCCUUUAUAAUUUUAAUUCAUUUUAAUAUAAUUUCUUGAUUGUGGCAAGCUUCCUUUAUCUCAAGAACUUGGAAUACUUGGAUUUCCCAAGAAAAAAUUAACUUAAGACUUUAGUUAAUGCUAUGAACACGAGUAAAUGAUAUGCUAAAGAAAAAACCAUGUAUUUAAGAACCAUUGCUAAGCUACAGGUUCAGGAGCCAUAAACCACUCACAUUUAGUGGGGUUGAUCUCAAAUUCAGACAAAUCUACUUGUCCAGUUCGGAGAACCUUCAAACAAAAAGAAGAAUGAAACCUUGUAAAAUUGGCUAUCAUCAAAAGGACAAGAAACAGUACAAGAAGGAUCAGCCUCGCAUUUCUUGCAUAAGUAAAAGAAUCCACUUGUUAAUGGAAAGGAGGACUCUGCAACAAGUCUAAAAUAUCCUCUGGAGUUCAGUGACCCUACAACCUUAUAUUUACCUCAGAAUGCACCCACGUAAAGCACACAGGAAAUCCCAACACAUAAGACAACAAAAGAAAACAUAUAAUUAGCAGAAAAAAAAAGGUUGUACAAUUCUUUCAUAGCUUACAGUACGUAUAGAAUAAGCAUUAUCAAAUCAGGCUAACAUACCUCAGGUAAGUGAGAUGUUAAUCCUUCUUCAAGCGGCAAUGUCUCAAUCAAUGACAUUAUCAAAUCAGGCUUCAGUAUAUCCCCUAAUCCCAAGCCUAGGACAACAAAAGAAAACAUCAUGAAAAAAAAUGAUUUUACAGUAAUGCACCCAGUGCCAGAGCAUAUAAUUAGCAGAAAUAAAGGUUGUACAAUUCUUUCACAGCUUACAAUACGUAUAGAAUAGGCAUUAAUAAUUACCUUCAUCUGGAUCGGCCAAACUACCUGCAACAUCUAUCAUCACAUCACGGCGCGGGCCACCCUAAGUACAGCAAACAAGGAUAUGGUCAAUUGCACUAUCUGAGCAUAACACAGAUAUUACUCAGGAUUCUUUGCAAGUCUUCCAAUUUCACUGGUUCUGAUGAAGAGUUUACAUCAUUCAUUACUUCUGCACCAAGGUCUGGGACAACUAAGUUUCCAGUCCUGAGAGCUAUGAGCAAAAAUCUCAUCAGAAUAAAAGAAAAUGGCAACGUAAUACUGGGCCAUUUCUUUUUUGUAAUAAAAGUGCUCCUUAACCUUUUUGAAGUUAUUUUACAAUGAAUUACAAGCAUUAAACUUGUAUAUACAUGGACAAACACCAAGUUAUGAUUCUAAAUUUCCAUAUAAAAGAUGCCCCAAGUUUUAAAAUUUACCCCGAGGGCAAGUCUGUGCAAGAGCAUAAGGGGAUGAAGGAUUUGACAUGGACUAAGGUGGGUGAGAUGUUUUUGUCAAGAAAUGAUUUUGGAAAAUUUCUUGAUAUUUCUUGAAUAAAUAAGAUAGGAGUCUUCAUCAAGGCAAGAACAUAGGCUCUCCAAGAUAAUUGACCAGAAGGAGAGAAGGGAGGCUCAUCCUGCUCCACAGACUCUUAGUCUCAAAGAACAAAAAAUUACUUGGCUCUAUAUCCUUACUCUUACUUGCUAUAUCAACUCUUAGAGUUGAAGUAUCUGAAAGGGUUUAUUUUUAGUAUUUGAAUAAGUCCAUGAGUCCCUAGUCUUCAGGAAGAUAUACAUGGUCAAGAUUAAAUUAAGGAUUUUAGUUGCUUAUUUUUCGUUAUUUCAUGUGCCACGUUACUGUGAACGUGAGCUAUUUUUCAGUCUUAUUAUUAUUCCUGUAAGGCUAUUUAUUAGCCAUUUCCAUUCAGUAAAAGCAAUUCAUUCAAUUCAAAUACUGUGCACUUUUGUUCUUAUUCUUUACAAUUGGUAUCAGAGCUAUUACAUCUGACCUGUUACGAAGAAAUAGAUACAAAAGGAAGACAUAUUUUUGAGUGACUUCAAACUUAGAGUGAGUGAGUGCUUGAGUGCUUUUAAACACAGAGUGAGUGAGUUUGAGUGUUUUUUAAACACAGAGUGAGAAAGAGAGUUCUUGAGGGUCAAUUUCAACAAUGGCAGCAGAGUCCAGCAAUUUUGUAUCACCUUGCAUCCCGAAAUUUGAUGGAGACUACGAGCAUUGGAACAUGCUAAUGGAGAAUCUCUUGCAUUCCAAAGAGUAUUGGAACGUUAUUGAGACAGGAUAUGUCGAGCCUGCAUCAGGGGAAAUUCUGAAUAAUGCACAGAAAAAGACAUUGGAGGAGACAAAGCUGAAAGAUUUAAAGGUUAAAAAUUACCUUUUUCAGUCCAUCGACAAAUCCAUUCUGAAGACUAUUACUCAAAAAGACACAGCAAAACAGUUGUGGGAUUCCAUGAAGAUCAAAUACCAAGGAAAUACAAGGGUUCGGCGUGCUCAACUUCAAAUCUUUCGCAGGAAUUUUGAAGUGCUGGAAAUGAAACAAGGAGAAACUGUCACAAGUUAUUUUGGAAGAGUUAUGCUGGUGGCAAAUGACAUGCGAAAUCUGGGAGAAAGCAUACCUGAUGAGAAGAUUGUAGAGAAGAUUUUACGCACACUUACUGAGAAGUACAAUUACAUAGUGUGCUCCAUUGAGGAGUCUAAAGAUAUUAAUCAUCUUUCAGUUGAUGAGCUGUAGAGUUCAUUACUUGUUCAUGAACAGAAAUUCAAAAGGCAUGACACAGAUGAUCAUGCCCUGAGAAUCUAUGAUGACAGAUUCUGUGGCAGAGGUCGUGGCAGAAACAAUUACAGAAGCCGAGGCCGUGGGGGCAGAACACAAACAUUCAAUAGAGACAUGGUGGAAUGUUUCAGGUGUCACAAACUUGGACACUUCCAAUACGAGUGUCCAACCAUGAACAAGGCAGCUAAUUAUGUGGAGCUAGAUGAUGAAGAUGAGAUGCUGCUAAUGUCCUAUGUUACAUUAGCUAAGACAACACGGAAUGAUGCAUGGUUCCUGGAUUCAGGAUGUUCUAAUCAUAUGUGUGGUUAUAGAGGUAUGUUCUCCUACUUGGAUGAAAAUUUUCAGCAUUCAGUCAAACUUGGAAACAAUAGCAGAAUGGCAGUAGUUAGCAAAGGCAGAGUAAAAUUACUAAUCAAUGGUAUUAAGCAUGUUGUUAAUGAUGUCUAUUAUGUACCAGAGCUUAAAAAUAAUUUACUGAGCAUAGGUCAACUACAAGAAAGGGGCUUAGCAAUUUUAAUUAAGAAUGGAGUUUGUAAGAUUUACCAUCCUGAGAAGGGUUUGAUCAUUCAAACCAAGAUGAGUGCAAAUUGGAUGUUCAUCCUACUUGCACAGACUCAAGCUCCCGUACAUGCACAGACUCAGAAUCAAGAGAAUUGUCUUCUCACCGGUUCUCAAAAUCCCUCAGUGCUAUGGCACAGACGGUUCGGUCACUUAAGCUACAAAGGCUUAAGAACCUUACAAUGGAGACAUAUGGUACAUGGACUGCCCACCUUCUCGACUCCCACCAUCACCUGCACAGAUUGCCUCAAUGGCAAGCAACACAGAGAGGUCAUGCCCAAACACAGCAAAUGGAGAGCAAAUCAGAAAUUGGAAUUAAUUCAUGCAGACAUUUGCGGUCCUAUUUCCCCCGAAUCCAAUAGUGGCAAAAGGUACAUAUUAUGUUUCAUUGAUGAUUUCAGCCGAAACUAUGGGCAUUUCUUUUAGCUACAAAAUCCGAAGCUUUCAUUUAUUUUAAGAAAUUCAAAGCUAUGGUGGAAAAAGAAACCCUAUUGCAUGUGAAGUGUCUAAGGACUGACAGGGGAGGAGAAUUUACCUCAAGUGAAUUCAACGAAUUCUGCAGCCAACAAGGUAUCAAACGGCAGCUCACCACGGCGUACACUCCACAGCAAAAUGGAGUUGCAGAGAGAAAAAAUCGAACCGUGAUGAACAUGGUCCGAUCAAUCCUCUCUGGUAAAGGGAUUCCAAAACCCUUCUGGCCAAAGGUAGUGAACUGGGCCUUCUAUGUGCUCAAUCGGUGCCCAACUUAUGCUUUGACAGACAUCACUCCUCAUGAGGCAUGGAGCGGAACUAAACCAUCAGUAGACCAUUUCAGGGUCUUUGGGUGCUUGGCCCAUGUUCACGUUCCAGAUGUGAAACGGAGUAAGCUUGAUAACAAAAGCUUUGUGUGUGUACUGUUGGGUAUGAGUGAGGAGUCAAAGGGGUACAAGUUGUUUGAUCCUUUAAACAAAAAAAUCGUGGUUAGCAAAGAUGUGAUCUUUGAGGAGGACAAACAGUGGGAUUGGGAUGUUGCUUAUGAAGAACAAAUCUUGACAGAUUUGGUUUGGGGUGACAGAGAAGGAACACGUGAAGAUGGUGAUAAUAGUGAUGACAAUCACGGGGAUGAGAGUGGUGAACGUGAGGCUGAAAUCAAUGGGGAAGAAGGGGAAGAAAACGAAGAACACAGACACAUUGUCUGUGAAGAUGAUGAAAAUGCUGAGAGAGAAGAAGAAGAAGCUGAGUUAAAUGAUCUUACGGUGUGUAUGCUGCCAGUUGGAAGAAUAGGUGAGCAGGUCAAUCCUACGGCAUGAACGCGGCCAAGUGAACAAAGGGAGAUGACAGAUGGCAAAAUAGAUGUUAAUCCAACGGUGAGAAUUCAGUCUGACAGGGAGAGUGAUUAGAUGACAUGUGGCGUACAUCCAACGGCACAAAACAUGGCAGACGGAGAGAAUGAGCUGCUGACAAGUGGAGACAAUCCAACGACUGACAUGCAAUCUGACGGGGAGAGUGGCCUGCUGACAAGUGGAAGAAGAGAAAGGGGUCCUCCGGUGUGGAUGCAAGAUUAUGUUACAGGGGAGGAUUUAUCUGAAUAUGAGUCCAAUAUGGCACUAAUUAUGUCUUCUGAUCCCAUUUAUUUUGAAGAUGCUGUGAAAGUUAACACUGGAGACUUGCUAUGGACAGUGAAAUUAAUGCAAUAGAGAAGAACAAUACCUGGACGCUCAACGAGUUGCCGGAGGGAGCAAAAAAAAUUGGAGUCAAAUGGGUCUACAAAACAAAGUACAACGAACAUGGGGAUGUUGAUAAAUACAAGGCAAGGCUAGUUGCCAAAGGGUACUCGCAACAACACGGAAUUGACUAUACAGAAGUCUUUGCACCAGUGGCAAGGAUGGAUACAGUAAGGAUGAUUAUUGCUCUCGCCGCUCAAAAAAACUGGAUUGUUUAUCAGUUGGAUGUCAAAUCGGCUUUUCUGCAUGGGGAAUUGCAUGAAGAUGUUUAUGUUGAUCAACCAAAAGGGUAUGAAAAGAAGGCUAGCGAACAUCUAGUUUACAAGCUGCAUAAAGCGUUGUACGGGUUAAAACAAGCUCCAAGAGCUUGGUUCAGUCGAAUCGAGGGUCAUUUUUUCAAUGAAGGCUUUCUACGGUGUGAAAGUGAGCAAACUUUAUUCACAAAGAGAAGCAGGGAAGGAAAGAUUAUCAUUGUAAGUGUUUACGUUGAUGAUCUAAUAUUUACUGGCGAUGAUACACAUAUGUUGUCUGAAUUCAAAAACUCCAUGAUGAGGGAGUUUGACAUGUCAGAUUUGGGGAAGAUGCGGUAUUUCUUGGGAAUCAAAGUAUUACAGCAUUCAGGUGGCACCUACAUAUGUCAGAAGAAAUAUGCACUAGAGGUGUUGAAGAGGUUUGGUAUGAUGGAAUGCAAUGCGGUGAAAAAUCCAAUAGUUCCCGGAUGCAGAGUCAACAAAGAUGAAGGCGAAGCUAAAGUAGAUGAAACAUAUUAUAAGCAGUUAGUGGGCAGCCUAAUGUAUCUCAUAGCAACAAGACCAGACAUGAUGUUUGUUACUUGUCUCAUCAGCAGAUACAUGGCCAAACCUACGGAACUUCAUCUACAAGUAGCAAAAAGGGCACUUAGAUAUCUAAGAGGGACAAUAAAUUUUGGAAUUUAUUACAAGAAAGGGGGAAGUGAUGAACUACUCUCAUUUACGGAUAGUGAUUAUGCUGGAGAUAUGGAGGAUAGAAAGAGUACAAGUGGAUAUGUUUUUUUGUUAAGCUCAGGAGCAGUCUCAUGGAGUUCGAAGAAGCAACCAAUAGUGACUCUUUCUACAACUGAAGCAGAAUUUGUAGCAGCCGCAAUGUGUGUAUGUCAAGCUCUUUGGAUAAAAAGAGUCUUGAAGGAAUUGGGACACUCAAAUAAUGAGUGCACACAAGUGAAAUGUGAUAACAGCUCAACUAUUAAAUUGUCCAAAAAUCCAGUGAUGCAUGGACGCAGUAAGCAUAUCGAUGUAAGAUAUCACUUUCUGAGAAAUCUUACUAAAGAAGGUACAAUUGCAUUAGUUCAUUACGGAAGUCAGGAUCAGGUGGCAGAUUUAAUGACCAAGCCUUUAAAGCUUGAUGCAUUUCUGAAACUAAGAACACUGUUGGGAGUCCAAGAAAUUACUGAUGUAAACUAACUGCAUACUGCAGUAAGUUUAAGGGAAGGAAUGAAAGGGUUUAUUUUUAGUAUUUGAAUAAGUCCACGAGUCCCUAGUCUUCAGGAAGAUAUACAUGGUCAAGAUUAAAUUAAGGAUUUUAGUUGCUUAUUUUUCGUUAUUUCAUGUGCCACGUUACUGUGAACGUGAGCUAUUUUUCAGUCUUAUUAUUAUUCCUGUAAGGCUAUUUAUUAGCCAUUUCCAUUCAGUAAAAGCAAUUCAUUCAAUUCAAAUACUGUGCACUUUUGUUCUUAUUCUUUACAGUAUCAUCUUUGAGUAUGCUUAUUUGUUAUAAUAAAUAUACCUUGAUGAGAUAUUAUCUUUAAGCAUGUCUUCAAAAACUUGGAAAGGAGUAGAAGCAUCAGGCUCUUCUUCAUCAAGGAACUCUGCCAGGCAAUAAGAUAAAGUAGCGACGUUGCUGAUGGAAAAACUUCACUCUUGAAUGAGUGCUGAAGUUAUAAGCCAGGUCAUUAGUUUGAAGGAGUAAAACUGGUUAGUAAAAUUUUAGGAAAACCAAUUCACACAUACGGAGUGUGUAACUAAAAUAAAUAAACAGGAAGUAGAAAACAGGAAAUCCAAUUAGUCUAAUAUGAUAUUUCUGUGAAAUAGAGGUUUUCUUUAUGAAAUUGUGGAGAUGAGAGGAGAUAAAUGCAGAUGCAAGAUAAAAAAAAACAAUAAAAAAAAACACAAAAGUAGCAUGGCUAGCAAAGGACUCAAAACACAAAAGUAUUUACCAAAUGGACGAUUAAUAUAAUAGUUGAUAGAGCUACACAAUUGUGAAUCAUCUUUAGCUUUUGGCUCCUGCAAACAUGUUACACAAUUUUCCAAAAUCAUGCAACUAACAGCCGAGUCAAUGUUACACAUAAGAGAGUGAAAAACACAGAAAAUGAACCUGACCUGCAUCCAAAUGAAAAACUUUCAAUCAUCUGUAUUGAAUUUCAAGAUGUAAACUCUUCCCAAAGCUUGAUUAACCUGAAUAACCCAAAGAAUUAUGAAUCUAUGAUAUUACAAUCAAUUAUUAGAGUCAAAUAUCUCCCAUCUAAGAAAAAACUAAGAGAGAAAAGUGUACCUUCUCAAAAACAGCCUCUUCAGAAAAAAAAAUCUGAUCCUGUCAAUCAACACGUCAAGAAAAAGCUACCAAGUUCUUACCUCAAAAGAAUAUUAACAAAACAAACAACAGAAAAAGAAAUAAAAACCAAUGUUGGAAGAGAGAAACAAAAUCCCCAGGCUAAAAAACAUAAUAAUAACUAGGACACAUCUUCCACAGCAUUCAAAUUCCUAUCAAGCCACUGGAAAUGAAGCAAACCCUCGUCACCCUGGAACAAUUCAAAAAUUUCGACUUCAAACAGGAAACAAGAUGCUAGAAACACUCUAUCUAGUACUUAAGAUAAACCAAAACAACAGAAGUAACUAAAAAUCUUUACACAGGUACGAACUCUGUAUAACACAAAAAAACCAAAAGACACCAGUUUACCCUUCCAAUGCGAACAAGUCCUUUUCGAGAAUCAGGAACAAACUUUUUUCCAUCAAAAACCAUUUUACCAGCACGAAACUCCAACAUAAUUUCCUACCAACAAAACAACCACAACAUCAUAACAUAACCCCAUCAAGAAAAACAUACUUAUACAUCCAAAAAAGCAAUUACAGGCUCUAAUUAAUAAGAUACAAGAUUUUAAGCAAAACCCACAAUUUUAAAAGUGAUUUUAUUUACCUGCAUUGCUGAAAUAUCUACAGCUGAUGAAGAACCCAUUUUUCGCAUACUUCCUCUAAAGCUUCCUUUUUUCCAACACUGCAAAAAAAAAAAAAGAAGAACAAAUCAAAUACCCAAAUCAGAAACAAUAACAGAAAAAAAAUAAAAGAAAAUCCAAUGCUGGAAGUUGUAAUCAGGAGGAGAACCAUACAAUUUCUGAUGGAAUGACAUUUUAUCAAGAAUUGAACUAGGCAUUCAGUUAAUUAAAUAGGUUGUAAACUUGUAAUCAGGUGAGAGUAGUGUCAACAUGUUUAGUUUUCCUCUCGGAAGUGUCAUUCUGCACAAAUCAGUGUUUUAAAAAUAUUAAAAAAAAAAUUUAAUUUGUUUUUAAAUUUGUUUUUUAGUGGUUUUCAUUUAUUUUCGUGUAUUAAUAUUAAAAAUAAUUUUUAAAAAAUAAAAAAUAUAUUAUUUCAAUUUAUUUUAAAAUAAAAAAAAAACUUAAAAAAAAUACUGUUAACACAGUAUUAAACAAACUCGAAUCCUAUAACCAGAUGAACAACGUUAAGAUAUUUGUUUUUUGUUUUUUGUUUUUUUUGAUAAUGAGGAUGUCCUAAACAAUCUUGCCUAAUGAUUGUUAAGAAAUGAAAGAGGCAAUGCAUGGCUAAACCAAUGGAAGCUAAAAAGCUAAUGAUGCCCCUAGCUAGUAAGCAAUUGUUGCCGCAAUGACAUAUGCCUCAUUAGAGAUAGAUUUGAAUUUACAUAUUAUUAUUAUCAUAUAUUUUGUAUUCUCGUUUAAAAAAAUAAAUAUUUUCCUUAUAUGGAGUAGAGUGUUUUUAAUUUUAUCAUGUAAAAUUUAUAUAUAUUUUAAAAAUUAAUACAAUAUACAGUUAAACAUCUAUAAAUUAAUAUCAUUGAGACCAUGAAAUUUAUUAAUUAAUCAAGAUAUUAUUUAGUAAAUAAAUUUAUACACUUAUCCAUUAAUCACAAAAAAAUUUCUUUUUCAAAAACAUUGAACUCAAUACAUGCAUUGUGUAUUCUGAUUAUAUGAAUAUUAUCUAAUUAUCAAAUUAUGAAUUAUCAUAGUUCUAUAUAUUUAUUUAAAUAAAACAAGUUUAAGAAUUAAUGUAAUCGAUCUUAUUAAUUAAUAAAAGUCAUGUAUGUAUCUAUUUUUGCAAAUUGGAUGCAUACUUAAUUAAUAUUAAGUCAAGAACAAAACCAAAAAAAGGAAUAUACAAGUGAGCCAAACAACAAUAUUAAAAACGAAUAAGAGGUUGAAUUAAUAUUCAUUAACUAAUAAUAAAAUUAAGAAGAUGAUACCAAAGGACACAAAAUCACAAAAAUUCGUGAAACUACAUAAGGCGGUUUGUUCAAUACCAAGAAAUUAAAUAUUUAAAAAAAAACUAAAUGAAUUGUUUAAAAAGUUAAAAGAAAAUAAAUGCACUUUUGUCCACGUCAACAACAACUAUAACAAAAUGCUGGGCUGUAGAAGAUUUUCCACAGCAACCUGAAAAAAUCAUAUAUGCUCAAGUAACUAUUUGGUAGAGCGUAUUUGGAGUGCUAAUAUCUUUUCUUUAUGGAAUCAGUCCUCGUACUCGAUCUCUGAAACCAGUUAAGGUUCUUAGUGACCAAAAUACUAGGUAGCGACUCUCAUUCCAUUUUUCCACUAAUAAAAGACAAGAAUUCCUUGUCUCCCCAUAGAUGCCUGAUAGAUAAUACAUUUUGAGAGUGGAUAUUUUCACCGCAACAUCGUAUACGUGCGACAUUAUGUAUACAGGUAUUUCACGAGAUGAUGCGGAGUGUUAAAUAUAAGCUUUGUGUUUAAAUCUGUUUUUUUAUGUAAUAUCUUUUGUUUUAUAUGUAAUUUGUAUUAUAUGUAGAUUUUAAUAUAUGAAUCCUAAAGAUAUUUGCUUUUGGUAUUUAUACAUUUAGAAUGUAUGAGUAAGGAACUAAUAUUAGUAAACUAUUUGAAAAGAAUACUUAAUAAUUAUAAUUAUGCAUGUUUAAAAGAUGGAUGCAUGUUAACGUAAUAAUUAGUUCAAUAUGAAUCCUUUGAGUUUAUAUUUGUAUGCAGUUAAUGUUUUAUUUUAAGAGAAUAUAAUUGCUAUGUUUUAUUUUUUUAUGAUGUAAGGUUGAGAAAGCACAACAAAGUAUUGCUAUGUGAAAUAUUGUAUGAUGAGAUGGGAUAUGAUCCAGGAUGGUUGAAUUGAAAUAGAAGAUUGAGUAUUGUGAUUGAAUGAAGUCUAGUCGAUAACUUGGUAACAUAAAAAAACAAAAGAAACUCUGCCGAAUUUUCUGUAGAAAAUUAGAUUUAUAUAAUAACUAUUACUUUGAUGAUAUAACUUUGAGAGUGAUACAUCAAAUGUGAGAUAUGUUAGACAAUAACCGCAAGACAAUAACGGUUCAAGACGUAGACAAUAACAAUUCAAAUUUCGGUAGUCCUCAUAUGAAUACCAUAUAUAUAUAUAUAUAACUUUACUCUGUUUUUCAGUUGCAUGAUAUUGUUAUUUUAUCCCGAUUGAGGGGGUGUUAUAAUUAUGGUCUUAUGAUCCGAGUCACUGAUUUAAAAGGUUAACCUAGAUUGACCCGGGUCGAUCCAAUAUGUUGUUAUCUCAAUAUUUUUUAAAAAAAUAUUAUCUUGAAUUUUUUGAAGUAAAACUAUAUGUUUAUCAGUCGUCCAGACUAUCUUUGGACUCAUUGAAUCGAUUGGGUCAUAUCGAUUCAACUCUUUUUUUUUAGUUAUAUUUGAAAUUUAAAUUGUAUAAUUUCAAAUUGGUUUGUUUUUAAAUGUCAAUUAAUAUAUAUAUAUAUAUAUAUAUAUAUAACAAUCCAAAAUGACAGGUUAAAAUACUAAAAAACCAAAACAUAUUGUUACAAUUAAAAAAAUAAAAUACCAAUUAAAACGGAAUUAAUUGACAACUUGCUUGGUAGAAGCAUGAAACUCCUCGCUGACAUUUGCAAGAGAUAGUUACUUAUACCAGUAGCAAUUUAGUAAUGAUUGAUCAGCAUUUAUAGUAAGAUGGGGCUAUUAAUUCAAAUGUUGAUGGCAUUAGUAACAAUGAUUUUCUUGGAAGGAUUGCUUCCUCUUGGUUGCUUGAAAAUAUACGGUUUUUUUUUAGUUCAAAUCUAUUAAUAUAAAUAUAGUUUUAUUGAAUAUUUUUUAUAUAAUCUUAUUAGAGAAAUCAAUGUAAACAAAUUUAUGGACAAACACUAGAUUAUCAAGUAUUUAAAUAGAAAAAUAAAACAUUGAUACAAGCUUUUAAAUAAAAAACAUUUAUAAUAAAUAUAAUUUGUACUUGUCAUUAUCUCUUUUUCAUUGCUAACACUUAACGAAUUGAAUAUAUAAUUCUCAUGUGAAUAACGUCAAAAUAAAUUUAGUUGCAUGACAUAAUAAUACCUAUUUGUUUUUUGUAUUUUAAAAAUAUUUAAAAAAAUUAAAUUUUUUUAAAUAAAUAACUUUUGAAUCAUCAAGUAGUGAAACACAGGAAAAGUGAAGAAAGUGAAGAAUAAUCAAAGUGGUGUGGGUCCACAUCAACUUUUGUCCAUGUUUUUGGUAUUAAUCUCUUCAUCCAUUUACAGCCGGAGAAAAGAGCAUCACUCAGUGCUUUCCUUGUCUCUUCUUGCUUAGAAGAUAAGGUAUGAGAACCUUCGAGUGCCACUCAUUUUAGUACAUAGACUAGAUAUUUGACCAUAACUUAACUGUUAGUUAAUUGUUUUUUCAAUUAAAAAAAUUUAUAUAUAGAUUUCUUCAACGUAUUGUUUAUUUAAAAAAUCUUAAGUGAAAAUUAAGAAAUUUAUACACAAAUAUAGUCAAAUAAAUUGAGAAUUAUAUGUGUUAAUAAGUGAAAAAAAAACCAUAAACGAUGACUCAAAAUAAAAACUGGAAAAAUUGAGAGACAGGUGCUGAUCAAGAUAUUUAAUUUCACAAGACGUGACAUUUAUGCAGUUGUGUUUUUAAAAUUUUCUAAUUAAAAUAAUUUUUUAUUCAAUCAAACGAUAAUAAAAACAGACACACAUUAUAAAUUGAUUGAAUAAAAUAAAAGGAGAAAAAAUAAUAUGCAAGCCUACACAUAUUAAAAAUAUUAUUUGAAAAUACAUUUAUUUUUAUUUUCAAAAAUAAAAUUCAUCUAUACAAAAGAUUUUUAAAAAAUAUAGAUUAAUCACAAAAACCUCCUCAAAAAUUAAAUGCAUAAUUAAAAAAUAAUUAUCAUUUCAAAUAGGCUUUCUAAAUAAUAUAAAAGAGAGAAGGGAUAUAAAUAUAAAUAUAAAUAAGAUUAAGAUUAAGAUUAAUUUAAAAAAAUACAAACAAAAAAAAAGAAAAUAUUUUUUCUUAAACAAAAAAAAGUGAACAAUGUCGUUCACAGUAAAACUUGUGGGGUGAACUCGAACUCAACCGAGUUUAAUAUUUUUCCUCUUAAAUUUAUAACAAACCUAAAAAAAGUAAACAAUGUCGUCCAUUGUAAAACAUGAGGAGGUGAAUAGUGCAACUACACAGUGUUCACCUUAUAUAUUUUUCCUCUUAAAUUUAUACCAAAACCGUAAUAAAAAAAGGUGACCAAUGUUGUCCAUAGUAAAACGUGAGGGGGUGAACAACGCAUCUUCAUAGUGUUCACCCCGCACACCUUAGCUUAUUUAGGGUGAACCUGAAUCAUGAACUCAAUCGGGUUUAAUAUUUUCCCCUCUUAAAUUUAUAGCAAACCUAAAAAAAAGGUAAACAAUAUAGUCUAUAAUAAAAUAUGAGGGGAUGAACAAUACAGAUGCACAAUGUUCACCUCACAUAUUUUUUUCCUUAAAUUUAUAGCAAAACCUAAUAAAACAAAUAGUGAAUAGUAUAUUCAUUGUAAAACGUGAGAGGGUGAACAAUGUGGCUAUAUAAUAUUCACCCCACAUGCUUUAGAUUAAACGUGAGAUGGUUAUUUUUUAAAAUAAAAAAAAAUUAAUAAGCAGGCUAUUACAAUGCGCUUUUUAAUGAUGACGAUAUUUGUAGCAAAAAUUUCAAAGGAUUUAAUACAAAUCCAAGCCAAAAUAUUUCACUAGAUUACUAUUUUACGAUCUUCUUAAAACUUGGGUUCGAGCUUGUCAUGUUGAAUCAUCUCUUCUAGAAUCCUUUUUACCGUCUAAUGACUGCCGCUUAUGUUUGUGCAAUUUCUUGUUUACUAGUAAAAUUGUACAGACGUGGGCUUGAAGCUGUUAACUUUCCCUGGACUGGUUAUGUAAUAUAUUUAUAGGUCUAACUGUAUACUAUCACUUGGUCCAAGAGGCAAUAUUGCAAGAUUCCAACGAAAUCUACUGUAAUCUACUGUCCUGGGACAAGAGUUCCAAAAACAUCUACUCCAAAUUUUGUUCUUUUUGAAUCUUUAGUUAUUUUUAUUUUUUCUCAUCAUUUUUUAAAAUAAAAAAUAUAAAUAAAUUACUACAAAAUGAAUAAAACAAAACCAGAAUAAAAAAGUAACAUUAAACAGCAGCCAUUUCAUCAGCUUUAAUUUUAGUAUAACACAAUAAUAUGAACCAACCUUGAUUCUCGAAGGCACCCAACUAAUUCAUUAGCCUUCAAAUUGCCAUCACCUAAUUUCACGAUCCAUGACCGACAUAUAAACAAGGGUCCUCUCCAAGUUCCCAUACAUAUACGAAUCCAAAUAUACAUAGAAACUUAUCUUUUAAAUAAGUCAAUUAGAGUUCAACACAAUAUUAAUAACAAAAUUAAUUAAAUAAGUCAAUCAGAGUUCAACAUAACAUUAAUAACAAAAUUAACUUCAUAAUAUAAUUUGAUUGUCUUAAUACAAAAAUUAAUACAAAGUUCGUAGUUGUGGAGCACUAUCUAGACAUAAAAAAAAUCAUAACAAAAACAACAAGGGAGGGGGUUUGAUAGUAUGUAAUACAACAACUAGAAAUAUAUAUAUAAUUAUGGCUUUAGGUUUUUAUAAAAACGUUUUUUAAAUAGAUCAUAUAAGAACAACGGAGGAGGGGGUUUAACGGUAUGUAUUUGCCUGCUAGUAAAAAUUGGUUAGCACCUAAACAAGGUCCUGUGCUAAAUCUAAAUUGGUAAGAUGUGAUAUGCUAAUAUCUAGAAAGAUAACUUAAUCUAUCCAUUGAAGUAAAGCAUUUAAAUGCGUAUACAAUGUUUUUGGAACAUUAAAUAUCUAUUUGAUCAGAAUCUGAUGGGGCAAUAGGUGAUGCAGGCAUAAACUAGAAAGACAACAAACAAACACAAAGAAAAAAGAUUUGUUAAGCAAACAGGGUUGCAAACUUAAACACUAAAUUCGCAAUUUAUUAUUCUGAAAAAAGUCUAAUGAUGUUUGCCUCUCAAAGAGGUUUCUAAAACAUUUAAAUAUGCUAAAAAACCUAUCUCUAUUGGAAAAAAAAAAUUCAGAAUCCAAAAGAAUAAACAAAAACUACAUAAAAUCUGAAAUAAAACAAUAAAUAUGAAAAAAAUCAAGGAAAAAUAGCUAAAUUGGCUCAAAACAGGAUCUUAUGAACCUAAUUUCAGGGGAUCCGAACAUCAAAUGAUCAACAAAGUAUGUUUCCAAUUGAGAUGGGCCUUAGAAAUCUCCUAUAAAAAUUGAGAUCUAAGCAAAUUAAGUGAUAUUUGUUUGAGACUUCGCUAACUACAUAUAAAGGAAUUAAAAAUAAAUUAUGAUGAUCAAUUCAAAAUCAACAAAAUAUUAAAGUGAAAUUGGAAGCAAAAACAGGGCAAAAAUCAUUAAAUCAAAAGAAGAAAAAAUUAGAAGAUAGAAUUUAUUUAUUUUUUUUAAAAAAGGGGGGAGGAUAUGAAUAGUGAAGUAGGAGGGAAAAACCUAAUUUUUUUAGUAUAAUAAAUAAUUUUUAAUUAAAUUAAAAUCUUCAUCUCAUACAAUUAGACCCAAAAAGAGUUAAAUAAAAAAGGGAAGAAAAUUUCUAAAGAUAUAAGGACCAAUUUAAAAAAAUAAAAGGAAAAAAAAAUGAAAAAACACCAAAUCAAGAAACGAAAAAAUAUAAGGACCAAUUUAAAAAAACAAUAAAAAAUAUAAAGAGUGAAGGAGGUAGAGAAACAUAAGUUUUUUAGUAUAGUAGUUUAUUUCUAGUUAAAUUAAAAACUUUAUCUCAUAUAAUUAGGCCAAAAACAAUUUUUUAAAAAAAAUAAGGACUAAUUUGUAAAAAAAGAAGAGAAAAAAACAGAAUCAAAUCAAAAGGGAAAAAAAACUAAUUUAAAAAUAAAAAUAAAAUGCUUCAUUAUUCAUGUAAAAACAAAACAUCAUUAUAGUAUCCAACUAGACAAGUGACCUACACUACGGGCUAUCCUAAUUUUUUUAAAGCAAAAUUUUUUUUUAGCAUUAUUAGAUGUGAGAAAAUAUUUUUUAAAAAACAUACAUGUGUACAAGAUAGGAGAGAUUUGGUUUGAGAAUGCAUGCUAAAAAUCUAAACAUGAACUAAAACAAAGUGGAAUUAAAAAAAAAAAAAAAACUUAAAAGAGAUCAGUGAUUCAUUAUAGACUGUGAGGUAAAACACUGUAGAUUAGCAUAAUAUAUUUAUUUUUUGACCUUCUCUACGUAAAAUAAUUGCCUUGCUAACAGGGUAAAGUUGUUAUUUUCAAUGGAUCUAAAGGUUAUUUGUAAAUUGAUUGGGAAUAAUUUAGUAGGUUAGCUAUUUUAUUUGCGUAGUAAAAUGACGUCAAUACCCUUGAGAGUUCAAAAAUAUUGACCUUGACAAAGGCAUUUUUUAGUCUUUUCCAUGUUUUGUAUACUGUAAAAUGACAAAGUUAACCUUAGAAUAAAAAAAUCUAAAGCUGGUCUGGGAUAGCAUUUUCAUCUUUGCAAUAUAGCUUUUUUGUAAUAUUUAGAUGCUCUUAUGAGCUAUUUAGCAAUUUAAAGUAUUGAAAUAUUAAUAAAUCAAUAAACAAAGGCUGACAUGUGUGUAGCACGUGUCAACACGUGAUAGUCCACCACGUCAUUUGGGAGGCGUGUGAUAGUCCAACAUGUAAUAUGGAGGUGUAGUUGAUGACGUGGCGUGUCGUCAUAUUUGUAGUGGUUUAAUGGUGAUAAAAAAAUUUUCCCGUCCCCCUCUUUUCUCUCUCUAAGGCUUUAGUAUUCACGCCGAUGCUUUAAAAUUUCACUUGUAUCCUUUGGAUUGUAUUUAUAUUAAGUUUGAUUCUUAUUAUUUUAAUUUCUAUUUAUUUUGAUUUUAGUGUUUUUUAAAGAAAAAAAUUUCAAUUUCAUUCCUCAACAUUUUAUUUCAUUUAAUUUUUAUAUUAAACUUGGUCCUCAUUCUUUUAAUUACUAUUUUCUAUCCUUUACUUAAUUUUUUUAAUUUUAUUUCUUAUUAUUUUAUUUUAUUUUAUUUUGUUUGCAAUUGCAGUUCUUUUUUUUUUUUAUCCCUAGUAAGCAAUUGUUGCCGCAAUGACAUAUGCCUAGCAAGAGGAAAAAAAAAAAAAAAAAGAGACGCUUGAAGGUUAGAGAAGGCACCUCUGAGUGGAAGGAGGCUGAGGUGCGCUAUUUUUGAAGUAUGUGAAAAUCAUAUGUUUCAAUGCUACUUCUUGCAAGAGUCUCCUUAACCAACCUAGAGUGUUAUAUUAGACUGCUAACGUAUUUUAUAAAAAUAUUGAUAAAAAUAUUUUUGGAUAAUUUUUUUUAUUUUAUUUGAAUUUAUUUCUUAAAUAAUUUAAAUUAAUAAGAUAAUUACAUAAAAGAUAAUGUUAGUCAAGUUAUCUUUUUACCAACCAUAAAAAGAUUUUUACUAAUCCAAGCCAACAAAAUAACAAUUACAUGUAUAAAUUGUCAUAUGUUGGAAAAAGGAGUUAGCUCAUAUUUUAGGGAUUAUAUUAAAGUGUUAGCAUCUUGCCUGGUUAGAAAUAGAAUUGAAUUUACAUAUUAGUAUUAUCAUAUAUUUUGUAUUGUCGUUUAAAAAAAUAAAUAUUUUCCUUAUAUGGAGUUAAGUGUUUUUAUUUUUAUCAUGUAAAAUUUAUAUAUUUUUUAAAAUUAAUUUUUCUAAUCAUCAAAUUAUUUUUAUUUUUUAAAAUUUAUAUAUUUUUUAAAAUUAUUUCUUAAAAAUAAAUUUAUUUUUCUAAAAAAUUGAACUUAAUACAUGCAUAUUAUCUAAUCAUCAAAUUAUGAACUAUCAUAAUUCUAUAUAUUUAUUUAAAUAAAACAAGUUCAAGAAUUAAUGUAGAUCAAUCUUAUUGAUUAAUAAAAUUCAUGUAUGUAUCUAUUUUUGCAAAUUGGAUGCAUACUUAAUUAAUAUUAAAUCAAGCAAAAAAUCUAUAAAAAGAAUAUACAAGUGAGCCAAACAACAAUAUUAAAAACGAACAAGAGGUCGAAUUAAUAUCCAUUAACUAAUAGUAAAAUUAAGAAGAUGAUACCAAAGGACACAAAAUCACAAAAAAGCAUUUAACAUUCAGAGAAAGAAGCCUGCAACACCCAUUAAGGAAAAGAGAGAAGGGAAAGAAAUGUAGAUUAAUUGAUACAGAGGAUCACCUUGUUCCAGACCAGCGCGAGACUGUAGAAGAAUCCAGACGAACCAAGAGCAAAAAAUGCAGGAGAGAUAAUCAUGAGAGAAACAAAUUCAUAUAUCCACGAAUACGUACAACAUUUGAAACCUAUAAUGCAAGAAUAGCUGCAGAUGUACAUUAAUAUUUUUAAUUUAAAGAAUCAAUUAAUUAUUUAAAAAACUUGAGGGAUUAAUUUGUUUGUUUCACAUAAAACAGACACUAAUUAUAUAAAGUUUUACUCAAAAAACAGACACUAAUAAUCAUAUGCGUGAGUGUUUACUUGUAAAUAUUUUGGAAGGAACUGGUUUAUGUUUUGCGCAUCAUGAAAAAAUCAUAUAUGCUUAAGUAACUAUUUGGCAUCAAUCUAGUAAAUUAAUCUUAAAUUCCUUUUAUCCAACUCUUGCCGUUUUAAAAUUAAUCAAUGUAAAAGUUAACCAAACAUGAUAAAAUCAAUAUAAUGGGUUUACGAAUACAUAUUAAAUUAAUCUUGGUUUUAUAGCUUAAUUUUCUAAACUCACUACUCAAAUAAUGAACUACAUCUAGUUUUAAUUUUUUUUAUUUAAUAUUAUAAUAACAAUACCAUUUCAAAAUUAACCAAAUAUAUAUAUAUAUAUAUAUAUAUAUAUAUAUAUAUAUAUAUAUAUAAUAGAGUUUAAAAACAAAUGAACAAUAUGAUAUUGUUCCAUUUUACUAUAAUGAUGAAGUUUUCACAAAAUAUAAAACUUAAAUUAAAUUAAGGCAACAAUCAAUUCUUUAGCUUUAAAACGAUUUAUUAUUUGCUUUCUAGUGGUAGUAGUAGGAUGAUUGGAAUAAUUUUUUUUCCAUUAACAAUAGAAUUGAGAAGGCCCGCCACAGACCAAGAGGACAGCUUCAAUGAAGCCAUCCCAGCCGAUGCAGGUGAUUACCCGUCGGCUGACAUCUCCUCGCGCGCAUAGCACCAGCCAAACCACCUCAAUCUGAAAAUGCACCAGACAAAGUCAAUGGAAAGACGCCAGGGAGCCUCAGCAGCCGAGAAGAAAGCGAGGGAACACCCACCGCGCGAGAAACACGAAAAACAUAGAGGGAGCGCGGUAAAGACUGUGAAGCCACAGAAUUCACACAUUGUGCACCGUGUUUUAAUGAGCACUCUUAGUUUAUUUUAUAUAUAAUUCUUUUAGUUUUAGUUUUAGUUUGUUGUGUUAUGAACAGUAAAGCAGCACAAGAAUACGUCUGCGUCAAGCUCUGUUCACUUUGGUCCGACAUUCCUCACCUCUCCCCACCUUAGCUCUCUCUCUUUCCCUCCUCUGCUUUUAGAAACCGCCGCUGCCACCUCAACCAAUAAGGCUUCAAAUCUCACCCAGGUGCUUCCUUUUCUAUUAUGUUUUUGUUUUUUAAAAAAGAUUUACGUCCGCGUUUUCAUUUAUUUAAUUGAAGUUACUAUCCAAAGAGAGAAAUUCGAUUUUAAUAAGUAAAUUAAAAAGAUAUAUAAUCGGAUCCAAUGAAAUCGCUGCUCGUGAACGCAACUCGAAGAAAGGCGCAAUCAGUCGAUUCUACUGUGGGUGGAGCAUUUAGUAUGGUCAGGGUUAUUGUGUUGUCUAUUCAAAGAAAGAUGUGCCUGUAAAUUUAUUAAGUUGAUUCUUAUCAGUCUGCUCUUUAGAGUUGAUGAUAACAUGAAAUAUUCAUUGUUGAUGCUUGUCGUUUUCUUCUUCAUUUUCCUAGCUUAAAACAUCCUAGACAAUCUCUUUGGGAUGGUUUAGUGUUUCUGGCCUCUUCAUCUUCUAUUUGUGCUGUGGUAUUUAGUUUGCUGAUAUUCAUUGGGGAUUGAAAGGCCUCGUUUUAUGACUUUGUUUUCUUCUUAUUUCUUUAUUCUUUUGGGGAUGUGAUAUUUUCCUCUUUCUAUUUACACUAUUGGCUCCCUACAAUAUUUUUUCCUUCAGAGAAGUAAAUAUAUACAUAAAUAACAAGAACAGGAGGGGAAGGGGAGGGGGGUUUGACAAUAAGUAUUUGCUUAGAAGGGAAUGCUUCUUUGGUUUAGAAGCACCAUGAAGAUUCAGGCCCAUAUUUGGCUGGUUUCUUUAAUAAAGUACAUGAUAUUCCAUUUUUCAUGUCCUUGAUGUGCUUUUACUCUUCUUGCCGUUCCUGACUUUCUUUUUAGGGUAUAUUCUAACAUGCAAUAUGUUUUUUUUUUGUUGGCCCACUGUCCCAGGCGGAGAACCUGUCAUGGACAUGGGUGAUUGCAGAAUUCAAUUGCAGCCUGACUCACGGAAAAGAAUAGUCAAAAAUUUUUUUUAUUUAUAUGAAAGAAAAGGAGAAGGGCAGAAGGUUAAUUAAAAUCAGCAGGAUUGCCAUGAGGCAACCUCAAGUAUCACGCACCUCUUUUUUUUUUCAUCUUUUCAUGUGUUUCUCACAAGAAGCAAACUUGAGGGAACAUAAAGUGCUGGGAAGUAAUUUUUGUUGGAAUUUCUUGUCUAAUCUCUUCUUUUGAUGAUGACCUCUUGGAUGGCUGCAUGAAGCUUGUUCCGCUUUAAAUUUCAAGGUUAAUCUAUUGCUAUGAGCAUACGUGUUUCAAUUUAAAACUCGAGUUGCAACUGAACUUAAAUAAAUGGUGUUGGAUUUGUGCUUUCUAUUUGUUUUAACUUCUACAGGGUUGAAAUGAUAGUGAUCUUAAACUAGAAAAGCAGCAGACAAAAAUCAAUUAGCCACAAUGGUGUAUGGUUUCUCAGCAUAAAGUUGAAAUGAUAGUGAUCUUAAACUAGAAAAGCAGCAGACAAAAAUCAAUUAGCCACAAUGGUGUAUGGUUUCUCAGCAUAAAGUUGAAUGUUUUGUUGACCUCUUUACAUCCAAAAUCAUAUAGACAGCUACUGCUAGCACUUGCAGUGGUCAAUGAAUACUGUAGAGUAUAUAUUGCAGUGUGAGAUAAGGUUAACUCAUUGCAUUUUCAGAUAUUGAAAGGAUUUCUCUUCUUUUCUUUGUCAAUUACAGGACAUGCAUCGAAGUGUUCUUACUGAGAGUAAAUGCUAUUGUAAUGUUUUCACAGAGACUCCCCUGCUUUGCAACUAAGUCACUAAUAUAUCUUGGAACAUAGCCAUAAAUGAAAGGUUCUUCCAGAUCAAGAAAAUUAACCAUGAAGCUCGUAGCUAGAAUUUUUAGACAGAAAGGUGGCCAAGUACGCUGUACCUCUGGAAUAAUACAGGGAAAGGAUGUCUAUGUAUUUUGAUGUCUUAUAUUACUUGACCAACUCUUGCUUAUCUCAUUAUUUGUUUUUACUUUUUGCUAAUGAUUCCACACAUUUCUGAUAUUGGUGUGGUUUAUGAGUUUAGGGUUCUCGUUGCUGCUAACUUCUCUAUACUUUGCCUGGUCAUUAAAAAUCAAACGUAAUGAUUUGCAUAUGCAGAAUGGAGACAUUAAAAAGACAUCUUCUAUUUUCUGGUGAGGAGGGAUUUCAGGAACUCAAGAAAUUUUCCAUACGUUUUGAGGAAAAGAUUUAUACUACCGCUAACAAUCAGGUAUUUGCCUAAUGCGAGGUUCAAUAAUUAUGAUAUUAUCUAGACAUGAAUAUACACACGCAUUUAUGCUUGUACAAAUGUGUGUGUAGUGUGCCUACACUUCCUCACCGUUCAUUCUGUAUGCAAGGUUGAUUGGGAGUUCACAUCAUUUUGUUAAUUCUCUUGACAAGUGUUUUAUUUAGAGUGACCAAGUUCAAGUACAAGGGAAGAAUGCAAAAAGCAAAUAACGAAUCAAUACAUAAAUAAUUAAAUAAAAAGAGAGGUAACAGAAGUAUAUCCUCAUAGAAGAUGAAAUGAUAGAGUAUAUAUCUAUUUUCCUCCUCUGGUAACAUGGAUUGCUCUGAGAUCUACUGUUUUGUUAUUAAUAUCUGAUUUCAAUCUGAUUAUUUGCAUAAAAUAUCUCUGGAGAUGCUUUCGAUGGAGACCAGGUCUCAAAAUGCCAUGCUCACUACACCUAUGGAUCCAGCAGGUAAUAAUGCAGCCGAGCAUUGAAUUUCUAAAUAUCUUACCUUUUGUUUUUCUUCUCGCAUUGCUAUCAAACUCUUUUACAUUUUAUUGCUGCAUAUUGCUAUGUAUAUCGCCUUGCUGGAAAAAUCUCAUGAUCACCUCCACGAUGAUAAUUUUGUAAUGCAUGUGAAGUGUUUCAUCCUUAACUUGUUAAGGAACAAGGACUGUGAUGCAUGGUAUUUUAUAUUUUAUGAUUGAGAUGGUAGAUUUUAAAGAUUUUCAUGUUAAGGAGAUAAGACGUCACUUUCUUGCUUUUCUUCCGAGAGAGUAUUUGAUCCUUUUUUCAUAUAAAAUAAUGCUGGCAUGCAUUGAAUUUCCAAACAUCUUACCUUUUGUUUUGUUUGUCGCAUUGUUAUCAAACUCUUUUACAUUUUGUUGCGGCAUAUUGCUAUGUGUAUGGCAUGCUUUAAUCAAAAAGUUGAGUAAUUGAUGAAUGUUAGGCAAGAAAAUUACAGAUUAUUUUUAUUUUCUACCUCCUCCUUCUCUUUCCCCCACCCCGAAAAUGGUCAUAUUAUUUUUUUUUUCAGCCACCUCUUCUUCCCCCAACCUUGAAAAUUGUUUAUAUUUGCUUUGGAAGCAUGGCAAACUUCACUGCCUCUCAGCUUAAGGAGAUUGCAGCAGGUCUCGAAGCUUCUGGGCAUCAGUUUAUUUGGGUAGUUAGAAGAAACAAAAAGAGUCAAGAAGACAAGGAAGAUUGUUUACCUCAAGGAUUUGAGGAAAGAAUGGAAGGCAAAAGGCUAUUAUCAGAGGAUGGGCACUCCAAGUUUUGAUUCUUGAUCAUGAAGCAAAAGGUGCAUUUGUGACUCAUUGAGGAUGGAACUCAACUCUUAAAGGCGUAAGGCAAAUAUUUGAUGAGCAAUUCUAUAAUGAAAAGUUGGUGACUGAUGUUUUAAAAACUGGAGUUAAGGAAUGGCUUAGAGUGCAUGGAGAUCAUGUUAAAAGUGAAGCUGUAGAGAACGCAAUCACUCAAAUUAUGAUGGGUGAAGAAGCAGAGGAAAUGAGGAGCAGAGCAAAGAAGCUUUCAGUGCUUUGAUUUAAUAACUGCAAAAAAUGAAAGGUUGUUGAAGAUGGUGGAUCUUCUUGCUCCGAUUUCAAUGCUUUGAUUGAAUAACUGAGGUGGGGUAGCCUUUGAAACAGAGGCAUAGAAUAUAUAUAUAUAUAUAUUUUAGCUUUUUUAGUUUAACGUGGGUGUUCGGGCCAGCUUGCGCGCACCUCGACUAAUCCCACGGGCCCUGAAGUUAACGACCAUGUAAGUCUCCAGUGGCCAUCAUAUGAGCAACCACAGGGCUCGAACCUGAGACCACAGAGGGAGCAAACCUUUUAGUCCCAAGCUCUUACCACUGGGCCACCACCUAGAUGGUUAAGGCAUAGAAUAUUUUGUUUCUACUUAGUAGUGGUUUUGGUAAUUUAUUUUCAGACAAGUCUUGAGAGUUGAAAGAGUAAUCACAGCCGAGUCAAUGACCAAUCCAAAUAAGUUCCCUUCCUAAUGGUUCAGGAAUGACAAGUCCAGCAUAUAUAUUUAGCCCAAAUAACUUUUCAAAUAAAAUGGCUGAGCUUAGAGACAGUACACUACAAAUUAAGCACCCAUUAGCUAGACAUACAGGACAAACAAUCAUCACAAACUAGAAACGACUGUCUUCCCAGUAACAAACUCACCUUCUCAAGUUGGAGAACUUGCGAAAACUAGCUACUACAAUAUAGUAGCAAGUAUCUAUGCAGUCUUCGAUGAAGUACGACCACCUGCGUCGCCAAUAUGGAUUGAUGUAAAGAACUGCUACAAUCAUAAUCACCACGACUGUGUAACUUACACCGAAAUUGAUGUAGAAAAACUCCAUGUCUAUGAAACCAUCAUCUCCUUGUUCAUCAUUAGGCACUGGUUGUGAUGGCAUUGGCUGUGAUGGCACUGGCUGUGAUGGCACUGCUUCUUCACUACAAUUGUUUUGCAAUGGAGGUCCACACAAGAAAGGAUUUCCUUCGUAACAGCUUUCAUCGAAGGUCCCAAACUGAUAUUUUCUCUCGGGUGUCUUACAUGACAAGUUAUUGUACGCCACACUAAAAACUUCCAGUGUGGUAAUUUCAGUAAGUUGUGGAGGGAUGACACCAUUCAAGUUGUUGUAAGAAAGAUCCAAACUCUCAAUCUGUUUUAGGUUUGAGAAUGUUGCUGGGAUAGAUCCAGUGAGAUUGUUGUGUGAUAAGUUUAAUGACAAUAUCUUACUUAAGUUUCCAAAUUCCGGUGGGAUUGCUCCUACGAAGUUGUUAUUGGAGAGAUCAAUACCAGACAUGUAGUUGAGAGUCUUCCCCUUGUAACCAUAAUACAUAUUUUUAGUUGUAAAUUCUAUCACUUCUUCUGUAAAGUUAAGCAGAAAACCCUUUCUCAAGUUGUACAUACUCUCCACUAGUGGUGGACCCAUUGUUUCAUAAUAAGCUUUUUCUAUGGACCUUGAUAGAACACCAGCUCCGAGAUCCGUGAAUGCUUUCUGGGAACUUUCCUUGAAAGUAAGAUUGCCCAAACAGGAGGGUAGUGGACUAGAGAGCUGGUUUUGUGAAACAUCCAAAAUGCUUAAAUGUUCUAACAAGCAUAAUUGAACAGGGAGCUCACCAUCAAAGUGAUUAGCCCUCAGAAGAAGAACACUCAAUGAUGAAAGAUUGCCAAUCCAAUUUGGAAUGGAGCCGGUGAAGCUGUUAUCUUGAAGAUCCAUCGUAACUAAGAAAGAGCUGUUAUAAAAUCUAUAUGUUAAUGGACCGCUCAAUCUAUUUUCGGAUAGAUGCAUAUGGAUUAGAGUUGAUGGACUGAAACAAGAUGGUAUAUAUCCAGACAAGUUGUUCUCUGAAAGGUUCAAAUAUUCAAGUUGAUCAAGCUUACAAAAGUCUCUUGGGAUCGGACCCUUAAAAUGGUUUUUGGACAAAUCAAUUGCUGCAAGAAUCGUAGAAUUAAGAAAGCUCCUUGGAAGCAUGCCUGAAAAUUGAUUGUUACUCAAAUCCAAUACAAUCCACAUUUUCCACCUAUAUAAUGAAAAAUCUGAUAUCUGACCCCAAAAGUUGUUACCACCUAGAUAGAGAUAUUCUAAGGUAGAAGAAUUGAACAACGAGGUCGGUAAUUGCCCACCCAAAUUGUUGUUUGACAGCUUGAGAAACCAUAUUGUUGUUAGUUGUUCUAGUUUUACUGUGGACAAUUGAUUGUUGGAUAAAUCUAAAAUUCCCAAAGAGCUAAUAUUUCCUAAACAAGAAGGAAUACAACCUGUGAAUCCAUUCUUAGCCAUCCUUAAGCUCUUCAGAUUUUGAAAGAUCAAACAAAUAUCCUUUGGAAUUUGACCGCUCAUGUUGUUGUUGGAUAUAUCUAAUUCGGUCAUAUUUAGAUAUGGGUGAUUUGGCAACUGCAAAGUACCAACAAAGGAGUUCUCACUCAAAUAUAGUUGCUCCAAUCGUGUAUUGUUCUUAAGCAACCACGAUGGAAACAUUCCGGUGAUGUUGUUGUGGGAGAGAUCAAGGACUCUUAAGUCGUAUUGGUAAUAGAGGAAGUUGGGAAUCUCUACAUUGACUGCUUCUAUUGUUUUUGACAAACUAAAAAAGACUAGUUGGAACUUUGGAAUCAAAUGAUCAAAGGCAGCAGGUUCUGUUACUAGUCUAUUGUUCUCAUUGCAGAAGAACUUGAGGCUUGAGUGGUUCAUAAAAGGCUUCAUUGAAAUGGGAACUUCAAAGAGGUUAUUUGAUAGUGAGAGGAAUUCAAGAGAUGUGAGGUUGGUAAGAGGACCAGAGGCAAUAUUUCCAGUAAACUGGUUUUUAGAAACAUCUAAUAGUUGUAGAGAUGACAAGUUUCCUAAACAAUCUGGGAGUGAACCUUCUAAAUUAUUUCCAAAGAGAUCUAACUGCUUCAGAUUCUUCAAUUCACACCAACCUGUAUAAUUUAUCUCGAAACAGUCAAAAUAGCUAAAUAAUUAAAAGAUUACCAUAGAAGAGGAUGGAGUGUUGUUAAUUUACCUUGAGCGGGUAGGGUGCCAUGGAGGUCACAUCCACCAACAGACAAAACCUUAAGAGCAGGCAAUGCUCCAAUGUUCUGGAGAAAGUUUACUGGGAGAGAAGUACGAUCUAGAUUCAAUUCUUCAAGAGUGCUAGAAUUGAAGAAAGUCCCUGUGAAAAAGAAAGAAGAAGAGAUAUGAAGAAAAUAAUGGUGGUACAGAAUAGCCAUUCCAUUCAAUAUUAUUAAUUAAUAUUUUAAGAAACUAAACUAUGAUUAACCUUGACUUAAAUUAGUAUCCUUGAGAGAAAGGGUCUUCAGGGAUGGCAAUGACUGCAGGAAGUCCAGCUUCCUUAAACCUAUGAUGUGUAGAAUUGAAAACAGGCAAUCAAGUAAGUAGUGAAAUUAAGCGUUAUCUUGAUCGAGUUUUUAAACCUAUGAUAAAAAACUGAUAUUGAAUAUACUUUUAUAAUGAUAUGAUUUUUGGAUAGAAACAACAAAUUGCCUGAAAAAUCCAGAGAUUUCAAAAGGUAUUGUUAAAAAAUGAAGUAAAUAAUAUUCACAACUUUACCAUUGACAGUCGUCGAUCCUAGCAACAUAUUGCCUGAUAAAUUUAAAGACUUGAGAUAAGAAAAUCCACGCAGAUGUGAUAAAAUGCUGUCGUUGAAUAUAUUAUAGCUCAAGUCCAGGUUCUCGAGUUUCCCUAAAUGUGAUGAUAUGAUCUCAAAACCUGCAAGAGUAAGUCAUCAUGAGCUCACGAUAUGCAUAAUAUAUAGAAACUAAAGAUAAUUAGAAUUGAUGAGAUGCUGUUGUUCAAUUGAUAUAUGAUUCUCAAAUUAUACAUAAAAAUAAUGAUACAUGAACGCAUAUGUCAUUAUAUAACAGGUUGUGCACACUUCAAAGAUUAAGAAACAAUUUUUAAUCAUUCUAAUUUUGAUCUUAUUGGAAAAAAAAAAAAAAUUUAUGGAUAUAAAGUCGUUAAAGAUGGAAACUAAGUCAAACAUGAUAAAUGCUAUCAUUAAAUUGAUCAUUACAUAGAUAUAAAGUACUUAUUUUUUAUGAUAAUGCAUGUAACGAGUAUUAUUGAUUAUUGUUCUUGUUUUAAUUACCGAUGAGAAAUUUUGAACAAUCAUUUGAUUUUAUUAGUUUUGAAUAAUAUAAUAUUUUUGAAGAUUAUAAAAUGUUAUGUAUUUUUAAAUAACUUGUUUUUUUGAUAUGUUUGUUAUGAGGCUUAGCGUAGGUGGGGUGUCCUUUCGAUACAGCUCCUGCGUUGCCAGUAAUAAACUUGAGACUCGAGUGGUGACAAAAUUGAUCUUUACAUGGAUAUAAAGUUCUCAUUUUUGUUGAUAAAGAAACAAUAUAAUUAAGAGAAUGUCAUGUGAAGCAUUUAGGUAGAAACUGUGUAUUAUACCUGAUCCUGUCAGCUGAUUGCCUGAUAGAUCCAAAGACUUGAGGGAUGAAAAUCCAGUUAGAGAUGGAAAAAUGCUGCUGUUCAACUUAUUAAACGAUAGAUCCAAAGACUUGAUCAGGGAUGAAAGCCCACUCAGAAUUGAUAAGAUGCUGCUGUUCAAUUGAUUGAAACUCAGGUCAAGGUUCUCUAACUUUCCCAGCCUCAUCGGUUGGAGUUGAAAACCUACAAGAUAUACAUAAAAAAAAAUAUACAGUGCAUAGAUUAAGGAAGAAGAUAGAUUGCAAGUAUCCAUUCUAUACAUGUAAUUUUUAAUCAUCCUAGUUUUGAUCAAGUUGUGUCUUAUUAGAAAAACAAUUUAUGGAUAAGAUCAAAGCCCCAUAGAUAUAAAUCUUCAUUGAUGAAAGCUAGCGCAAUCAAACAUGAUGAAAUGCUAUCGUUGAUUAAUUAUUAAAUAAAUAUAAAGUCCUCAAUUUUCUUGAUAAAGAAACCGUAUAAAAGAAUGUCACGUAAAGCAGUUAGGUAGAAAUUAUAUAUAACUUACUAUUGAUACCAGCAGAUCCUGUCAACUCAUUAUAUGAUAGAUCCAAAGACUUGAGAGAUGAAAAUCCAGUUAGAGAUAGAAAAAUGCUAUCGUUGUAUUGAUUCCCACUCAGAUAUAGUUUCUCCAGCUUUUUCAACCUUGAUGACAAGACUUUGAAACCUGCAUGAUUUUUCUCAAAAAACAUAGAAAUGAUAUGAGAAGGAGAAAAGAAAAGGUUUUGAAGCUAAAUAAUUAUAAGGUUACCAUAGAAGCUACCUCCUGAUCCAGCUGUCAACCCAUUGUCUGAUAGAUCUAAAGACUUGAGAGCGGAAAGCCCAUUGAAACAUGACAAAAUGCUUUUAUCAUUAUUAAAUCGGUUUUCACUUAGGUCAAGUUUCCUCAGUUUUGAUGAUAGGACUCCGAAGCCUGGAAGAGAAACAUCAAAGCAAGAUAAUUGACAUUAAACACCAACCAACCAACCUUCAUUUAUUUUAUUAUUAUAAUUAAGUGCACAAACAUUGAACUAACCUUCAUUCUCCAAGCAACCAACCAAUCCAUUAUAUCCCAAAUCAAGACUUUGCAAUUCUUUGAAAGGCUGAAACAAAGAUGCGUUGAGAACCCAAUCGCCCAAGCUCUCAUCCCUUUCUCCACUAAGAGAGAGUUGGAUCACUCGCCUUGUAGUGUGAUCACACUCGAUCUCAGGCCACUCACAACAAUUACUACUGUCCACCCAAUGUCUCAAGGAAAUGCCAUCUGGGUCGAUCAAAGAUUGGAUCUCCAAGAGACCAAUUCUCUCUUCCUCCAAACACCCAUAACAACGACCAGACCAUUCGCCAACCAAAGUGAAUAAUGCUAGCAACAUCCAAGCCCCCAUUCUUUUCAACAUCAUCGUAGAUAAUUCUAUGAACUACUACGUAGAAUAUUAUUGUUUGUUAUGUGCCUUUGGGCAACCAUAGAGGUCCUAUUUAUACUACACUGGCCAUUUCCAUGACUUUGAGAUGUUUUCUUUAUUUAAUUUCCACGACUUUAUCUGCAUAUCUUGUGCAGGUUCCGUGUUUUGAGAUUUGAAUAUUAUUUUAUUUCUUUUUGGAAUGUUCUUGGAUUUAAAUAUUAUUUUAUUUUAUUAUUUAGCACUUAUUCUAUUUGCAUUUAAUUAUAUUUUGGUUACUAAUUAUUCAAUUUAUAAAAAAAAUAAAAUAAAAAAAUUGUUGCAGUACUUCAACAUCGACAUUCGUGUGUGAUUCCACAUAAGAUCUUUUCAACUUUAUAAUUGUACUUCUCUCGUUAAAUACAUAAAUUAUCAAUAAUAAUAAACUCGAAAUAAUUAUAAAUCUUAUCCCUGUGGAUUGUGUGGGUACAGUAUUAUAUACAAAAACUUCAAAUACAUAAUAUAUAUAAGUCAGAAAUAUUUUUGUUUUUAUGGACUUGUUUUUAUUACAUUUCAAUAUUAAAUAUAUUUUUUUCAAUCGAGUCAAAGAUAUACCAUUUAUAUUAGAAUGAGAAGACUAAUCAAUUUCUCUAAUUUCUCUAGUUUUCUCCCUAAUUAUAAAAUACAUCUGGUUUUUCAAGUCCAGAUUUUAAGAUAAAAGGAAUUUAUUUCUUGAAAGUAAUGCAUUAAACAAUAUAAAAAAAAUUUAAAAAAUUUAAAAUAGUAGUAAAAGUAGUUUUUGAUUGAAGUGUAAACUAGUGGUAAAUGAACAAAAAGAAACUUUAUUGAUUAUCUAAUGAGUUACUUCUCCAGAAAGAAUAUAUACAAUAUUAUUGAUUAUCUAAUGGAAACUCCGCCUAACACACACACACACACACACACACACACACACACAUAUAUAUAUAUAUAUAUAUAUAUAUAUAUAUAUAUAUAAGUUAGAGACACUUUUUGUUUUUAUGUUCGGAAAAGUGUUCUUUACUUGUUUUUAUUACAUUUCAAUAUUAAAUAUAUUUUUUUCAAUCGAGUCAAAGAUAUACCAUUUAUAUUAGAUUGAGAAGACUAAUCAAUUUCUCUAGUUUUCUCCCUAAUGUAUAAAUUUCUCUAGUUUUCUCCCUAAUUAUAAAAUACAUCUGGUUUUUCAAGUCCAGAUUUUAGGAUAAAAAGAAUUUAUUUCUUGAAAUUAAUGCAUAAAACAAUAUAAAAAUAUUUUUAAUAAAUUAAAAUAGUAGUAAAAGUAAAUUUAGUUUUUGAUUGAAGUGUAAACUAGUGGUAAAUGAACAAAAAGAAACUUUAUUGAUUAUCUAAUGAGUUACUUCUCCAAAAAGAAUAUAUAUAUUAUUGAAUAUCUAAUGGAAAGGAUUCAUGAAACUCCGCCAUAUAUAUAUAUAAAAGAGAAAUUGUCGAUAAUAGCAAUCAUUUUCUUAUCUCUUGUAUCAUUCAUAUCUUCCACAAAUCUUAAGUAAUUGAUGAGACAGUGGAUAUUGCCAAGAAAGGUCGUGAACGCGGAUGCUUGACGAUUAUGAUUUUUAAACACAACCAUAUAGUGAUUUCCUUAUGCAUACUGGUGAUCCUCCAGAAUCUUGUAGGAACACCACAAGCCAAUCUAAAAGAAUGCUAAAAGUCAAAACACACAAGCCAUAUAAAAAUCACACGACAGCCAAUUACCUUAUCUUUUGAAAGAAAGAUAAUAAUAAUAAUAAUAAUAAUAAUAAUAAUAAUAAAAGCAUUCUCCUGGGUGUGCAAUGACCGCCAAUCUUUCUCAUUAUGACAUUCAAUGCUCAGUUAGAAGUUGCACGAUGCUCUUCUCAUGGGGAGCAAAAAUCAGUAGCCUCCCAUGGAAUCCUCAUAAACCUUUCUCUAUGCUCUUCUAAGAUAUUAAAAAUGUCAAACAUACAUCAAUAAUAAAAAGACAUUAAAAAUGUCAAACAUACAUCUAAGAUAUUACGCAAAACGAGGUUUUUUUCUGCAAAAAAAUAAAAAUAGAAUGUUAUACAAAUGGAGCUUCCAACAAAAAAGAUAUGGGAAGUUCGAGGAAAAAAAUGAUUAGUUAAUUCAAAACACCAGCAGUAAGUAAUAAUUACAAAACACGAUACCGAAACCAAAUUGAAAAGUGAGCAAGAAUACAAAAAUGGUUACAUGUAUCAAAAGGAACUGGUACCAAUUUCUCCACCACUGUAUGUCCCUUUUGUUCAGUCUAUGUUUGGUGCAAUCACCUAAAGCUAGAAACAAAAACAGCGCCUUACUCUACAAGUAGCUCAUCAAAGUAUAUGUUGUAAAUUGCAAACACGUGCUAACAAUAAAUUGUGGCCAGAGGAUUUGCUUCGAUCCCAGAGGCCAUUGAGGAUAUUCGUCAAGGAAAGGCUCAUGCACCCUCUUGAUUUGAUGAUUCUUUGCAUUUAGUUAUUGUUGUUGAUGAUGAACAAAUUAAGAGAAAAUGAGGGGGGCCUUAUAAUGGCAGCGUCAAAGGCAACACCAGAAGCUAUGGCAUUUAUUGUCAAGCAUGGGACUGGUAUAGUGUGUGUGAGCUUCCAUUAAUGGUAACUCAUAAGGAGAAUGAGGAAAACUGUGCACUGCAUUUACUGUAUCAGUGGUACGUCAUUAACUUCUCCAUUUAUAUUAUCUAAUGGAUAUGAUCUUUUCAAGAAACCUUUAUCUUGGUUUGAUUUUAAAGUGCUAAUUUAAUUGCGGAUUCUGUCCCAGAUGAGGUCCGGUUUCCUGAAAUCAAAGAUGUCUACACUGUCCCGUGGACUUAUAGUUCAGUUGCUCAAUCAGAACUGAUGACAUCUGCACAUUCGGCGACUCCAGCAUUAAUUGUGGCCUUGACAGAUUGUGAGAGGCCAGAUGGGAUGGAUUAGAUGCGUCUGAGUUUGUUGGAGAGGAAGACUUGCAGAAUAAUUUUGAGGGAGUGGGUGGCAGUUCGAUGGAGCGGUUCCUGUUGGUGCAACGCCGAACACAUGCCACGCAGGAUAUAUAGAAAUGCUAGUCAGCUUAUGAAAUCCGAGGUUGAUACGAUACUUAUCUUCAUAGAUUGUGAAUGUUGUUCUUUUUUCUACAAACGAUCCGUUAUGCAAAGCAAAUUCCAAGACCAGAAAAAUAAUGUUUAGAGUUAAAAGACAAUGUCUUAGCAGCAAGGACCUAUUCCAUCAGGAGAUAUGUGAAUUCUCAAGCCUUUGCAAUGCUUUUAAAUUAAUGAAGGAUCAAAAUGAAAAUGUUAUAUUCAUAACUAUACUGCAAUUUUGCCCAUAAUUCUUCUUUAAUUCUGUCCAGAAUCUUGGAUUAUGCUCCAGGGACCAAUCUGGAAUUUUAGUAGAUUUUUAAGGGUCAAAUUGUAAUUUUAUCAAAUUGAAGGACCAAAAUAAAAAUGUCAUAGAUUCAUAACUAUACUGGAAUUUUGCUUGUAAUUCAUCUUUAGUUCUGUCCAGAAUCUAGGAUUAUGCUUCAGGGAUCAAUCUGUAAUUUUUUCAAAGUUUGGGGAUUAACUUAAAUUUUCACAAAUUGAGGGACCAAAUUGAAAUUUUAUUAUCUUCAACCUCAAACCCAGAUUUUUCAUAGAUCACCUACUGAUAUAUCAAGAUUUCGAACUCAAAUUCAUCAUUUAAACAAACUAUAACUCAAAAUCAUCAUUUUUACCUAAAAUUUUCAAAAAUCAACUAAAUAACUCAUUACCCAUAACAGUCAUUCCGCUAAAUUAUUUCUACUUCUGCUUCUUCUUCUUCUUUUUUAUAAUACUCGAGUAUUAUUAUAGAAAGAUGCUUGAGCCAAAAUUAGAGGCUAUCUAGCAUAAAAGAAAAACAGAGGUAUAUACAGGACAGAGAGGAAGUAAUAACAUUAUAUAUAUAUAUAUAUAUAUAUAUAAAACUUGAGUUAACCCGUCAAGUCUAUGACCUGGAUUAUGAGAUCGGGAUAAGCAAACUCAAUAUUAAAAAAUAAAAUUGAAAAAAAAACAAUAAAAACAUAUAUGGUUUAACAAUAUUAAUCAAUUAUUAAAAUAUUUCAUUUUAUAUAUAUUAAAAAUAUAUAUUAAUAACUAUUAUAUCAGUUUGUGAAUGUUUCAAUUUGGAUGCAAAUAGAUGUUUAAUUAUCUAUGACAUUUUUUUUAAGAAACCAAAGUUAUUAAAUAUGGUUAGAUUUAAUACCUAGAUAAGGGUUUAGGUCAUAGAUUGGCUUAAUACUCGGAUCAAGAUUUGAAUUAUAGAUCGAACAAGUUAGCUUAUUGAUUGAUGUUAAUAAAAAAUUGUAUCAUUUUAAGAUUAUUUUUUAGUAAAAACCAAAAUCAAGUAGUUAAAAAAAGUGAAAGUAGUUUUUGAUAGGGUUGACUAGGUUGUAAGUUGAUUUAUCUAGUCGAUUAGGCUUGAUUGAGUCAACUCUCACUUGGUUUUUUUUAAAUCUAAAUCGGGUCAGGUUCCAGAUUAAAAUGUUAGGCUUGAAUUAAAUUUAAUAACGCUGAUUAAAAUCACAUUGUAGAAAAAAAAUGAAUUGCAUAAAAGUAAUUAACCAAAAACUUGUAUUCCUUCUUAUAAAGUUGAACCCAUGUCAGUUUCUUUUUUGGAAAAAUAUAAAUCAAAGGUUAACGCUACUUUCAUGACGAUGACGGAUAAAGAAGACUUGCUCCUUUCUUUAUGGAAAUAACGUGUGGAAAAUCAUGCCUUAAUUUUGAUGGUGAUGGCCAAAUCAAACAGUAUCGUUGAUAAAAUGAACCACAAAUGAUAUUAUUUCUACAAGACUUCUUGUCAUUGUCAUGACAAUAAGUCUUCUCCUUUUUCUUUCUAAAGAGUCUAUUUUUUGUAACACAAUCAACAAGUAAGAUGGAUAGAAAUUUGCAGUGUGAGAUGGGUCUGUGAGACUAUAUAUUGCCAUUUGUAUUUUUUUCAUGAUAAAGGCUAAUUGGAUGGUCCUAUCAAGCGUUUUUUUUACGAGAUGGGUCCAUAAAAACAUUUCCAUCUACACAUUGAUCCCUGAAACCUUUGCCAUAAUGCAUUUUUUCCACGAGAUGGGUUCGUGGAAAUACUUUGGUUUAAUAGGGAAUGCUGUUAUUGAUUGGAAACUUUUUAAUUAAAAUAAAUUUGAUUAUUUGAUUGGAAGAAAUCCUUAAAUGUUAUUAACACAAAGAAAUCAAUUUAUUUUCUUAAGAAAAAAAUAUUGUAACCAUAUAAGUAAUUUAUUUAUUUAUUUUAAUGAAAUAUAAAAUAGUUUUAAAUCUUGUGGUAUAUUUCUUGUCUUUAAGAGCUAUGAACUUAUAUCUCAAAACUUGAAAACUAAUAUAAAGAUAUUAAGUGAUCAUUGAGUGUAUGUGUGUGUGUAUAAUCUUUUUCAAAACAAAAAGGAUUUUGAUGGAGAGGACAUUGCAGCAAAUUAUCCACGAGAUGGGUCGGUGAUACCAUUGUCAUCAUGUAAUUUUUCCCACGAGAUGGGGCCGUACGCUUGGGGCUCUAAAAGCUAUGGUUUUUAAUUUCAUUAUGUUACAUAUCUAGAAUGGGAGGUAUAUUUUAUUUCAAUUCUAAAAAUGAAAUAAAUUAGAAGAUAUUUCAUCUUGUUUAGAAUAUUAUCUCCUUACAUGCAUGAAUUUCACAUAAAUUUUGACCAGAAUAUUUCGGUUCUAUUCCGGCCAUUCUAUUAUGUCCAAAUAAUGUUUUGUUUUGCUUUUAUAUAUAUAAAAAAUAUAAUUUAUUUUUAUGAUAUCAAUUAUACAUUUCAAUUCGACUAUUGGAUUAAACUGAAAUUUUAUAAUCUCCUAAUAUGUAUUAUAUCACAAGUUAAAAUUUUAGAUCAAUCAGAGUUUAGAAAGACUUUGUGAAAUUACUGUUGAUAUAUUUUCAUAAUUUUAUUUAAAUUCAUAAUUUUAUUUUGAAAUGUUUUAUUUUUUGUGGUUUUUUAGAUUGAUUUUUUUUCAUUUUAUAAUUUAACAAUAAAUUUAUUAAAAAUUAAAAUUCAUAAUUUAUUUUUAUUUAUUUUAUUUAAAAUUAUUAUAUUAUCAUUACUCAGAUCACGAAAAAAAAACCUUUGCUUUAAUUGGGAAUGCUGUUACAAGUAAUUGGACUCCGUGGGAUGGGAGACCGUUGCCAUCAUGCAUGUUUUUUCCACGGCAUGGGUCCGUAAAGUCCUCUAUAAAAGCUUAAACCUCCUUACUAUCCUCUAUAUCAAUUGAUCAGCAUUUAUAAGAUGGGGCUGUCUGUUCCUUCUGAUGUUGAUGGUUUUAGUAAUGAUGGUUUCUUGCAAGGAUGGCUGCCUCUUGGAGUAUAUUGACUUGAGAAUUAAUUGUUUUGAUAACAGUAUUUUAUUAUUUGUGGAGUUAUUUCUAUUUUUUAAAUUAUUAUAUUUAGAUUAUAAUAGAGUGAAAGAGUUAAUAGGUUUAAGAGAUUAGGAAAAAGCUACUAUUAAUUAUAGUUAGGGACCAAACUGGAAUUUUUGCACAUUUUUAAGGGUCAAAUUGUAAUUUUAUUAAAUUGAUGAAGGACCAAAAUGAAAAUAUCAUAUUUAUAACUAUACUGUAAUUUUGCCCAUAUUUCUUCUGUAAUUUUGCCUAGAAUCUCGGAUUAUGCUCUAGGGACCAAUCUGUAAUUUUUUUCAAAGUUUGGGGAUUAAACUGAAAUUUUCAUAAAUUGAGGUACCAAACUGAAAUUUUUUCAUCUUCAACAUCAAACCCAGAUUUUUCACAAAUCACCUAUUGAUAUAUCAAGAUUUUUAACUAGAUGAGGGUUUAGGUCAUAGAUUGGCCUAAUACUCGGAUCAAGAUUUGAGUCAAGUUAGCUUAUUGACUAGUGUUAAUAAAAAAUUAUAUUAUUUUAAGAUUUAAUUUAAUUAAAUAGAUCCAACUACCAUGCAAUUCCACAAUUAAUUUAUUUUAUUAUGAUUUAGUGUUAUGUUAACCAGGCAACAUUUAAUUACCAUGAUAUAAAAUACAAAAAUAGUGGGAACAUAAAAAAACAUGCUUUUAUAUAUUUUUUAUUUUAAAAGUAUAAAUUUUACUUUAAGACUAUUGUAAAAAGAUAUUUAUUUUAAAUUUAUUUAUAUUUUUAUAAUUCAAAAAUUAAAAAUAAAACAGAAUUAAUCCAUACUCAUCUAAAAACAAUUAACUCUAACAUCAUUAUUUUAUAACAAAACUAGCAAAGAUAAUUUAUUAAUCACUAAGUUUUCUGGUUAUAAAUACAUUAGUAAGUGUCUUUGUCUCUUUUGUAUUUCUAACUAUUAACGAAUUGAAAGAAUAAAUUUAGAAUCACCAAUUAAGCAGUGAAUCACACGGGAAGAUUGAAAGAAUAAUUAAAGUGAUUAUACUAACCGACAAGUCGACCCCAAGUCAAAGUCUUCUGUGGAAAAACAUGAAUAAAAGGUGGACGCUGGGCAGCUCACUUUCCAUGAAGAUGAUGGAUACAGAGCCCUCCCUUCUAUCUUUAUGGAAAUCACGUCUAGAAAAUCAUGCUUUAAUUUUAAGCUUGAGAGGGGAUGAUAUAUAUAUAUAUAUAUAUAUAUAUAUAUAUAUAUAUAUAUAUAUAUAUAUAUAUAUGCUUUAAUUUCAACUUGUAUAAAAAAUAAAUCUUAAUGACUGGUGAUUUAAACUUGGGUGUUUUUUCGGUAUUAAUAUAUAUAUUCCUCAAUUAUCAUAAAGAAUUAAGAAAAAACUAAUAAUAAGAUUAAAAUAAAUGUUUUAUAUAUCGAAAUAAUUAAAAGUAAGGUUUACUUAAGGUAUAUAUGGGAUUAAUUUAAAAUAACAAUAAAAUCAAUUUAUUAAAAAAAAUCAUAAAUUUAGUUUUCCUAAAUUUUAAAUGUAGUGUGAAUGCAUUCCGCAAGAAAAAAACAGUGCAAAAUUAGCCUUUCAAGAAAUAGAGAAUCUUCCUCUUUGAAGGAAUUAAUUAGUGGGUUGGAAAAAUGUCGUCUUCUGCUCUAAUAUUUUCUUCACUUUCUCUAUAGUUUUACCUUACACCAAUAUUGUCAGAAAAUGAUACAAUAUACUUCUUGUGUUAUCCUUCAAGAUUUCAAUUGAAAAUUAAGGAGGGUCGUAAAAAAUUUAAUUUUUAUAAACAUAUCCUUAACUCUGUAUCUUCUCUAGAUAUGUCUGUGACUGAGCUCCAUAAAGAAUUCCUAUUUAACAUUAAUCUGUCCAUCAAGUUUUUGAUCCCCGAUUAAGGCCAUCUUGAUAAAUGAGAUUUUACUCUGUAAUUUUAAUGUAUAGCUGUCAAUGACCUGAAACAUGCAAAUUAAAAUUCAAAGUGUGAGCAUUGAAUUUCUUGUCAGUUUACACCCUUCUGUGGUGUUUCCUCUUUCCAUUGAUUGAAGAGCGUCCAAGAGGAAAAACUGAAAAGGCAAAAGUUCUAUUGUACAGUGAAAAAGAGCAUGAGAAAUACACAGAAGCAGAGAUGCAUGAAUCCUUCUCCACUAGCAGCUCUCGUCCAUAGGAUCAUUGUGGUUUCAAGAUUGAUGCCCAAUCAUUUCCCUCUUUGUUCGAUUCCUCAGACCUUUUGGAAACUGUACAUUCCGGGGGAAAGUCUGUGCAAGGGCAAAAGGCGACGGUGGACUUGACAAAGGGCUGAGGGGUGGGUGAGAUGUUAUGUCAAGAAAUGAUUUUGGAAAAUUUCUUCAUAUGUGUUGAAUAACUAAGAUAAGAUAGGAGUCUUGAACAAGGCAAAAGCAUAGGCUCUCCAAGACGAUUGACCAGAAGGAGAGAAGGAAGGCUCUAUAUCCUUAGCACGUCAAACACUCCUUUGCACAUUAGAGAAAUUGUCGAGUUAUUCCUGCUUCUUCUUCUUCUUCCUUUUUUUUUUUUUUAUUUAUAAUAGUCCAGUAUUAUUAUAGAAAGGUGCUCGAGCCAAAAUUAGAGACUAGCUAGCAUAAAAGAAAAACAUAGGACAAUAUAUACAAGACAGGGGAGGAAGUAAUAACAUAACAUAAUAUAUAUAUAUAUAUAUAUAUAUAUAUAUAUAUAUAUAUAUAUAUAUAUAUAUAUUAAAAAAAACUUGAGUUAACGCAUCAACUCAACGACCCGAAUCAUGAGAUCAGGAUAAGCAAACUCAAUAUUAAAAGAUGAAAUUUAAAAAAAAAACCUUAAAAACAUAUAUGGUUUAACAAUAUUAAUUAAUUAUUAAAAUCUUUCAUUUUAUAUAUAUUAAAAAUAAAUAUUAAUAACUAUUAUAUCAAUUUGUGAAUGUUUCAAUUUGAAUGCGAACAAAUGUUUUAUAUAUGACAUUUUUCUUAAGAAUGUCUCUUUCAUUAAAACCAAAAUUAUUUAACAUGAUUAGAUUUAAUACCCUGAGAGUUUAGGUCAUAGAUUGGCCUAAUACUCGGAUAAGAUUGAGAUCAUAUAUCAGACAAGUUAGCUUAUGUUGAAUGGUGUUAAUCUAAAAUUGUAUUAUUUUAAGAUUUUUUUUAGAAAAAAUCAAAAUUGCGUAGUUAAAAAAAAUAAAACUAGUUUUUGACUGAAUUAACUAGGUUGUGGGUUGAUUUAUUUAGUCGAUUAGGCUUGGUUGGGUCAGCUCUCACUUAGUUUUUUCUAAACCUGAAUUGGGUUAGGUUCCAGAUUAAAAUGUUAGGCUUGAAUUAAAUUUAAUAAUGCUGAUUAAAACCACAUUGUAGAAAAAAAAUUAAAUUGCAUAAAAGUAAUUAACCGAAAACUUGUAUUCCUUCUUGUAAAGCUGAACCCGUGUCAGUUUUAUUGAAGGAAAACUAUGAACCAAAGGUUAAUGCUACUUUCAUGACGAGAAGACUUGCUACUUUCUUUAUGGAAAUAACGUGUGGAAAAUCAUGCCUUAAUUUUGAUGGCGAUGGUAAAAUCAAAGAGUAUCGUUGAUAAUUAAAUGCUUAUGCAUAAAAAAUAAAUCUCAAGUGUUAGAAUGCAACCACUGAUUAAUUAAUGGACAACGGACCUUGGAUUAAUACAUGACGCAACUUUCAAUGGAAUUAUAUUUGUGGAGGUAUUUACUCGGAUGUGAAUUAUAUUUUUAUUUUUUUAUUUUAAAAAAAAUUCUAUAUACUACAACUAGCUUAAGAAAGUCAAAAAAAUUUAAGUGAAAAAAAAUAUAUAUAUAUUUAUAUACACUCACGCACACACAAAAAUAUAGUCAAAUAAAUCAAGAACUAUGUGUGUUAAUAAGUGGAAAAAAAAACCUUAAACGAUAACUCAAAAUAAAAACUAGAAAAAUCAAGAGACAAGUGUAUAUCAAGAUAUUUAAUUUCACAUGACGUGACAUUUUUUUUUUUGGAUUCGACGAAACCUCACCCCUCCGAAAAGCACACUUUGUGGGCCCAGGUGAGGGAGUAAAACCCCGGCUGUCCCAGGCUCUUACAAAAGGUGCACGCCCUGACUCGAACUCGAGACCUGCUGUGCAGAUCUCAAACCCUUUGCCAUCACGCUACGCCCCUUGGGGACAACGUGACAUUUACGCAGUAUUGUUUUCUAAAUUUUCUAAUUAAAAUAAUUUUUUAUUUGAUCAAACGAUAAUAUAAACAGACACACACAUUCUAAAUUGAUUGAAUAAAAAAAAAAUAUAUGCAAAGCUGUAUAUAUUAAAAAUAUUAUUUGAAAAUAAUUUGUUUUUCAAAAAUAAAGUUCAUCUAUGUAAAAGAUUUUAAAAAAAUAUAGAUUAAUCAAAAAAACCUCUUUAAAAAUUAAAUUCAUGAUUAAAAAAUAAUCAUCAUUUCAAAUAGGCUUUUUAAAUAACUAAAAAGAGAGAAGGGAUAUUAAUAUAAAUAUAAAUAUAACUAAAAUUAAGAUUAUUUUAAAAAAAUAGAUAAAAAAAAUUUUAAGCGAAAAAAAGUGAACAGACACGGUGAACUUAACUCAUAAACUCAACUGAAUUUAAUAUUUUUUUCGUUAAAUUUAUUAUAAAUAUAAAAAAAAACAAAAUUAAUAUCAUUCACGGUAAAACAUAAAUAAAAAACAGUACAACCGCAUAGUAUUCACCUCAGGCAUUUUCUUUUAAAUUUAUAGCCAAACCUUAAAAAUAAACUUUUGUGCUCAGUAUCUUUUUAAGGUGAAUUAACAAGUUUCAACUCAUCUCUGUAUCUUCUCUAGAUACAGAGAAUUCCUAUUUAACAUUAAUCUGUCCAUCAAGUUUUUGAUUCCCAAUUAAGACCAUCUUGAUAAAUGAGAAUUUACUCCGUAAUUUUAUUGUAUAGCUGUCAAUGACCUGAAACAUGCAAAUUAAAAUUCAAAGUGUGAGCAUUCAAUUUCUUGUCAGUUUACACCUUUCUGUGGUGUUCCCUCUUUCCAUUGAUUGAAGAGCGUCUAAGAGGAAAAACUGAAAAGGCAAAAGUUAUGUUGUACAGUGAAAAAGAGCAUGAUCAGAAAUACACAAAAACAGAGAUGAAUGAAUCCUUCUCCACUAGCGCUCUCGUCCAUCGGAUCAUUGUGGUUUCAAGACCGAUGCCCAAUCAUUGCCCUCUUUGUUCGAUUCCUCAGACCUUUUGGAAACUGUACAUUCCGGGGGAAAGUCUGUGCAAGGGCAAAAGGGGACGGUGGACUUGACAAAGGGCUGAGGGGUGGGUGAGAUGUUAUGUCAAGAAAUGAUUUUGGAAAAUUUCUUCAUAUGUGUUGAAUAACUAAGAUAAGAUAGGAGUCUUGAACAAGGCAAGAACAUAGGCUCUCCAAGACAAUUGACCAGAAGGAGAGAAGGAAGGCUCUAUAUCCUUAGCACGUCAAACACUCCUUUGCACAUUAGGGAAAUUGUCGAGUUAUUUCUGCUUCUGCUUCUGCUUCUUCUUCUUUUUAUAAUAGUCGAGUAUUAUUAUAGAAAGGUGCUAGAGCCAAAAUUAGAGGCUAGCUAGCAUAAAAGAAAAACAAUGAUUAAUUGCAAGAGAUGGUUACUUAUACCAGUAGCAAUUUAGUAAUGAUUAAUUAGCAUUUAUAUUAAGAUGUGGCUAUUAAUUCAAAUGUUAACAAUGAUUUUCUUGGAAGGAUGAUUGCCUCUUGGUUACUUUAAAAUAUACGGUUUUUUUAGUUCAAAUCUAUUAAUAAAAAUAUAGUUUUAUUGAAUUUUUUUAUAUACUUUUAUUAGAGAAAUUAAUUUAAACACAUUUAUAUACAGACACUAGUUUAUCAAGUACUUCAAUAGAAAAAUAAAAUCAAUUAGAGUACUUAAAUAAAAAAAAAUAUAAAUUAUAAGCAUUUUACAUAUCUUUAUUGUUUAUAAAUUAAAAAUAAAAUAAUAUCAAUCCAGACUAAUCUAAAAAAAAAUUAACUAUGACAUCAUCAUUCUAAUAAUAAAACUAAUAAAGAUGUUUUAUUGAUUAAAUUUCGUGAUACAGGGUUGAAACAAAAAAGAGAUGAAGAGAGAGGAGGGAAUGGAAAGAAGGGAAAAAAGAACUCAUGCGAUCUGUUGUUUGUAAGUUUUUUACAUAAUAUAUAGGAAGGUAUUUUAAUUAUUUUGUUCAAAUUAAAAAUUUUCAUUGACUAAAAAGCGUAAUUAUCUAAAACAUAAAAGCAAAGUAAAAAACUCAAAUGCUUCAUUAAAAAACUCAAUUGAUUCGGUGCUUUAUUAGUUUCUAUAGUAUGGUGUCUUAUGCAUUUUGUUCUAAUCAUAUAUGGGAAAGUGUUUGGUUGAUUAACGUAUAUCAUGACUUUGUAUGGGUCCUACCACAAACUCUCUCUUUUGAAAUAUUAAUUAAGAAAAAGCUAUAAUUUAUAGUUUUUUUAAAUUUAUUUUUUCAAAUUACAAUCAUAUAAACUACUAUAAUAUCAAAUACAUAUUUGAAUAAGACUCAGUAAAAAUUUUCUUCUUCUAAAUACAAAGUGGAAAUGAGUUACUUUCUCCAAAAAGAAUAUAUACAAUAUUAUCGAUUAUCUAAUGCAAACUCCGUCUAACAUACACAGAGAAAGAGAGAGAACCUUAACUAUGUUUAUUUUAUGCACUUUAAUUAAAAAUAAAUUUUGGAUUGUACGAGAGACUUUAAUUAAAUUUCAAUAUUAAAUUUAUGCACUUUAAUUAACAUACACAGAUCAACUAUUAAUAUAUCAAGACUUUUAACUCAAAUUCAUUAUUUAAACAAACCAUAACUUAAAAUUAUUAUCUUUAUCUAAAAUCUUUAAAAAUCAAUGAAAUAACUCAUUAUUCAUAAUAAUUAACCUGCUAAGUUAUUUCUGCUUCUUCCUUUUUAUAAUAGUCGAGAAUUAUAUAUUAUAGAAAGGUGCUAGAGUUAAAAUUAGAGGCUAGCUAGCAUAAAAGAAAAACAGAGGUAUAUACAAGACAGGGGAGGAAGUGUGCGUGCGUGCGUGUGUGUGUGUGUGUGUGUGAUCCCUUCUCAAGCUUAAAAGUAAAGCAUGAUUUUCUAGACGUGAUUUCCAUAAAGAUAGAAGGGAGGGCUCUGUAUCCAUCAUCUUCAAGGAAAGUGAGCUGGCCAUCGUCAACCAUUUAUUUAUGUUUUCAACCAUUUAUUUAUGUUUUUCCACAAAAGACUUUGACUUGGGGUCAACUUGUCGGUUAAUUACUUUUAUGCAAUUCAAUUUUUUAAAAAUAUAUAUAUAUAUGCUUUAAUUUCAACUUAAGUUAUAUACGGGACGAUAAAAAAAUAACAAUAAAAUCAAUUUAUAAAAAAAAUCAUAGAUUUAGUUUUCCUAAAUUUUAAAUGUAGUGUGAAAGCAUUCCGCAAGAAAAAAACAGUGCAAAAUUAGCCAUGACAAUAAGUCUUUUUCUUUCUAAAGAGUUUAUUUUUUGUAACACAAUCAAUAAGUAAGAUGGAUGGGAAUUUGCAGUGUGAGAUGGGUUUGUGAGACUAUAUAUUGCCAUCAGCAUUUUUUCCAUGAUAUAGGCUUGUAGGAUGGUCCAUGAGACCAUUGCUAUAUAUCAAGCGUUUUUUCUACGAGAUGGGUCCAUGAGACCAUUACCUCGUAAGCUUGGGAAUGGAUAACAUGAUUUAAUGUUUAUUUAGUUUAAAAAAAAAUUAAAUGCUUAUGCAUAAAAAAUAAAUCUCAAGUGUUAGAAUGCAACCACUGAUUAAUUAAUGGAUAAUGAACCUUGGAUUAAUACAUGACGCAACUUUCAAUGGAAUUAUAUUUGUGGAGGUAUUUACUCGGAUGUGAAUUAUAUAUAUAUAUAUAUAUAUAUAUAUAUAUAUAUAUAUAUAUAUAUAUAUAUAUAGGGGCACACACAAAUAUAGUCAAAUAAAUCAAGAAUUAUAUGUGUUAAUAAGUGAAAAAAAAAAUAUUAAACUAUAACUCAAAAUAAAAACUAGAAAAACCAAGAGACAAAUGUAUAUAAAGAUAUUUAAUUUCACAAGACGUGAUAUUUACGCAGUAUUGUUUUCUAAAUUUUCUAAUUAAAAUAAUUUUUUAUUCGAUCAAACGAUAAUAAAAAUAGACACAUACAUUAUAAAUUGAUUGAAUAAAAUAAAAGGAGAAAAAAUAAUAUGCAAGGCUGUACAUAUUAGAAAUAUUAUUUGAAAAUAAAUUUCUUUUUAUUUUCAAAAAUAAAGUUCAUCCAUGUAAAAUAUUUUUAAAAAAUAUAGAUUAAUCAAAAAAAUCUCUUUAAAAAUUAAAUGCAUGAUUAAAAAAUAAUCAUCAUUUUAAAUAGGCUUUUUAAAUAACUAAAAAGAGAGAAGGGAUAUUAAUAUAAACAUAAAUAUAACUAAAAUUAAGAUUAUUUAAAAAAAAUAGAUAAAAAAAUUUUAAGCAAAAAAAAGUGAACAGACAACUUAUAAACUCAACUGGAUUUAAUAUUUUUCCUGUUAAAUUUAUUAUAAAUAUAAAAAAACAAAAUUAAUAUCAUUCAUGGUAAAACAUAAAUAAAUAAAUAAAUAAAACAGUACAACCGCAUGUUAUUCACCUCAGGCAUUUUCUUUUAAAUUUAUAGCCGAACCUUAAAAACAAACUUUUGUGCUCUGUAUGUUUUUAAGGUGAAUUAACAAUUUUCAACUCAACUCGGUACCUUCUCUAGAUAGAUCUGUGACUAUGCCUUGGAUUUUCUCAAAACUACUAAGUGUGUGCUUGAGAGGGUGAUUAUAGUUGUUUUUUAAAGUGUUUUUCACUCAGAAAAACAUGUCAAUAAUAUUUUUUUAUAUUUUAAAAUUUAUUUUCGAAAUCAGCACAUCAAAAUGAUUUAAAAACAUCAAAAAUAUAUUAAUUUAAAGUAAAAAAAAAAUUCAAAUUUUUGCGGAAGUGCUUUUGAAAAGCACUCCCAAACACUCCCAUGGUUGGAUACCAAGUAAAUAGAGAUAAAUUUAUUUCCUGUUAUUCUCCGAUAGUAUCUUCGUCCCUUGAUAGAACUUUCUUGGAGAUGAUGAGCUACCACUCCCUUUUGACUUUGCUGGCCUCCCAAAUAUAAAUAAAGAAUUCCUCUUGAUAGAAUUUUCUUCGAAAUGAUGAGAAUAUUUUAGAAUAUUCUGGUUGACGCCAGCUGUCAACAACUAUCUUACAUUCCCAACGCAUGCCUUUGCAAGAUGUUAAAGGCUCAUCUAAAAACAAUUAACUCUGAUAUCGUUAUUUUAUAACAAAUUAGCAAAGAUAAUUUAUUAAUCACUAAGUUUUCUGGUUAUAAAUACAUUUGUAAUUGUCUUUAUCUCUUUUGUAUUUCUAACAAUUAACGAAUUGAAUAUAUAAUAAAUACCGACUGAAAGAAUAAAUUUAGUUUAAAUGUGCUAAAGUUUAAAUAGGCGACUUUAGAAUCACCAAGAAGGCAGUGAAUCACACGGGAAGAUUGAAAGAAUAAUUAAAGUGAUUUUACUAACAUUGUAAAAGUAAUUAACCGAAAAGUUGACCCCAAGUCAAAGUCUUCUGUGGAAAAACAUGAAUAAAAGGUUGACGCUGGGCAGCUCACUUUCCAUGAAGAUGAUGGAUACAGAGCCCCCCCUUCUAUCUUCAUGGAAAUCACGUCUAGAAAAUCAAACAUUAUUAUUGCCAUCUGCGUUUUUUCUUAGAGAUGGGUCCGUUCCACCAUUUCCCCUCAAGCUUGAGAUAUAUAUACGUGACACGAUUUAAUUUCAAAUCUUAAUGUAGUGUGUUAGAAUGCAACCACCGAUUGAUUAAAUUUAAUGGCUGGUCAUUUAAACUUGGGUGUUUUUUCGGUAUUAAUAUAUAUAUAUAUAUAUAUAUAUUCCUCAAUUAUCAUAAAAAAUUAAGAAAAAACUAAUAAUAAGAUUAAAAAUAAAUGUUUUAUUUAUCGAAAUAAUUAAAAGUAAGGUUUACUUAAGGUAUAUAUGGGAUGGUAAAAAAAUAACAAUAAAAUCAAUUUAUAAAAAAAAAUCAUAGAUUUAGUUUUCCUAAAUUUUAAAUGUAGUGUUUAUAAUUAAUUAAUUAAUUGAGAAUUUGAGCUCUUCUAAAAGUUGUUUAUGGACUUUUGUUUUCCGGAGAAAACUCCCUUAAAACCUUUGAGCACUUCCUUCUCUAAAAUAUAUGUUUUUGCCAUAACUCAGGGGCUCUGUAUCUUUUAAGGUGAAUUAGGCUUUAUAUCUUUUUAAGGUGAAUUAACAAGUUUCAACUCAUCUCUGUAGAUACAUAGAAUUCCUAUUUAACAUUAAUCUGUCCAUCAAGUUUUUGAUCCCCAAUUAAGACCAUCUUGAUAAAUGAGAUUUUACUCUGUAAUUUUAAUGUAUAGCUGUCAAUGACCUGAAACAUGCAAAUCAAAAUUCAAAGUGUGAGCAUUGAAUUUCUUGUCCGUUUACACCUUUCUGUGGCGUUUCCUCUUUCCAUUGAUUGAAGAGCGUCUAAGAGGAAAAACUGAAAAGGCAAUCACUAGCGGCCCUCGUCCAUCGGAUCAUUGUGGUUUCAAGAUUGAUGCCCAAUCAUUGCCCUCUUUGUUCGAUUCCUCAGACCUUUAGGAAACUGUAUAUGAGAUGUUACAGAGUGACGGAGGACUUGACAAAGGGCUGAGGGGUGGGUGAGAUGUUAUGUCAAGAAAUGAUUUUGGAAAAUUUCUUCAUAUUUGUUGAAUAACUAAGAUAGGAGUCUUGAACAAGGCAAGAACAUAGGCUCUCCAAGACGAUUGACAGAAGGAGAGAAGGAAAGCUCUAUAUCCUUAGCACGUCAAACACUCCUUUGCACAUUAGAGAAAUUGUCGAGUUAUUUCUGCUUCUGCUUCUGCUUCUGCUUCUUCUUCUUUUUAUAAUAGUAGAGUAUUAUUAUAGAAAGGUGCUAGAGCCAAAAUUAGAGGCUAGCUAGCAUAAAAGAAAAAGAAAAACAGAGGACAGUAUAUACAACUAUACAAGACAGGGGGAGGAAGUAAUAACAUAAUAUUAAUAACUAUAUAUAUAUUAAAAAAACUCGAGUUAACCCAUCAAGUUUACGACCCGGAUUAUGAGAUCGGGAUAAGCAAACUCAAUGUUAAGAAAUGAAAUUAAAGAAAAAAACCAUAAAAACAUAUAUGGCGUAGUGUCUUAUCGAUUAAGUUUGAUUGGGUCAACUCUCACUUGGUUUUUUCUAAACCUAAAUUGGGUUAGAUUCUAGAUUAAAAUAUUAGGCUUGAAUUAAAUUUAAUAACACUGAUUAAAACCACAUUGUAGAAAAAAAAAAUGAAUCGCGUAAAAGUAAUUAACCGAAAACUUGUAUUUCUUCUUAUAAAGUUGAACUCAUGUCAGUUGUUUUUUAAGGAAAAAUAUGAAUCAAAGGUUAAAGCUAGGCAGCUCACUUUGCACGACAAUGACGGAUAUAGAAGACAUAACGUGUGGAAAAAUCAUGCCUUAAUUUUGAUGGUGAUGGCAAAAUCAAACAGUAUCGUUGAUAAAAUGAACCACAAAUAAUAUUAUUUCUAAAACACUUCUUGUCAUUGUGAUGACAAUAAGUCUUCUUCUUUGCAGUGUGAGAUGGGUUUGCAUUUUUAUUUUCCACGAUAAUUAAUUAAUUAAUUGAGAAGUUGAGCUCCUUAAGAAAAGUUGUUUAUGGACCUUUGUUUUCCGGAGAAAACUCCCUUAAAACCCUUGAGCACCACCUUCUCUAAAACAUCUAUCUUUGCCAUAACUGAGAGGCUCUGUAUCUUUUUAAGGUGAAUUAACAAGUUACAACUCAACUCUGUAUCUUUUUUAGAUAUGUAUGUGACUGUACCUUGAUGUUCUCACAACCAUUAAGAUGGAGACAAAUUUUCUUUUCUGUUAUUCUCCGAAAAUAUCUUCGUUCCUUGAUAGAAUUUUCUUGGAAAUGAUGAGCUUCCACUCCCUUUUGACUUUGCUGGCCUCCGAAAUAAUUAAAGAAUUCCUCUUGAUAGAAUUUCCUUGGAAAUGAUGAGAAUAUCUCACAUUCCCUUGGCAUCGUGUUCCAUGCCUUUGCAAAUUAUUAAAGGCUCCAAUGCAUGUGUCCUUUUAUUCAUGUUUUUCCACAAAAGACUUUUGACUUGGGGUCAACUUGUCGGUUAGUAAAAUCACUUUAAUUAUUCUUUCAAUCUUCCCGUGUGAUUCACUGCUUAAUUGGUGAUUCUAAAUUUAUUCUUUCAAUUCGUUAAUAGUUAGAAAUACAAAAGAGACAAAGACAAUUACUAAUGUAUUUAUAACCAGAAAACUUAGUGAUUAAUAAAUUAUCUUUGCUAGUUUUGUUAUAAAAUAAUGAUGUUAGAGUUAAUUGUUUUUAGAUGAGUUUGGAUUAAUUCUGUUAAUUUUAUUUUUAAUUUUUGAACUAUAAAAAUAUAGAUAAAUUUAAAAUAAAUAUCUUUUUACAAUAGUUUUUUAGUAAAAUUAGAGUAAAAUUUGUACUUUUAAAAUAAAAAUAUAUAAAAACAUGUAUUUUAUGUUCCCAUUAUUUUUGUAUUUUAUAUCAUGGUAAUUAAAUGUUGCCCGGUUAACAUAACACUAAAUCAUAAUAAAAAAAUAAUAAUUAUGGAAUGGCAUGGUAGUUGGAUCUAAUUUUUUUAUGGAAUGGCAUGGUAGUUGGAUCAUAAUAAGAGUAUUCAAAUUAAGAAUAUUUAAAUGAGUGUUAAUUGGGUUUAAAAGACUUACAAGCAAAAUAUAAGUUGUUUGUUAGAAUUCUUAUGGAUCCGAUAGAAAAUUAAUACUUCAUUCAUAUACAUUACAUGAGCAUAUAUAUAUUUCUUUUAUCAACAUAAUGAUAUGUUUAUUUAUGUAACAGGUCCAUCAAAUAUCCAUGGAGAUCAUUAGUUUAGGGCUCUACUUUGUCAAGCUUAUGUAAAUAUUUAACUUAAGCAAAAGGGAAUUAACGCAUUUAUGUAGUAUGCUUUUGUAUAAACCUUGAUGUAUUUAUAAAAGUUCAGCUUAGCAUGUAGUACUUUAGUUAUCUUGUAAUUAACCCUUCUGAAAUAUUUAAAAACACUUAUUAUGUUGUAAAUGCUUUAUUUACAUGUUAGUAUUCCUUUUUCUUUUAAUUUUAUGAUAUGAUAUAUGGGCUAUGUUCAUAUUGAACUUGCUCAUAGGAUAUAUAUAAAUAUAUAUUGUGUGGAUUAUAUGAGGUGUUGAAUUAUGAUGAUUAAUAUAAGGUUCGGAAUUAUGGGACCUUGUGAUGAUGGAUUGAUUGUGUAAAUUAAUAGUAGUCGAUAACUUGGGAUGUUCUAAAUACAAACAAAACUCUGCUGAAUUUUUGGUAGAUUUAAAAAAAAAAAUUACCCUCAAAUUAAAAGCAUAUGUUGAGAUCUUUUAACAUUGAUCAAGUCGUAUAGUUGGUUCUGUUACAUGUUAGGUAUACAAUGUCUCUGUGAUAUGGACAUAAUGAUUUUUGAUGUGUCAAAUUCUUACUAUUUCACUCUUAAGAGUAGAAAGAUCUACUUCGUUGGACAACCACCAAGGCUUAACAACAAUAAUGAGAAAAUAAGCAUGUGAAAGGAAAAAGACUUAAUCUUAUAAGCCCAAAUGAUUUUGAGAAUCAGGUUCAUGAAGAGUUUGUUGCAUUUGCUUUAGUGGCUAAGAAAGUUUUAGAGAAAGCACUCGAAGAAAUAAGUGUAGUUUUGAAAGAAUUUCAAGAUGUUUUUCCUCUCAAAGUUCAUAAUUCCUUACCCCAUUAUACGUGACAUUCAACACGUAAUAUUUUAUCCCUAGUUACCUCUUGGUUUCAAGCAAGAAACACACUUCAAUAUCAUUAUGCGUUACUGUAUUCCUAAUAGAUGCCCUCUUAGCAGACAUACCCAACCCACAACUAUUCCAGAAUAAAAUCUUCAUUGAUAAAUGAUUUUAAACCUUACCAAGUUAUACUGCAAAAUGGAAUUAUUCCCAAAACCCAAAGCAAAUAACAUCCUCUGCGCCUCAUCUUCAACAAUACAUUCUGCUGUUGCAGCAGAACUGUAAGUUAUCAUAUAACGAAGAUUCCCUUUUCUGAUUCUAGAAUCCAGUGAACCUGGUGAUUCCACCUCACGUUCAUCCUCCACCCGCUGAAGACUACCAUUGAAAGAGAAAAGCUCCACCUUUGGGUGUAAACUGGAUUGAUUGCAUCCCAUCUGAAUCACGUGGGCUUAAUGGAAGGAACGAACAAUUGUCGGUUUUAAAAGUUUGGUUUGUAACAAUCAUUGUAAUUCCAAAUUUCCAUACUCCUUCCAUUUAAGCAAUUAAUAAUAACAGAGAAUAUGUAUAAAUCUCAAUGUUGUUUUAAAUUUUAUGUAAGAUAGUACAGUUUCAUUCAAAAAAUGAGAAAGAACAAUAAAAAUCCUCAAAUUCUACCACCUUCAAUUCUCAUUCAUCAACAACAGCAUACAUUCAAACAAGUGAUCAAUAGUGUUGAUGAAAAAUAAAUCAUUAGCGAUCAAGUGACGAGGACUAUAGUAAGAUUGGCGCCAUUGUAAGCUUGACAAGCUUUGCCUACUCUAAUUAACAGCAACGAAAGAUUCAGUGCCUAAUCUCUGGACGGAGAAGGGGACGCCUUUGUUAUGUACAUGGUUGCCCUAAAUGGUUCGAUGAUGCUCAUUUUAAACAUUUUUUGUCAAGGUUGUCAAUUUUGCUCCGUUUAGUGUUUCAUUUUUUUAAUUGAAACGGUAUGUUUUGGUUUCGGAGCAUUUCAGUGUGUUGUUUCAGGAUUAUAUAUAUAUUAACUCAAUUAAACAUAAUUUAAAUUUAAAUUUAAAGAUAAAUUAACUUGAAAUUAUGCAAUUUAAAUUUCAAACACAAGUAAAAAAGUGAGAGACUGAUAUGACUUGAUCGACUAGAUGGGUCCAAAGACAACCUUUACGACUGGUAAGAAUAUAGUUUGACUCAAAAAAAUUUAAGAUGAUAUUUUUUAAAAAAUAUAUUGAGAUGACAACAUAUUAAAUCAACCUGGGUCAACUCGAUCGGAUUAACUUUCUAAAUUCGUAAUCCAGGUUAUGAGACCAUAAUAACCUAAAAUAAAGCAAAUCAAAACAAAUUAUAAAGCUGAAUUCUCAAUAAACAUGUUAUUGAAUGGUUAAAUUGGAAAAAUUUUAAUAUAAAAAAAGACACAAAAAAAUGACCUUCAGAGACUAUUGUCGUCACCAGAAUGUUUUGCCCGCCACACAAGCUUCACAUAUCUUUUGCAACUCAGAUUUGGAAACUUUAGAGUACCUUUUUAUAUACUGUAACUUUUCUAGGAGUGUUUGGAUGAAAGUUUUGGAUUAGUGGGGUAUCUAAUGUUGUUGUCGAGCACUUUAGACUCGCUACUUCUACAACAACAUGGAAUGGUGCAGGGUAAAUUCCAAAGAUUAGCUUGGAGACUAAUCUCUAGUAGUAUUACUCGGGGUAUUUGGUUGUUGAGGAACAAAAUUGUUUGUGAGGAGAGAACUAUAAGUUUGUUUGAUUGUUUCUCUAUCAUCCUUUAUCAGGUUGCUAUUUAGUUGUAUACUCUGUAUUCAAACUUUACUUAUACAGGAAAUGAUCUCUUAAGAUCUUUUGAUGAUAUCAAAUUGUGGUGUAAUAAGAAAUCUUAGGUAGUUUCUUUGUUUUUUUGUUGUAGCAAAUCAGUUUUGUUUUCUUUUUUUCCCCCUUUUUUCUUUUUUUUUUUGUCCUAUGAGACUAUUGUCAUCUGCAUUUUUUCCAUGAUAUAGGCCAGUGGGAUGGUCCAUGAGACCAUUGCUAUCAAGCGUUUUUUGUACGAGAUGGGUCCACGAGACCAUUGCCCUGUAAGCUUGGGAAUGGAUAAUAUGCUUUAAUUUCAAUUUAGUUUACAAAAAAAUUAAAUUAAAUGCUUAAGCAUAAAAAAUAAAUCUCAAGUGUUAGAAUGCAAUUACCGAUUAAUUAAUGGACAACGGACCUUAGAUUAAUUAAUAUAUGAUGCAUCUUUCAAUGGAAAUGUAAAUGCUUUACUAGAAUAUUAUUUUUUUUUGUAUUUGUUUUCUGGUUAUAUUUAAUUUUCAUCAAUAUUCCUAACAUAAAUUGCUACGUAUUUUGAAUCUUGAAGGAUUGAAAGAUAGAAAACAGAAAAGAAAAGGAGACAAGGCAGUUCAAAAGAAGAAGAAAAAAGUACGAUAGUGAAAGAAAGAGAAGAGAAUAAAAGUGGAGCAGUUUUUAUUAACUAUAUAAAUUUUAUAAUUACUAAUAUUAAAUUCAAAAUAUGUACAUAUUACAAAUAUGUAAACAUAUCAUAUGGUUUAAAAGAAAUGGCUUUUAUAAACAUAUAUGGCUUAACAAUAUUAAUCAACUCCUAAUAUUUUCAUUUUAUAUAUAUUAAUUAAAGUAAAUAUUAAAACCUAUUAUAUUAAUCUGUGAAGGUAUUUACUCGGAUGCAAAUUAUAUUUCUAAUUUAUUAUUAAAAAAAAUUCUAUAUACUACAACUAGCUUAAGAAAGUCAUGUUUAUCAGGAUCAUAGAGUAAAAAAAAGAAAAAAUUGAAUUGCAUAAAAGUAUCACUAGCUUAAGAAAGUUAUGUCAUCUGCAUCUUUCCUCGAGGAGAGGCAGUGAGACGUCCUCUUCCAACCAUCAUGCAUUUUUUCCAUGAGAUGGGUUCGUGGAAAAACUUUGGUUUAAUUGGGAAUGCUGUUAUUGAUUGGAAAAUUUUUAAUUAAAAUAAAUUUGAUUUUUUGAUUGGAAAAAAAUCCUUAAAUGACAUUAACACAUGACUCCACUUUAUUUUCUUAAGAAAAAAAAUAUUGUAACCAUAUAAGUUUCAAGUUUAAAGGGUUUUCAUUUGAAGGGGUGUGUUAGAGAAUAAUAUAAAUCAUAUCUUAGAAUCUAACCUAAUAGCUUAAGCUUUUGGGUUGAAUCGGUUCUUUGACAUGGUAGCGGAGCCUUGAUGACCAAGCGAUCACGAGUUCGAAUCUCAUCAUCCCCAUUUAUUAGAUAAAAAUUAAACACAAGGUAAUGUGGAUCUGUACAAGUUUCAAGCCCUUCUAUUGGGUUAAGAUGGUAUCUUGAGGUCUCACCUAACAACUUAAACUAUUGGGUUGAGAUGGUUCUUCGACAGGCUACCAGAUGGUGCGGCGCUACACCUCUGUUCUUGCUUUUCUCUGCUUGUUUUCUCUUCUUUUUUUAUUUCUCUUGUUCCCUUUGUCUCUCUCUGUAUUAUCUAUGUUUGUUCAUUUUUCGUCUAUGUCUUUUUGUAUUAUCUGUCUGUGGUUCUCCCCUUCUAUGUGGCUUUUCUUUGUUUGUCUUGAUUUCUCUGGGUUUGUAUUUGGUUGGUUCAACAACCUACGGUGAGGGGAAGUUGAAUAUUAAAGGCUCCCAUGCCUCUCUAGCAAUAAUAUUAUUUUUUAUUUAUCCCCAAAUACAUGUGUCAUUUAUCAAAAUAAUUAAUUUAAUCACCAAAAAAAAACAAAUAGAUCCAACAACCAUGCCAUUCCACAGUUAAUUUUUUUUAUAUUAUGAUUUAGUGCUAUGUUAACCGGGCAACCUUUAAUUACCAUGAUAUAAAAUAAAAAAAUAAUGGGAACAUAAAAUAAAUGUUUUUAUAUAUUUUUUAUUUUAAAAGGAAAAAUUUUACUCUAAUUUUACUCAAAAACUAUUGCAAAAGGAUAUUUAUUUUAAAUUUAUCUAUAUUUUUAUAGUUCAAAUAUUAAAAAUAAAAUAGAAUUAAUCACUAAGUUUUCUGGUUACAAAUACAUUUGUAAUUGUCUUUAUCUCCCUUGUAUUUCUAACCAUUAACGAAUUGAAUAUAUAAUAAAUACUAAUUAACAAAAGAAUAAAUUUAGCUGUAUAAUGUACUAAAGUUUAAAUAGGUGACUUUAGAAUCACCAAGAAGGCAGUGAAUCACACGGGAAGAUUGAAAGAAUAAUUAAAGUGAUUUUACUAACCGACAAGUUGACCCCAAGUCAAAAGUCUUUUGUGGAAAAACAUGAAUAAAAGGUUGACGUAAGACCAUUGCUAUCAAGCGUUUUUUCUAAGAGAUGGGUCCGUUCCACCAUAUAUAUGCUUUAAUUUCAACCACCAUAAAAAAUAAAUCUUAAUGUAGUGUGUUAGAAUGCAACCACCGAUUGAUUAAUUUUAAUGGCCGGUCAUUUAAACUUGGGUGUUUUUUCAGUAUAUAUAUAUAUAUAUAUUCCUCAAUUAUCAUAAAAAAAUAAGAAAAAACUAAUAAUAAGAUUAAAAAUAAAUGUUUUAUUUAUCGAAAUAAUUAAAAGUAAGGUUUACUGAAGGUAUAUACGGGAUUAAUAAAAAAUAACAAUAAAAUCAAUUUAUAAAAAAAUAAAUCAUAGAUUUAGUUUUCCUAAAUUUUAAAUGUAGUGUGAAUGCAUUCCGCAAGAAAAAAAACAGUGCAAGAUUAGCCUUUCAAGAAAUAGAGAAUCUUCCUCUUUGAAGGAAUUAAUUAGUGGGUUGGAAAAAUGUCGUCUUUUGCUCUAAUAUUUUCUUCACUUGGUCUAUAGUUUUACCUUACACUAAUAUUUUCAAGAUUUCAAUUGAAAAGGAGGGUCGUAAAAAAUUUAAUUUUUAUAAACAUACCCUUAAUUAACUUAAUUUGGAUGUGGAUAAUUGUUUGCAAUAUAUUUACAUCCAAUAUAAACAAUUCAUCAAUGAUCAAGUCGGCCUUGGUUAGCUAAAAUAUUGAAAAUACUUGCUCUCUCCUUUUUUCUUUUUUGGCCAUGCAGUUCCUAUAUAUAUAUAUUAGUUGAAAUUUUAUGAUGUCUAUUAAUCCUUUUAAAUUAAAGUCAAGUUAUUAAUUAUAUCCUAUAGAUUUCUAGAAAAACUAAUUCUCUCAAAUUUCGUACAUUUUACUUACAAACUAUAAAAGGUGAUUGCUACAAACUAAAAUUUCAAACAAGGAAGCUUAAAUCUCUUUUAUCUACAUUUGAAAUUUACAAAAAAUAAAAUUAUAUUGGAUUAAGCCUAAACACUAUAUAAAAUUCUUGAACAACACAUUAAAAACAAAUCAAAGAUACUUUUCAAAAUAUCAAAUCAUUAAAUCUUACAUAUCAAAUAAAUCAAGUUAUCAUAUAUCAAAUUAAAAGGAAGAAUUAAAUGAUUGUUUUAUUUUUUAUAAAAAUAUUUUAAAUAGAAAUUAUAAUGUGGAUCAUAUGGCUCAAUGCAAAUUAAGGUCUCACAUAUAGCCAGCUAUAGCAUGGGAUAGCCAGCGGUCAUUCCAUCAGGAGAUUUGUGAAUUCUGAAGCCUUUGCAAUGUGCAUGGCAUGUGUCCAAGAACCCACCAGGAACUCCAUUUUGACUGGGAAACCUUUGACGAACUGUAUUAUAUGUGAUUUGCUCCUGGUAUUAUAAAUUAGAAAGUGUAAAUUGUAAAUCCCAACCAAUAAGAUAUCUACAUAAGAGUCUGUAAAUGUUACAGAUGAUUUAAGUUUGUUUAGCAAAUUUUUCAAGAACAUGUUUGUCUUUGAUAGCUUAUUGUCAUAGCUGUGAACUCUGAAGAAAAUUGAUGUAAGAAACCAAAGUCCAUUUUGUUCUAGAUUGUAGAUGGAUAUAAGCUUGGUGAUUCCCGAUUCUUUUAUUAAUUUCAUUUUAUACAUUCCCUGUGAUGUGUUCUUAAUUUAUAUACCACACCGAUGUCUGUUAGGUUCUGAUUCAAUCGAAUUGGAGCCGAUCAAAAUUGUAAUGACUCAGUUUCUUUUAUGACCUGGAUUGGGCUUCACAUGCCCUUGAUUAUGCCCAAGAAGAAAACUAAAUAAAUAGUAGAUGAGUAGUGUACUGAAAAUAAAUAUUUUCAGCAUAUUACAUAGAUCUAAAACAAUAGCACACAGGAAUUAAAAAAGAGGAGGGAUCGCUAGGGAUACAAGAUUUGCAGCCAAAACUAUGACCUGACAUGUUCAGGAAACAGAAGGGAACUAUGACCUGACAUGUUCAGGAAACAGAAGGGAGGUGUUUCUUUUAAACACAAGGCAGAUUUUUAUGAUCUUAUUCCUUUUGGUCAUUAAAUUUUCUUAAAAGGAGCUUUGGUUUGAUUCCUACAAGCUGGGGGCAAAUCUUCAGCGUUUCGACAGUCAGCCUCAUGAGCAAAAGAAAGACAAUGUGCGACCACUCCAAGCUUCUCGUUGCUCCCCUGUUCCGAUUAGAAAUGGAGAUUCAAGAAGCUAUGCUACUGUCCUGAGACAAGAGUUCCAACGAAAUCUACUGUAAGUUCCCAAGACACUCUUUUAUAACACUUUGGUCAUUUCCAUGACUUUAUCUGCAUAUCUUGUGCAGGCCAGUUCCAUGUUUUGAGAUUUGAAUAUUAUUUUAUUUUAUUGUUUAGCACUUAGUCUAUUCGCCAGGUUGGGAAAAAUAUUCAAAUUAGUUUUGUUGGCAUGUAACCUCACCAAACAAUUUAAGACUUCACUAAACAAUUUGCGUAGACCGUAUUGACUGGGAGUCAACUAUUGUCGUAGUGCUUUUUUGCACUAUCUGUGUGCGUGAAUGGAAAGAAAAGCAGGGUGGCAACUGGGGUGAGAAAAUGAAUAGAAAACUCCAACAAGGGUGUGAAAAUGAGUUACUUCUCCAAAAAGAAUAUAUAAAUUAUUGAAUAUCUAAUGGAAACUGUCGUGAACGCGGAUGCUUGACUUGCUGUGUACCAUUUUGAUUUUUAAACACAACCAUGCCGUAAUUUCCUGGUGAUUUCCUUAUGCAUACUGGUGGUCUUCCAGAAUCUUUUUCCAAACAAUCCUCGUUAGACCCUGCUCGGGGAUUAACCUGGAGUAAGAUUUGUAUCAUGGUUUUUUAUCAUGUUCCAGGUCAACUUGGAUCAACUAAAUUUUAUGAGUAUGUCAAAACGACAUUGUUUUUUAUAUAUAAACAUAAAUAUGAAUCUUGAGCUCUUUUAUAAUCUUAAGACGAAGUAUAUUAAUAGUUGAACCAUUAUCCACCAAGAUACAAUUCAUCAUCUUUUCAUCGAUAUAUCUUUUAAUAAAAAAAUAUCGUUUAUGGAGUUUUGAUUCAAGCAACAGGUCUUCAUCGUUAAAGAAUAUCUAUGUAGUGUAUACACCUUGAGACAAGUCGAAAGAGUUAGUCAUGACAGGUUUAGUAGGAGUUUUCUUUAUAGUUUUCUCAUUUUUUAUGUUAAAUUAGGAAGAGAUCAAUAAGAAACUGAACUUGAAGAUGGACUAUAUCAUUGUUAACUUCUUGAUCCGAAUACUCCAACAUGAUGGUUAGUGCAAAUUUUUUUUUUUUUAAAAAUAGCAAAAACAAAGUAAUUAAACAAGACAGACUUAGGAUUCCACAGAUAAAUAUAUGGCCAUAUUUGUUUCCCGGAAUUCACUUUCCGGGAAGCCACUUUCCAAACUUUCCUGUGUUUGUCUGCCAUUAGAAAAGUUGGUCAACGGAAAACACUUUCCAGUCAAAGGAAAAUUUAGCUUGGUUUCCAGGAAAGUGUUUUCCUUGAAAAUUUAUGCGGAAAACACUUUCUGAAAGUUGUGAAAAAUUUAAAAAUGUCAUAUUAUUUGCUGAUUAUAUCAAAUUUGGUCCUCAAACUUUUGAUUGCUAUAUAUAUAUAUAUUUUUGUUUUGAAUAUUUAUUUUUCAAUUUCAUCUCUUAAAAUUUAAUUUUUAUAUUAACUUUGGUCCUCAUUUUUAUAAUUGUUAUUUGCUUUUCCCUUAUCAUUUUCUUAUUGAAAUUUUUUAUCUAUCAAAUUUGGUUCUCAUUCUUUUGAUUGUUACUUAUUUUAUUUGAAAUAAUUUAUGAAAUGUUAAUUAUUAUUAUUAUUUUAAUUUCUUCAUCUUUCAUUUUUAUUUUAUUUUUUAGAUUUGAUUUUUAUUAUUUUGAUUAUUAUUAUUUAUUUGAGAUAAUUUAUGAAAUUAUAUUUUUUUUCAAUUUCAUUCUCAUUCAACUUUUUAAUUUGUAAGAUUUGUUCAUCAUUAUUUUAAUAAACUUGAGAAAAUAAAAUAUUAAUAAGUUAUUUUCCAGUUCAUUUUCCAUGACAUAACCAAACACUGAAAAAUAUUUUCCAACUUAUUUUUCAUUACACUACCAAACAUCGAAAAAUAAUUCACUUUCCUGGAAUUCACUUUAAAAAAAAAACUACUUUCCAGCAAGCAAACGGGCCAGUUUCAACACUUCUCUAUUGAAACGUUCAACAAUAAGGCUAAGCUAUGAGGUCAACCCACUAAAAAGCACCCAUUAGCUGGACACAUUCAAGAAAAUUGCCGACAAGUUUCGAACUAACACAAUUUUGGGCCGAGAAUGCAAGAAGCAAACCACUGAUUCCCCCACCAGCAACCACAACAAAUUCAGUGCUCCCAUGCUAAGAUCCUCUGAUGUUGGAGAACUAGCGAAAUUUAAUACAAGGCUUCAACACUCCGAAGCCUGCUAGAGAAAUAUUAAAGCAAAAUAAGUAGUAGCAUUAAACAACAGCCAUUUCAUCAGUUUUAAUUUUAGUAUAACACAAUAAUAUGAACCAACCUUGAUUCUCAAAGGCACCCAACUAAUUCAUAGCCUUCAAAUCAAGACUUUGCAAUUCUUUAAAAGGCAGAAACAAAGAUGCGUUGAGAACCCACUCCCCUAACCCCCAAUCCCCAGCACCCCCAAGAGAGAGUUGGAUCACUCGCCUUUCGGUGGUAUCGCACACGAUCCUAGACCACUCACAACAAUUAUUGCCCAGGUAUUUCAACAGUUAUGGCUUGUGUGGGUUUUGGUUCACGAUGGAGAUGAUGGAUACAAUAAUGUAUUUCGACAACAAAACUUUCAAUGCUUGUGAAUGGCUCUCCAACUAAAGAGUUCUUUAUCGAAAAGGGAUUGCGACAAGGGGACUCUUUAUCAACAUCUCUUUUCAAUAUAGCAACUGAGGGUCUUAGUAGAAUGCUAAGAAGAGAUGUGGUUUGGGACUUAUAAAAGGUAUUUGUUUUGGUCACUUUCAAGUUUGUAGAUGAUACACUCAUCUUCAGUUCAUAUGAUUUUCCAUCUCUUCAAAACAUCAAAAUAACCAUGUGAUGUUUUGAGUUGAUUUCUAGGCUGAAGGUUAAUUUCCACAAGAGCUCAAUCACGAGAACUAUUGUUAUUUCUUCAACUGCUAGCAAUCUAAUAUGUAGUAUGGAGGGGAUGCCAUUUAAGUAUUUGGGCCUGCCUAUUUGUGCAUCUUCAUCUCAUGUGGAAAACUAUUGUUAAUAGAAUCAAUAGCAAGUUGGCACUUACCUAUUGGUGAGAGAGUGUGCUUGCUUAAAUCAAUUAUAAAUAAUCUUCCUAUCUACAACCUUUCUUUAUUUCCUAUCACAUCCAUUGUUGCUACCAAAAUUGAGAAACAUAUCAUAUCUUUCUUUGGUUCUUAGGAGGAAGGAGGGAAAAAACUAUGCAAUGUUAAAUGGGCAUCGGUGGUUCCUCCAAAAAAAAACAAAAAGGGCUGGGUAUAGACUACAUUAUUGAUAAAAAUCAUGGGUUACUAACACUUCCAUAGCAAAGAGAUAUGUAUUUUCCCUAUUAAUUUCUCAAGUUACCAUAAUGAGAGUGUGAUGUGACUCCAAUAAAUGUAGGAUAUGUUAAUUAGGUAUACAAUGUCUAUGUGAUAUGGACAUAAUCAUUUUUGGUAUGUCAAAUUCUUACUAUUUCACUCUUAAGAGUAGAAAGAUCUAGUUAGUUGGACUGCAUUCCGAUCUGCAAUCUUCCUAUAUAUCCCAAUUGUUGUAUUUGCUUUAGUGGCUAAGCAAGUUUUAGAGAAACCACUUGAAGAAGUAAGUGCGGUUUUGAAAGAGUUUCAAGAUGUUUGUAAUAGAUUUGAUCCCUAGUGUUAUAUUGACCUCUUGGUUUCAAGCAAGAAACACACUUCAAUAUCAUUAUGCGUAAUUGUAUUCCUAAUAGAGUUAUGAUGUAAGUUAUGAUGUAACGAAGACUCCCUUUUCUCAUUCUAGAAUCCGGUGAUUCCACCUCACGUUCAUCCUCCACCCGCUGAAGACUUAUACCAUUGAAAGAGAAAAGCUCCAGCUUUGGGUGUAAACUGGAUUGAUUGCAUCCCAUCUGAAUCACGUGGGCUUAAUUAAUGGAAGGAACGAACAAUUGUCGGUUUUAAAAGUUUGGUUUGUAACAAUCAUUGUAAUUUCAAAUCUCCAUACUCCUUCCAUUUAAGCAAGUAAUAAUAACAGAGAAUAUGUAUAAAUCUCAGUGUUGUUUUACAUUUUAUAUAAGAUAUUACAGUUUCAUUCAAAAAAUGAGAAAUAACAUUAAAAAUCCUCAAAUUCUACCACCUUCAAUUCUCAUUCAUCAACAACAGCAUACAUUCAAACAAGUGAUCAAUAGUGAUCAAGUGAUGAGGACUAGAGUAAGAUUCGCACCAUUGUAAGCUUGACAAGCUUCGCCUACUCUAACUGUAACGAAAGAUUCAGUGCCUAAUCUCUGGACGGAGAAGGGGACGCCCUUGUUAUGUACACGGUUGCUCUAAAUGGUUCGAUGAUGCUCAUUUUAAACAUAUCAUGUCAGGUUGUCAAUUUCGUUCUGGUUAGUGUAACGGACCCGACUGUACGACUUGAUCAAUGUUAAAAGAUCCCAAUAUAUUCUCUUAGCCUGAGGAUAAUUUUUUUUUUAAUCUAUCAAAAAUUCAGCAGAGUUUUGUUUGUAUUUAGGACAUCCCAAGUUAUCGACCACUAUCAAUUUACUCAAUCAACCCAUCAUCACAAGGUCCCAUAAAUCCGGACCUUAGAUUAAUCAUCAUAAUUCAACACCUUACCCAAUCCACACAAUAUAUAUCCUACGAGUAAGUUCAAUAUCAACAUAACCCACAUAUCAUAUUAUAAAAUUUAAAAGAAAAGGAAAUACUAACAUGCAAAGAAAGCAUUACAACAUAAUAAGUGUUCUUAACCAUAUCAAAAGGGUUAAUUACAAGAUAACUAAAAUACUACAUGCUAAGCUGAACUUUUAUAAAUACAUCAAGGUUUACACAAAAGUAUACUACAUAAACACGUUAUUUCUCUUUUGUUUAAGUUAAAUAUUUACAUAAGCUUGACAAAGUAGAGUCCUAAAUUAGUGAUCUCUCUGGAUAUUUGAUGGACCUGUUAUAUAAAUAAACAUGUCAUUAUGUUGAUAAAAGAAAUAUAUAUAAGCUCAUGUAAUGUAUCCGAAUGAAGUAUUAAUUUCUAUUGGAUCCAUAAGGAUUCUAACAGACAUCUUAUAUUUUGCUUGUAAAUCUUUUAAACCCAAUUUACACUCAUUUGCAUAUUCUUAAUUUGAAUACUCUUAUUUAUUUGCAUGAACCGGGUGACCUUGCAAAGUCUAUUCUUGUAAUCCAUUUCCCAGCAAUCAUAUCACGAAUACCAUUAGCCGAAGCAAAUCUUGUAAUUCAUCUCCCGGCAAUCAUAUCACGGAUGACAUUAGCCGAAGCUAAUCUUGAGAUUCAUCUCCCUGCACUCCUAUCACGGAUGCCAUUAGCCGAAGCUAAUCUUGCAAUCACGGAUGUCAUUAGCCGAAGCUAAUCUUGUAAUUCAUUUCUCAGCACUCCAAUCACGGAUGCCAUUAGCCGAAGUUAAUCUUGUAAUUCAUUUCCCGGCACUCCUAUCACGGAUGCCAUUAGUUGAAGCUAAUCUUAUAAAUACACUAGACUUUAUUUACAUUGAACACGAUAUUUAUUAUAAUUGCAUUCACUAGAGGAAUUUUAAAUUGUAUAAGUACAAAUAGGAGGGAAAAAUCACGCACCUGCUUCGCCUGUUUCGUGACCUCCUCUAACAGAAGAUCCAAUCCUGGUUGCUCCUCCUGAAUCACAAGGAAGUUUUUGGUUAUGAUUCCUUCAAGCUGAUAUUAUAGAGGCUCCAUAUUCAUUCAUUACUCAUAUGUUACUUUCUAUGCAUGUUCAUUUCCUUAUAAUAACAAACAUACAUAAAUCAAGUAUAUUUUCAAAGUUAGUAUCUCAAUGUGCAAGUGUUCGUAUGACUCAAUUCUUUUAUAUUCUUACAUAUAAUAUUCACGUGAAAGUCUACUAUUACUAUCUAACUUUGAACUGUUACUGUCCAACGGUUGCUGUCCAACAGUUGCUGUUUGAACAGUUGCUGUUUGAACUCUUAUCAGAUUUUUAACUAUAUCUAGAGUUCUAGAACUCCAUUUUAAGUGAGAUUGAUCUUGUUGGAAAGCUAAGACACGAGGCUACAAGUUCUCUAAAGGAAGGAGAACCCAGUUCUGCCUCCAGGAUAGUCAAAAUUGCUCAUCAACCCAUCAAUCCUACUGCUCUACAAAAUCAGUCACGACUCAGUCUUGGUUGGUAACCCAUAACUGGAGUUAUACAUCUCCAAAUUGAGCAAGAUUAAUUUCCUUGGUUAGCUAACAUCCAAAUCUACAAUUUCUAUAAAGGAAUCUGAUCCUAAUUCCCUCAUCCUCCUACCCGAAAUCUCACCAAAAGUUAGGAGACAAGUUUGUCCAGAUUCGUUUGCCCCUCCCCUUCACACAAUACUUUCAUAAACUACACACCACACACAUGAAUUAACUUAAUCUUAAUAAUAAGUACUUUUUCUCCAAUUCAUGUCUAAGAACCCUAACCUAUGAUUCAAUAUCAAGGCAUCAAUUCAUUAUCGAUUUGAAAUGAAUUUUUUUAAUAUCAUGUUUAGAACACCUUACCCAGUACAAAUUAAGAUUUUGAUCUCCAACCAGUUGAAGAUUUUCAACUCCCUCCUUUCUUUUCUUCUUGUUUAAUUUCUUGGUAAUCCCUUGCUCUCAAGUGUUUAUCCCAUCUAUAAACCCUUAAUCUUGGAUGGGUUCUCGAAAUUUUAGUGUUUCUCUCUUGAUUUCGCAAGAAUGGGUAUAAAACUCCUUAUUUUCUCUCAUUAUCGUUCCUGCAGAUUUUUGGUGAGGAGAGAGUAUUUAUACUCUAUAGUUUCCCUUAUUUGUAUUUAGGCCCCAUUUCCUUUAAAUUUCUGAAUUCUUGUCUUUUAUUUAACCAUACGCAUGAAUUUCUUGACUUUUAUUUCUCAUAUAGUUAGUUUUCAAUUUAAGCAACCUUUAUUUUUUUAUUUUUUUUCUGAGGUUUACAGUUAGUGUUUCAUUAUUUAAUUGAAAUGGUAUGUUUUGGUUUCGGAGCAUUUCGGCGUGCUAUUUCAGGAUUAUACUGUUCAUACUAUUCAUAUAUAUAUAUAUAUAUAUACAUACUCAAUAAACAUAAUUUUGAUUCAAAUUUAAAGAUAAACUAACUUGAAAUUAUGCAAUUAAAAUUUCAAACACAAGUAAAAAAAGUGAGAGUUGAACCAAUAUGACCCGAUCGACUAGAUAGGCCCAAAGACUACCUGAAUGACUGGUAAGAAUAGAGUUUGACUCAAAAAAAUUUAAGAUGACAUAGUUUUUUAAAAAAUAUUGAGAUGACAACAUAUUAGAUCGACCGGGUUCAACUCAGGUUAACCUUUUAAAUCCGUAAUCCAGGUCAUGAGACUAUAAUAACUCUAAAUAAAACAAAUCAAAACAAAUUAUAAAGCUCAAUUCUUAAUAAACCUAUUAUUUAAUAGUUAAAUUGAAAAAAAAUAAUCUAAAAAAAGGACACAAAAAAAAUGACAUUUCAAAACAAAAUUAUGAAAAUGUCACUAGCAGUCUCGCAAGGCCUUUCUAAACUCCAAUUGCUCUAUAAUUUUAACCUGAGAUAUAACAAUAUGUUAGGAAAAUCUUCAUAAGAUUUCAGUCUGAUCCACCAAUCGAAUUGAAAGAUAUGAUUGAUAUCGUAAAACUAGCUAAUAUUGUUUUAGAAAAAAAAAACAUUAUUUGGCCGGAAUGGAACCGGAACAUUCGAGCCAGAAUUUUGGCGGAAUUUAUGGAACGGGCUAAGACUCUGAGCAAGAUGAAAUUUGUUUCAGUUUGUUUUAUUUUUUAAAUUGGAAAGAGAUAUACCAGUCAUUUUGAAUGGAACAUAACAAAAUUGACAACCUUGUAUCAUGGUUGAUUAGAGUUUUUUUUUUUUUGUCUUUUUUUUCAAAAAUUUUUCCAACAUUGAGUUGAUUGGUAAUCGAGCUUCAUAAUUUAUAUGUUAACAUGCCAAAUUCAUGACCUGAGUCAUGAGACUAUAAUAACCUCAUAAAAGUAUAUUGAACAAAUUACAAAGCAUAAUUCUCAACCACCAGUGUUUAAAAAUGAAAUUGAAAAAAUAACAUAAAAAAUGACUCAAGUCAACUCAAGAACCUGCCAAAUCCGUGAUCCAGGUCACAAGACCUAGAUAACCUCAUAGAAAGCAAACUGAAAAAAUAAUUCGGGUCAACCUAGGUUACCCUGCCAAACACGCAACUCAGGUCAUAAAACUAGGAUAAUGCUAUAUAAAGCAAAUAGCAACAAAUUUUAAAGCAUAAAUCUCAAUCAACUUAUUUUAAAGCAUAAAUCCCAAUCAACUUAUUACAAUUCACUCGCAUUGUUCACUUUAGUGAACAGUGCUACAGUGGAGCCAUGCUCCACUGUUGAGGUUUCUCCCAGACGAGAAGCAAUAAAACGUUUAAGGAAAUAAAUGUUGCUUCUCCAAAACCUGCGGUGCCAUAUGGGUCCUACGUGCUGAAAGCACUUUUAUUUUCUUAACCAAACGUUUAUUAGCGUGGCUGCGGGUGAACCUCACCCGCAACCACGUUACCAAACGAGCACUUAGUCUCAAAGAAGAAACAAUUACUUGGUUCUAUAUCCUUAGCACGUCAAACAUGAGGGUAUGAACAGUAACCAUUGUGUCCACUAUAAAAUAUAAGGGGGUGAACAGUGCGGCUACAAAGUAUUCACCCCACACACUUUAUAUUAUAAGUAACUAGUUUUUGUAUUGGCACUCCGCGGCGGGGUGGUUAUUUUUUUAAGUAAAAAAAUAAUAAUAAGCAGGCUCUUACAAUGCACUUUUUAAUAUAAUUUUUUUUCAAUCACAAAUCAAAAUGCCUAUACAUAUAUUUAGUAAUUAGAUCGAUAUUUGAUAAAUAGGUAACUAAGAUUAAGAUAUUUGAUAUCACGACAUGAAUCAUGUGCUUAGUUGUGUUUAACAAUUAUGUUUCCUAGAGUUUUUUUUUAUGAACCAACCAUAUAUUCCGAUAAAAGGUAACAAAAAAUUCAUACCAAUAUUGAAUGAAGAAACUAAAAAAAAAAACCAAUAAAAAAAAGACUGUAUAAAUACACUAAUUUAUUGACCAUAUUGACAAAACAAGUCAAAACUGUAUAAAUACACUAAUUUAUUGACCAUAAGUAAAUGAUUGAGAUAAUAAUACGAAAAGAAAAACUUUUUACCGGACAAUGAUCAAUCCUGGUGAUGUCCAAAGUGUAAAUCAAACAUUUUAUAUCUUGCCAUGAGAAACAAAUAUAUCACAACUUGUUUUUAUUGUAUUCUAUUAUGACUUGUUUUGUGCCUUACAUUAUUUAAUAUAUUAAAAUAAAUUUAAUAAAUUAUACUGAAGCAAGAUCUAAUAUUAGAAAGUUAACGGAAAUAAUAAAUAUAUUUUUAAAUAUAUUUACAGUUCGGUCCCUUAAUUAACUUUUUGUUUGUAAAAUGUGGAGCUGUCAGCAAUAUUUCCUUAGUUUGUGUCGCUAACUGUGAUUAAAGGAUCAAUUAAUUAUUUAUUUAAAUCAACCAGAGGGAUUAAUCUGUUUGUUUAACAAAAAUACAGACACUAAUUAAAUAGAAUUUAACUCAAAUUUUAAUAAUCAAUAUUUUUAGAUGGAAUCUUGGUAGAAAAUUUAAUCAUCAUAUCCUGGGUAUUUUGGAAACAAAAUUGGAAACUUUGAAUGAUUUCACUAUUACUGCUAUAUGGGGUCGUCAUCCUAGGGCUUGGUAUGCAGUUCCCUCAUUAGGCCUUUCGGGGGGAUAUUAUGUAUAUGGAAUCCGAAUCUUUUUUGUGUCUCUAGCUGUUCUGUUGCUAUGAAUGGCUGUAUUUUGCAUAUUGAAGGCACCUUCACUCGGUCCAAUCUAGAUUGCCUAGUCUCUUUUGUAUAUGCUCCGAAUGUUGGGAACCUGAAGAAUGAGCUGUGGACUUAUCUUGUUACAUUCAGGGAUAGUGUUAGCAUGUCGUGGUGUCUUGCAGGUGAUUUUAAUGAAACCUUAUUCCCAUCAGAUAGGAAAGGCGGCUCACAAAUAACAUCUUCCAUGACAAGAUUUCAAAAUUGCAUUGAUGGUUGUAAUCUUAUGGAGCUCCCCUUAAAUGGGAGAAAAUUUACAUGGUCUCGAGGUAAUGCGGCGAGCCGUAUUGAUAGAAUAUUUUUAUUGGGGGAUUGGUUGCAGGCUUUCCCGUCCUCUACUUUAUUCGGUCUCUCAAAAUAUUCAUCUGAUCAUAGGCCUCUGCAUCUGUUGCUAGACUCUACAAAUUGGGGCCCGAAACCUUUUCGCUUCAUGAAUUGCUGGUGGCUUGCGUCUGAUUUCAGGAUUAUGAUUCAGAGCUUUUGGAGAUCACUCACGGUUUCAAAAUCUGGCAUAAGGAAAAUGGUCCCAGCUCUAAAGAUGUUGAAAGAGAGAUGUCGGCAGUGGAGUAAAGCUACUGUGGGAAACAUGAAUAACAGAAUUGAAGAACUGGAACUUGAAGCUGACUCAAUGGAUCAUCAAAAUGAGUGCAGGGUUUUGACUGCUGAUGAACUGAUUAGAAGUAAUUCCAUUGCCUCCCGGCUCAAAAUCCUGUAUAGAGCUCAAGAGUCUGCCUAGCAUUAGAAGUCAAGAAUUCAGUGGUGUAAGCUUGGAGAUAAAAAUACCCGAUUCUUUCAUUUAGCUGCAACAACAAGACAGAAAAAGAAUCAGCUUGCAUGCCUAGAGGUUGAUGGACAGAUCCUAUCUAAACCAAGCGAUGUGAAUCUAGCUGUCUUUCACUUUUUCCGCAACCUAUACUCCCAUCAGAACAGACCUAGAGCUUCAUGUUCAAACCUGGAAUUCUCAAGGCUGAAGCAUUCAUCCUCGGCUGCUCUUGAAUUGCCAUUUUCUGCAGAAGAGAUUACAGCAGCUGUGUGGGAUUGUGAUGGAAAUAAAGCUCCAGGUCCUGAUGGUAUUAACUUCCUUUUCAUCAAGAAAGCAUGGAACAUUAUAGGUGAGGACAUUAUCCAGAUGGUUGAUGAAUUCUAUCGGACUAAUCUCCUUCCUGCAGGUAUCAAUAGCACCUUUGUUACUCUUAUUCCGAAGAUUAAAGGUGCUAACAAGCUAUCAGAUUUCAGACCUAUUAGUUUGGUGGGCAGCCUAUACAAGAUCUUCUCAAAGAUUCUAGCAACUAGGUUGAAACAUGUUAUGCCAGAGGUCAUCUCUCAUCAUCAAAAUGCUUUCAUCAAAGGGAGGCAAAUUUUAGACAGCGUCUUGAUUGCAAAUGAGGUUCUUUCUUUCAUCAAGAAGAAAAAGGGUAAAGCUUAUCUUUUCAAAUUAGAUUUUCAUAAAGCCUUUGAUUCGGUGUUAUGGGAAUAUAUUAAUGAAAUCAUGGCUAGUAUGGGCUUUGACCUGGUUUAUGCAAUGCAUAUCAACGGCAAAAAUGUCUGUGCUUGUUAAUGGGUCUCCCACGGAGGAAUUCUGCUUAGCAAAAGGCCUACGCCAAGGAGACCCUCUCUCUCCGUUUCUCUUCAACAUUGCAGUCCAGGGCUUGAGUUGUAUGUUGCAGCGUGGCUGUGAUUUGGGUUUGACUUCGGGUAUAAACAUCGGCAAUACAGGGCUUGUCAUAUCUCACUUACAGUUUGCGGACGACACCCUUAUGUUCAGUUCAGACUCUUUACAUAGCAUGCAGAACAUUAAACGUAUCCUAUUAUGCUUUGAACUUGUCUCGGGGCUGAAGGUCAAUUUUUAUAAAAGCAGCAUUGUGGGUGUGGGUGUAGCAGCUCAUACAUGUAACUUCACGGCUCAGCUUCUCAGAUGCAAGCAGGAUCAGCUGCCUCUCAUGUAUCUUGGGCUCCCCAUUGGUGGAAACUUGGGCAGAGCUACAAUGUGGAAUCCUAUUUUGCGCAAUAUCAGUUGCCGAUUGGCUUCGUGGAAAGGCAGGUUCUUAUAUAUUGGGGGCUGUUUGUGCUUGAUUAAAUCUGUGCUCAGUAAUCUCCCCAUCUACUACCUAUCUAUGUUCCCCAUGCCUGUUACGGUAGCCUCCAAAAUUGAUCAGAAACUUCGAUCCUUCCUCUGGUCAGGAAAUGAGGAAAGGCACAAAAUAUGCAAUGUCAGCUGGGCCACUGUUACUCUUCCAAAACAUGCGGGGGGUCUUGGGAUUGGUUCCUUAAGGGACAAAAACACAGCUCUGCUAUUUAAAUGGUUAUGGAGGUUUGGGUUAGAGGAAUCAAGUAUGUGGAAGGAUGUGAUCAAAAGCAUCCACAACACCAAUUGCUCUAAACUGCUGCUGCAAGCUCCUAUUCCAGGAGCUGCAACUACAUGGUCCCGGAUUGUUAAUCAUUGUGUGAGAAAUAAUAAGCUGCAGGAUAUUGUGAAUGAGCAAUCUCUGGUUCUUAUCGGAAAUGGCAAGAAGACUAUGUUUUGGCUUGAUUGCUGGCUUAAUAACCACUGUUUAGCAGAGCACUUCCCUACUCUUUUCCAAUUAUCCAAUGACAAAGCUGCCAGCAUUGCUAAGAUGGGAAUAUGGGAAGGGUAUAAGUGGAUUUGGGUUUUUUCCUGGAUACGUCCACUACGGGGGCGAAACAUUGGCUUGCUCGAUCAACUAUAUGCAAUCCUAUCGACAGUAUUGGUAAGCCAUGGCCAUCUUCUUGGUAUGUUCUCUGUUCCAGUUGGUAUUUUAGACUCUAAUAUUGCUGAGUUAAGGGCUAUUGUCAAAGCCAUUGAACUAUCAGCAUCUAAUUGUCUCCUCCACCAUCAACACCUCAUCAUAGAAUCUGACUCUGUCAAUGUUAUUAGCUAGAUGAAUAAGCCUCACAGCCGUCCCUGGAAGCAUCAUAAUUUGUUCUCCUUUGUUAAUAGACUGAAACCAUAUUUUGGUUCAAUCACCUUCUCCCAUAUCUUUCAUGAAAGUAAUUGCAUGACAGAUUGCAUGGCUAAACAAGGAGUGCGGAGAUCAAGUGAAUUUGUUGCCUGGCUUUGACUCCACCAUUUUUCUGUGGCCUUGCUCUUGUGUCUUCUGCCAUUAUGUCUUUGAGUUAUUUCUGUUAUGUUUUGUAGAGGAAUGUUUAGCUUUGAGCUCAUUCGGAUGGAUAUUCUAUGGUUUUCUUUGCUUUUGUUUAUCUUAGUCUGCGCUUUAUCCUAUAUAUGGCUUUUUGCCAUAGUAAGAUAAUGUGUAGCUUCUGUACUACUCCCGCCAGACUUUGGCGUUUAAUAAUAUACGCAUCUUUCAAAAAAAAUCCAUGUGAAUCGCACGACUUGUCCAUAUCUUUCUUAUUGAUUACAAAUAGCAUUGAGAAUUAAAGAAUAUUAUCUUAAUAAGUUCCAAUUUAUUCUACAAAAACUAUAUAUAAAGAUGUAUACAAAUUAGUUAUUUAUUGUUUGUAAGUAUUAUUGUAUUGCAAAGACAAAAAUAAGAUGCAACUUAUGGCGUGGUCGUCCAACCUGGUUCAGGUUUUGAUCCUGUUAAAAAUCUAUUUUGUUGAAUUGUUAUCUACUUGUGAGUUAUUGGGUUAACUAGAUCAAUUUUUUAAACAAAACAAUAUCAUUUAAAAAAAAAAAAUUGGUUCUGACUUAGAAAUAUAAUAUUAGAAACUUAAAUCUUAUUAUUAUAAAAGACUCAAUGGUAAAUUUAGUUUUGAAAUAGAUUUUUGUAAAAUCAAAUAUCAACUAAGCACCUGGAAAUUUAUUUGAAAUUACAAUAACCUUGUAGAAAACAAACAUAAAUAGAAUUAUUAAAUUCAAUGGAGUCCAUGACCUGAAUUACGGGUUCAACGGGUUAAGCCACGAAGCUCUGAUCGAUUUAAAAUAUUGUCGUCUUAAUAUAAAAAAAAAAUACAUCUUAAAAAAAAUAAAUUAAGCUAGACUACGUUUUUACCUAUUAUCUGGGUUGUUUUUAGGUUCAUCAUUUCGACUGAGUUAUAUUAGGACAACUACUACAUAAUUUAAUUUAAAAUUAAAGCUAAACAAGAAAUUAGGUAAAGAGAUUUUAAGAUUGAUUUGUUGGAUUGGAUUUAAUAACAAUACAAAAAAUCUAAAUAUUUCUUUUUUAUUAAAAAAAAAUUCAAUCCAACUCUCAUCGUAACGCAGUAUAGUAAGAUAAAUAGAUAUAAAUAUUUUGAUGGAUACUCGGGAUAAAAGAUUGUUUGAGGACAUUUUGCUAAUUUCUUUUGUUAUCUAAUCAAUCAAGCUCAUAGUGAAUAAGUAUAUUAAUAUAUACAAUUAAAUUAAAUAACAUAUAAGAGAAAAAUGGUCGCAAGCUAAAGCUAAAGUGAUGCGACGUUGAGCCACUAGUCGAUAGUUGUAACGUCAGUUUGUUGGUUCGUCGUUCGUUUCUCGGGCGAGUUUGGUUGUGCUAAACACAAUGAACCAAUAGAGUGCUUUGCUUUCUUACUUGGAGAUUCUGGAGCCUUGGAUUUUUUGAUAUUUAGGUUAUCUGUUUCUAGAAAAGAAAGAAAGAAAUAUUUAUAUUAUCAAUGCAAUGCAAUGAAACGACUAAAUAACAUUUAAUUAUUAUCAUAGCUUUGUCCUCGUACCUAAGGAAGUAUACUACGUCUUUUUCUCCAUUGUUUGAGUUUGAAAUUAUAUCUGUGAACCCAUUAAUUUAUCUAGAAAAAACAUUUAUUGGGUAAUUGGAUCAAUCAUUGAGGUCGUCAUAUCAUAUAUAAACCAAUUAUUUUAAUUAAAACAAUAUCAUUUUAUUUAAAAUUAAAUUUAUAAUACUAACUGAAUCCCUAAAAACACAAUUAGACCAAUCAAGUUUUAGCAAGUUAAUUUUUUUUUUUAAUUUUUUCAUAUUUAACUUGAAAUUCAAUCCAAAUUAAAUUAUAAAUUAUGGGUUUCUUAAAUUAACACAUGUUGGGUCAGGUCUACCAAUUAUGAUUGGAAUCCAGGGUUAAUAUCUAGAAGAAUUUAUUAAAUUUCUGUAUAAUUAGUCAAUCGAUGAGGGAAUUUAGUUUUGAUUGAUGGAGAAAUUAAUUUAAAGAUACCAUGCAAGAUAUAUAUAUAUAUAUAAACAUUUAAAGGGAAACGGACCCACCAUCAAUUAUUGUUAUUCGUUUAAUUAUAAAUAGAAUGAAGAGAAUGAUGCUCGCUGCACUUUUAUCAGCGACUGAUAAACCCCAGAAGGAGAACACUCUACAGAAUUAUUCCAUACUUUUUCGUAAAUUAUAAAUUAAAAAGAAAUUGGUUAUAACAUGGUUAACGAACACAGCACAAAAAUAAACAGGUGUAUUUCUUACAUAAAUUCUUAUUGUUUUGUUUUUCCAUUGGUUUCAUGAAAUUCUCUCAACAAUUGAACAAAAAACACUACAUCAUAGCUCACAAACAUACAUUUUAUAAGUCAAUUAAACCUCUUGUUUUUCUUAUGUGUCUUUUUAUUGUAAUCUCUGCAAGGUGACACCUGACAGAGCAAUCUGUUGAUAGGUCCAAUUCUGCUUUAUGUUGUGUUUCUUGCUGAGCAAAUAAAGGUCAUGGGUUUUCUUUCUUUCUUUUUCCCUUAUAAAAAUGGUCAUGCGGCCACAGACAGUUGCGAAAAAAAAGAAGCACUUAAUUAUCACUUAUUUGGUAAGUAGCGUACUUAUCAGAUGACCCUCAACCAUCAGUACCCAUUAUAAAUUAAUGUCGACAAGAGUAAAAUUAGGAGUUACCGUGACUUUCCAACAUCUAUCAUUAUAAAUUAAGUAUCAACAACGAUUAAGACUAAUUGUUUUACCAAGAUUCUCAACCAUUGUAAAAAUAGAUUUGAAAAAAAAAUCAUAGCAAAAAUUCAAAAAAAUAAAAAUUGCAUUGCUUUCCAUAUAUAUUUUAGUUUUUCUUAUAAUAAUAAUAAUAAUUAUAGUCUCUCGUGUCUCACAACUGUAUGUGUUUUUUCUUGAAUAAGCGCUAAUGUUCUUUGAGGGGUCCAAGCACCAUAUACUGAAAGAAAGAACUAGUUCAAAUUGAAGCACCAUGAGUUUCUCUACGGCUUGGUUCACCACCUGCUGGUGCGGCAAGUUAUGAACUAGCUGGCUAGUUUUUUGCUUCCUUGGUUUUAGAAGCACCAUGUGUUCAAAGAAUAGUCAACAAAGAAAAAGAAAAAGAAAAAGAGAAGGGCAAAAGGUUAAUUAAAAUCAGCAGGACUGCCAUGAGGCAACCUCAAGUAGUGAACUUGAAGGAAUAAAAAGUGCUGGGAAGUAAUUUUUGCUGAAACUUCUUGUGUAACAUCUUCUUUUGAUGAUGACCUCUUGGAUGGCUGCAUGAAGCUUGUUCCGUUUUAAAUUUCAAGGUUAAUCUAUUUCUAUGAGCAUUGGUGUUUCAAUUUCAACCUUAAGUUGCAACUGAACUUAAAUGAAUAGUGUUGGAUUUGGGCCUUCUAUUUGCUUUAACUUCUACAGGAUUGAAAUGAUAGUGAUCUUAAAGUACAAAAGCAGCAGACAAAAAUCAAUUAGCCACAAUAUAUAGUGUAUGGUUUCCUAGUUUCUCAGUAUAAAGUUGAAUGUUUUGGUGAUAUCUCUACAUCCAAAAUCAUAUAGACAGCUACUGCUGGCACUUGCAGUGGUCAAUGAAUACUAUAGAGUACAUAUUGCAGUUUGAGAUAAGGUUAACUCGUUGCAUUUUCAUAUAUUGAAAGGAUUUCUCUUCUUUUCUUUGUCAGUUACAGAACAUGCAUAGAAGUGUUCUUAUUCAGAGUAAAUGCUAUUGUAAUGUUUUCACGGACUCCCUUGCUUUGCAACUAAGUCACUAAUUAUCUUGGAACAUAGCCAUAAAUAAAAGGUUCUUCCAGUUCAAGAAAAUUAACCAUGAAGCUAGUAGCUAGAAUUUUUAGACAGAAUGGUGGCCAAGUAAACUCCUAUACUCUGUACCUCUGGAAUAAUGCAGGGAAAGGAUGUCUAUGUAUUUUGAUGUCUUAUAUUACUUGACCAACUCUUGCUUAUCUCAUUAUUUGUUUUUACUUUUUGCUAAUGAUUCCACACAUUUUUGAUAUUGGUGUGGUUUAUGACUUCAGGGUUCUUACUCGCUACUGCAACUUCUCUAUACUUGCUUGGUCAUUAAAUAUGAAACGUGAUGAUUUGCAUAUGCAGAAUGGAGACAUUAAAGAGGCAUCUUCUGUUUUCUAGUUAGGAGGGAUUACCAGAACUCAAGAAAUUUGUCGUACAUUUUGAGGAAAAGAUUUAUACCACCGCUACCAAUCAGGUAUUUGCCUAAUGCGAGGUUCAAUAAUUACGAUAUUAUCUAGACAUGAAUAUACACACGCAUUUAUGCUUGUACAAAUGUGUGUGUAGUGUGCCUACAUUUCCACACCUUUCAUUCUGUAUGCAAGGCUGAUUAAGAGUUCGCAUCUUUUUGUUAAUUCUCUUGACAAGUGUUUUAUUUAGAGUGACCAAGUUCAAGUACAUGGGAAGUGUGCAAAAAGCAAAUAGCGAAUCAAUACAUAAAUAAGUAAAUAAAAAGAGAGGAAACAGAAGUCUAUCCUCACAAAAGAUGAAAUGAUAGAGCAUAUAUCCAUUUUCCUCCUCUUGUAACAUGGAUUGCUCUGAGAUCUAAUGUUUUGUUAUUAAUAUCUUAUUUUAGUCUGAUUAUCUGCAUAAAAUAUCUCUGGUGAUGCUUUUGAUGAAGAUCAGGUCUCAAAAUGCCAUGCCCACUGCCCCCAUGGAUCCAGCAGGUAAUAAUGCAUUCGAGCAUCGAAUUUCUAAACAUCUUACCUUUUGUUUUUCUUCUCGCAUUGUUAUCAAACUUUUUUACAUUUUAUUGUUCCAUAUUGCUAUGUAUAUCGCCUUGCUGGCAAAAUGUCAUGAUCACCUCCACAAUACUAAUUCUGUAAUGCGUGUGAAGUGUUUCAUCCUUAACUUGUUAAUGAACGAGGACUAUGAUGCAUGGCUAUUUUAUAUUUUAUGAUUGAGAUGGUAGAUUUUAAAGAUUUUCCUUUUUAGGAGAUAAGACGUCACUUUCUUGCUUUUCUUCCGAGAGUAUUCGAUCCUUUUUUCGUACAAAAUAAUGAUGCCAUGCAUUGAAUUCCCAAACAUAUUACCUUAUGUUUUGUUUGGUCGCAUUGUUAUCAAACUCUUUUACAUUUUAUUGCGGCAUAUUGCUAUGUGUAUGGCAUGCUUUAAUCAAAAAUUUGAUUAAUUGAUGAAUGUUAGGCAAGAAAAUUACAGAAUAUUUUUGUUUUUUGCCUCCUCCUUUUCUUUCCCCCACUCCGAAAAUUGUCAUAUUAUUUUUGUUUUCAACCGCCUCUUCUUCCCCCAACCCUGAAAAUUGUUUAUAUUUGCUUUGGAAGCAUGGCAAACUUCACUGCCUCUCAGCUUAAGGAGAUUGCAGCAGGUCUCGAAGCUUCUGGGCAUCAAUUUAUCCGGGUAGUUAGAAGAAACAAAAAGAGUCAAGAAGACAAGGAAGAUUGUUUACCCGAAGGAUUUGAGGAAAGAAUGGAAGGCAAAAGGAUGGAUACUCCAAGUUUUGAUUCUUGAUUAUAAAGCAAUAGGUGCAUUUGUGACUCAUUGAGGAUGGAACUCAACUCUUGAAGGCAUAAGGCCAAUAUUUGCUGAGCAAUUCUAUAAUGAAAAGUUGGUGACUGAUGUUUUAAAAGUUGGUGCUGUCGUUGAAUAUAUUAUAGCUGUCAAGGUUCUUGAGUUUUCCCAAAUGUGAUGAUAUGAUCUCAAAACCUGCAAGAGAGUUGUUUGUAAGAGUAAGUCAUGAUGAGCUCACGAUAUGCAAAACAGAUAGAAACAAAAGAUAAUUAGAAUUGAUGAGAUGCUGUUGUUCAAUUGAUGUAUGAUUCUCAAAUUAUACAUACAUAUAUAUAUAUAUAUAUAUAUAUAUAUAUAUAUAUAUAUAUAUAUAUAUAUAUAUAUAUAAUUGAUAUUUAUAAAAGCAUUAACUGUAGCUGAUAUAGUUUUAGAGGAAUAUUUGGUACUUUGUUUCCCAAAAAAAAAAAUAGAUUUUUCUGCGAAGUAGGAAAAAAAAAAAAAAAAACUGUUCAAAACUUAUUCAAGAAAUUAUACAGUUAGCGAGUCACAGAUGAUGAAUCUUAAAAAAAAUUGGCAAUAAUAACAGUACUCUAUUACUAUUAAUUAACUUAAAUAUUCAAAACUUAAAAAUAUUUUUUAAAUUUAUCCAUGCCAAUUUAUCUUAAGAGAGUCGCAAUCUGUGACUAGUUAAAUUAUAUUAUUUCUUUAAAUAAAUUUUGCAUUGUGUUAUUUUUUGUUCUAGGUGCUAUUUUGCAAAAAAAGAAAAGAAAAGAAAGAUUAACGUUUCAGUUAUUCAUUGUUCUUGGAUUUGUAGGUAUAACAACUGAAGAUAGCAAUCAAAAGCGAUGGUGACAUGGUAGAGCUUUGAGUUAUUGCUGUGUUCUAAUGAUGAAGAUGUAGGAAAACGAUCUCCCUUCUGCUGUCUGGAGCUGGGCUUCCUCUCCCUGUAAGAACAAGCAACAUCUUAUCUGCGUUGUUGUUAGUGGCCACUUCAUCGACCCAUUAGUGGGUGGAUUUUAAGCUUAAAAAGGAUUUUUUUUAAAAAAAAAAUAAAGGAAGAAAGAAAGGAGAGGGGGGGCAUCAUCACGUGAAAAGCAAGGAGGUUGCCACCCAUUAUAGAGUGUGGGGCACUCUUGCAUCUAAGAAUAUAUGAUCCUGAGGUUGUUCUGGUGAUGGGUAUUGGCCAUUACAUAAAGCUUCGACAAGCCCUUUUAGCUGCCUGUUAUUAGAAUUUGUAUAAUGAGCAUUCAAACUUAAACUUCUUUAAAUGGGAUGAAAACGAGUGAAAAUCAAGAAGUUGGAGGUGUUCAUCUCUAAUGCAUAGCUGAAGAUCCUUUGUAAGAAAAUACAGCUAAAGACAAAGUGUGUGUGUGUAACAGAGAAAUUGUCGAUAAUAGCAAUCAUGUUCUUUGUCUCUUGUGUCAUAUCUUCCAAAAAUCUUAAAGUAAUUGAUGAAAAAGUGGAUAUACCACUUUGUCUUCUUUAUAGCACUACUGGCCAAUAUGAGUUAAAAGCAUUAAAAGGUCGUGAACGCGGAUGCUUGACGAGCGAGUGUUUACUUGUUAAUUUUUUUAGAAGGAAUCUGGAAAAGAAUAAAGUCAUCUAUUUCACUUUGGGACAACAUUCCUCACCUCUCCCCGCCCGAGCUCUCUCCCUCCCUCCCUCCCUCCCUCGCUCGCUCCCUCUUCCGCCUCUCGGAAACCGCCGCAUCCAUUAAGGCUUCAGAUUUCUGCCAGGUGCUUCCUUUUCUAUCAUGCUUUUGUUUUUAAAAUUUAUGGGUGUUUUCAUUUAUUUUAUUGUAAUUAUUAUUCAGAGACAGAAAUCCAUUUUAAUAAGUAAAUUAAAAAAAAACAAAUAAUCGAUCCGAUGAAAUCUCUGCUAGUGAACGCAAUUCGAUUUUAAUAAGUAAAUUAAAAAAGUAUAUAAUCGGAUCCGAUGAAAUCGCUGCUCGUGAACGCAAUUCAAAGAAACGCACAAUCAGCCGAUUCUAAUAUUUUCUUUUGCAACCCCACCCUAAUUUACAUGAUAUUAUUCGAUUUUUCUCACAGUUAUUGUUGUAAUAAUCAAGCCCUGAAUUCUUGAACCCAAAUUUAUCUUAUUUUAUUUUAUUUUUUAGUUUUAUUUUUAAGUGGAGAAUAGAAAUCAAUUCAAAUCUUUUAGGCUCGAUCGAUAAUUUGUUAAUUAGUUUAUGCAGCAGCUGGAGUGGAAGGGAUAUUACUGCCGGAAUGGCCGAAAAAUGAGCUGUUUGGUUGAUUCUUCUUUUUUGGAAUUUACUGAAUUCUUCAAAAUUAUUGUGUUUUUAACAACAAUACGAUAUCCUUGGGUUUCAUGCUCGCUCACAAAUGGAAAAAAGAAAGAAAGAAAAGAACUUUAAAUUUUAUAAUUUGGUCAUGUUAAUGCUCGUCGUUUUCUUCUUCAUUUUCCUAGCUUAAAACAUCCUAGACAAUCUCUUUGGGAUGGGUUAUUGUUUUUGGCCUCUUCAUCUUCUAUUUGUGCUGUGGUAUUUAGUCUGCUGAUAUUCUUUGGGGAUUAAAAUGCCUCGUUUUAUGACUUUGUUUUGUUUUCUUCUUCUUUCUUUAUUCUUUUGGGGAUGUGGUAUUCUCCUCUUUCUAUUUACACUCUUUGCUCCCUACAACAUUUAUUCUUUCAGAAAAGUAAAUACAUACAUAAAUAACAACAGGAGAGGAGGGGGAGGGGGAGGGGGUUUGACGGUAUGUAUUUGGAUGCAUGAUAUCUAAAUUGGUAAGCACCUGAAAAAGGUCCUGAAUCUAAAUUGGUAAGAUGUGAUAUACUGAUAUCUAGAGAGAUAACUUAAUCUAUCUAUUGAAGUAAAGCAUUUAAAUGCGUAUACAAUGUUUUUGGAUCAUUAAAUAUCUAUUUGAUCAGAAUCUGUGAACCUAAAGCCACAAUGAAUACAAAUGCAAGUUUGUCAUUGUAAACAUUGCAUCGAUGAUGCAUCACAGGUGUUGCUAGAAAACAUCAAGUUAAAAUUGAAGCACCAUGAGUUUCUCUAUGGCUUGGUUUACCAACACUCACCAUCAGUUGGUGCGGCAAGUUAUGAACUAGCUGGCUAGUUUUUCGCUUCCUUGGUUUUAGAAGCACCAUGAAGAUUCAGGCCCAAAUCUUGCUUACAAUACUCAAAUACCCAAGAUCCUAGCACCUUGCCCUGAAUGGUCGUGUAUAUUUGUUAUGGCUGUUCAGAUUUUAUGCAUCCAUGUUUGGUAGAAUUCUUUAAUAAAGUACAUGCUAUUAGAUGGAAGUUCUCUUUAAAUCUAUUCAAGUCUGAAUAAACUGAUAUUCCAAUUUUCAUGACUUUGAUUAGGCGGAGAACUUGUGAUGGACACAGGUGAUUGGAGAACUCAAUUGCAGCCUGGCUCACGGCAAAGAAUAGUCAACAGAAUGUAAGUAUCUGUUUGCUAAUAUGUACAAGUGCUGCAAAAUAGUAAAUCUUGUAUUUAAAUGAAAGAAAAAGAGAAGGGCAAAAGGUUAAUUAAAAUCAGCAGGACUGCCAUGAGGCAACCUCAAGUAUCAUACACUGCUGUUUUUGUCUUUUUCAUUUUUCACGUGUUUCUCACAAGAAGUGAACUUGAGGGAAUAAAAAGUGCUGGGAAGGAAUUUUGGUGGAACUUCUUGUGUAACAUCUUCUUUCAAUGAUGACCUCUUGGAUGGCUGCAUGAAGCUUGUUCCGCUUUAAAUUUCAAGGUUAAUCUAUUGCUAUGAACAUUGGUGUUUCAAUUUCAACCUUGAGUUGCAACUGAACUUAAAUGAAUAGUGUUGGAUUUGGGCCUUCCAUUUGUUUUAACUUCUACAUGGUUGAAAUGAUAGUGAUCUUAAAAUAGAAAAGCAGUUGAAUGUUGAAUGGUGUAUGGUUUCCUAGUUUCUCAGCAUAAAGUUGAAUGUUUUGGUGAUAUCUCUACAUCCAAAAUCAUAUAGACAGCUACUGUUGGCACUUGCAGUAGCCAAUGAGCACUGUAGAGUAUAUAUUCCAGUGUGAGAUAAGGUUAACUCAUUGCAUUUUCAUAAAUUAAAGGGAUUUCUCUUCUUUUCUUUGUCAAUUACGGUGCAUGUAUAAAAGUUUUCUUACUUAGAGUAAAUGCUAUUGUAAUGUUUUCACAGAAUUCCCCUGGUUUGCAACUAAUUCACUUAUAUAUCUUGGAGCAUAGCCAUAGCCAUAGCCGUAAAUGGAAGGUUCUUCUGGUUCAAGAAAAUUAACCAUGAAGCUCGUAAUUAAAAUUUUAGACAGAAGGGUGGCCAAAUGAACUCCUAUACCCUGUACCUCUGGAAUAAUACGGGGAAAGGAAGUAAAAAUAGAUGUCUGUAUUCUGAUGCCAUAUAUUACUUGACCGACACUCGGCUAUAUCAUUAGUUGUUUUUAUUUUUUGCUAAUGAUUCCAUUGAAUACAUUUCUGAUAUUGGUGUGGUGUGUGAGUUCAUGGUUAUUUCUCACUGCUGCUAACUUCUCUAUACCUACCUUGUCAUUAAAAAUUAAACGUAAUGUUUUACAUGUGCAGAAUGGAGAUAUUAAAGAGGCAUCUUCCGUUUUCUGGUCAAGAGGGAUUACAAGAACUCAAGAAAAUUGCUGUACGGUUUGAGGAAAAGGUUUAUACUGCCGCCACCAGUCAGGUAUUCGGCUAAUGCUAGGUUCAAUAAUUUCGAUAUUCUCUAGACAUGAAUAUAAACAUGCAUAAGUUUGUGGAUUUAUGCAUGUACACGUGUGUGUAGUGUGUCCACACUCUCACUGGUCAUUCCGUAGAAGUUCUCAUCUGUUCAUUAAUUCUCUUGACAAGUGUUUUAUUUAGAGUGACCAAGGUUCUUUUCAAGUACAAGGGAAGUGUGCAAAAUGCAAAUAACGAAUCAAUACAUAAAUAAUUAAAUAAAAAGAUAGGAUACAGAAGUAUAUCCUAUAUCCUCACAGAAGACGCAAAUAUAGAAAGCCUAGCAUAUUAGAAAGAGCAUUUAUCCCUUUCCCCCCUUCUCUUGUAACAUGGACUGCUCAGAGAUCUAAUGUUUCCUUAUUGAUAUCUGAUUUCAGUCUGAUUAUCUGCGUAAAAUAUCUCUGAAGAUGCCUCAGAAUACCAUACCCACUGGCAAUGGUAACAAACCCCUGUAUCCAGGGGGGAAGUGUGCAAAAUCCAAGCUUUGAAUUUCUAAACAUCCUUACCUUUUGUUUUAUAUUUCGCAUUGUUAUCAGACCCUUUUACAUUUUAUUGCUGCAUUUUGCUAUGUAUAUACUAAUCCCUGUACUUUUACAUUAUGUUAAUAAACUGGUCCCUUCAUUAGUUUUUUGUUAGUCAAAUGUAGAGUUGUUAGCAAUAUUUCCUCAAUUUGUUCCACUAACUUGACGUUAAAAUGUGACCAAAGAAUCAAUUAAUUAUUUAAAAAACUUGAGGGAUUAAUUUGUUUGUUUCACAAAAAAAUACAGUGGUUAAAUAAAAUUUUACUCAAAUUUUUAUCAUCAUAUUCGUGAGUGUUUACUUGUAAAUAUUUUGGAAUGAACACAGUGGUUAAGUUUAUGUUUUGCGCAGCAUAAAAAAAAUCAUCUAGGCUUAAAUAAUUAUUUGGCAUCAUAAUUAAAACUCUAAUCCAAAUUUCUCUCAUCUGGCUUCUUAUCUAUAUCAAGUUUAAAAUUAACCAAUGUGAAAGUUGCUCUAACAUGAUAUAAUUAAUGUGAUGGGUUCCAAGUCAAUUCAUAUGACCAGUAAAAAAACAUAAUUUAGCUUUAAAAAAAAAAUUCAAGAUGAUACUUGUUUUGAACAUUGAUACGACAUCUUGGAUCGACUCUAGUUUUGUGACGUAACUCUUUAAACCCAUGACUUGAAUAAUGGAUUCUAUCUGGUUUAAUUUUUUAUAAAAAAAAUUAUUUUUUACUUAAUAAUAUGAUAAUAAAAAUAAAAACUCGUAAAAUUGAGCACUAAUCAAAUAUUAAGAUAUUUAUUUGAGACUGCAAUAACAUCAUUGAAAGCAAAUUGAAACAAAAUCAAUUCAAAAUCAAAUAAAUGUUAAACAAAUAUUAAAAGAUGAAACCAGACAAAAGCCAAAAAGGAUUUAAUUGAAAGAAAGAAAAUAUUGGAAUGUAGAGUUUAAAAACUAAGGAAUAAUAUUUAUUAAACUUGAUCCUAAUCUAUCGACUUGACUUCUUACCUAACAUAUAUUUAAAAUUAAUUUGUAAGGGAGUUGUCUGUACAUUACCUAGUUGACUUGACAUGUGCAAAUUAAAGCAACCUGAAUGACCAAUAAAAACAUGGUUUGGAUUUUAAGAAAAAAAAUCAAGAUAUCUUUUUUUUUUAAUAUUGAGACGAAAAUAUAUUAGAUCAACUCAAGCUCCGUGGCUAAACUCGUCAAAUACGCAACCCAGAUCAUGAACUCCACUAGAUUUAAAAACUAUUUUUUUAUAUAAUGAUACAAUAACUAAUAUAAACACUUAUAAAAUUGAGAACUAAACAAAUUUAGUGACGUUUAUUUGAUAUUGUGAUAACUACAUAUAAAGAAAAAAACAAAUUAUGACCAAUUCAAAAUUAACAAAAUAUUAAAGUGAAAUUGAAAGGAAAAAAAGGGCAAAAAUCAUUCAAUCAAAAGAAGAAAAAAUUAGAAGAUAGAAUUUUUUUUUUAAGGGAGGAUAUGAAUAGCAAAAUAGGAGGGAAAACCCUAACUUUUUUUAGUAUAAUAAAUGAUGUUUAAUUUAAUUAAAAUCUUUAUCUCAUACAAUUAGACCUAAAAAGAGAAGAAAAUUUCUAAAGAUUGAUUUGUAAAAAAACAGAAAAAAAAAUCAAAUCAAGAAGCGAAAAAAUACAAGGACCAAUAUACACACACAUAGUGAAAGAGUUAGAAAAGCAUAACUUUUUUAGUAUAGUAGUUUAUUUCUAAUUAAAUUGAAAACUUUAUCUCAUAUAAUUAGGCCAAAAAAGAAUUAAAUAAAAAAAAAAGGAUUAAUUUAUAAAAAGAAAAAGAAAAAUAAAGAAUACAGAACCAAAUCAACAAAGAAAAAAACUAAUUUUUAAAAAAUAAAGUGCUCCACUAUUCAUAUAAAAUAGAACAUCAUUAUAGUAUCCAAUUAGACAGUGACCCAUAUUACUGGCUAUUUUAAUUUUUUUAAAGAAAAAAAAGUUUCAGUAUUUUCAAAUGUGAUAAGUUUUUUUUUUAUAAAAAAAAACAUAUAUGUGUGCAAGGGAAUAGAGAUUUGGUUUGAGAAUACAUGCUAAAAAUCUAAACAUGAACUAAAACAAAGUGGAAUUAAAAAGAGUAAAAAAAAAAAACCUAAAAGAGAUCCAUGAUUCAUUAUAUAUAUAGACUAUGAGGUUACGAGGUAAAAUAUUAUGGAUUAGCAUAAUAUAAUUACUUUUUACCCUUCUCUACACAACAAUUACCUUGCUAAUAGGGGUAAAGUUGUCUUUUUCAAUGAUUUUAAAGGUUAUUUAUAAAUUCACUGGAGAUAAUUUAGUAGGUUUACUCCUUUUUUGCAUAUUAAAACUACAUCAUUGCCUUUGCAAGCCAAAAAAAGAAAAAACAAUUAACCUUUUGUUUAAGAUCUAUUUUGUAUUUUGUAUUUGAUUUAUACAGUAAAAUGACAUUAAUGCCUUAGAGAGUUAAAAAAUCAUCGACUUUAAGUUACUGGGCCUUAAACUUUGUUAUUUAUUUUGGUUUUUUUUUAUAGGGUUAUUUCUAUCUCAUAUCUCAAGUUGCAGAUAAGUUAGGUUGGAUGCAUACUUAAUUAAUUAAUAAAAGUCAUGUAUAUAUUUUUGCAAAUUGGAUGCACACUUAAUUAACAUACUUAUUGAAUAUUAAGUCAGGCAAAAAAUCUAUAAAAAGAAUAUACAAGUGAGCCAAACAACAAUAUUAAGAACGAAUAAGAGGUAGUAAAAGAAGAUGAUACCAAAGGACGCAAAAUCACAAAAAUUCAUGAAACUACAUUAGGCUCUCUACAAGUGAAUUGUUUAAAAAGUUAAAAGAAAAUAAAUGCACUUUUGUCCACAGCAACAACUAAAUGCACUUUUGUUCAAUACCAAGAAAUUAAACAUUUUUUAAAAAAAAAACUAAAUGAAUUGUUUAAAAAGUUAAAAGAAAAUAAAUGCACUUUUGUACACAGCAACAACAACUAUAGCAAAAUGCUGGGCUGUAGAAUCUAGAUGAUUGUCCACAGCAACAUGAAAAAAUCAUAUAUGCUUAAGUAACUAUUUGGCAUCUCAAUCUAGUAAAUUAAUCUUAAAUUUCUUAUAUCCGACUCUUUACCUAUAUUAAAUUUAAAAUUAACCAACAUAAAAAUUGUUUUAAUAUGACUUAAUCGAUAUAGUUGGUUCAAAGUCAAUCCAUAUGACCGAUAAAAAAUGUAAUUUGGCUUAAAAAAUUUCAAAAUAACAUCUUUUUUAUAACAUUGAUACGACAAUAUAUUAGAUUGACCCUGAUUUCAUGACUUAACUCUCUAAACCCACUACCUUAAUAACGGACUCCUUCUAGUUUAAAAACUUUUUUUUAAUUAUUUUUUACUUCAUGAUAUUAUAACAAAAAUAGAUGCUCAUAAAAUUAAGCACCAACCAAAUAUCAAGAUAUUUGUUUGAGAUUACAAUAAUAAAUAUCAUAAAAAGCGAAACCGAAACAAGACCAAAUCAAAAUAAAUCAAAUGUUAAAGGAUUAAACCAGGAAAAAGCCAAAGAGGAUUCAAUUAAAAGAAAGAAAAAAAAAAUAGAAGGUUGAGUUUAAAAACAAAGUAACAAUAUGACAUUGUUAUUAAACUUAAAGGAAAAAAAAACUAAUUUAAAAAAUUAAAGUGUUUCACUAUUCAUGUAAAAAUGAAAUACCAUUAUAGUAUCCAACUAUAUAGGUGACCUGCACUAUGGGUUAUUCUAUUUUUUUAAAAGCAAAAAAAUAAAGUUUCGACAUUGUUAGAUUGUGAGAAAAAAAAAGUUUUAAAAAAUAUCCGUGUACAAAAGAGGAGAGAGAUUUGGUUUGAGAAUGCAUGGUAAAAAUCUAAACAUGAACUAAAAAACAAAGUGGAAUUAUAAAAAUUAAAAAAAAAACUAAAAGAGGUAAAUGAUUCAAGUGAUUCAUUAUAGACUAUAAGGUAAAACACUAUGGAUUACACACAAUAUAUUUACUUUUUUCUCUUCUAUACACAAAAUAAUUGUCUUGCUAAUGGGGAUAAAGUUGUUUUUUUAAAGGGAUCUAAAGGUUAUUUGUAUAUUGAUCGGGGAUAAUUUAGUAGAUUUACUGCUUUUUUUGAACAUUAAAACUACAUCUUUGCCUUUGCAAGCAAAAAAAAAAAAUUGUCCUUUCGUUUAGGUUUAGGGUUUAUUUUAUCUUUCCUAUUUUUUUUCAUAGUAAAAUAACAUCAAUAUCCUUGAUAACAAUACAACAACAAAGGAAAAUACCAAUAUUUAAAAUACAACAACUCUUUUUUUCCCAUCUUCUGUUUUCUUUUUUUCAUAUCAAUACAACAACAAAGAAAAAUACAAAUAUUUAAAAUACAACAUAAAAUUUAUUUUCCUGUAGAAUCAAUGUAACAUUAAAGAGGCAUCUUCCGUUUUCUAGUCAGGAGGGAUUAUAAGAACUCAAGAAAAUUGCCAUAUGACUUGAGGAAAAGAUUUAUACUACCGCCACCAAUCAUGUGUUUGCCUAAUGCGAGGUUCGAUAAUUACGGUAUUCUUUAGACAUGAAUAUACACACGCAUUUAUGCAUGUACAAAUGUGUGUGUAGUGUGCCUACACUUCCUCACCGUUCAUUCUGUAUGCAAGGCUAAUUGGGAGUUCACAUCUUUUUGUUAAUUCUCUUGACAAGUGUUUUAUUGAGAGUGACCAGGUUCAAGUAUUGGGGAAGUGUGCAAAAAGAAAAUAGCAAAUCAAUACAUAAAUAAUUAAAUUAAAAGAGAGGAAACAGAACUAUAUCCUCACAGAAGAUGAAAUGAUAGAGCAUAUAUCCAUUUCCCCCCUUCUCUUGUAACAUGGAUUGCUCUGAGAGCUAAUGUUUUGUUAUUGAUAUCUGAUUUCGGUCUGAUUAUCUGCGUAAAAUAUCUCUGGAGAUUCUUUCGAUGGAAAUCAGGUCUCAAAACGCCAUGCCCACUGCCCCCAUGGACCCAUAAGGUAAUAAUGCAGCCAAGCAUUGAAUUUCUAAACAUCUUACCUUUUGUUUUUCUUUUCGCAUUGUUAUCGAACUCUUUUACAUUUUAUUGCUGCAUAUUGUUAUGUAUUUCGCCUUGCUGGAAAAAUCUCAUGAUCACCUCCACGAUGCUAAUUCUGUAAUGCAUGUGAAGUGUUUCUGAUAAGGUCCCAAUCAAGAGUGAUACACAAUUGCAGAAAUGCUAGGAUUCUCUUAGGGUGAGAAUUUACCACAAUAUUGUUUGGAUAAACAUAAUGCUAUUCUUUUUAUUCUUCUUCAUACAUAUAAAGAACUAAACCAUAACAACUUUCAGCAAAUCCAGCCGAAAUGGAAAUAACAGAUUACAAAACAGAAAUGCAAAUAAUGUGAAAGUGGCUGCUUUAUUUUCUCCCAUUGAAUCGGAAGCAUGAUUCCAAUUGACUUGCUUGUAACUCCCUUUAAUCACGAUAUCUUUUAAUCACGAUAUUUUAAAUUCUUCUUUAUGACACGUGGGGUCCUUCGUGGCAGCAGCUCUCCAAGCUGCGUAUCAUUACCCCCCACAUCAAGUGGAUGCUUGUCCCCAAGGUCCAAGCUUGGGUGGUUCGUUAGCAGUUCAGCCGUUGGUUCCCAGAUGGCAUCAUUUGUAGACAAAUGUUUCCACUUCACCAAACUCUCCUCAAUAAAUCUUGCCCCAUGUGGAAUCCAACGUGUGUCCAGAAUAGCUUCUGGUGUGACCACAAUGGUGCCUUCUUCAUCAAUAGGUGGAAGUUCCAUACUAGUGUCUGCUUUGUCACCCAACUUCCUUUUAAGCAACGACACAUGAAAAACUGAAUGUAAACGUGCCCCCUCCGGAAGCUUGAGUUUGUAGGCCACAUCACCGACUCGCUUUUCAAUUGGGAACGGACCAUAAAACUUGCAAGCAAGUUUUUGAUGAGCUCGUCGAAAAGCAGUCUGUUGGCGAUAAGGUUGUAAUUUGAGAUACACAAGGUCACCUUCUAUGAAUUCGACAUCCCUUCGCCCACGAUCAACCAACUGUUUCAUGCGAUUCCUAGCAUUCGCUAAAUUCUGCUUGAGAUUCCUAAGAAGUGUGUCCCGUACCUGAAGACUGUGAUCAACUUCAUUAACUGGUGAAGAGCCUGUAGCAUAAAGUGGAAAUGUAGGUGGUAAGCGUCCAUAAAGAGCUUGAAAAGGUGUCGUUCCUGUUGAUGAAUGGUAAGCUGUAUUAUACCACAGCUCUGCCCAAGGAAGAAAUUGGCUCAACUGUCGUGGUCUUUGGUGAACAAAACAGCGCAAAUAUUGUUCCACACAAUGAUUAACCACCUCUGAUUGACCAUCCGUUUGAGGAUGAUAUGCUGAGCUCAUCUUAAGCUGAGUACCAGACAUCUUAAAAAAUUCCUGCCAAAACUUACUAAUAAAGACUUUAUCUCUGUCGCUCAUAAUAGAACUAGGCAUGCCAUGUAGCUUCACCACACCAUCUACAAACUUUUCUGCCACCAUCUUUGUUGUGAAAGGAUGUGUUAAGGCCAAGAAGUGAGCAGAUUUGCUUAGAUGGUCCACUACCACUAAAAUGGUAUCGCGACCAUGUGAAGUAGGGAGACCUUCAAUAAAAUCUAUAGUAACGUCAUCCCAUACCUGACACGGAAUAGGAAGAGGUUGCAAGAGCCCAGCUGGUUUGAGAUUAUCAGCUUUAGUUUUCUAGCAUGUCACACAUGUGUGGACAUAUUCUUUGACAGAAUGAUACAUAGAUGGCCAAUAAAACUGCUGAGAUAGACGUUUGAAUGUACCCAAUAUACCAGAAUGGCCGCCCAUCUUUGUAUCAUGAAAUUCCUGUAGUAAUUGUUCUAUCACAGCUGUGUUAGGAGGCACCACAACACGUGUUUUGAAGAAAACUAACCCAUCUCGCCAGGUAUAAGGUUUUCCAGGACUAUUUUGAGCUUGCUGAAUAAUUUGUUCCAUAUAUGGGUGUCCAGUGGAGGCCUUUUUUAUGUCUUCCCAUAAAGUUACUUGUGGCACAGACAACGCAUUAAGAAUAGGGCUUCCAGACACUCUUGAUAAUGCAUCAGCAGCUGAGUUGUCGCGUCUUGGGCGAUAUAUGAUUUCAUAGUCAUAGCCAAGUAAUUUAGCCACCCAACGUUGUUGUUCUGGUGUCCCAAUUCUUUGCUCCAAUAGAUACUUUAGACUGUGCUGGUCCGUUUGAAUGAAGAACUUUUUGCCCAGUAGAUAUGGUCUCCAAGUGCGUAUUGCCUGAAGGAUGGCAAUCAUUUCUUUGGCAUAUGUUGACCAUGAAAGUUUGGCCACUCCGAGUUCUCGGCUGAGGAAAGCAAUGGGUUUACCUUGCUGUGUCAACACUGCACCAAUACCCUCUCCAGAAGCAUCAGUUUCAAUUGUAAAUGAUUCAUUGAAAUUUGGCAUAGCUAAAAUAGGUGUGGUUGUCAUAGCUUGUUUGAGCUGUAGGAAAGUUGCCUCCGCCUCUUGACUCCAUCUGAAUUGCCCUUUCUUCAAGAGAUUGGUUAAUGGCUUUGCCAGCAGACCAUAGUUGCGCACAAAUUUUCGAUAAUAACCUGUAAAGCCUAGAAAACCAGGUAAGUCUGAAAUAGUGCUUGGCCUUGGCCAAUUUACCAUAGCUGUAAUUUUGCUUGAAUUAACCUUGACCCCUUUAUUAGUCACAAUGUGACCGAGGUACUCGAGCUCUGACUGCCCAAAUGUAUAUUUGCCUUUACAAAAUAUGUAUGUUGCCGUAGAAUUUCAAAAACCUUUGUAACAUGUUCAAGAUGCAUGGUCCGGGCUAUAAAUCAAAAUAUCAUUAAAAAAAAAACUAAUAUGAAUUGACGGAGAUGAGGAUGAAAAAUAGAAUUCAUAAUAGCUUGGAAAGUGGAAGGAGCGUUGCAAAGACCAAAGGGCAUGACCAUAUAUUCGUAGUGGCCAUUAUGGGUACGGAACACAGUUUUGUGAGUGUCUUUUGGAUUUACUCGUACUUGAUGGUACCCUGCUCUUAAGUCUAAUUUUGUAAAGAAGGCAGCUCCAUGGAGCUCAUCAAGCAUGUCAUCAAUGGUAGGAAUAGGAAAUCGAUCCUUAAUGGUUACGCUAUUGAGAGCUCUAUAAUCAGUACAAAAACGCCAAGUGCCAUCUUUUUUUUUAACUAACAAAACAGGUGAAGAAAAGGGACUAGUACUUGGUUUUAUAAGUCCCAAUUUAAGCAUGUCUUGAACUUGUUUUUCAAUUUCAGUUUUUUGAAAAUAGGCAUACCUGUAGGGCCUCACAUUAAUAGGCUCAGUAUCUUCUUUAAGAGGAAUGCAAUGAUCAACUUCACGAGCUGGAGGUAACUGUGUGGGCUCAUAAAAAAUGUCCUCAAAGUUGUUGAUGAUUUCCUUCAUAUCUGUUUGCAUAUUGGGUCGUUCCAUCUUUUCUAUGGAUUGACAAUACACUGUAAAAGUGGAACAGCCAUGACGGACAUCUUUAGUAAUUGCUGAUAGUGAAGCAGGUUGUAUAGCUUGGCUAUUAGAACCAUUUAAUGUUUGAGCUUGAUUCUUCCACCAAAAGUCCAUUGUAAAUUUUUUCCAAUUACACACCACUGGUCCGAGUUGUUCAACCCAUUGUACACCAAGAACAAGAUCAAGGCCUGUGAUAGGUAUUGAAUAAAGGGUUAAUGAAAAUGGAAUGUUUUGGAGAAUAACCUGGACUUGUUCAAACCUUCCUUGGCACUUCAUUUGAUUGCCAUCUGCCACCCUUACAGUGAAGGGUCUCAUAGGAAUAACAGGUAAUUGAAGCUCCUCUGCUAUUUUAGAAUUGAUGAAAUUAUGGGUAGACCCACUGUCGAUGAGCACUGUUAGAGUGUGAUUCCCAACUCGUCCUUCAAUCCUCAUGGUUCGUGGUGUGGACCAACCCGUGAGUGCAUGGAGUGAAAUUUCUGGCUCAGUGUUCUCCUCAGCUAUGUCCUCUACUGGAAUGUCAUCAGUAACUUCUUCGCACAUGACUCUGACAGGUUCACUAAGGCUUUCUAGUAAUAACAGUUGCGGUCUUUGGCACUUAUGUCCAGCAGUGAAUUUGUCAUUGCAAUUGAAACAAAGCCCUUGUGCACGCCGUCUCUGCAUUUUAUCCCAUGUUAGUCUUUUUAUCGGAACUGGAAAACUGGAUUUUGGUGGGGGAAAAGUCAAUGGUGUGCGAGUUAAUUGUGUUGGCCGUGUAAAUUUCCCUUGCCGCAUUAUUUGUUCAUCCUUCAUUUUAUCUAAACUGAUAGCCUCUUUCAAAGUCCGUGGUUUGAACAUCCGAAUAGCAUCAGAAAUUUCUACUUUAAGUCCACCCAUGAAUGUUGUAACAACCCCGAUUUUUCUACAUUCUUUUUCGCGAUAUAUUGGAAAUUUUCAGGUAAAUUUUUUUUUUUGUGAUAUACAGGUUCCACCAAAAUUUCUACCAAAAUUUCGGCAGAGUCUCCCCUAUACUGGUAGGUCCCAGGUUAUCGACAUAUACCAUGUUUACACUUCUAAUAUCUCACAUCUCAUAACUCAAAAUCACGACCCAAUCAUCCUGGGUCUCAACCCAACUCAUUAUCAUCAACACAACACAUCUUAUUCAAUAACAUCAUAUAAUAUAGUUCAAAUGAAAGAUUCAAUUUCAACUAUAAAUAUGCAUGGUCAAAUAGGUACUAAGAGUUUAAACCAUUAGAGUAAAGACAUACAUUCAAAUUUACGGAUUAAUAUUACAUCUCAAGUUUUAUAAUUUACAUAGUCAAAAGCAAAAGAUAUCUAAACUAGCAUUACCCUUGACGCGACCCUGAUGGACCUGAAAAUAGAAAUUAACAUGUACACAUAAAUAUAAAAGAUAGUAACAAGCAAUAACAAUGGCAAACAAUAAUCUCUACGGAAUUUCUUUUGAUAUAUAAAAUUAGGCAUAAACCUCUUUUACAACAUAUAUUUUACAUUUAUUACCAAUAUCCAUCUAAUAUCCUAUCUCAUUUACCAAGAAUAAUUCCAUCUUGGAAAUCUCAACACAACUCAACGGUUUGCGAACACCAUCUCUUUAUAAAUCAAUUCUCACUUGAUACCAAGAUAUUCCUCUCUUGGUAUUAUUAGCUUAUCUCAUUCUUUUGGAAUAACUAAUUAAUAUUUUCCCUUUUCUGAAUCUGUUGCUAGAAGGUAAUCACUGAAACUAAUAAAUCUCAUUAGUAUCAUUAGUCUUCAAAUAUUGGGCUAGACUAAUCAAUUUAAGAAAUACUGGCACCGAUGAAACUUCAUCGAUACCAUUAGCAAUCCAAACUUGGAUGGCUAAUCAAUUCCAUUUGAUUCUUCCAUUCGUACCGAACCCCUUUUAUCUUUCUUAUUAACAUCAUAUGCAUUGUAACCACGGUUGCCAAGUAUCAUUUGCACACAAUCUUAGUUAUCGACACUACGGUCACUAAGCAUCCUUCACAAAACCUUGGUCACCUUCAUCACAGUGCCAAGUAUCAAUUUAUGCCCUUAGCCACCAUCAUUAUGGUGUUAAGUAUCAUUGUAAUGUAUCCUUAGCCACCGACACUAUGGUAACCAAUUAUCUAUCAAUUCACCUCCAAUCUCCAAGUCAUUGUGUCUACCCAAUAACCACAUUAAUUAAUUUACUCAAUAUGUUAGUCAUAUAUUAAUUAUUUUACUCAUAACAUUUAGAAUUUACUAUUUCUAACUUCAAUCAAUUAAUUCACAUAAUCUUUUCAAAACUUAACUAUCCGGCUAACUCAUCUCGAUUGCCAAUAAUUCUGGUAAUUUCAUAUAAUUACCCACACUUUUGGUUAACCUCCAUCGGUUACCAAUACAUCUGGUAAUUCCAUACGAAUUACUCAGCCUCCAGCUAACUUCUUUUGUUUGUCAAUUAAUCCUGUAAUUCCAUACGAAUUACCCCAUAUCCAGUUAACCUUCUUGUUAACCAAUAAACCCGGUAAUUCUCUUAAUUGUCCAAGAAAUCUGGCUAACCCAUCUUGGUUGCCAAGGUCAAUCCGGUAAUUCCAUACGAAUUACCCAUCAUCCAGCUAACCUCUCUUGUUAGCCAAUGAAUUCGGUAAUUCCAUACGAAUUACCCAUCAUCCAGCUAACCUCUUUUGUUAGCCAAUCAAUCCGGUAAUUCUAUACGAAUUACCCCAUAUCCAGUUAACCUUCUUGUUAACCAAUAAAGCCGGUAAUUCUCUUAAUUGUCCAAGAAAUCUGGCUAACCCAUCUUGGUUGCCAAGGUCAAUCCGGUAAUUCCAUACGUAUUACCCAGCAUCCGGCUAACCUCUUUUGUUAGCCAAUGAAUCCGGUAAUUCCAUACGAAUUACCCAUCAUCCAGCUAACCUCUUUUGUUAGCCAAUCAAUCCGGUAAUUCCAUACGAAUUACCCAAUAUCCCGGCUAACCUCUUUUGUUAGCCAAAUAAUUUCGGUAAUUUCUCUUAAAUUACCAAUAAUUCUCAUUUGUAAUAAUCACUCAACUUAUUCAUUUGUUUCAUUCUUUUAACAUCAAUUAAACACACAACACAAAUAUUUAAGAAAAACUAAUAAUUACAAAAUAAGGUGAUGAAUCACCUACCUAGAAUAGGUGCACGUGCUGCCACUCCAUGCAAUUGUCCAGUCCCCACAGCUUUCCCCUGUACCACCAGGGAUUCAAUUUUUAUCAACAAUACAACCAACAUCACAUCUUCAUUUAAUUCUCAUUCAACUAGUAUUCUCAAACUAAUCACAAGGAAUUUUCUUUAAGAUCUCAUACUCUUACUCAUUUUAAUGUUUAUAUUUAUUCUUAUAAUUUUGUUAUCAAAACCAUCACUCAACAGCAAUUCCAAGCAACGAUUAAAAAUUGUCUAAUUCCGAUCAAUUAAGCUUAACCAACCCAUAACACUAUCUAGUGUCUUAAUCAUAACUAAAGUUGUAAAACUCAGUUUUGGGCGUGAUUUAUAUCUCUAUGAAAGGCUAAACAUAGAGAUACAAAUUUUAUGAAGAAACCAACUCCAAAUUAUUUUGUUUUAAGGCUUAAAAUCAACAAUCACAAUAGCCCUUCUUUAUGGCUAAAAUUUUGGACAACGAGGAUUUUCAUUCCUUGGAAAUCCUUUUCAACUUCCAACUUAUUUUCAUGCAAAAUCAACAUCAUCCAAGGUCAUUUGGCAUCAUUAAAUCACAAGUUCAAACCAAUUCUAAAGCAAAACAUUCAAACAAUUUCCCUACCUCUACAAUAUAGCAAGAUUAGACCAAAAUAAGGAAACUCAUUCCUUUUGAGAUUUCUCCUAUUAUUAUUAUUAAUACAACAAAAUGAUGAACUAUUCAUUUUCUUUCGCUUUCUCCUCGUGCGAUUAAACAUAUACGGCAAACCUUAACAAUUAAUAUUCUCAGAUCAUUAUCACAACAAUAAUUUCACUCUACUAAUUGGGAUCCAUGACAACCUUCAUUAACUAACCAUUUGCUAAAAACACUUAUGGCUAGCUUUAAAUAUGUUUUAUUUUUUUCAAAUUUUUUUCAUUUCAAUUUCUUCAUGGUUCCACCCCAUUUAUAUCCACACAACCAACAAGUUAGCUUUCUAUUCAAUCAACAUGUUCUAUUCAAUCAACACGUUCAUAUAGCAAUAUUCUUUACUAUUCUUACACAACAAUCAUUCUUCCCCUCAUAUAAAGAAUACACAAUUAAUCUAUAAUAUUACUAAUAACAGGAACAUAUUUUAUCAUUACAUCUUCCAUAAAACCUACACCCACACAAUUCUAAUUUCAUCAAAACAUGUAUUUAAUCAAGCUUACUACAUUUUGCAAAAACUAGCAAUAGAUUCAAAAAGCAAUAAGUCAUCAACCUCUGAUUAUUGUUUCCCACCCAACGGUCAGACUACAUAUCAUAGCGUUGUGCAUAAUAUAUCUCAAAUUCAUAAUGAUCCAACGGUUAAAUCUCCCUAGAUCUGAAGAAAACCGAGCUUACCUGAAAAUGAACGAGCUACUGUUCAACAUGCACGCAACCUUGCCGGAGAAAUAUGUUCCGAUCUCCACUGUCCAGAAUGAAUUUAACAUCUACGCGCACCACAUAUCCAACAAUUAGCAUGAUCCAACGGUGGAAGAGAGAGAAAUCGGCCGGCGACCAAACUGCCCUGCAGGUGCAUUUCCUUUUUGUUUUCCAUGAAAUUCCAGAUGAUGAUUUCUGUCAAAUGGAUUGUGUUCCUUCCAAUCACUCCGGUCAGUUAGUAGAGGAGUGUAAUGAGAACAACACGUCCAAAACGCAGCUUGAUCCAACGGUUGAUUCCCGAGAUAUGACCACCGGAGCAUUAUUGGUUUUCUCCAAAAUUUGCAGCUCUCUCCCCUUAUCCGCUUUUCUCUAUUUUUUUUCUUUUUUUUCUUUCUUUUUUUCUUAACUGGUGGCCUCUUUGCAGAUUUAUAGGCACCUUUUUUUUUCAUAAUUACAAUUUUGUCCCUCUUUCAUGCUUUUAUGUAUUUUAUUUUAUUUUUCAUGUAAACUAUCUCGUUUAUUUCUGUUUAAAUCGCUAGUCUUUACCAAACUCUGAUUGGGAUGAGAUAUUUAACCAAGGUAGGAAAACAUAUUAAUAGGCUUCAUACAAAAUUUCAUCCCGAUCCGACGAUUGGAUUGAGAGCUCUGCUUCCUAAUGUAAAAUUGAUCAGUUCAUAACUUUUCGUAAACAAUCUAGAUUUUUUUUUUGUUCAAUCUUCACAAAAAAAAAAAACAUAUCAAUUAUCAUUCUAAACCUUUAAGGUCAUUUAAUUAUUUUGGAAUGUAUUCAUUUUAGGAUUUCCACCUUUAUUUAUUUAUCGGGCUUAUUAUCGUUUCAAAAUAACAUCACUGAUUUUUAAGCGGUGCUUGCACCUUCAGUCCUACCCUUUUCAUUGUACUAUCAUUUAUUAUAAUGUAUUCUUUAUUACCUCACUUAUUUCCUAAAAAUAUUUUGUCAUUUUUCUCAUUAUUUCAUCCAUCAAAACACGUUACCAGUUUCUCUAUCCUUAUGAAUUCUAAACCAAAAUUCAUUUUAUGAAGGUCAUCUCUUCUAUUAUAUAUCAUUAUUUAUCUAUUAUUUCUAAUCUUGGUUUCCAUCACUCAUUGAAAUAUUACCACUUUCAGUCUUAUGUUUACAUGAGGGUUUAUACAUCUACAUAUUUAAAUUAUAAAUUUCCAGGGUUUCACAAAUGUGCCCACCAGCGCCUUUUGAGUCCAACCAUGAACUCGAUUGCCCAACCUCUCAAAUUCCUUCUGAUAGUCCCUUAAGGAACCCACUUGUCUGACCUUUGAUAAUGCUUCAUCAAAAUCCUCAUAUUCUGUGGGCCCAAACCGUGCCCAAAGCUCUUCUUCAAAUAUCUCCCACGUGACAGUGCGCCCUUCUUCCUUGUGAGCUCGAUGCAACCAUUGCCACCAUUGGUUGGCUUCUCCUUCCAAAUGGAAUGAGGCCAAUGAUACUUUUUGAUUGUCCGCAGUCUCUUGAUAUUCAAAAAAUUGGUCCACCCAAUUGAACCAUUCGGUUGGAUCAUCCCCAGAAUAUCGUGGAAAGUCUAACUUGGCCAUUUUUUAUGAGAAGACGUGGCGUCCACACUCAUUAUCAGUUUUCUUCUUUCCCCCAUCAGUGUCAUCCCGAUAUGUGCGUGAGAAGCCAUCCCGGUCGUUGUUGUGGUAACUUGAAGACGCCUUGGAAGCGAUCAUGACCUCUGAAAGUUUGUUGAUGGUUUCCUCCAGGCUGUGCAAUCUAUUGAUCAUGUAAUCUUCCAGUCGCUGCAUGCCAUCUUGGACUCCACCAAGUCCUGUCUCCAAAAGCUCAAUUCGUUCUUUGUUUGUUGCCAUUGCGUAGGCUCUGAUACCAAUUGAUAAGGUCCCAGUCAAGAGUGAUACACAAUUGCAAAAAUGCUAGGAUUCUCUUAGGGUGAGAAUUUACCACAAUAUUGUUUGGAUAAAAAUAAUGCUAUUCUUUUUAUUCUUCUUCAUACAUAUAAAUAACUAAACCAUAACAACUUUCAGCAAAUCCCGCCGAAAUGGAAAUAACAGAUUACAAAACAGAAAUCCAAAUAAUGUGAAAGUGAUUUCUUUAUUUUCUCCCAUUGAAUCGGAAGCAUGAUUCCAAUUGACUUGCUUGUAACUCCCUUUAAUCACGAUAUCUUUUAAUCACGAUAUUUCAAAUUCUUUUUUAUGACACGUUGGGUCCUUCGUGGCAGCAGCUCUCCAAGCUGCGUAUCAGUUUCAUUCUUAACUUGUUAAGGAACAAGGACUGUGAUGCAUGGCUAUUUUAUAUUUUAUGAUUGAGAUGGUAGAUUUUAAAGAUUUUCCUGUUUAGGAGGUAAGACGUCACUUUCUUGCUUUUCUUCCGAGAGAAAGUAUUUGAUCCUUUCUUCAUAUAUAAUAAUGCUGCCAAGCAUUGAAUUUCUAAACAUCUUACCUUUUUGUUUUGUUUGUCGCAUUGUUAUCAAACUCUUUUGCAUUUAAUUGCAGUAUAUUGCUAUGUGUACGGCAUGCUUUAAUCAAAAAGUUGAGUACUCGAUGAAUGUUAGGCAAGAAAAUUACUGAUUAUUUUUGUUUUCUGCCUCCUCCUUUUCUUUCUCCCAACCUGAAAAUUGUCAUAUUAUUUUUGUUUUCAGCCGCCUCUUCUUCCCCCAACCCUGAAAAUUGUCUGAGGACACUUUUAUGCUUUGAAUCAAAUCCAUCCUAAUUCUUUCGCUCAUAACUUUAUGUGUGAACUGCCGAUGUUUGAUCAUUUGUCUUCCUUGUUCAGUGCCUUCUUUUUUUCUUUGACAUGGUUUCCUUUUUUCCUUUUAUCUUGAACAGCAUCCCAUAGUAUGCCCCCUCAAGUUCAGAAUCAUGGGCUAUUUCUCCCUAUCCUAUUGUCCACUGAUCAAUCUCAAGUACGCUAGCAGUUGUUAUCACAGAACAUGCAGAAUUGCAUGGCAUCUAAUGCAAUUCAAAGUUCUGCUGGUUUACUAGCGGCACUGCCUCUUGUCUCCGGUGUAACCCAGACUAUCCCCAACACUGUUGUCCAGAAUCCUAACAUGCAGAGUAUCCCCGGUGUUUCACAGAACUCAGUGGGGAAUUCAAUGAGACAAGGGAUUCCCUCCACUAUGUUUGCCAAUUCUCAUAAAGAAAUGCCAGGUAAUGCUCUUUUUGGUAGCUUUAUGUCUUCCACUUAUGGCAUUAGAAAUGCCACUGCUAUUGGAACUAUUGCAAUCACACAUGCAUUUGGCAUCACACGAUGCCCUUCAGUGCUCUGCACCAACUUUUCACCUCCCAUAAUGGUUCUAGUCAGUAAUGCUUUUUUAGGUAGCUUUAUGUGCUACUGCUGCCACUUAUGGCAUUAGUAAUGCCACUGCUAUUGAAACCAUUGCAAUCACACACACAUUUGUUACCCACAUCAUACCCUCCAGUGCAUUGCACCAGCUGUUCACCUCUCAUUCUGGAUUUAUAGGGUUUGUCCGUCUGUUUGAAUGAUUACAUAACGUUUAGAUGGAGUUCCUAGUACUCCUAGUUCAAAAAGACUUGUAUUCCUCUGUAGGAAAAUACUAAUAGUCCUAUCUAGAAUAGGAAAACCUAAUGAAGCUCGCUAUACUUUGGGAUAAUAAAAUACUAAAUGGAAAAUAAAAUGAGACUUGCAAUAUUCCAUAAUUUUCAGCAAGCGUGAAAAUUACAGAAAUACCCUUGUAUAUGGAAAACACACAAAAAUACAUGAAUUCUAAUCUUUGUUGCCCGCAUUGAAAUAUUUGUAGCAUCCCUAGAUUCUACAGCACAGACUGGACAUGCAAAAGGCGCUGAUUGACAAGAGUAGAUCUAUCAAAAGGUAAUUUCUGUGAUUUACUGUUCAUUAGAUGGAGUUCAUGUAUGCCAUAGUCUUAAAAAUAAAAGUGCACUAUUUCUGAAUGACUUACAGUUUAUCUUUUGUUAAGUGAAGAGUUAUUUGCACGAUUGCAAUCAACUUGUUGUGAAAAAUUUCCAGUAUUGAAUUUUAUAGAAAAUGAGGUUGAAAUUCUGAAUGUCUCAAGUCAUAACUGCAUAUUUGAUAAGGACAUUUUUCUUGUGCUUAAGUGAGUAUUAAAACGGGAAUAAGAAUGGUUGUUGUUAAGGAUCCAUGGGGUCAUGCAUAGGAUCUAAGGCUAAGAAGCGUCGCUAAAGUUGUGAAAUCCAUUGACUUGAGCUAGAACAGCAGAAAACAAUGAUGUGUAGUUUGCAGGGAGACAGUAACUGAACUUAACCAACCCCUGAAUCUUGUCUAAUGGUGUACUUACACAGUCCUUUGCAUCUUUCCAUUCCAUCAAUAUCGACAUCCUGUUGAGUUUCUAGCAUUAAUUCCACUCUAUUAUUUUUAUCUCAACUAAUUUAUGUUGUCCUCUGCCCUUUUUUUGUUAUUUUAUUUUUAUCAAUUCCCUUAAGUUUGUUUGUUUUACUUUCUUUCUGACUGGCACCUGAAGAGAUCAAGCAUAUGAGCGAUAAUGUUUUGCUGGUUAUUUGUACUUCCUAGAUCAAAGUUAUGAAGGAGACUUAUUUCCCUGAAAUAAAUGAAAUGUAUCAGAGAAUUGCUGCCAAGUUACAGCAGGUAAAUUGUCUCUGAAAUUUCUUCCGGAUUAUCUGUGCAUGCAUGAUUAUCUGCAAUUUCCCCAUGUUGAGUUUUGUAUUAGUUUGUUUUCCUCAUCAGCAUUGCCUGUCACUGUAUCAUCUGCACUAUUCACCUACCCCACCCCCAACCGCCCCCACAACCAUGCAUCGACACAGAAGAAGUGGAAUAGAAACAUUUUGUUUCACUAAUGUUUUGCUACAAAGGAUCAAUGCAAUUUUUAAUUCUCGUGUAUGUUAACUUUGCUUUCUAGCAUGACUCUCAUCCGCAACAACCGAAGUCGGAACAGCUUGAAAAGCUGGAGGUAUUCAAGGCCAUGUUGGAGCGCUUGAUAACAUUCUUACAGGUCUCUAAAAACAAAAUCACACCUAGUUUCAAGGAGAAAUUGGGUUCCAAUGAGAAGCAUAUUGUAAGUUUUCUAAACCCAGGCAGAUCAGGAAGCCAAUUCCUAAUCUACAGCGAGGACAACUUCCCCAGCCUCAUGUGCAACCUAUGCAGCAAUCCCAGUCUCCAGUUCCUCAAUUGCAGUCCCAUGAAAAUCAACUGAAUACCCAGUUGCAAUCAAUAAAUGUGCAAAAUUCUAUACCAACAAUGCAGCAGAACAAUAUGUCAAGCUUGCAGCAUGGUUCUCUUUCAUCUUUAUCUGGGUUUUCUAUGUCACAACCAAUCAUGAUGAUGUGGGACGAGAGAUUUUACGAGAAGAAAAGGGGGUAGAGAGAAUGAUAUUGUAGCAAAAAUAACUAAUCAAAUAGAAAGGCUGAGCUUAGAGACAGCACACUACAAAGGAAGCACCCAAUAGCUAGACAUACAAUCAUAACAAAUUCAUCUUCUAAAGUUGGAGAACUUGCGAAAACUAGCAACCAUAAAAUAGUAACAAGUAUCUAUGCAAUCUUCGAUGAAGUACAACCACCUACGUCGCCAAUAUGGAUUGAUGUAGAGAACUGCUGCAAUCGUCAUCACCACAACUGUGUAACAUACACUGAAACUGAUGUAGAAAAACUCCAUGUCUAUGAAACCAUCAUCUUCUUGUUCAUCAUGAGGCACUGGCUGGGACAACACUACUUCUUCACUACAAUUGUUUCGCAAUGGAGGUCCACACAAGAAAGGAUUUCCUUCGUAACAGCUUUCAUCGAAGGUCCCAAACUGAUAUUUUCUCUCGGGUGUCUUACCUGACAAGUUAUUGUGCUCCACACUAAAAACUUCUAGUGUGGUCAUUUCAGUAAGUUGUGGAGGGAUGUCACCAUUCAAGUUGUUGUAAGAAAGAUCCAAACUCUCAAUCCGCUUCAGGUUUGAGAAUGUUGCAGGGAUAGAUCCAGUGAGAUUGUUGUGUGAUAAGUUUAAUGACAGUAUCUCGCUUAAGUUUCCAAAUUCUGGUGGGAUUGCUCCUACAAAGUUGUUAUUGGAGAGAUCAAUACCAGACAUGUAGAUGAGAAUUUUCCCUUUGUAACCAUAAUACAUAUUUUUAGUUGUAAAUUCUAUCACUUCUUCUGUAAAGUUAGUCCAAUAACCCUUUAAUAAGGUGUAUAUGCUAUCCACUUGUGGUGGACCCAUUAUUUCAUAAUAAGCCUUUUCUAAGAACCCUGGUAGUAAAAGAACAUCGAGAUUCACUAAUGCUUUCUGGGAACUUUCUUUGAAAGUAAGAUUUUCCAAACAGGAGGGUAAUGGACCAGAAAGCUGGUUUUGUGAAACAUCCAAAAUGCUUAAUUGUUUUAAUAAGCAUAACUGAACAGGGAACUCACCAUCAAAGUGAUUAGCUCUCAGAAGAAGAACACUCAAUGAUGAAAGAUUGCCAGCCCAAUUUGGAAUUGAGCCGGUGAAGCUGUUAUCUCUAAGAUCCAUCGUAACCAGGGAAGAGCUAUUAUAAAAUCCAUAUUUUAAUGGACCGCUCAAUCUAUUUUUGGAUAGAUGCACAUGGGUUAUUUGUGGUGAAUUGAAACAAGAUGGAAUAUAUCCAAACAAAUUGUUCUCAGAAAGGUCCAAAUAUUCAAGCUGGUCAAACUUACAAAAAAAGUCUUUUGGGAUAGGACCCUUAAAAUGGUUUUUUGAAAAAUCAAUUGCUCUAAGGUUCGUCGAAUUGACGAACCACCUUGGAAGCAUGCCUGAAAAUUGAUUGUUACUCAAAUCCAAUACAAUCCACGUUUUCCACCCGUUUAAUGGAAAAUCUGAUAUUUGACCCCAAAAGUUGUUAUCACCUAGAUAGAGAUAUUCUGAGGUAGAAGAAUUGAACACGGAGGUUGGUAUUUGCCCACCCAAAUUGUUGUUUGACAGCUUGAGAAACAUUAAUGUUGUUAGUAGUUCUAGUUUUACCGUGGACAAUUGAUUGUUGGAUAAAUCUAAAACUCUCAAAGAGCUAAUAUUUCCUAAACAAGAAGGAAUACAACCCGUGAAUCCAUUCUUAGCCAUCCUUAAUCCCUUCAGAUUUGGAAAGAUCAAACAAAUAUCCUUUGGAAUUUGACCGCUCAUGUUGUUGUUGGAUAUAUCCAAUUCGGUCAUUUUCGGAUAUGGGUGAUCUUGCAACUGCAAAGUACCAACAAAGGAGUUCCCGCUCAGAUAUAGUUGCUCCAAUCGUGUAUUGUUCUUAAGCAACCACGAUGGAAACAUUCCGGUGAUGUUGUUGUGGGAGAGAUCAAGGAAUCUUAAGUGGUAUUGGUAAUAGAGGAAGUUGGGAAUUUCUAUAUUGAGUGCUUCCGUUGUUUUUGUCGAGCUAAAAAAGACUAGUUGGAACUUUGGAAUCAACUGAUCAAAUGCAGCAGGUUCUAUUACUAAUCUGUUGUUCUCAUUGCAGAAGAACUUGAGGCUUGAGUGGUUCAUAAAAGGUUUCAUUGAAGUGGGAACUUCAAAGAGGUUAUUUGAUAGUGAGAGGAAUUCAAGGGAUAUGAGGUUGGUAAGGGGACCGAAGGCAAUAUUUCCAGUAAAUUGGUUUUCAGAAACAUCUAAUAGUUGUAGAGAAGACAAGUUCCCCAAACAAUAUGGGAGUGAACCUCCUAAAUCAUUUUCAGAGAGAUCUAAUUGCUUCAGAUUCUUCAUUUCACACCAACCUGUACAAUUUAUGGAUAUAAAGUCGUUAAAGAUGAAGGCUAAGUCAAACAUGAUAAAAUACUAUCAUUAAAUUGAUCAUUGCAUAGAUAUAAAGUCCUUUUUUAUAUAUAUAUAUAUAUAAUGUAAUGAAUAUUAUUGAUUAUUCAACAUAGUUUUAAAUAAUAUAAUAUUUUUUAAAUUUAUAAUAUUAUAAAUUAUAAAAUUAUUGAUACUUGCAAUGAAGACCAAGUCUCAAAAUACCAUAUCCACUGGCAGUGGUAAUGCAGCGAAGCAUUGAAUUUCUAAACAUCCUUACCUUUUGUUUUAUAUUGCUAUGUAUAUACAAUGCUUUAAUCAAAACCUAUAAUGCAGGAAUAUCUGCAGAUGGCCAUUCCCAAAGGGAAAACUAAUCUUCCCUAGAAUAUUACAAAGUGCCAUUUCUACAGUGAGACACUGAAUAGUGAAAUUAGUGUUUCGUUUUUGUUGUUUUGUUGCUGAUAACUAGAUCUGUUAAAUCUUUUCCCUGUACUUUUACAUUAUGCAGUAAACUGGUCCCUUCAUUAGUUUUUCGUUAGUCAAAUAUUGUAGAGCUGUCAGCAAUAUUUCCUCUGUUUGUUCCACUAACUUGACGGUAAAAUGUGAUUAAAGAAUCAAUUAAUUAUUUAAAAAACGUCGAGGGAUUAAUUUGUUUGUUUCACAAAAAACAGACACUGGUUAUAUAAAAUUAUACUCAAAUUUUUUUCAUCAUAUGCGUGUGUUUACUUGUAAAUAUUUUGGAAGGAACUAGUUUAUGUUUUGCGCAACAUAAAAAAAAUCAUCUAGGCUUAAGAAACUAGCUCGAUCUAGUGGAUUAAUUUUUAAUUUUUUUUAUUUGACUUUUUAUCUAUAUCAAGUUUAACAUGAAAGUUAAUGUCUUUGUUUAAUUCGCAUGAUAACAAUUCUAUGUCUAAGAUCAUUUGGUUGGCAUACAUAUGUAAACCUAGGUGUUGUUAGUUCGAGGGAAGGAAGACACAAUAAAAAAUAAACAAACAUGGAUGAUAUGUCAUUUAUGUUUUACUUUUUUUAAUUAAAAAAACAGGCUUAAUAAAAAAUAUCAAGCGAGGUCAGAUGCGCGAGCCUUGUUUUAUAAUUUUUUAUUCAAAUUUUAAUAAUUGUUUUCAAUUAUUAUGCAUAUGACAUAAAAAUCUGUUCAUGAAAAUUAAAUUCAAAUCACUUUUUUAAUCUUAGAAUUUUUAGAUAUAUUUUUAGCAUAAUUUUAUCAUAUUUAUGAUUUUUUUUAACUUUCAAUCACAUGAAUAUAUUAUUUUGAUACAUUUUUAAUUUGUUGUGACAAUUAUAGAAUAUUCUUUUAAUAGAAACAAUGAUUCUAGUUAAGAAAAAAAUCUUGCAUUCAUCGAGAUAAACAAGAAAUAUGUUAAUAAGAAAAUUUAUCUUGAUGGAGAAAAAUUCAAAACGACUAAAUUUUCAAGUUUAAUAACAAUGCCAAGGAGUUUCCUUAGACUUGGAUAUUUUGUUCUACGUUUAAAGUUUUUUUUAUCUCCAUAACAUAGCAUUAGCAUACAAACUUGUAUAUUUUUAAGACAGCGUUUGGUUACUAUCCGGGACAAUAAAGACAAAGACAGAGGAGACAAGACAUAAAAGAAGAUGGAGAUAGAAUUGUGUUCAGUAGUGAUGUACAAGAUAAAAUAAUUGUCUUUGUAUCAUAUUUAGUUAUGUUGAAUAAGAAAGAAUAAAAUACAUAAAAAACUAUUUUACCUUUAAUAUGUAUUGUUGUCAAACUUCCAUAUUUAAAAAAUAAUUAUUUUUAUUUUUUUACUUUAGUUUAUAUUGAAUGUUGAAAUUAUUAAUAUUAUAAUAACCCUAAUUAUAAAACCAGGACUGAUUUGACAGGUUGGUUUAAGGCGUAGACUUGCCCGAGUUUUAGAAAAAUAGAUUAAUGAUUAACUAGACCUGACCUGGUAAAAAAUAUGAGUCAGGUUAAGAUAAAACACAAGUAAAAAACCCAUUGACUUUUUUGAAAAAGAAAAUUGGUCAAAACAAGGUUUCUUUGACUAUUUUUUUUAAAAAAAAAUUGGGUCAAUCAGGUUGACCUUCCCAACCCAUGACCUACACCUUUCCUUUGGUCAACUCCUAAGUUGAGUUUUAAAACUAUGAUAUUAAUAAUUUUUAUCCAUACUCAGGUCAACCUGUGUUGACCCUCUCGAUCCAUGACCUAGGCCUUACUUCUGUCGACUCCCGAGUCGGGUUUUAAAAUAUGAUAAUAACUAUUUUUAUCCUUACAUUAAUCCGGGUCGACUCUCUUGAUUCGUGACCCGAGUCUUACCCCAAAUUGACUAUCGAAUCAAAUUUUAAAACUAUGAUUAUAACCACCUUUAUUUUAUGUUGACCCGGGUCAAUCCGGGUUGACCCAUAUAACACGUGACUCAAGCCUUAUCCCGAGUCGAUCCCCGAUUUGGGUUUUAAAACUAUAAUAAUAACUAUUUUUAUCAUUACAUUUACCUAGGUCAAUAAUCAACCUCACUUGUGACCCCAAAAUUGCCCGGGUCGACCCUUAAAUCGAGUUUCAAAAUAUGAUAAUAACUAUUUUUAUUUUUAUACUAAUACAGGUCAACUCAACUCGUGACUCGGGCCUCAACCAGUGACCCAGAAUUUACCCCGGAUCGACCUCAAAGUUGGAUUUUAAAACUAUGAAAAUAAUUAUUUUUACCUUUAUAUGUCUUAAUUAGACAAUUUAGAAUUGAGAGUUUUUUAUAAGGAUAUUUUAGAAAUAAAAAAUAAUAAAUAUUGUCUCUAUAAACAUGUCCCUUCUAUACCUCAUAUUUUGAAAAUAUAAAAAUUCACUCUAAAAUUAUUCUAGAGACAAAUUUAUUUUUAUGUAUUUGUCUUUAUCUCUUUAACCAUAUAUAUUUAUAUCUUUAUUGUCUUCAUCCUUUUUAUCACACGACAAUGACCAAACAUUACCUAAAGGAUCUACAACUACUGAUGACAAACUUGGCUUUAUUUCAUCUUUGAUUUCUUCUCAAUGAUAUCUCACCUAUAUGUGUGGAGGCACUAGAUCGUUGAUUGAAAGGUUGACUUUGAAAAAAUAUAUUCAUAAAGUAAUGUUUGAAUCUUGGUGUUUUUUAUUGGCUCAAAAAAAUUACCAACCCACCAAAACCAACAUGUAUGAAACAUUUAGAUUUAAUAUUAUAUGUAUAAUUUAUUAUCAUAAUUGAUAUGCUAUUCAACUCACUAACUUAGUAGGAUGACCUAUAAUACCUGUUGAUCUAGGAUUUUAGCCGAAUCAAGCUUUAAGCCAGAUAUAAUAACUAUGAUUUUAUAAAAUUACUAUGAACUUCCCUUUUAUGUCUUCUUAUUUACUCAUUUGAUUUUAUGAAGUUAAGAUGUUUGCAUUUAUAUCAUGAUUAAACUCUAGGAUAACAUUUAGUUAUUACUUCAGGAUAACAAAAAUAAAGAUAGUAAAGACAAAAUUAUGUUUGGUUGAAAAGACAUAGAUAUAAAAAUAAUUUUUUUCAUGGGAUAAUUUUAGAGUGAAUUUAUGUACUUUCAAAAUAGAAAGUACAAAUAAGAUAUAUCUUCAUAAACAAUAUUUUUUAUUUUUAUUCCUAAAAUAUCAUUGAAAAAACUUUCAAUUCCAAAAUUGUCUAAUUAAAACAUGUAAGAACAAAAAUAGUUAUUAUCACAGUUGUAAAAUCUAACUCGAGGGUCGACCUGGGACAAGGCUUGGGUCAUUGUUUGGGUUGACCAUUGACCCGAGUCAACAAAAAAAUAAAAAUAGUUAUUAUUAUAAUUUUAAAACCUAACUUGGAGGUCGACUCAGGGCAAGACCCGGGUCAUAGGUCAGGAGGGUCAACUCUGGUUGAACUGAGUUAAUGUAAGGAUAAAAGUGGUUAUUGCAAUAGUUUUAAAACUUGACUCAGAGAUCGACCUGAUGUAAGCUCAGGUCUUGGGCUAGGAGGGUUAAUGCAUGGAUAAAAAUAAUUAUUAUCAUGAGUCGAUUUGAGACAAAGCCUAGGUUAUGGGUUGGGAGGGUCAACCCGAGUUGACCCAAUUUUUUUUUUUAAAAGAAUCAACACAACUUUGUUUUGACCAUUUUUUUUUAAAAAAAAAUAGCUGGUUUUGCCCUAUGUUUUAUCCCGAGUCGACCUGUGUUUUAUCCCGAAUCAACUCGGUUUUUUAAUUCACCUAUCUAUUCUUAAACUUAGAUUAAUACAGGCUUAGAGACGACUAGGUCCCGAAUAGAUUCACUAGGUCAGUCUAGGUUUUAUAACUAGGAUUAUUAUAAUAUUAUUAAAAUUAAACUAAAGUAAAAAAAAAUCUAAUUAUUUGUAUAAAUAUGUAAGUUUAACAAUAAUGCAUAUUAAAGGUAAAAUAAUUUUUUUAUUUUUUAUUUUUUUUAUUUAUCAUUAUCAAAUAAGAUAUAGAGACAGUUACUACCAAACACAAUUUUAUUUUCAUCUCCUUUUAUAUCUUGUUUUCAUGGUCUUCUUCCUUUUUAUUCAGGACAGUAACCAAAUAUUACCUAGUUAUAACAUAUAGAAACAUAUAAGUUGUCAAGUUCAAGCCUUUCUCUUAUCGAUUUAAAUAAAUUGAAACACAAUUGCAAGAAGAUUCGAGUGUGUUUGGUAUUGUGAUAGCUUUUGUGGUUGUGAUUUGAAAAAAAAUUGUUUUAUAAAAAAUACUUUUGGUUGAGGUUGGUUUGGUAUUUAUAUAUAUUUGGUUCAAACUGUGGUUGAAAUUGAGGUUGAACAAAAAGUAGUUUAAUGUGUUUGGUUAAGAAUGCUUUUCAAAUUGAGGUUAUAAAAUAAUUAAAAAAAGAUAUUAAUAUUAAUGGUUUUUAAUUUAAAUAUUGUAGAUUUAACUACUGUUAUUACAUCAUGAAAUAAAUAAUACUUUAUAUAAAAUAUUUUUAUUGUUCCAUUAAACUAUCUACAAUUCCAUCACGUACGAAAUCCAUCCGACAAGGACUACAGUUUCCUUGGUUUUUUAAGUGCGCAACAACAUCAUGUAAAAUAUCAUCAAGAACAAAAUUAGGAUUGCGAUCAAAUUCUGUAAAUGUUACGUCAUUAAGCGAUCUCCUUCUAAUUUAUGUAGUGUCAUUGAAUAAUGUUAAACAUUAGUUUUUUUGAAUAAAAUACAAUUAAAAAUAAAAAAAUUGAAUUUUAUUUUAUUUUACUGGGUCGGACCCGGUUCAAUGCAUUUAGCUUUGAACCGGACCCAAUUCGGCCGGAAUAAUAAAACAUUCUCCACUGUUCACGUGAACAGUGGAGAGUGAAGUAAUUCACUCUCACUAGGUGGAGACAACAGAAGAAAAGAAAAGGCAGCUUUGAGCUGCUUUCAAUGACACUGCAUUUUAAACAUAAAUUAUAAUGGAUCCUGUAAACAGUAAAUAAUAUUUUAUUAAUUAUCACAUGAUUGAUUUCUGUGGUUUGUUACAAAAACAGAAGCAACCACAGAAAUAAUCAGGUUCAAAGAAGAAAAGACAUAUGAUUAAAGUGCCACGCAACCUUUUGACAUUAUCAGUAUUUUGAUGUAUUUCCAUUAAUUUAUAAUAUACAAGUAUAUUUCCACGUUUCUUUUAUUUGGAUAGAACAUCUUUCCAAUAGAAUUUGUUUUUAUUAGAAUUCCAUAUUCAUGAUAUUUUUUUAAUAAUAAAAAUAGCAUUGGAUGAGUUUGUAUGUCAAUUGAAACUAAAAAUGUGUUAGAUACGAUCGAUGGAUUGAACAUGAUAAUAUAAAUAUCAAAUAAUGUUUAAUUAGAUUAAAUUGAACUAGAGAAUAUAUGUUUUUAUUCUAUGUUUGGUGCACACAAAAUAAGAUCAAAUAAUUUUAUUUUUAUCAUUGAGAUUUUUUCAAUCAUUUAUUUUAGUCUUUGCAUUUUAUUUUUAUGAUAUUUUAGUCCUUACUAGAAUUUCUUUAUCAUCUAGAACAAUCUAGUUCUUAAAUCAAAAAGGUUUUUGCAAUUAAACUCUUACAUGUAAAUAUUUAUUUUAAUAAAAUUGGUCAAAUUUUGGUUUUCCAAAUUAAAAAAUAAAUAAGUGAUAAAUAAAUAAUAGAUAAUAUAAAAAUUAAGAAAAAAUAAUUUUGUACAAAUUUUUUGUCCUGAGGAAAACUUUGGACAAGACAAUGACAAUGAUCAAUCCUUGUCAUGUCCAAAGUGUAUAUCAAACAUUUCAUAGCUUGCCAUGUGCAACAAAUAUAUCACAACUUGUUUUUAUUGUAUUCUAUUAUGAUCUCUUUUGUGUUUUAUAUUAUUUAAUAUAUUAAAAUAAAUUUAAUAAAUUAUACUGAAGCAAGAUCUAAUAUUAGAAAGUUAACGGAAAUAAUAAAUGUACCUUUGCCCGUCCCUUCAACAAAAUGCUGAGCUGUAUACUAAUUCUCAGAGGCAGUGAUAACUAGUUGUUCUAACUAAUCCCUAUACUUUUAAAUAUGUUUACAAUUCAGUCCCUUCAUUAAUUUUUCGUUAGUAAAAUGUUGAGCUGUCAGCAAUAUUUCCUUAGUUUGUGCCGCUAACUUGACGGUAAAAUGUGAUUAAAGGAUCAAUUAAUUAUUUAAAUCAACUUGAGGGAUUAAUCUGCAUUUGCUUAACAAAACGACAAACACUAGUUAACUCAAAUUUAAGGUAUGUUUGUUUUUAUAUUUCAAAAACGUUUUGAAAAAAUUUGAAAAUUUUUUAUUUUUUUCUUUGCUUCAAAUUAAUAUUUUUUGGUAUUUUUAGAUCAUUUUGAUAUGCUAAUAUUAAAAAUGAUUUUUUUCAAAAAACAUAUUUUAAUAUAUUUCUGAGUGAAAAACAUUUUAAAAAAUAUCUGUAACCACACUCUCAAACAAUCACAUUCCCAUACAGGUUAAUCAUCAUAUGCGUGCAUGCGUGCGUGCAAGUGGGGUUCAAUCCGGGUGCCCUAGCAUUAUAUUAUAAUACUUAUAUAUAUAAGAAACCCUGUAUGGAUUCGUACAACACUGGAAUGCAAUGAUUGAAUGAAAUAUUACAUGGACAUUGGACCUGCUGUGUAAACAUGUUUAGGAUGGAUGCGACGACAUUUCAGAGUUUUUGCUUUCAACUUGGAAACCAAUGUCAUAACCCAAUUCUGGGUUAUUCCCCAAAAAUCAUUUUUUUUUCAAAAUAAAAAUCAAAAUAAUAAUAAUAAAAGCUGGAAACGUGGAGAAGGCAAACCGGGGAAUCAAGUUGUAAUUUUGGAGGAAAUUCAAGGCCUAAUUGUACCCCAUUAUGCCAAAAAAUGGAGGAAAAAAAUGCAAAUUCAAGGUCAAAUUAAAUGACUAUUGGAUGAAUUUGCAUAAAAAUUAAGUCCAAGAACAUAAUUAAAUUUUUAAUAGGCCAAUUUGAUUUAAUCAUGGGCCAAAUUGAAUUUUAAUUAUGUUUAAGAAUUAAUUUGGGUCCAAUUGAAGGAUUUAGUUAAGUGCAAGGACUUAAUUAUACUUUAAAUGGGUAAAAUUAAUUUUAUUUGGGGCUUAAUUGGUGAAAAAUUAAGUUUGGGAGCCUAAUUUGGGCUUAAUUGAGAAGAUUGGAAUUUUAAGAGAUCAAAUUUAAUUUUUUCCAAGUUAAUUGCUUGAAAUCAGGGGCCAAAUUGCAAGAAAAUUGAAGUUUUGGGGUCAAUUAGGGGUUAAAUUGACAAAAUUUGCAGCCAAGGACCAAUAUGCAAAAAGUGCCAAACUAUAGGGCCUAUUGGCAAAAUCCAGGGUGAAAUUGAAGAAAUUGAAAGUUUAAUGGUUGAUUAGGGGUUAAAUUGCAUAAAUCCAAGACUAAAGACUUAUAUGCAAAAGGCGCGUAAAUUUGGGGUUCCAAUUGAAGUUCAGCAAGGGCGUAAUUGCAUUAAAUCAAAAGUUUAUGGUCAAUUAGGAGUUCAAUUAAAACAAAUUGAAAUCUGGAGGACUAAAUUAAAACUUAGUUAAAAUCCCUAAUUCAAACCUAAAACAACAUUGUUUUGAAUAAUAAUAAUAAAAAAAGAAUCAGACAACACGUCGUCUGGUCAUUAUUUAUUGUCUUCUUCUUUUACCCGGUUAAUCAUCAUAUGCGUGCGUGCAAGUCAGGGUUAUUGUGUUGUCUAUUCCGUGUGUAAUGUGGGGUUCAAUCCAUGUGAAUCGCACGACUUGUCCAUAUCUUUCUUAUUGAUUACAAAUAGCAUUGAGAAUUAAAGAAUAUUAUCUUAAUAAGUUCCAAUUUAUUCUACAAAAACUAUAUAUAAAGAUGUGACAAAAUCUUAAGUUCCAUUUUAUUCUACAAAAACUAUAAAGAUGUGACAAAAAGAUGCAGCUUACGGAUCAAGCCUGGUUCAGGUUUUGAUCCUGUUAAAAAUCUAUUUUGUUGAAUUGUUCAUCAACUCGUGAAUUAUUGGGUUAAAUAGAUUAAUUUUUUAAACAAAACAAUGCCAUUUUUUUUAUAUAUAAAAAAUUUGGUUCUGGCGUAUAAAUAUAAUAUUAGAAACUUAAACCUUAUUGAUUAGCAAAAACUCAAAGGGAAAUUUUGAAAUAGAUUUUUGUAAAAUCAAAUAUGAACCAAGUACUAGAAAGUUUGUUUGAAAUAACAAUUACUUUAUAGAAAGCAAAUAUAAAUAUAUUUAUUAAAUUUAAUAAAGUUUAAAAUCAGCAAGUUAAGCUACGAAACCCUGAUCAAUUUAAUAUAAUGCCGUUCAAUACAAAAAAAAAAUACAUCUUAAAAAAAAUUUAAGUUAAAUCAUGUUUCUACCUAUUAUUUAGGUUGUCUUCAGACUUAUAAAGUCGACUAGGUUAUAUUAGAAAAACUUUUAUAUAAUUAAAUUUAAAACUCGAGUUAGGAAAUUUUAAUAUUGAUUUGUUGAAUCGGAUUUAAUAACAAUACCAAAAAUCUAAAAUUUACUUUUUUAAUCAAUUUUUUUUAAUUCAACUCGUAUCAUAACACAGUAUAGUAAAAUAAAUAGAUAUAAAAUAUUUUGAUGGAUCCUCGGGAUAAGAGAUUGUUUUAGGACAUUUUGCUAAUUUCUUUUGUUAUCUAAUCAACAAGCUCAUAGUGAAUAAGUAUAUAAAUAUAUACAAUUAAAUUAAAUAACAUAUAAGAGAAAAAUGGUCGAAAGGUAAAGCUAAAGUGAUGCGACGUUGAGCCACUAGUCGAUAGUUGUAACGUCAGUUUGUUGGUUCGUCGUUCGUUUCUCGGAUUUAUUGAUCUUUAGAUUGUCUGUUUCUAGAAAAGAAAGAAAGAAAUAUUUAUAUUAUCAAUGCAAUGCAAUGCAAUGACUAAUAAGAGCUUGAAAUUAAGAGGUUUGCUUUCUCUAUAGUUUCAGGUUCGAACCCUGUGGUUGCUCAUAUGAUGGCCACUGAAGAUUUACAUGGUCGUUAACUUUAGGGCCCGUGGAAUUAGUCGAGGUGCGCAAAUUAUUAUCAUUUUAUCAAUGUAUACUACAUCUUUUUCUCAAUUGUUUGAGUUUGAAAUUAUAUCUGUGAACCCAUUAAUUUAUCUAGAAAAAAAAAAUUUAGGUAAUUGGAUCAAUCCUUGAUAUCAUAUAGAGAUAAAUUAAUUGUUUUGAUUAAAACAAUAUCAUUUUAUUUAAAAAUAAAUUUAUAAUAUUAAUUGAAUCACUAAAAACACAACUAGACCAAUCAUGUUUUAAAUAUUUUUAAAUAUUUUUAUAUUUAAUUUGAAAUUGAUUUAAAUUAAACUUUAAAUUAUGGGUUUUUCAAACUAACAUGUGUUGGGUUACGUCGAUUGAGUUAGGUAUAACAUAUCUAGAAGAAUUUAUUAAAUUUCUCUAUAAUUAGUCAAUCGAUGAGGGAAUUUAGUUUUAAUUGAUGGAGAAAUUAAUUUAAAGAUACCAUGCAAGAUAUAAAAAAAAACAUUUAAAGAUAUCAAUUAUUGUUUUCCGUUUAAUUAUAAAUAGAAUGAAGAGAGCGAUGCUCGCUGCACUUUUAUAAGCGACUAAAGUAGUUUCCAUCUUAGAUACAGUUAGAAUCUCCCAUAUCUGUCAAAAUGCCAAAAAAGCUAUUCGCAAAGAAACUCUCAAAAACUGACAUUAAUUAAAUAUAGAAUGGCAGUUCCAAUGGAAAGCCUCUACGCUUUCCAAAUCCCAGAAGGAGAACACUCUAAAGAAUUUGGUGUCACUGGCAUCCAUGGCAAGAGGUGGAGGUUCCGAUGUUGUACAAGAAAAACUGAGUUGAUCACCUUAAACCAGUCAUGUUUUCAGUUUGGAUUGAGUUCGCCAAAAAAAAGGGUUCUCAAAAAAGGUGAUGAAGUCACCUUCUCUGUGCUGGACAUGAAGGGAGCUGAGGAUCUGGAAUUGGGAAUUCAAGCUCGGAAAAGAAUCAAGCUAUUCGGCCAAGAUUUUUGGAGUAAUCCUUUGUGAAGAAGAAGAAGAAGAAGAAGAAGAAGCUACUCCUCGCAUAAGUAUAGAUUUUGUGCACCGAAGAUUGUGUCUGUGAGUAAUAGAGCUGGUUGCCUAUGUACAAUUAGUAUGCUUUGGCAGGAACUUCGUGACUGGUCCUUGGAUAGCUGAGAAAGCCAAGUCUAUGGCAACUUCAGGGGAAUCCAGGAGCAGGAAAAAAAUCAAGGUGAAAGGAUAUGAAUUUGCUAGUGCAACUGCUGCAAAGGAUCUAGGAGACAUAAAUUUGCGAACUAGAGAAGAGUUAAUUUUGAGCUCUGCAUUCUUCUUGCAUGUUCAUCUGUUUCCCGUUGUGGUUGAUCUUAGCAGUUCUCAGUAUAGUAAUUUGCAUUUCCUUCUAGAUCAGAUGAUUAAUGGAUUAUCAGGCAUGGACUGCGAUGUAGUCGGUGCUAGGGAAUCAACAAAGUUAACUCAUUGUAUUUUCAUAAAUUAAAGGGAUUUCUCUUCUUUUCUUUGUCAAUUACAGUGCAUGAUGUAUAAAAGUUUUCUUACUCAGAGUAAAUGCUAUUGUAAUGUUUUCACAGAGACUCCUCUAUUUUGCAACUAAUUCACUUAUAUAUCUUGGAAACAGAAAGGCAAUCAACGAAGAGUAAGGCAUCUUCUGAAGAAACAAAGAAAUUUAAUGCCCUAAACUAAGCAGCAGGUAGAAGGCAAAAACUGAGCUCAAAUUUUCAGUAAGGGACAAACGAAAAAAACCAAAAAGAAAGCAGAGAAAAAUACAGACUCAAAUUCACAACACCCAUUUUCUUUCCAUUGGAACACUUUAAAUAGUUUAUUAAAUUUAUAAUGAUCUGAUUUCUACGCAUAUUACAAAAUCAACUUCAUGAUCAAUUCUCUAUAAUUUCGGCAUUACUAAAAACAUCCAAACUAAUAAACUAUUAGUUAUUUUAGCCAUUUUAAUAAACAUUUUAGUUAUGAAUUCACCAAACAUUUUGAACAAUUCAUAUGGAUGAAUUAACAUGUUAAUUUUAGAUUUUUUAACUUAUUAAUUCCUUCAUGAAUUACUUCUAAAGCAUGUUAUAUAUAUCUAAGCACUUUUAUAUAAUAUAAUUCUAUCAAAUUCACUUUUACCCAAUGUAUAAUAUAAACAUCCAUAAAAAAUAACUUAUAUUGUCAAUGCAAUGAAAUGACUAAAUAACAUUUAAUUAUUAUAAUAGCUUUGUCCUCAUACCUAAGGAAGUAUACUACGUCUUUUUCUCGAUUCUUUGAGUUUGAAAUUAUAUCUUUGAACCCAUUAAUUUAUCUAAAAAAAAAUUUAGGUAAUUGGAUCAAUCCUUGAGGUCAUCAUAUCAUAGGGAUAUAAAUCAAUUAUUUUUAUUAAAAAUAAUUUUUUUUUUAAUAUUUUCAUAUUUAACUUGAAAUCGAUUCAAAUUAAAUUUUAAAUUACAGGUUUUUCAAAUUAACAUGUGUUGGGUUAGGUCUAAUAUAUCUAGAAGAAUUUAUUAAAUUUCUCUAUAAUUAGUCAAUCGAUGAGGGAAUUUAGUUUUAACUAGUUACAUGACCCGCGCGAUGCCACGGGUCAAUUUUGUUUUGCAUAAAAAAUAUCAAAAAAAGCUAAGAUCUAAAAGUGUUAGGUCUUUCUAUAAAGUUAUACCCAAAAGUCUUGGGUUUGGCUACAACGCCUGAUCCAAAAAUAAUAUUUAUAAUAUUAAUAAUAACAUUAAACUUGCAUAUAUCCACGAAUAUGUACAAUAUUUGAAACCUAUAAUGCAAGAAUAGCUGCAGAUGUACAAUAUUUUUAAUUUAAAGAAUCAAUUAAUUAUUUAAAAAACUUGAGGGAUUAAUUUGUUUGUUUUACUCAAAUUUUUAUUGUUUACUUGUAAAUAUUUUGAAAGGCACAACAUGAAAAAAUCAUAUAUGCUUAAGCAACUAUUUGGCAUCUUAAACUUAAUCUCGUAAAUUAAUCUUAAAUCCUUUUUAUUUAACUCUUUCCCAGUAUCAAGUUUAAAAUUAAUCAACAUAAAAGUUGUUUUAAUAUAACUUAGUUAAUUUAAUGGGUUCAAAAUUAAUACAUAUGACAUGAGAUCUACCAGCCAUCAUCUGGCCGGAAACGGGCCGCGAUCGUCGACUGCCACCGAAGCUUCAAGUCGUCGAUUCUCGCUCAUCAGCCAUCAACGGCCGUCAAGACCACCACCAUAAGAAUCCUCGACAUCAGAUCUACCAGGAUCGACCAUCGGUUGGCCAGAAAUCGCGCCGGAAAAUCUCCCCGCCGCCAACAGUAGCCGCGCGUGUGCCACACGCGCCGCCAGUGGCAUUUUUGUAAAUUUUGGAGAAACCCGAGGGUAUUUCAGUCUUUUACCUAUACAGUGGCACUCAGGUAAUUUUUCGGGGUUUCUACUGGUAUUUUUGAUAUUUUUUAUAUAUAAAUGCUUGUAAAUUUUCUUGCAUGUUGUAAAAAAUACAAAAACCAAAGUCGACACGUCUCUUUUUUUAAAAGGACCGAUGUCAAAAAUGUAAAUACCAAAUAUGGCAUAUGUCCAUUAUUUUUUUUUGGUGACCCAGACGUAAUUCUCCUUUUUAGGGUUGAAACGUCAUAUUUUAGACAAGUCUCCUAAUUUUUAGGGACUGAUGUCAUUUUUAACGUGUCUCCUAUUUUUAGGGACCGACGUUAACCAUUUAAAAAAACAAAUUACCAAUAAACCCAAAAUAUAAUGGAUUAUAUCCAUUAUUUCUUUUGGUAACUCAGACGAGUCUCCAAUUUUUAGGGACUGAUGUCAUUUUUAACGUGUCUCCUAUUUUUAGGGACCGACGUUAAUCAUUUACAAAAAUUUACAAAUAAGCCCAAAAUAUAAUAGCAUUUGAAUCAAAUAAAAACACACAAGUAAGGGUAACCUUUCUUUUGAAAGGAUGUUUUAAGGGUGGUGUCUACCUUCCCUUAAUCAUAACUAACCCCGUACCCGAAUCUCUGGGACCAGUGUCUAAUUUGGGAUUUCUAGUUCCCUCAAAUUACUAGAUGGCGACUCCAAUAAAAUCUUUGUUUCCCCCAAUCGAGAAAAAAACCCUUUUUGUUAAACAAACAAAAAAAGCGGGAGCCGUCGCCCGACGUCGUGUAUCGACAAAUGUCUGCAAAUCUUGUGGUCAUAUACAGGGUGCCGGUUUUCUUUCCACGAGCCAAAACCAUUGCUCCCUUUGAUACCUUCCACAUACCUCCAGAAAAAAGGAUUGAAUGACCACUAUCAUCAAGUUGUCCGACCGAGAUCAGCUUCUUCUUUAGAUCAGGAACAUGCCUUACAUUUUGCAAGGUCUAUAUAGAUCCAUUCAUUGUCUUGAUUUGUACAUCUCCUAAACCCACAAUAUCCAAUGGUUGUCCAUCGGCCAGAUAGACUACACCGUGAUCUCCAGCAAUAUAGUUUUGCAUCAUUUCAUGGUGUGGUGUACAGUGAAAUGAAGCACCAGAAUCAAGAACCCAAUCAUCAACAGGACUAUGCACAGCAAGAAUCAAAGCAUCUUGCACCUCAUUUGUGGUAGCGUUUGCAGAGUCAGCUUCAGGUUUUUUCGGUUUUGUGCAAUUCCUCAUGAAAUGACCGGGUUUGCCACAAUUCCAACAUUCAACCUGUUUUCUGGGUCCAAACUUGCUUUUACUUCUAUAUCUUGAUUUUGAUCUGCCUCUGGAUAAGCCUCUAUCAUGUCUCCUCCCUCGAGUGUUGAUGUUGAGAGCUGAUCCUGAGCUUGAACUUUCACCCGAGUCUUUCCUUCGCACUUCUUCAGCCAAAAUCAAGUCUCGAAUGUCAUCAUACUUCAGUUUGGAUUUUCCAGCUGAAUUGCUCACGGCUGUCCUCAUGCCUUCCCAACUGCUUGGAAGUGAAGCUAGCAAGAUGAGUGCACGAAUCUCAUCAUCAAACUCAAUCUCAACAGAUGAUAAUUGAUUUGUGAUGGUAUUAAAGUUAUUGAGGUGUUGUGUCACAGAAGUGUUUUCGACCAUCUUCAAGUUGAACAACUUUUUCAUCAGGUGCACUUUAUUAUUUGCUGAUGGCUUCUCAUACAUCCCAGACAAGGCUUCCAUCAAUCUUGCAGUGGAUCUUUCUUUCGUAACAUUGUGAGCAACUCUUCUUGAUAAGGAUAACCGGACAAUGCCCAGAACUUGUCUAUCAAGAAGUAGCCAAUCUUCUUCUUGCAUAUUUUCUGGUUUGCUCCCCAACAAGGGAAGAUGAAGUUUCUUCCCAUAUAGAUAAUCCUCAAUUUGCAUUUUCCAGUAUCCAAAAUCUGUCCCGUCAAAUUUUUCAAUUCCAGCUGCUUUUAUUUCAUCUGCCAUUUUUACUGCUUCUCCGAUUCGAAUUUCCCAAAUCUGACCUUACAGAUGUGUCCGGAACAGCCGAAAACCUUGGAAAUGACACUGAGAUAACCCCAAUCGGACUUCGGAUGGCUCAGAUUUUAGCAAUCAAAGUUUUGGAUUAACGGACGGUGCAGAUGCAGCCGCGUGUCAACCAGAGUACCGCCUGCGUCGCACCGGAUCAAAACCUCAGUAGCGGUUCUGAUGAAGCCACGUGUCAGCAGAUUAGGUCCUGCGUCACACCGUAUCAAAACUCAGUAACGGUUAUGAUGAAGCCACGUGUCAGCAGAUGAUGGCCUGAGUCACACUGGAUCAAUACUCAAUAGUGGUCCUGAUUUAACCACGUGUCAACUGAUUGGAUCUUGCGUCGUACUGGAUCAAAACCCCUCAACGGUUGUGAUGUAGCCACGUGUCAGAAUAUCAGCUUCUGCGACACAUCGGAACAAAACUCAGAGAUGACGUGGCAGGUGACGUGGCAGGUGACGCGGACGGUGACCGUACGGCUGUGCUGACGUGGCGGGUCAGCCCGACCCGUUUUGCAGAAGUCGGGCGAAGAUGGAGCGUGGCGCGCGUACGGCGCGUUGGUGCGCGUGGGCAGUCUGGGCGUCGGCGCGUGUUGGCGCGUGCGGGCAUGCAGGACGUCGGUUCUUCGCCGGGUUUUCAACAGUGGAUUCGUCCGGUUGUCCUCUACACGAUGGUAUGUUCAAAAACACGUUUUGAGAACUUUGAUUUUUGAGUUUGGAUCAAACACCCUCUUUGUCAAGAACAAGCUCUGAUACCAGUUGUUGGGUAAUUCCAGAACUCAAACACACAUCAAUUUACGUGGUUCGGCAACUUGCCUACUCCACGGAGCUACUGGUUUGUAUUAAUCAAGCUUAGAAACAAUACAAACAACAAAACAAGGAGGAGGAGAAAAUCUUCUCUACUCAACUCAAGCUCUCUCUCUCUCACGUUUUUCUCUCUGUGUUUUCACUCUUCUCUGUGUUCUUCACGCUUCAACCCUCCAGCUCUUCACUGAGCAUACAUAUAUAUUAAGCUAGGAGUGAAGGGCAUAAAUCAUGCCAUGAUUUAUGCCCACCGUUUGCCUCCACUUGUGCUAAGUGGAGAUUAGGUAUUCCCACUAAGCACAUAGUGGAGGUGGGACAUUGCUUGUCUCCAAAUAGCUAACAUAACUGAGGUGGGGUCGCCCUUGAAACAUUGGUAGAUGUAAGUGUUGCUCACAUGCAUAGAAUAUUUUUUUUCUACUUAGUAGUGGUUUUGGCAAUUUUUUUCAGACAAGUCUUGAGAGUUGAAAGAGUAAUCACACCCGAGUCAACCAACAAUCCAAAUCAGCUCCCUUCCUAAUGGUUCAGGAAUGAGAAGUCCAGCUUAUAUAUUUGAUAUAGAGACGGUACACUACAAAUUAAGCACCCAAUAACUAGACAAACAAUCAUGAUAAACUAGGAACAAUUGUCUUCCCAGUAACAAAUUCACCUUCUCACGUUGGAGAACUUGCGAAAACUAGCCACCACAAAAUAGUAGCAAGUAUUUAUGCAGUCUUCGAUGAAGUACGACCACCUGCGUCGCCAAUAUGGAUUGAUGUAAAGAACUGCUGCAAUCGUCAUUACCACAACUGUGUAACAUACACCGAAGCUGAUGUAGAAAAACUCCAUGUCUAUGAAACCAUCAUCUCCUUGUUCAUCAUUAGGCACUGGCUGUAACGGCACUGCUUCCUCACUACAAUUGUUUCGCAAUGGAGGUCCACACAAGAAAGGAUUUCCUUCGUAACAGUUUUCAUCAUCAAAGGUCCCAAAUUGAUAUUUUCUCUCGGGUGUCCUACCUGACAAGUUAUUGUACGCCACACUAAAAACUUCCAGUGUGGUAAUUUCAGUAAGUUGUGGAGGGAUGGCACCAUUCAAGUUGUUGUAAGAAAGAUCCAAACUCUCAAUCUGCUUUAGGUUUGAGAAUGUUGCAGGGAUAGAUCCAGUGAGAUUGUUGUGUGAUAAGUUUAAUGACAGUAUCUUACUCAAGUUUCCAAAUUCUGGUGGGAUUGCUCCUACAAAGUUGUUAUUGGAGAGAUCAAUACCAUACAUGUAGCUCAGAACUUUCCCCUUGUAACCAUAAUACAUAUUUUUAGUUGUAAAUUCUAUCACUUCUUCUGUAAAGUUAACCCAAAAAUCCUUUCCCAAGUUGUACAUACUAUCCCCUAGUGGUGGACCCAUUGUUUCAUAAUAAGCUUUUUCUAUGGACCAUGACGGAAAACCAUAUCCGAGAUCCGCGAGCGUUUUCUGGGAACUUUCCUUGAGAGUUAGAUUGCCCAAACAUGAGGGUAGUGGACCAGAGAGCUGGUUUUGUGAAACAUCCAAAAUACUUAAUUGUUCUAACAAGCAUAACUGAACAGCGAGCUCACCAUCAAAGUUAUUAGCCCUCAGAAGAAGAACACUCAAUGAUGAAAGAUUGCCAAUCCAAUUUGGAAUAGAGCCAAUGAAGCUGUUGUCUCGAAGAUCCAUCGUAACUAGGGAAGAGCUGUUAUAAAAACCAUAUGUUAAUGGACCGCUCAAUCUAUUUUUGGAUAGAUGAAUAUGGGUUAUUUGUGGUGGAUUGAAACAAGAUGGCAUAUAUCCAGACAAGUAGUUAUCAGAAAGGUCCAAAAAUUCAAGCCGGUCAAGCUUACAAAAGUCUCUUGGGAUUGGACCCUUAAAAAGGUUUUUGGACAAAUCAAGUACUUCAUCGUACGUAAAAUUAAAAAAGCUUCUUGGAAGCAUGCCUGAAAAUUGAUUGUUACUCAAAUCCAAUACACUCCAUACUUUCCACCCAUAUAAUGGAAAAUCUGAUAUCUGACCCCAAAAGUAGUUACCACCUAGGUAGAGAUAUUGUGAGAUAGAAGAAUUGAACACCGAGGUCGGUAUUUGCCCACCCAAACUAUUGUUUGACAGCUUGAGAACCUGUAUUGUUGUUAAUUGUUCUAGUUUUACUGUAGACAAUUGAUUGUUGGAUAAAUCUAAAAAUGAAAGAGAGCUAAAAUUUCCUAAACAAGAAGGAAUAUAACCUGUGAAUCCAUUGUCAGCCAUCCUUAAGAUCCACAGAUUUGGAAAGAUCAAACAAAUAUCUUUUGGAAUUUGACCAUUUAUGUUGUUGUUGGAUAUAUCUAAUUCGGUCAUAUUCGGAUAUGGGUGAUCUAGCAAUUGCAAAGUACCAACAAAGGAGUUCUCGCUCAGAUAUAGUUGCUCCAUUCGUGUAUUGUUCUUAAGCAACCAUGAUGGAAACAUUCCGAAGAUGUUGUUGUGGGAGAGAUCAAGGGUUCUUAAGUCGUAUUGGUAAUAGAGGAAGUCGAGAAUUUCUACAUUGAGUGCUUCCGAUGUUGGACUACUUGACAAGCGGAAAAAGACUAGUUGGAACUUUGGAAUCAAAUUAUCAAAGGCAGCAGAUUCCGUUACUAGUCUGUUGUUCUCACUGGAGAAGAACUUGAGGCUUGAGUGGUUCAUAAAAGGCUUCAUUGAAAUGGGAACUUCAAAGAGGUUAUUUGAUAGUGAGAGGAAUUCAAGGGAUAUGAGCUUGGUAAGAGGACCAAAUGCAAUAUUUCCAGUAAACUGGUUAUCAGAAACAUCUAAUAGUUGUAGAGAUGACAAGUUCCCCAAACAAUCUGGGAGUGCACCUCCAAAAUUAUUUCUAGCGAGAUCUAACUGCUUCAGAUUCUUCAAUUCACACCAACCUAUACAAUUUAUCUUGAAACAAUCAAAACAAUGUUGAAAGAAUCUUUUAUUGAUGAUGUAAUUAUAGGCGGAUGGAGAGUUGUUAAUUUACCUUGAGCGGGUAGGGUGCCAUGGAGGUCACAUUCAGCAACAGACAAAACUUUAAGAGCAGGCAAUGCUCCAGUGUUCUGGAGAAAGUUUAUUGGGAGAGAAGUAUUAUCUAGAUGCAAUUCUUCAAGGGUGCUAGAAUUGAAGAAAGUCCCUGUGAAAAAGAAAGAAGAAGAGAUAUGAUGAAAAUAGUGGUGGUACAGAAUAGCCAUUCCAUUCAAUAUUAUUAAUUAAGAUUUUAAGAAACUAAACUAUGAUUAACCUUGACUUAAAUUAGUAUCCUUGAGAGAAAGGGUCUUCAGCGAUGGCCAUGAACGCAAUGACUGCAGGAUGUCCAGAUUCCUUAAACCUAUGAUAUUUGGAUAGAAACAACAAAUUGCUUGAAGAAUCUAGAGAUUUCAAAAGGUAUUGUUAAGAAAUGAAGUAAAUAAUAGAAGAUGCCAAGAGAUAUUCAUAACUUUACCAUUGAUAGUCGUCGAUCCUAGCAACAUAUUGCCUGAUAAAUUUAAAGACUUGAGAUGAGAAAGUCCACGCAGAUGUGAUAAAAUGCUGUCAUUGAAUAUAUUAUUAUGGCUCAGGUCCAGGUUCUCGAGUUUCCCCAAAUGUGAUGAUAUGAUCUCAAAACCUGCAAGAGUAAGUCGUUAAAGUCGUUAUAUAAAAUAUAAUUCUAAUUUUGAUCUUAUUGGAAAUAUUACGAAACAAUUUUUAAAUAUCAUUCUAGUUUCGAUCUUAUUGGAGAAAAAAAAACAAUUUAUGGAUAUAAAGUCGAUAAAGAUGGAAGCUAAGUUAUGGAUAGACUUACAAAACAAGAUAAAGAAACUUAUAAUUAAGAUCUCAUCGGUAAUUAAAACAAGAAUAAUAAUCGAUCCUAGAUAGCAACAUAUUGUCCAAAUAUUUCACCAUAAAAUCACCCAUCACCAUUCACCACGACCAUAAGGCAAAAUCCUCCACCACAUAAUAAUAUUUUGAUUAAAAAAAGGUCCAAAAUAAUAUAAAACCAUGAUUAAAAAGGAGAGGAAAUAAUAAAUGGCUACAAACAAGAAUUAAAUAUCAUAUAUGUGGGUUUUAUGUUGUUCUCUUUAUUGAUAAAACAGUCGAGAGUUUUUCUAAUAGAGAAAUUGGCUGUCGAGAGUGAUUUGUAUUGGAUAGUUUUUUUGAUAGUUUUUAUUAAAUAGAUAUAAAGUCCUCAUUUUUGUUGAUAAAGAAACAAUAUAAUUAAGAGAAUGUCAUGUGAAGCAUUUAGGUAGGUAGAAACUGUGUAUUAUACCUGAUCCUGUCAGCUGAUUGCCUGACAGAUACAAAGAUUUUAGGGAUGAAAACCCAGUUAGAGAUGGAAAAAUGCUAUCGUUGCAUUGAAUCUCACUUAGAUGAAGGUUCUCCAGCUUUUUCAACCUUGAUGACAAGUCUUUGAGACCUGCAUGAUGUUCCUCAAUAGCAUAUUGGAAGGAAAUAAACGCAUAGAAAAAAAAUGAUAUGAGAAGGAGAAAAGAAAAGGUUUCAAAGCUAAAUAAUUAAAAGGUUACCAUAGAAGCUACCUCCUAAUCCAGCUGUCAACCCAUCGGUAAUUAAAACAAGAAUAAUAAUCGUUAAAUAUCAUUCUAAUAAUAAUCCAUGGCAAGUUCAAAUCCGUUGGUAACUGAAUUCCUCUAUCUAUUUAGUUAGUAAGAUGCUUAGUUGUCACUAAUUUAGUAAUUAUAAUUUGUUCCUCUGUUUUCUAGCAACUACUUUCCCAAUUUUAUCCAUUCACCACGACCGUAAGGCAAUAUCCUCCACCACAGAAUAAUAUUUUGAUUAAAAAAAGGUACAAAACCCAUUAUUAAAAAGAGAGGAAAUAAUAAAUGGCUACAAACCGAAAACCGGUCCAAUAUGUGGGUUUUAUUUAAAAAGAUAAAUAUAAAAUAUAUAUUUAUAGGAGAGUUUUGAAGUGAACUUCUGAUUACUAAUUUAAUCUAAAUAUUACAACACUUUUGGCAUAAAAGGGCUAAAAUAAGAAUAAAAUAUAUGCCUCUUGGACCUAAUUCCAAGUGCCUCUUUUCUUGAUAUAAAGUCCUCAUUUUUGUUGAUAAAGAAACAAUAUAAUUAAGAGAAUGUCAUGUUAAGCAUUUAGGUAGAAACUGUGUAUUAUACCUGAUCCUGUCAGCUGAUUGCCUGACAGAUACAAAGACUUGAGGGAUGAAAAUCCAGUUAGAGAUGGAAAAAUGCUAUCGUUGUAUUGAUUCUCUCUUAGAAGAAGGUUCUCCAGCUUUUUCAACCUUGAUGACAAGACUUUGAGACCUGCAUGAUGUUCCUCAAUAGCAUAGAAAUGAUAUGAGAAGGAGAAAAGAAAAGGUUUCGAAGCUAAAUAAUUAAAAGGUUACCACAGAAGCUACCUCCUGAUCCAGCUGUCAACCCAUUGAAUGAUAGAUCCAAAGACUUGAGAGUGGAAAGGUUACCAUUGAAACAUGACAAAAUGCUUUUAUCAUUAGUAAAUUUGUUAACACGUAGGUCAAGAUUGCUCAGUUUUGAUGAUAGGACUUCGAAGCCUGGGAAGAGAAUCAUCAAAGCAAGAUAAUUGACAUUAAACACCAACCAACCAACCUUCAUUUAUUUUAUGAUUAUAAUUAAGUGCAGAAACAUUGAACUAACCUUCAUUCUCCAUGCAACCAACCAAUCCAGUACCUCCCAAAUCAAGACCUCGCAAUUCUUUGAAAGGCUGAAACAAAGAUGCGUUGAGAACCCAAUCGCCCAAGUGGAAAUCCCUUGCCCCCCAAAGAGAGAGUUGGAUCACUCGCCUUGUAGUGUUAUCACACUCGAUCCCACGCCACUCACAACAAUUACUAUUGGUGUCCACCCAAUGAUCUCUCCAGGAAACGCCAUGUGGGUUGAUCAAAGAUUGGAUCUCCAAGAGACCAAUCCUCUCCUCCUCCAAACACCCAUAACAACGACCAUGCCAUUCGCCAACCAAAGUGAAUAAUGCUAGCAACAUCCAAGCCCCAAUUCUUUUCAUCAUCAUCUUAGAUAAUUCUAUGAACUGCUACGUAGAAUAUUGUUGUUUGUUAUGUGCCUUUGGGCAACCAUAGAGGUCCUAUUUAUACUACACUCUGGCCAUUUCCAUGACUUUGAGAUGUUUUCUUUAUUUCAUUUCUUUUUGGAAUAUUUUUGGAUUUGAAUAUUAUUCUAUUUUAUUGUCUAGCACUUAGUCUAUUUGCCAGGUUGGGAAAAAUAUUCAAAUUAGUUUUGUUGGCAUGUAAACCUCACCAAAUAAUUUGCGUAGACCGUAUUGACUGGGAGUCAAUUAUUGUCGUAGUGCUUUUAUGCACGAUCUGUGUGCGUGAACGGAAAGAAAAGCAGGGUGUGAAAAGCAUUAAAGGUUGUGAACGCGGAUGCUUGACUUGCUGUGUACCAUUUUGAUUUUUAAACACGGCCAUGCAGUCAUUUCCUGGCGAUUUCCUUAUGCAUACUGGUGGUCUUUCAUAAUCUUUUUCCAAACAAUCCUCGUUAGGCCGGCUCGGGGGUUAACUUAGAGUAAGGCAUCGUUUGACAUUGCGUUUGUAACUGCGUUUUAUUAAAUUUUGAAUUUUUUAUUUUUGCUAAAAUUAAGUGUAGCUUGUACUUUUUGGAUCUUUUUGAUGUGCUGAUGUUAAAAAUAAUUUUUAAAAAAUAAAAAAAUAUCAUUAGCAUGUAUUUCGGCACGAAAAGCUAUUUGAAAAGUACCCGCAACCACACUGCCAAACACGCUCUAAGAUUUGUAUCAUCGUUUUUUAUCAGAUUCAAGAUCAACUUGGAUCAAUCUUAAUUUUAUGCUAUUGUUUUUUAUAUAUAAACAUAAAUAAAAAUCCAGAUCUCUUUUAUAAUCUUAAAGGUAGUAUAUUAAUAGUAGAACCAUUAUCUAUCCAGAUACAAUUCAUCAUCUUUUCAUCGACAUAUCUUUUAAUUAAGAAAAGCUGUUUAUAGAGUUUUAAUCUAAGCAAUAGGUUUUCAUCGUUAAAGGAUACCUAUGUGGUGCUAAGUUCUUCUAAAGUUGGAGAACUUAUGAAAAUUAAUGCAAGGCUUCAACACUCCGAAGCCUGCAAGAGAAAUAUCAAAGCAAAAUAAGUAGCGUUAAACAGCAGCCAUUUCUUCAUUUUUAAUUUUAGUAUAACACAAUAAUAUGAACCAACCUUGAUUCUCAAAGGCACCCAACUAAUUCAUUAGCCUUCAAAUCAAGACUUUGCAAUUCCUUAAAAGGCAGAAACAAAGAUGCGUUGAGAACCCAAUCGCCCAAGCGGAAAUCCCCAGUACCCCUAAGAGAGAGCCGGAUCACUCGUCUUUCGGUGGUAUCACACACGAUCCUAGACCACACACAACAAUUACUGCCCAGGUAUUUCGACAGUUAUGGCUUGUGUGGGUUUUGGUUCACGAUGGAGAUGAUGGAUACAAUGAUGUAUUUCGACAACAAAAUUUUCAGUUCUUGUGAAUGGCUCUCCAACUAAAGAGUUCUUUAUGGAAAAGCGAUUGCGACAAGGGGACUCUUUAUCAACAUCUCUAUUCAACAUAGCAACUGAGGGUCUUGGUAGAAUGCUAAAAUUAAAAGGAGAUGUGAUUUGGGACUUAUAAAAGGUAUUUGUUUUGAUCACUUUCAAGUUUGUAGAUGAUACACUCAUCUUCAGUUCAUAUGAUUAUCCAUCUCUUCAAAAGAUCAAAAGAACUAUGUGAUGUUUUGAGUUGAUUCCUAGGCUGAAGGUUAAUUUCCACAAGAGCUCAAUCACUAGAACUAGAACUAGAAUUGAUGAUGUUGUUAUUUCUUCAACUGCUAGCAAUCUAAUAUGUAGGAUGGAGGGGAUGCCAUUUAAGUAUUUGGGUCUGCCUAUUUAUGCAUCUUCAUCUCAUACAUCCGUUUGGAAAACUAUUGCUUGAUUAACUCAAUUAUAAAUAACCUUUCUUUAUUUCCUAUCCCAUCCACUGUUGCUACCAAAAUUGAGAAACAUAUCAUAUCUUUCUUUGGUUCUCAGGAGGAAGGAGGGAAAAAACUAUGCAAUGUUAAAUGGGCAUCAGUGGUUCCUCCAAAAAAACAAAAAAGGUGGGUAUAGACUGCAUUAUUGAUAAAAAUAAAGCCUUGUUUUUCAAAUGGCUAUGGAGGUUUGGGAGGUCUAAUACAAGACUAUGAAAAGAUGUUAUCUACAACAUCCACAACCAAAAAGCGUAUUUGAACAUGCCUUUAGUUUGUGUUAAUUUAAAGGGUAGUACAUGGUCCAGGAAUGUCGUUACUUUUUAUAAGAACGAGGGACUUCAAAAUAUUGCCAAGAAAGAAGUUUGUGGUUUGGUUGGCAAUGGUAGAGAUAUUAACUUAUGGAAUGAUGUCUGGCUGAUAGAUUCUUGUCUUGCAGUUCAAUUUCCUAGACUUUAUAGUCCACCUGAAGAUCAUGUCUCCCCUGUAGCUACUGCAGCAGUAAAAGCUUCUAUCCAACCAGCCAGUGUGAGGCCUUCCCCUGUUGCUAGCAAUGUAGCUUCUUCAAGUAGCUAAAGUUCUGCUUCAAUAAAUGCCACGACAUCAGCAAUAACUGGUGCUACAACAAUGAGCUUCAACUACCCAAACUUCCCUGGCAAAAUUGCAGAAUGGUGCGUACGAGAUUCUAAUCCCUGAACAUGUUGGGGGCCACGAUAGCCUACAGAGGAACCCAUCCUCAGGCUAUGCCUUUCUUCAAUGGAUCAAUUCUAUUCUUCUUGAAUGUUUCAUCCUUCAUAGCUUCAGCGACAGCAACAACCAUUCAUACAGACACAACAAAGCCAACAGGGUCAUCAAAAUCCAAGUAUUUCUAGUGGCUCCUCGUCAUCCCAGAAGCAUUUGCUGAAUUAGGUGGAAUCAGCAGCGGUCAUCAAGAUCCAACCAUUUACAGAAUCAUCAGCAGAAUCAUUCCCUGCCGAACUAGCAGCGGCAGCUGAUGCAAAAUCAGAAUGUUACUCACAAACACCUCCUCCUUUUGCAAUGUCAUUUGCUCCAUCAACGGAACCACAACUUCCCCAGGUCUUGAUGUUUCAUUGCUGGUACAGAAUCAUGCUCUUCUCCAAAGCCCUCCAGAGGCAGCAAGUCAUGGCUAUCACUUCAUCACUGCGGCCCAAGCAACACAGCAGACGAAUUACCGUGUGCCUGAAGAAGGGAAAAAUGGAGGAAAUGACACUUCAAAUAUGGAAGGAGAGAGAAAGGCCGAUAUGGUUGGAGGACAGACCCCAUUAACUGGUGGGCAGUCAAUUGUGUUCUCUCGGCUAGAUUUUGUGUUCUCUCGGCUAGAUUUAACAGACUCCUCUGUUUCAACAAUGCCUGUGAACAAUGUUGUUGAUAGCUCAGCCCGAACUCUUAACCUUGGGUCCACUCUUGCUCGGACCUCAAGCCCUGUUAUGUCAGCUACUAUUGGCAGUGUAAAUGCACCAAGUAUACAACAACAGAUGCAGUGGAAUCAGCAGCAGCAGCAACGAAGUCAGCAAAUCCUUCAACUUCAGAAGCGUCAACAAUUUGCAGCUGCAGCUUCCACUCGAAGUGAAACACCAACAACUAGUAAUGGAAGUGUUUAUUCGGACCACAUCUCAUCAUCAUCAUCUAUGGGCACCAAGUUACCUAAUGCACUUUUGCAUUUCCUCAAAAUCUUGUUCAAAGCGGCAGUAGCAGCAGCAGUUAACAAAGCAUGCACUGCAACAGGCUCAACUAAUCUACGCUAAUGCUUUUAUGCAAGCUCAAGCUCAAGCUCAAGCUCAACAUGUGGCAAAUUCAACAAGCUUUGCAUCAACAGCUAGUGGGUUUCAUCUGCAAAGACAUCGCAAUGAGCAGCAACCGCAAUGCAUCGGCAACCUCUUCUACAAGGAUGUUGUUGUUAUGUCAUCCGAUCAUGUAAAUUUUUGUGACUCCCAACCUCCUAGCAACCACGAGAGGAUGUUUCCAGUUUUUUUUUUCAACAGCUAAUGCUUAGAUAACAAAAAUAGAGGAAUAACUGAUAGAGCUCCAGCAUUCGAGCAGAGUUUAAUAAAAAAAUAUAAAGUAAGGUUAGAUGCGUGAGCCUUGUUUUGUAAAUUUUUAUUUGAAUUUUAAUAAUUGUUUUUAAUUGUUAUGUAUAUGAAUAAAAAUUUGUUCAUGAAAUUUCAAUUUAAAUCACUUUUUUAAUCUUAGAAUUUUAAAAUAUAUUUUGAGCAUGAUUUUAUUAUAUUUAUGAUUUAUUUUAACUUUCAAUCACACAUAAAAAUAUAAACAUACUAUUUUGAUUUUUUUUUAAUUUGUUCUGACAAUUAUAGAAUAUUCUUUUAAUAUAAAAAAUGAUUCUAGUUAAGAAAAAAACUUGUAUAUUCACCAAGAUAAAACAAGAAAUAUGCUAAUAAAAUUUUUUAUCUUGAUAGAGAAAAAUUCAAAACGACUGUAUUUUCAAGUUUAAUAACAAUGUCAAGGAGUCCCUUAGACUGGGAUAUUUUGUUUUACAUUUAAAGUUUUUUUGAUCUCCAUAGCAUAGCACUAGCAUACAAACUUGUAUAUUUUUAAGGCAGCGUUUAGUUACUAUCCGAGACAGUAGAGACAGAGACAAUGGAGACAGAGGAGACAAUACAUAAAAGAAGAUGGAGAUAGAAUUGUGUUCACUAAUAAUAUAUAAGACAAAGUGAUUGUUUUUGUAUCAUAUUUGAUUAUGAUAGACAAGAAAGAAUAAAAUAUAAAAAAAAUAUUUUACCUUUAAUAUGUAUUGUUGUCAAACUUACAUGUUUUAAAAAAUAAUUAGUUUUAUUUUUUUACUUUAGUUUUAUAUUGAGUAUUGAAAUUAUUAAUAUUAUAAUAACCCUAGUAUUAAAACCAGGAUUAACUUGACAGGUUGACCCGAGGCCUAUACUGGUCUAAGUUUCAGAAAAAUAGAAGAAUGAUUAACUCGACCUAACCUAGUAAAAAACAUGAGUCAACUUAAGAUAAAACACGGGUCAAAACCCAUUAAAUAUUUUGAAAAAGAAAAUUGUUCAAAACAAGGUUUCUUUGACUAUUUGUUUUUAAAAAAAAUUAGGUCGAUCGGGUUAACCUUCUCUUGGAUUAACUCCUGAGUUGAGUUUUAAAACUAUGAUAAUAAUCAUUUUUAUCCAUACAUUAACUCAGGUCAAUCUGUGUUGACCCUCUCGACCCAUGACCUAGGCCUUGCUUCUGUCGACUCCCGAGUCGGAUUUUAAAAUUAUAAUAAUAAUAAUUUUUAUCCUUACAUUAAUUUGGGUCAACUCUCUUAAUUCGUAACCCAAGCAUUGCCCCAAGUUGACUAUCGAAUUAAAUUUUAAAACUAUGAUAAUAACCAUCUUUAUUUUAUGUUGACUCGGGUCAAUCUAGAUUAACUCAUCUAACACAUGACCCAAGUUUUAUCCCGAGUCGAUCCCUGAUUUGGGUUUUAAAACUAUGAUACUAAUUAUUUUUAUCAUUACAUUAACCUAAGUCAAUGAUCAACCCCACUCGUUACCCAAGAAUUGCCCAGGUCGACCCCCAAAUCGAGUUUUAAAAUAUGAUAAUAACUAUUUUUAUUCUUCUACUGACACAGGUCAACUCGACUCAUGACUCAAGCCUCAACCAGUGACCCAGAAUUUGCCCCGGAUCGACCCCCAAGUUGAAUUUUAAAACCAUGAAAAUAAUCAUUUUUACAUUUAUAUGUCUUAGUUGGACAAUUUGAAAUUGAGAGUUUUUUUAUAAAAAUAUUUUAGGAAUAAAAAAUAAUAAAUAUUAUCUCUAGAGACAUGUCUCCUCUAUACCUUACGUUUUGGAAGCACAAAAAUUCACUCCAAAAUUAUUCUAGAAACAAAUUUAUUUUUAUGUAUUUGUCUUUGUCUCUUCAACCAAAUAUAUUUAUAUCUUUAUUGUUUUUAUCCUUUCUAUUAUAGGACAAUGACCAAACAUUACCUAAAGGAUAUACAACUGACAAGGAUGAACUUGGCUUUAUUUCAUCUUUGAUAAUUUCUUCUCGAUGAUAUCUCACCGAUUUGUGGAGGCAAUUGAUCAAAACCUAGUUGAUUCAAAGGUUGACUUUGAAAAAAUAUAUUCAUAGAGUAAUGUUUGAAUCUUGGUGUUUUUUAUUGGCUCAAAAAAAUUACCAACUCACCAAAACCUGUAUGAAACAUUUAGAUUUAAUAUUAUAUGUAUAAUUUAUUAUAAUAAUUGAUAUACUAUUCAACUCAGUAACUUAGUAGGAUGACCUAUAACCUGCUGAUCUAAGAUUUUAGCCGAAUCAAGCUUUAAGCUAGAUAUAAUGACUAUGAUUUUAUAAAAUUACUAUGAACUUCCCUUUUAUGUCUUCUUAUUUACUCAUUUGAUAUUUUUUUUUAUGAAGUUAAGAUGUUCACAUUUAUAUCAUGAUUAAACUCUAGGGUAACAUUUAGUUAUUAUCUUGGGAUAAAAAGAAUAAAGAUAGUAAAGACAAAAAUAUGUUUGGUUGAAAAGAUAUAGAUAUAAAAAUAAUUUUUUUCAUGGGAUAAUUUUAGAGUGAAUUUAUAUAUUUUCAUAACAGAAAAUACAAAUAAGACAUAUCUUCAUAAACAAUAUUAUUUUUUAUUCCUAAAAUAUCAUUGUAAAAAACUUUCAAUUCCAAAAUUGUCCAAUUAAGAUAUGUAAAAAUAAAAAUAGUUAUUAUCGUAGUCUUAAAACCCAACUUGGGGGUUGACUUGUAGAAAGAUAUGUGAUCUUUGUUGACCCAAGUCAAGGUAAAAAUAAAAAUAGCUAUUAUCAUAGUUGUAAAAUCUAACUUGAGGGUCGACCUGGGACAAGGCACGGGUCAUUGUUUGGGUUGACCAUUGACCCAAGUCAACAAAAAAAUAAAAGUGGUUAUUAUUGUAAUUUUAAAACUUAACUUGGAGGUCGACUCAAGGCAAGGCCCGGGUCAUGGGUCAGGAGGGUUAACUCUGGUGGAACCGGGUUAAUGUAAGGAUAAAAGUGGUUAUUACAAUAGUUUUAAAACUCGACUUAGAGAUCGACCUGAGGUAAGCUCAGGUCUUGGGCUAGGAGGGUUAAUGCAUGGAUAAAAAUAAUUAUUAUCAUAAUUUGAAAACUUGAUUCAAGAGUCGACCCGAGACAAAGCCUAGGUUAUGGGUUGGGAGGGUCAACCCGAGUUGACCCAAUUUUUUUUUAAAAAAAAAGAAUCAACACAACCUUGUUUUGACCAAUUUUUUUUAAAAAUAACAGGUUUUGCCCCGUGUUUUAUCCCGAGUCGACCCGUGUUUUAUCCCGAAUCAACUCGGUUUUUUAACUCACCUAUCUUUUCUUAAACUUAAAAUUAAUCCGGGCUUAGAGACAACUAGAUCCCGAAUAGAUUCACUAGGUCAGUCUAGGUUAUAUAACUAGGAUUAUUAUAAUAUUAUUAAUUUCAACACUUAAUAUAAACUAAAGUAAAAAAAAGUUCUAAUUAUUUGUAUAAAUAUGUAAGUUUACCAAUAAUACAUAUUAAAGGUAAAAUAAUUUUUUUAUAUAUUUUUUUUAUCAUUAUCAAAUAAGAUAUAGAGACAGUUACCGCCAAACAUAAUUUUAUUUUCAUCUCCUUUUCUAUCUUUUUUUUCUUUAUUUUCAUGGUCUUCUUUUUUAUUCAUAACAGUAACCAAAUAUUGGCUAGUUAUAACAUAUAGAAACAUACAAGUUGUCAUGUUCAAGCCGUUCUCUUAUCAUUUUAAAUAAAUUGAAACACAAUUGCGAGGAGAAGAGUGUGUUUUGUAUUGUGUUAGCUUUUGUGGUUGUGGUUUGAAAAUUGUUGUUUUAUAAAAAAUACUUUUAGUUGAGGUUGGUUUGAUAUUUAUAUAUGUUUAGUUAAAAUUGUGGUUGAAAUUGAGGUUGAACAAAAAGUAAUUUAAUGUGUUUGGUUAAGAAUGCUUUUCAAAUCGAGGUUAUAAAAUAAUUAAAAAAGAUAUAUAUUAAUAUUGAUAGUUUUUAAUUUAAAUAUUGUAGAUUUAACUACUGCUAUUACAUCAUGAAAUAAAUAAUACUUUAUAUAAAAUAUUUUUUUAUUGUUCCAUUAAACUAUCUACAAUUCCAUCACAUACGAAAUUCAUUCGACAAGGACUACAGUUUUCUUGGUUUCUUAAGCGCACAACAAUAUCAAGUAAAAUAUAAUCAGGAACAAAAUUAGGAUUGCGAUCAAAUUCUGCAAAUGCUAUGUCAUCAAGCAAUCUCCUUAUAAUUUAUGUAGUGUUAUUGAAUAAUGCUAAACACUAGUUUUUCAAAUAAAACAUAAUUAAAAAUAAAAAAAAAUUGAUUUUUUUUUAUUUUACUGGGUCAGACCCGGUUCAAUGCAUUUAGCUUUGAAUCGGACCCAGUCCGGCCAGAAUAGUAGAGACAUUCUAAGCAACUUCAAGUGAGUCUCGUAAACAGUAAAUAACGUACCAAACAAUUAUUUUUAGUAAAGCAGAAGCAACCGAAGAAGAAGAAGAAGACAUGUGAUUACGGUGCCAUGCAGCAUUUUGACAUUAUGAGUAUUUUGAUGUAUAUCCAUUAAUUUAUAAUAUACAAGUAUAUUUCCAUGUUUCUUUUAUUUUGAUAGAACAUUUUUCCAAUAGAAUUUGUUUUUAUUGGAAUUCCAUAUUGAAUGGAUGUCAAUUGAAACUAAAAAUGUGUUAGAUAAGAGCAUACUAAUAUAAAUACCAAAUAAUGUUUAAUUAGAUUGAAUUGAACUAGACACCAUAUGUUUUUAUUCUAUGUUUGGUGCACUAAAGAUAAGAUCAAAUAAUUUUGUUUUUAUCAUUGAGAUAUUUUCAAUCAUUUAUUUUAGUCUUUGCAUUUUAUUUUUAUGAUAUUUUAGUCCUUACUAGAAUUUCUUUGUCAUCUAGAACAAUCUAGUUCUUAAAUCAAAAAGUUUUUGCAAUUAAACUCUUACAUGUACAUAUUUAUUUUAAUAAAAUUGGUCAAAUUUUGGUUUUCCAAAUUAAAAAAUAAAUAAGUGAUAAAUAAAUAAUAGAUAAUAUAAAAAUUAAGAAAAAAUAAUUUUUGUACAAAUUUUUUGUCCAAUCCUUGUCAUGUCCAAAGUGUAUAUCAAACAUUUUAUAGCUUGCCAUGUGCAACAAAUAUAUCACAACUUGUUUUUAUUGUAUUCUAUUAUGAUCUGUUUUGUGCCUUAUAUUAUUUAAUAUAUUAAAAUAAAUUUAAUAAAUUAUACUGAAGCAAGAUCUAAUAUUAGAAAGUUAACGGAAAUAAAUGUACCUUUGCCCGUCCCUUCAACAAAAUGCUGAGCUGUAUACUAAUUCUCAGAGGCAGUGAUAACUAGUUGUUCUAACUAAUCCCUAUACUUUUAAAUAUGUUUACAAUUCAGUCCCUUCAUUAAUUUUUCGUUAGUAAAAUGUUGAGCUGUCAGCAAUAUUUCCUUAGUUUGUGCCGCUAACUUAACGGUAAAAUGUGAUUCAAGGAUCAAUUAAUUAUUUAAAUGAACUUGAGGGAUUAAUCUGUUUGUUUAACAAAAAUACAGACACUAGUUAAAUAGAAUUUAACUCCAAUUUUAAUCAUCAUAUGCGUGCGUGCGAGCGAGCGAGCGAGUGUUUACUCGUUAAUGUUUUUUUAGAAGGAAUCUGGAAAAGAAUAAAGUCAUCCAUUUCACUUUGGUCCAGCAUUCCUCACCUCUCCCCGCCAGAGCUCUCCCUCCCUCCCUCCCUCCCUCCCUCCUCCGCCUCUCGGAAACCGCCGCCGCCAAGAAGGCUUCAGAUUUCUGCCAGGUGCUUCUAUUUCUAUCAUGUUUUUGUUUUUAAAAUUUAUGGGUGUUUUCAUUUAUUCUAUUGGAAUUAUUAUUCAGAGACAGAAAUUCUAUUUUAAUGAGAAAAUUAAAAAAAAUAAUCGAUCCGAUGAAAUCUCUGCUAGUGAACGCAAUUCGAUUUUAAUAAGUAAAUUAAAAAAAUAUAUAAUCGGAUCCGUUGAAAUCGCUGCUCGUGAACGCAAUUCAAAGAAACGCACAAUCAGCCGAUUCUAAUAUUUUCUUUUUCAAUUUUUCCCCUUAAUUUACAUGAUAUUAUCCGAUUUUUCUCACAGUUAUUGUUGUAAUAAUCAAGCCCUGAAUUCUUGAACCCAAAUUUAUUUUAUUUUAUUUUAUUUUAUUUUUUAGUGGAGAAUAGAAAUCAAUUCAAAUCUUUUAGGCUCGAUCGAUAAUUUGUUAAUUAGUUUAUGCAGCAGCUGGAGUGGAAGAGAUUUUUCUGCCGGAAUGGCCGAAAAAUGAGCUGUUUGGUUGAUUCUUCUUUUUUGGAAUUUACUGAAUUCUUCAAAAUUAUUGUGUUCUUAACAACAAUACGAUAUCCUUGGGUUUUAUGCUCGCUCACACAUGGAAAAAAGAAAGAAAGAAAAGGACUUUACAUUUUAUAAUUUGGUCAUGUUAACGCAAAAAAAAUAAAAAUAAUAGUUUAUGAUGACUCAUUGUUUGGUUGAUAACCCUACAUGAUAUAUCUUUCUUUUUAGGACUUCCUAGCUGGUCUUGAGUAUGAGGUGAAAGCUUGAGGAGGGCAGUUGGUCCUAACCAAGGACUGUAUUGUGAUUGAUUGAGUUGAAAGUUAAGAGCAUGUGGAAGUGUAAAACAAAUGACUUUGUUCACUUCACCCCAAAGGCGCACCUGUGCAUCUAGUUAGGAAGAACAUUUUAUAACUUACCUCAAGGUCGAGCAUGGUCAGGGUUAUUGUGUUGUCUAUUCCGAGAAAGAUGUGCCUGCAAAUUUAAUCUUAUUUCAACAAGAGUUGUUAAGUUAAUUCUUAUCAGUCCUCUUUAGAGUUGAUGAUGACAUGAAAUAUUCAUGGUUAAUGCUUGUCGUUUUCUUCUUCAUUUUCCUAGCUUAAAACAUCCUAGAAAUCUAUCUAUUGAAGUAAAGCAUUUAAAUGCGUAUACAAUGUUUUUGGAACUUUAAAUAUCUAUUUGAUCAGAAUCUGUGAACCUAAAACCACAAUGAAUACAAAUGCAAGUUUGUCAUUGUAAACAUUGCAUCAAUGAUGUAUCACGAGUGUUGCUAGAAAACAUCAAGUUAAAAUUGAAGCACCAUGAGUUUCUCCAUGGCUUGGUUUACCAACACUCACCAUCUGAUGGUGUGGCAAGUUAUGAACUAGCUGGCUAGUUUUUUGCUUCCUUGGUUUUAGAAGGACCAUGAAGAUUCAGGCCCAAAUCUUGCUUAUAAUACCUAAAUACCCAAGAUCCUAGCACCUUGCCCUGAAUGGUCGUGUAUAUUUGUUAUGGCUGUUCAGAUUUUAUGCAUCCAUAUUUGGUAGAAUUCUUUAAUAAAGUACAUGCUAUUGGAUGGAAGUUCUUUUUAAAUCUAUUCAAGUCUGAAUAAACUGACAUUCCAAUUUUCAUGACUUUGAUAUGCUCUUACUCUUCUGUUGUUCCUGACUUUCUUUUUAGGGUCUAUUCUAACAUGCAAUAUAAUUAUUAUUUUUUUUUUUGGUGAUUGAAGUGAUUUUUUUGGUUGGCCAAAACCCCAUGGAUGCCAAUAAUUGGAGGCCCACUGCCCCAGGCGGAGAACCUGUUAUGGACACAGGUGAUUGGAGAACUCAAUUGCAGCCUGACUCACGGCAAAGAAUAGUCAACAAAAUGUAAGUCUCUGUUUCCUAAUAUGUGCAAGUGCUGCAAAAUAGUAAAUCUUGUAUUUAAAUGAAAGAAAAAGAGAAGGGAAAAAGGUUAAUUAAAAUCAGCAGGACUGCCAUGAGGCAACCUCAAGUAUCAUACACCUCUGUUUUUGUCUUUUUCAUUUUUCACGUGUUUCUCACAAGAAGUGAACUUGAGGGAAUAAAAAGUGCUGGGAAGUAAUUUUUGUUGGAACUUCUUGUGUAACAUCUUUCGAUGAUGACCUCUAGGAUGGCUGCAUGAAGCUUCUUCCGCUUUAAAUUUCAAGGUUAAUCUAUUGCUAUGAGCAUUGGUGUUUCAAUUUCAACCUUGAGUUGCAACUGAACUUAAAUGAACAGUGUUGGAUUUGAGCCUUCCAUUUGCUUUAACUUCUACAGGGUUGAAAUGAUAGUUAUCUUAAAGUACAAAAGCAGCAGACAAAAAUCAAUUAGUCACAAUAGUGCAUGGUUUCCUAGUUUCUCAGUAUAAAGUGGAAUGUUUUGGUGAUAUCUCUACAUCCAAAUUCAUAUAGACAGCUACUGUUGGCAUUUGCAGUAGCCAAUGAGCACUGUAGAGUAUAUAUUGCAGCGUGAGAUAAGGUUAACUCAUUGCAUUUUCAUAAAUUAAAAGGAUUUCUCUUCUUUUCUUUGUUAAUUGCAGUGCAUGUAUAAAGGUUUUCUUAUUUAGAGUAAAUGCUGUUGUAAUGUUUUCACAGAGUUCCCUUGGUUUGCAGCUAAUUCAUUUAUAUAUCUUGGAGCAUAGCCAUAGCCAUAAAUGGAAGGUUCUUCCAGUUCAAGAAAAUUAACCAUGAAGCUCAUAGCUAGAAUUUUAAACAUAAGGGUGGCCAAGUGAACUCCUAUACCCUGUACCUGUGGAAUAAUACGGGGAAAGGAAGUAAAAAUAGAUGUGUAUUUUGAUGCCAUAUAUUACUUGACCGACACUUGGCUAUAUCAUUAUUUGUUUUUACUUUUUCCUAAUGAUUCCGUUGUAUACAUUUCUGAUAUUGGUGUGGUGUAUGAGUUCACGGUUCUUUCUCACUGCUGCUAACUUCUCUAUACCUGCCUUGUCAUUAAAAAUUAAAUGUAAUGUUUUACAUGUGCAGAAUGGAGACAUUAAAGAGGCAUCUUCCGUUUUCUGGUCAAGAGGGAUUACAAGAACUCAAGAAAAUUGCCGUACGGUUUGAGGAAAAGAUUUAUACUGCCGCCACCAAUCAGGUAUUCGGCUAAUGCUAGGUUCAAUGAUUUCGAUAUUCUCUAGACAUGAAUAUACACAUGCAUAAGUUUGUGGAUUAAUGCAUGUACACGUGUGUGUAGUGUGUCCACACUUCCUUACUGGUCAUUCUGUAGAAGUUCUCAUCUUUUCGUUAUUUCUCUUGACAAGUGUUUUAUUUAGAGUGACCAAGGUCCUUUUCAAGUACAAGGGAAGUGUGCAAAAUGCAAAUAACGAAUCAAUACAUAAAUAAUUAAAUAAAAAGAAAGGACACAGAAGUAUAUCCUCACAGAAGAUGCAAAUACAGAAAGCCUAGCAUAUUAGAAAGAGCAUAUAUCCCUUUUCCCCCUUCUCUUGUAACAUGGACUGCGCAGAGAUCUAAUGUUUUGUUAUUGAUAUCUGAUUUCAGUCUGAUUAUCUGCGUAAAAUAUCUCUGAAGAUGCUUACAAUGGAGACCAAGUCUCAAAAUACCAUACCCACUGGCAAUGGUAACAAAACCCUGGAUCCAGGAGGUAAUAAUGCAGCCAAGCAUUGGAUUUCUAAACAUCCUUACCUUUUGUUUUGUAUUUUGCGUUGUUAUCAAACUCUUUUACAUUUUAUUGCUGCAUUUUGCUAUGUAUAUACCAUGCUUUAAUAAAAGAGUCGAGUAAUUGAUGAAUGUUCAAAAAAAAAUUACAGAUUAUUUUUGUUUUCUGCUCCCCACCCCCCCACAACAAAAAAAAAAAAAAAAGUCAAAUGACACUUAUGCUUUGAGGUAAAACCAUCUUAAUUAUUUCCCUCAUAACUUUACGUGUGAACUGUCAUUGUUUCAUUUGUUUUUCUUGUUCAAUGCCUUCUUUUUUUUUCCUUUGACAUGGUUUUCCUUUUUGCCUUUUAUCUUGAACAGCAUCUCAUAGUAUGCCGCCUCAAGUUCACAACCAAGGGCAGUCGCUCCCUAACUCAUUGUCCUCUAAUCAGUCUCAAGCACGUCAGCAGUUAUCACAGAACAUGCAGAAUAGUAUGUCAUCUAAUGGAGUUCAAAGUUCUGCUGGUUUACAAUCAGCAAUGCCUUCUGUCUCCGGUUUAACCCAGACUAUCCCAAACACUGUUGGACAGAAUGCUAACAUGCAGAGUAUCUCUGGUGUUUCACAGAACCCAGUGGGGAAUUCAAUGGGACAAGGGAUUCCCCCCAAUAUGUUUGUCAAUUCUCAGAGACAAAUGCCAGGCAGGCAACAGGUUGUUCCUCCACAGCAACAGCAGCAGUCCCAAAAUCCUCAGCAGUAUCUUUAUCAGCAGCAGAUGCAACAUCAGCUUUUAAAGCAGAAGCUUCAACAGGGAAAUCAUCCACACUCACUUGUGCAAUCUCACAUCCACCAGCAGCAGCAGCAAAAUUUGUUACAGCCAAAUCAGUUGCAAUCUUCUCAGCAAUCUGGUUUGCAAACAUCAACUGUUAUGCAGCCUUCAAUGAUGCAAACUGUCUCUGGCCUUCAACAGAACCAACCAUCUUCUGUUCAACAGUCAACACAACCAAUGCACCAGCAACAUCCACAAUCAGUCCUUAGGCAGCAGCAGCAACAACCUCAACAGUCUGCUGGUAUUCAUCAGCAGCAAACACCAAUGAUGCAGCAGCCACUAUUGCCUCCACAACAGCAGCUAAUGGGGCAACAAUCAUNNNNNNNNNNNNNNNNNNNNNNNNNNNNNNNNNNNNNNNNNNNNNNNNNNNNNNNNNNNNNNNNNNNNNNNNNNNNNNNNNNNNNNNNNNNNNNNNNNNNACAGCAGCUAAUGGAGCACAUCAAGUACACUAACAUGUCGCAAAAUCAGUUAAUUGGACAACAAAACAUUGUUGGGGACUUGCAGCAGCAGCAGCAGCAGAGAUUGCUAGGGCAGCAGAAUAACCUUCAAAAUCUGCAGCAGCAGCAGCAGUUAAUGGCUCAACAAAAUAACCUCUCAAGCAUGCAUCAGCAACAGUUGGCCCCUCAAAGUAAUGUCACUGGUUUACAGCAACAGCAGUUGCAUGGAGCUCAGCCUGGUAACUCAAGCAUGCAAUCUAAUCAGCACUCUCUACACAUGCUGCAACAGCCCAAGGU